UUAUUUUGAGAAGCCUGCUUGUUCGCAUAGAUUUUAACGACAUGAACAUUGUGGUAAGGUUAGAGAGUAAUGCGAAUGUAGGAGCUUAUAUUAGAAAUGACACAAACACGUAAAUAGAAGUAAUCUAUAUAUGAUAUUACUCAUGGACUACAAGCAAAGAAGUACAAUACAUGGAGUAAGUGAUGAAAUGAGCAUUCCUCACUACUACUGCUUGACUGAUGGAACAUGAUGCACGAGAUAGCAUAAGUAGUAGUAGGAAGCAGCUCUUAUUUGUGGCGUCGGUAUACAUCAUACUAGGUAGAUGGUUCAAUUGGCAUGGAUGGGUGGUGGAGCCUUGAAGUGCUUGUGAUGGGGAGCCCACGGCUUCUUCUCAGGAGUUGGUGGCUUCUUGUAUGGAGUUGAUGGAGGUGUUUCUACUGGAGGGUGGCCAGGGUAGUGACCCUGGGGUGGUGAAGGUUCUUUUGUCGGUGGUGGCCUCACUAUUAUUGGCGGUAGAGUUGGUGGCUUGGGCGUUGGCGGUGGUCUCACUACUCUUGGGGGUAGAGUUGGUGUCUUGUGUUUUGGUGGUGGAGGUGGCUUAACAGGAGUUGGUGGCUUGUAUUCUGGGGGUGGUUUCUCCACCGGAGGUGGCUUAUAAACUGGAGUUGGUGGCUUGUAUUCUGGGGGUGGCUUCUCCACUGGUGGUGGCCUGUAAACAGGGGUUGGUGGCUUAUAUUCUGGGGGAGGCUUCUCCACUGGAGGCGACUUAUAAACAGGGGUUGGUGGCUUGUAUUCCGGGGGUGGCUUCUCUACGGGAGGUGGCCUGUAAACAGGGGUUGGUGGCUUCUCCACCGGAGGUGGCUUAUAAACGGGGGUUGGUGGCUUGUAUUCUGGGGGUGGUUUCCCCAGUGGUGGAGACUUGUAAACAGGAAGAGGUGGUUUGUGCUCAUAUGGGGGUGGCUUGUGGUCAUUAGCAAGUGAGGGAGUGGUGAGGACCACCAAUCCAAGGAACAACACGAGUGAGCAAGCAGAAGACAUGUUUGGGCUCUGGUGAUGCACAAGUAGAAGAAAUGGGAACCAUUUAUAAUGCUUCGAGACCUUGGUUAGCACCAAAAUAUGUCAAAAUCUUGAUUACUUCAUUUCAUACAUAGAUUUAAAAUUAUUUCAAUCAACCAUGAUCCUUAAUUUUCUGGGUGGUCCAUAAAUGUAAUGGGGUCAAUUUGGGACCUAACAAGCUGAGAAGUUUGACAAUGCUGCAAGGCUUCAUCCGAAAGUCCGGGGAAGAAUAUUAGGAGUUACACUCCGUUUCCUUUUUUGGGUGCAUUUUUCUCCUUUAACAUUCUAUUCCCUUUUACAUUAGCAUUUGAUCUUAGCUCAUUUCAAGUACAAGUUUCUUGAACCCUAUACCAUUGUCAAAGUUGAGUAACCAUCUCUACUUUGCUCAAGAAACAUAAAAGACAAUGACAAUAAAGAAAAAGGAGAGAGACCAUACGUGACUUGGUUUAUAGGUGGCUUUGUGUUGACAUUUGAGUAUGGAAGCCGACAUGCAUCUUAGCUUCGAUUUUAAUUAAAUUUGUACAUUAGUGUCUGUGUCAUUCAUUUUGGUAUAAAAGGUCUCUUGAUUUCGUAAGUUUGGUAAGAACCGUUGAAAAUAGCAGUAGCAGCACAUGGUCCACUUUCUUUCACAAAAUAAUUUUAAAAGUUUAGAAGCAUAGGAGGUAACAUUAGUGGCCUUGUGGCUCAGCCACGAGUACUAUGUGGUGCUCGAGAAAUUGAGUUUAAUUUCCUUCCGAUAGUUCAUGAUAAGGUCCGUCACUGUCCUGAGACAGAUUGCGUUUUUUCUUUUUUCCUUUUUUAGUGUUUUAUUGACUAGCUAGGUGUGACUUUUCCUACUUUAAGGCACGAGGCAGAAAAGAAACUGGGAUUUAGUGCUUAAGAAGGCAAAUUUAAUUCGAUUUGGAUCUAAAAUUUGCCAGCAACAUGAGAUUUUCCAGCCUAUCGUUGCUCCACAUAUAGACAAGGCACUUGUAGAAGUGGCUUGUUUGUAGCCAUUCCCGAUAUUUGGACUCACUUGAUUCACCGGACACUUUGAUAAAAUUUAAUAUUUAUUAUUUAAUAAUUUAAAUUGAUUUAAAAUUAAAUUAUACCGAAGUUGUGAUUUAAAAAUUAUUAUUUAAUUCUUACUUUUAAAUAUGAAGAUUAUUUGAUAAAAAUAAUUUAAAAUUUAUUAUAAAUUAUCAAAUUAACAUAUUUAUCCUUAUAAAUUAUAAUUAAAACAGAAAAGGUCAAAUGAUUUGAGUAUCCAUAGAUGUGGUAAAAUAAUAAAAAAGAUUAUAAAAACAAUUAUGAUAAAUAAAGAUAAAAAGUAAAAUGAAUAUGUGAAUUUAAAGAAUAAAUUAAUUAUUUUUAUUUAUUACUUAAAAUUAUUUUUGACUUUAAAUUAUAUUAUUAAAUUAUUUUACCAAACAUACUUAAUUUAGUUAAUAAUUUAAAUUUAAUUUAAGUUAUUAAAUUGAUUCACCAAAUACCCACUUAAUCAAAGACUGAAGUAUACAUUAUUUGGCCAAAUGCAGCUAUUGAAAUUUAACUUUUUCCAAACUUAUUCAUUUUGUGGAAAUAUUUUUAGAAAUGAUUUUAAAAAUGCACUAUUCUGUGUGUUGAUUUUAUAUUUUGGCAUUAAUCCAACAUAGAAAACGGUUCUUAUUUUCGCUGUUAAAUAGGUACCAGAUCCUUAAUUAGUGCCGUGAAUCCGGCAGCUUCCAAUGAGUAAUUUGGACUUGGGUAUUGACAAUGUGUGGCCAUGCUUCUACUAUUUUAUUAUUCUUGAAACAUAUAUGAUAUAUUGGACUUUAUACAGGGAAAAAAAAAAAAAAAAGUCUUCACCAAAAAUGAUUCCUCCUAAAAAAUAGACUCCACAAACUAGGUUUAACAGGAAAAUGAUUCUAAUCUAGUAGUUUCCAGCCACAUGAGCAUUUACGUAACAAUAGUAUAGUUGAUAACGACUUUUAUUUUAUUUAUUUUUAAAUAGUUAAAGGGAUAAUUUUUGAGCUUAAAUUUUAUUUUUUUAUUUAGAAACAUUUUACUUUAUUUUUUAAUCAUAAUUCUAUUAUAUUAAUGUUUUAUUUUCUAUUUUUUAAUAUAUAAGGAGAUACUAAAUUUAUGUGAUUAUUUUUUAAAAAUUUAGUAUAUGAAAUUAAAUAAUUGGAUAUAUAUACAUAUAUCAUAUAAUGUUUUUUAAGUGUGAUUUUUGAACUUUUUAGUCAUUUUAUAAGUUUAAGCUUUUGAUUUUUUUUUUUAAACUUUGGUAUUUUUUAUUUUAUAUAAAACUAUUUUGAUUUAAUUUUAUUAAAAAAUAUUGGUAUUAUAAAUUAUUGUAUUAAUUAUUUUUUUAUAUUAUAAUGUAACUGGUAUAUACUAAAAAAUGUAUGCAAGUUCAAUUUAAGUUUCAAAUUAAAAAAUUUCAUUUAAAUAUUUAAUAACUUGUUCAUAAUAAAAAAUUAAACAACAUAAUACAAAUGAAAAGAAACAUAAAAGAAAAAGGAAAAAAUGGUCCUCUCUGUGUGUCACAUUACUAGGUCAUCCUCUUUUUCUAUGACCCUUACAAUAGAAUGGCAUAUUUGUCAAAUCUACUUAUGAAAGUUGGAAUGUUUCUACAUGUGUAGGGUCCAUUGGAACUAAUGGAGGAAAGGCUUAACGUCUAUGUAAAUCACAACGUUGCCUAGGUGGGCAUAGAUCUAGUUGUGUAACAUGAGAUGGUGUGAGAGUACAAUAUAUGCAUUGUAGUCUCUAUGGGAAGAGAGAUAGGUAAUGGUAGGGUGGUAGACGGUAGGGUGAUCUCUAAUAUAAUGACAUUUGAUGUGGUGGCUUCUAAGAGAGGAGAUAUAAGAGAUGGUAGAAUGACAUUUGGUGUAAUGGUCUCUAGUGCAAUGACAUGUGAUAUGGUGACCUAUAAAGAAGAGAUAUAGGUGAUGGUGAAGUGGUAUGUGGUGUAGUGACCUUUGAGAUAGAAAAUAGAGGUAAUGGUAGGUUGGCAGGUGGAGUGGUCUUUGGUGUAGUGACAUCAAUUAUAAAUGUCUCCAAGGGAGGAAAUAAAGGUGAUGGUAGGUAGUAAAUGUUGAGGUGGUCUUUGAUAUGUUAUGCUCUAAGAGAGAAGGUAUAGGUAAUGAUAAUAGGGAAUUUGACAUAGUGGUGUUGGAAAUAAAAAGUGAAAGUGACCGUAGAGGUGAAAGGGCAAGUGUAAAAGCCUCAAGUACGAAUGGAGUAAUUAAUGUGGAUGGUGCUAACAUAGUCUUAGGUGGAUACACAAAUAGUCAUAGUCAUCAACUAGCUUGCCCACCAUCUGUCUUUCUGCUAGUGAUAGGUUACAUCUUAAUAGUAAUGGCCAACAUAAGUGGUGUGGAUCCGAUUUUUUUACGUGUGUCCCCACUCAAUCGACAAGACUUAUUUUUUAUUAGUGAAAAAUUAAUUUUGGAAAAGUUGGAGUCACCACUUAUUUUAUUUUAUUUUAAAAAGGAAAGUAAAACAAGAAAGAGAACUCUAAAGAAGUGACUUCAUAGUUUUGGAAAAGUUAGUCUUAAAAAAUCCAAGUCUUGGUCCGGAGAUCAGGUUACUUAUUGGGAAGAUACCUCUAAGAGGUAAUACCCCUCUAAACCCUAAAGAAGUCUCUAAUGACUAAGUUGAGGAGAAUGUGGUAAUUAAUUAAUUGAUUGAGGGUACCUAGGUAGACUAAGGUGAUUUCAGAAUUAACAUACCAAGCUAGAAAGUCCAAUCAUGAUCAUAAAAGAGAGUCAAAGUAUGUACCUGAACUGCUUCUCAAACGCUAUCAUAAAACAUCAAAGUUAGUAUAGAAAUAUAACACAUAAUAUUUGUUUUAUCCAAGCAAAUAAAGCAUACAUCUAAGCACCCAAGAAUCACAUCAAGUAUGGAUAUAGUCAUCAAUAGCAUACGUGUCCAUAGAACUAUCGAAAGUAAAUGUGGAGGAGCGUAUCUGGACAACAUAGAUAACUUAUAAUGUGCUUCCACAAGACAUGGGGGUUAGAUAAAAGUUAUAAUAAUAAUUAGUAAAUGAAAGAAUUCUAGCAUGUUUGGUAUCUAAAUAACAUAGCAAAAAUGAACAAGAGUACACGAAAACAUCAAUUAUCACACGAGUCAUAUUGGCUAGUAUUUAAUCAAUAAACCAACAAUAAAUGACUAUAAACAUAUAAAAUGACAUAUUCAAAGAGACCCAAACAUAAAGAGCCUAGAACACAAGCUUACACUAAAUUUAGAAAACUAAAACAUGGAAUUUUAAAAGCAUAAAUUAGCAAACAAAUUGAUGGAAACUAAAUUUAGAUAACUUAAGAAUAUUUUUCUUAUCCUUCAAUUUAAAUCAGUAAGCCAACAAUAAAAAAUUAUAGAAACAUGGAAUAUCAAGAUCAAUGGGAUACCUAAACUAUAAUUUUUAAAAGAAAAUAAACUAAGCAUAAUAUCUACAAAGCAACUAAACUAACAUUUUUUUAAAAAUAAAUUAAACAUGACAUUAAUGGAGUAACCAAACUAAAUUAAAGUAAACUAAAAACAUUUAUGAAUUUUCAAACAUGGAAUCAGCUUUCUUAGUAAAUUAAAAUUAUUAAAAUAAAAUCUAAGCUUAAAAAUGAAUUAAAUACUAACUAAAGCAAAUCUAAAACCAAAUAUUUAACACAUAGGAUCAAUUAUAUUAACAAACUAAAAUUUUAUAAGAACACUUAAACCUAAAGUUGAAUUAAAAACUAACCAAUUUUUAAAACUAGAUCUUUAACCCAUAGGAUCAAUUAUAUUAACAAAUAAAUAAUAAAUAAUAAAUAAAUAAAACUCAAACCUAAAGAUGAACUAGAAAUGUACCAAAGUAAAUUCAAAACAAGAUCUUUAACACAUUAGAUCAAUUAUAUUGACUAACUAAAAAAAAAAAAAAAAAACACUCAAACCUGAAACGAUGUAUUAGAAACUAACCAAAGCAAAUUUAAAAUAGAGUCUUUAACACAUAGGAUCAAUUAUAAUCACUAACUUAAAUUACAAUUUUUGAAACAUGAACUAAUUAGUGUUGGAUUAAUUAAACUAAUUAACUAAAAAAAACUAUAAACUAGAAUACGGUGAAUCAAGAAUUCAAAUCAACAAACAUAAAAUAUGGGUACAAUGAAAUGAAAAUCUAUUAAACUAAUAAGACGGAAAUAUGACAAACUCAUGAACCCACAUUUUGAUCAACUAGGAAAUAGAAAUUAAUAGACCUGUAGCAUGGAUACAAUGAAAUGAGAUCAGUUAAAUUUAUUUGCCGAAAUUCUAAAAAACACAUACACUCAAAUAAGAUCUAAAUCUAAGACCAAGCAAAACUCAAACUUUCUCAAUCUAAUGCAAUGAAUCAAAACUAAAAUUAAAUAGAAAUCAAACCAUUUUUUUUUUAUCUAAUAUAAUAAAUCAAAGCUAAAACUAAACAAAAUCGAAUUUUCUUAAUUUAAUAUGAUGAGUCAAAGCUAAAAUUGAACAAAGUUCAAACCUUUAUAUAAUGGAUCAAAGUUAAAUCUAAAUGAAAUCCAUACUUCCACAAUUUGAUAUAACAAAUCAAAAAUAAAACUAGAUAAAAAAAAAGUCAAAGCCUUUCAACUUGACAUAGUGAAUCCAAACUGAAACGAAACAAAAUUUUAACUUUUCCAAUGAAACCCAAUAUAGAAAAAAUUAGCUUACCUUCUUUAGAAUAUAUGUAUGGGCCAUAAAGAAGUCACCUUGGUGCAUGUGUUCCUCACUUUGACGCCAAUGGACGACUUUCUAUGGUAGCAAAUGGAGAUCCUUUUUGGUGGUAACUUGCGUGUGGAAACCUAUGGUACAACCAAUGUCAUCUUUUAUUGUGCGUGUGGACCAAUUUCUUCUCGAGAACUCAUGUGUGUUGUGCUCAAAAUAUGUUGCCUGUGAGAAUCUAUUGGUAUACCCCACAUAUGGUUUCCUUGAGAGAAUCUGUGGUUGUGUGUGGGCGUUUUCUUCAUGACAGCAUGUGGAUGUUCCCAUCUAUGGUAGAUUGGUUGUGAUGCUUUAGUGCAUGGUCUCCAUAGGAAUAGUGUGUUAUGGAAAUUUGGUUUUUUUAUUGGUGCAUGUUGUCUAGACUUUCCCAUAUGCGUGGACUGUGUGUUCAUGCUUUUCUUUUCGGAUGGUCGCCUGUGUUAAUGUGUGGCGGUGUCUACAAUGAAAGAUACAACCCUUUCUCUCCUUCUGCGUGAUAGAAAAGUCAAUCCCCCAUGGUGCGACUAUGUUCCCUCGUCCUUUUUGAAAAAUUUUGGUGUUUUCCCCCCAAAAAAUCCCCUCCAAAAAUCUAAUUAUAAAUGUCUGCUUUGGCCUAAUGUGUGUGCUACUUUUUUUUUCCUUCUUUUUAUGGUUGUGCGUGCUUUUCUUGAUACGUGGCUUAUUUCUUAAGGAUAUGAUUCGCUCCCAAUUGGUGUCUCAGCUGAUUCAUGUCCUUUCAAUGGUCCCUGACAGUGGUGCCAUUUGAUUCGUGUCCAGCUGGUGUCCCUUGAUUGUGGUCCUCAGAAGGGAGUAAUCAAUAAAAUUUAUAACCUAUUACACCAUGUAUUAGGAUAGCCUUAGCUAGCAUAGCAUAGUGGCUCUAGGGUCGUUUAUUGGGAUGAGUUUUCACUUCACAAUUGAUAUUAAUUCAAGAGCUGAAUUGGUGCCUUUUCAUUUCAAGGUUAGCUUUAAAAGAAAACAUAAUCUUUGGUGGAAAAAGGUUUGGUUUUAAACUAACCAAAAAUAGUAACUGAUUUUACUUACAAAGAAAAGUGUUCUUUGGAGUUUAGAUCACUAGGCUCAGGUUCCUCAUACAAAAAGGAGAGUUCCGAUCAUUUGUUUCUUUUCCUCGCAUUAGAGAAUUAACAUAUAGUUAAUUCUCUAACCGGUGCGGUACAUAUGCUUCCCAUUAAUGGGUUCAAACACUAAAUACCUCUCACUGAUGCACCUUGCAAUGGCUCGUGCCUCUCACCUAGCAUUUAUCAUUCAAGGUGAUCUUUAACCUUGGAUUACCCAUCAAAAGCUCGCAAGAGAUAACUAAAGGAUGUCUCCUUAGAGUCCAAAAGCUUACCAAGUGUUGGUUAUUCUAGAAAAUCCUACCUUCAAACCACCUCCCAAAGGCUCGCAAGAGAUAAACAAGUGCAUCUCAAUGGAUGAAGAUCACUUGCCUUACCAAGUUUUGGCCCAGAUGAUUUAAUGACAUUUUAAGUUAACUAAAAAGAUAAAAACCAUUAACGGGUCACACUUUCUCUUCAUUAAAAACUAAAACAACAAAACUUCCAAUUUAUGCAUGAGGAAACUUACCUGGCUUUCUUCACUUCAAGAGAUGAAGAGCCUAGCCACUCAUCAUUUGAGGAAAAAUCCUCAGAGUUUGAUUUGCUAGAAAUAAAAAUAAUGAGAAAACAAAAAUAUAUAUAUGAAAAACAGAGCAAGUUCUCUGUAAUAUAUUUUUCUUCCUUAUACAAAAGGUUGUCUCUAAGAACAAGUUCCCGAGAUCUAUCUGAUUGUAAAUAAAAUUACAACUAUAUAUAAGAGGUUAUUCACCCCUUUGUUCUUUCUUAAAGACUAAGGAAUCCUAUGAUAGGUGGGUUACAAGGAGAGUUUGGGGAUUUAGACAUCAAAUAUCUAAAGCAAAAUAUCUCAAGAUGUUAGUCGGAAAUAUCAGGAAGCUUCAGGAGAACACCGCGACACUGUAUACUGAGAGAAAAACUCUCCGGGUAAGCUCUAUCAAAGGAUCCAGACAUGUCUGACUGGGAAAGUUGAAACGUCCUUCUCUCCCAUCCGGAUGUGAGAUAUCCGGAGAAAGUGAAAUGUCGGUCGGACAGAAUUCUUUCCCCGGGUGGAAUGAGUUGUGUUGCGCGUCGCAAGGGGGACCGUCUGCGUGUACAAGUUGUAGGGACCCCUCUCCCGGAUGACACCGAGCGCGUAAGGCUAUCCGGAUCAACUCCAUUCGGAUUCCCCAAGAGGACAUGUGGCGUGCUCCCCUAUCAGGACUCCCUUAGGGAGAAGCACACGACACUCGUGAACAUCAUACCCGGACGAUAGCAUGUCCUAUCCGGAUGUGUUGUCCGGAUCAUUGACUAAAGUGAGCAAGCCUUGCUACGUCAUUCGGACAGCUUGCCACAUACCAUGUUCCGUCGCCAUCUGAUGGUGUGUCCGAACGCCUUGUCCGGACAUCUUUUGCUCCUUGCAUUCCGGAUUUGCUUAUGACAAAGGACUUCAAAGCUUCGGUUCUUCAUGUUUCUGAGCUUUCCAUUGCUUUGCCAUGGAUUCCAAAGAACUCUCCUUAAUCACGGAUUGCUUUGGUGAUCAAAAAGUUAUCAAAACACAAAAACUUAACAUAGUUUGAUUAGAAUUGAUUGCAAGGGUUCUUAAUAUGUUAAUUGGGUUAAAAGGUGAUAACUACUACUCAAAAGUGUUUAUAAGAAUUAAUUACAAGCUAUGAAAUAACACUUUUUGAGUAGUAAUCAGGAUACAUCCUAGUUUUUCAUGGAAUUGAUAGUGGGUUGUUGUGCAUGAAUGCCACCAUUUCAACUAUGCUGUUGUUAUUUUUAAAAAAAAUAUGGAUUAUGCGCGAGUGGCAAUUCUCCACUAUGGAAAGUGGAUUGCUCCUUCAACCCAUGCAUGGCUACGUAUUCCUAUGUCUUUCUACUUGUGUUUGAUCCUCCAAAAAAAAUUUCGGUUUAGUGCUAGUAGAUUUUAAGUGGUGGAUCCCCAUUUUUUGAAAAUGAAGUGGCAGCCUCCCAUUUCAAGACAAAAUGGUAGCCUGCCUUUAAUCUUUGGAGAAAAAUCUGUGCAUGACCUUUUUUUUUCCCAAAAAAUCCGUGCAUGGUGUCCUUUAAUAUUUGGAGAAAAAUCUAUGUUGGAUCUUUUCUUUUCUAGAAACAUUUGUGUGGUCUUUUUUGUUAGCCCAAGGGUUCUUCUAAUCAAGUUUUGAUGAUAACAAACCAUGGUUAAGUGACUAAUUGGUUUAAUGAUUAAGAAUCUCAAACAUAAAAUCGAAAAUUCAUCAAAGGACCAAAUGGAUACAAGAUCGAGACGCUUGGAAGACUUGUAAUCAUAGGAAACUAAUGUAAGAUGAAUGCAUGAGUGCACUUAGGAUUUUCACACGUUUCAUGCAACUUAGAAAACCCAGUUUAUUCUUUAAAACUUCAUCCCAGUUUAUUCUUUUUAUGGUUGUGUGUGCUUUCCUUGAUACGUGGCUUAUUUAUUAAGGAUACAUCCCAGUUUUUCAUGGAAUUGACAGUGGGUUGUUGUGUGUGAAUGCCACCAUUUCAACUGUGCUGUUGUUAUUUAAAAAAAAAAAAAAUGGAUUGUGCGCGAGUGGCAAUUCUCCACUAUGGAAAGUGGAUUGCUCCUUCAACCCAUGCAUGGCUACGUAUUCCUAUGUCUUUCUGCUUGUGUGUGAUCCUCCAAAAAAAAUUUUGGUUUAGUGCUAGUAGAUUUUAAGUGGUGGAUCCCCUUUUUUUGAAAACUAAGUGGCAGCCUCCCAUUUCAAAACGAAGUGGUAGCCUGCCUUUAGUCUUUGGAGAAAAAUCUGUGCAUGACUUUUUUUUUCCCAAAAAAUCCAUGCAUGGUGUCCUUUAAUAUUUGGAGAAAAAUCUAUGUGGGAUCUUUUAUUUUCUAGAAAAAUUUGUGUGGUCUUUUUUGUUAGCCCAAGGGUUCUCCUAAUCAGGUUUUGAUGAUAACAAAUCAUGGUUAAGUGACUAAUUGGUUUAAUGAUUAAGAAUCUCAAACAUAAACUCGAAAAUUCAUCAAAUGACCAAAUGGAUACAAGAUCGAGACGCUUGGAAGACUUGUGAUCAUAGGAAACUAAUGUAAGAUGAAUGCAUGAGUGCACUUAGGAUUUUCACACGUUUCAUGCAAUUUAGAAAACCCAGUUUAUUCUUUAAAACUUCAAUUUCAUUAAAACCCGAGUUUUUAACUAAUGUACCUUAGGCAAAAUGUUUUAUAAUUGGCUUAAUAAUUCACCUAAAUACAUUUUCUAAGUGUUAGAAAAGAAAGGAAUUAAAAAAAGGUUUUCGGGGCAAAAAAGGCUCAACCGGUCGAGGCUAUGGUCAACCGGCUCAACCGGUUGAGGAACCAAUCGAUCGGUUGUGCUUGUCCGAUCGAAGACCAAUCGAGGGAUGCCAAAAAAUUUCUCUCUCUCCUAGUGGCCUUCUCUUCCCGGUCGAGGUUCGGUCUAGGCAACGGUAACAUGUCAAGCAUUAAAUGCUCCGACGACUAGUGAAUCGGUCGACCCCUAGCCCGAUCGGACGAGGUUGCCUUUUGCUGUUUUUGACUCCCGAGCUUAGAAACCUAUAAAUUGAGAGCUCCACUUCAUUUAUUGAUAAAAGAGAACACUUGCAUUCAAUAGUCUACCUACCUUUUCUUGAUCAAAAAGCUCUCAUUUCCUUCAUAGUGCAUUAAAUCAUCACUUGCAUAUCCUUUAGUGCACUAUUGUGUGUCAUCCUAGCUUUGUUUUGUAUUUGAGCUAUCCUUAAGCUAGGUUGAGGGAUUAUUUCUUAUAAAAAUCUGAGUGUUAAAGCCUUCAAGAGAUUUGAAUCUUGAAGAGAUUGUGUAAGAGCCCAUUGGAGCCGGAGUCCAAGUGUAAGAAGAUUGGAAGCUUGGUUGAAGCUUCAAGUUAGUGGAACCCUCACUCGGUUAGGAGGUUGAGGAGAGUGGACGUAGGUAAGGAAGUGUCGAACCAUUAUAAACCCGAGUUUGAAUUCUCUAACUCUAUCUCUUUAUUUUGCUUAUAUUGUGUUUGAAUUUGUUGUGAUUGAAAAGAUUUUAAAAACCUAAUUCACCCUCCCCCCUUUUGGGUUUUUUUUUCUUAAUUAAGCAUAACCUUUGUUUUCUAAUUUUCUUUUUAGGAAAAUCCAUGCGUGGUAUGUCCAAACUCUCCAAGUGGCAGUCUGCCUUCUUCUAAAAAAUUUGUUUCUAUUUCUUUAUUCGACUACCUUCCAUGUCUUCCUAAUGAGUGCUUGUGCUCAAUGGUCAAUCCCUGGUGGUUGCCUCCUUUUCCCAUAUAUACGUGUUGCAAAAUCAACAUCCCACUAUAUGUGGGUUGCCUCUAUGGCAAGUUCACAUUUCCCACAUGAAACCUAUGAGUUUCCACCAAAAAUUGCCAUGAAAAAGUCUUUAUAUGCAUCUCAUGCAAUAAAAAGUCAAGCCAAUACUCAUCUUAUCUCGAAAAAUAAGUAACCAAAAUCAAGAUCAUGCCUAAGUGAACUAUGCCAAAAGAAGUGUCCAAGUGACCUAUUAUGAAAAAAGUGCCUAAGUGACCUAAGGUGAAUGUGUGUAAGCUGGAAGGUGUCUAGGAUGUUUAGGACAAUGCCUAAGCCUAAAAUAGGGUUGCCAAGGGUCACAAUGGGGUUAGAUAAAUCUCUCAAUCAGAGUCUCCAAGGUGGCUCAUAAAAGAUAAGCUACACGAGUAAUGAUGGGCCACCAGGGAAUUAUUGUAAAGCACCAAACGAACACAUAAUAGGACAUGUGUUAGAAUGAAAAAAUGGAGGGUUUACAAGUGGUCUCAUGGAUGAGCUUGAUAAUUUAAAUGACUCACAUAAUGAACGUAUGUGAUGUUUCUCUCCAAUAACAAGCAAAACAUCACUAGCAAUAUGAUGAAUGUCUCCUAAAUCACUUGAAGUAGUCCUAGCAAAUCAAUUAGAAAAAUCACACAUAUUGCUCUAAUGUAAUAUUAUAUACAUCUGUCAAUGAAUGGGAGAACUAAUGACACAACCAUCAUGUUGAUAUCUCGAACCCUCUAAUCUCAUAUGUAGGUGGGAUCACACUUAGAAACUCAUAACACAGUAAUGACCAAUCUAAGUCAAAAUGUGUUGGUGAUCGGAGGCCCAUGAAUAUGAAGUUCUAGGAUGAUAAUGACAUCUUAUAAAGUAAUGAUCAUCUCCUUAAUAGAUAGGUGAAAUGUGUGUGUCUUAGGACACCAUCUCUCAACAAGACUUGUGAUCAAUCCCCAGUCUAGUGUAACAUGCCUAUUAUGACAUCCAUCGUAAAAUCUAGACUAGAUAAUAUAAGGACAAAUGUGAGGGUUCAUCUCCCUUUCCCACAUAAAUUUAAAAAAUUAUUAUUGACAAGUUAAGACCAAACUAAGUUGCAAAAUAUAAAUAAGUCCAUUAGAUAACAAAUUUAUGUUUUCUCAUUUUCUCAUUUUUAAAGAGAUAUUAUGUGCUUCCAUGUACAUACAUGCUAAAGUCAAUUAUACGAGACUUAUAUCCAUCUUGUAGAACCAAAUCGAACCUAUCUAAUAGAUCCAGAUUAGAAGUAUGUCCUCUAUACUCCAUAUUUAUAACACAUUUAUAAAGAUAAAUGCUAAAAAAAUGUUAAAGAUAUAAAUUUAAUGAACCAUACUUUAUGAUUUUAAUUCUCAAUUAUUGUUCAUAUUUAUAAGAGAAAAGUUAAAAAAAUUGAUAGAGUUUUCCCUCUAUCAUGGACAUUAUCCCAAAUAAAAAUAAAUUGAUUAUGCAAAUUACAUUAAUAUUUGUAACCAAAUGAUCAAUAACUAUCUUGUAUCAAUUUAGUAAAUAAAUUUAAGUAUAUCUUUUCAUUUAUGACUAACAAAUAACUCAUACUUGUCCAAUAAAAGCCACACCUAAUUUCUAAAAUUUUGUCUUCACCUCAAGUGAGUGUUACAUUGAGAAAGAAAAAAUAUGAAAGAAAAAAUGAACACCUUUUUCUUUUAAUAAAAAAAGGCCAUAACGAAACAUUAAAUCUCACUGUUACACCUAUCUUCAAUGGAAACAUGAGGAUGUGAAUGGUGGCGGUGAUAUUCUUUGCUUGAAGCUCAUAAACAAAUAUUCCUUACUAAGCCUAUGCCAUUUAGUAUUUCAAUAGUGGACCCCCCCCCCCCCCCCCCCCCCCUCCUUGCAUUUCAGAUUUAGCAAACUUAGAACCAAAUAACAAAGUGCAUUUGAACCCAUAAAGAAGUAAUGAGACUCUCCUAUAUUGGCAAUAGAAGAAAUUUUUGGAGGUAUAGGAGAUUCACGGAUGAAGAAGUUGGGCCCCAAUUGAGAUAAGACCCAAGAAAAGAUGGGGUAGAGAGGGAUGGUUGGAAAUUGUAAAGUAAGAUUUUCAAAAUGUAGUUGAUGACUAAGAUUUUGACAAUUUAAAAAAGGUUUAAAAAUGUAGUUAGCAAUCGGGGUUUUGUAACAUUUAAAAAAUAAAAUAAAAUCUCAGGCCACAUGGUAGCCCAUGUGAUUCAGAAGCUUGAGAAUUAUUUUAUAAGAAGACUUAAUUUGUGAUUUUUUUAUAACUAUAUUAUUUUUUUUCUUAACACACGAAAAAAAUUAUGAAAUAAGACAAUUUUCCUAAGAAAGCAUGUAAGUGACUCUUGGUUAUUUUAUUUAACUUCUUCUAGUUUGGAGAGGAUUAAUACCUUUGCUUUUACUCACUUGCUUGGAUAUGUACACGUUGUUCAUGUCACUUUUCAUUUAAUUUUCUGAUUAAGGGAAUUGGAACCGUACGUAACUGUCUUUAUUCCCUCUGAAACUUGGACUUGGAGUUGGACUUUCAAUCUCAUCAGUCGUGUUUCCAUAAAAAAGAAGAUGGAUUAACCAAUUUUCCUAUGCCUACUAAUCAUACACAAAACUCCACUUCCAAAUAAAAAGGAAUGGGAUAUCACUUGUUAAUAGUGGCUAAAGACUAUUAAUAACCAUGCAAAGAAAUGUCACAUUUUUUGUUCUACGCAAAUUUUAUUCAUCAACUACUAGAACCAUUUCAUACAAUAGUAGCUUUUCGAUCCUUUGAUAAAUGGACACUUGAUGUGAUAACACCAACUACACCUAUAUAUUCAAGCAAUCAUGCGUAUAUAAUAGUGGAUAUGGAUUACUUCUCUAAAUGGGCAAAAGUUUUGUCAUUCAAGGAAAGUGAACGAGGAAACACAAGUUUACUUUCAUCGGAACUAAUAUUAUAUAUUGAUAUGACUUCCCAUUAUUACUUACGAUGGAAUAUGCUUCCAUAAAAUGGCCUAGAUGAACAAACUAUCCAAGAAGUUUGGGAUCAAAUAAUAUAUAUAUAGUUCAUGUGUGAUUCUUUGGUUGACAACCUUGUUAAGGGGUGAGUGAAGCACUUUGGGCAUACCACAUACUACAUGCUAGACUUCCACCCAAGCUACCCUAUAUUCCUUAUGAACAAAGUAGAAGUUGUCAUCUCUCUUGAAUACCAAAUCCUUUCACCUAAUAAUGCUAUCUAAAAAGGUCUUAAAAAGGAUAAAAAUGCGCAUAUUUGAAUUUUUGAAUUAGGAGUGCUACUUAAAAAGAAGCUAGAUAUACAAUAAUAGAAUGUUAUCAAGCAUAUCUCUUCAAAGUUUUUGACCAAAAAAUAUAUGAUUUCUCAUUUUAGGUAGGAGACUUAGUACUCACUAUUCAAAAACCAAUUAUCAUUACUCAUAAAAACUAAUAGAAAGUUUGGGCCAAAGUAGGAUGGACCUUAUAUUAUGCAACAAUUAUGCCUAUAAAAUUGUUGCAAAAGAGGUUUUAGAAUCAAAUCAAUGAAUGAAAAAUUAUUAAAGCAUUACUAUGCUUGAAGGCUAGUCAUUUUCCCUUAAAGUGCAAUAUUAAGUUGCAUAGUACUAUGUGGAUCCGCAUUUUUCACAUGCGUUCCCACUCAUUGUCGAGACUCACUUUUUAGAAGUGAAAAAUUAGUUUUAUUAAAGUCGAAGUUGCCACUGGGGAUUUGAACCCUAACAAAAGGUUCAAUUUAAGGAUAAAAAUAUCGAUAAUCACAUAUAUAUAUAUUGGUACUUUGAUUUUAUGAAUAUAUUGAAGAAAUAUGGACAAAUAUUUUGACACAAAAUAUGUACAAAAUAAAAAUUAUAUAAAAAGUAAAAAUAAAUAUUUUAAAAUUAUUUUUUUAAAUAUAUAUAUAUAUAAUUUGACAUAUUUGAUAAUAAUAUAUAAGGGUCUCCAAAAAGCCCGUGGCCCGCUUUAGGCCCGGUCCGACCCGACAGGCUAAAGCCCGGCCCAAGCCCGCCGGGCCCAAGCUCGGCCCGAGCCCGUUUAUGGGUGGGCCGGGCCGCGAGCCCGUAGGCCUGCUCCUUUAAAAAAAAACUACAAAAAUAAAAAGUAUUAAAAAAAAUAUUCAUUUCAAAAUUUUAUUCAUUGAAUGUAUAAUUACAUUUGAAAAUGUGGGAAAAGUUUACAUCACUACAAAAUAAAUACAUCCCAACUAGGUUGGCACCUAUUUAUUUGUCAAUCAUCUGUAUUUUUCAACCACAAAAAAUAAAAAUAAAAAUAUAAUAUACAUUUAGUCAUUAUUUUCUGGCGGUGAUGGCGAACUAUCAUGCAUCCAUGAAGAUCUUGAUAAUUUUAAAGAUUCCAUAUCGGUAAGCAUCUUUGUUUCUCGAAUGGAAUCAUACAUCCUUUUAUCUGCUAUUUCCCAAUCUUUCACACAUAUCCCUGCUUUAAUAACAUCUGACGCUAAGUUGCAUCGUUUUUUACUAACUACUCUUCCACCUGCACUAAAAGCAGCUUCUGAUGCAACUGUACUCACAGGAACUGUUAGUACAUCACGAGCAAUUAUAGAAAGCACAGGAUAUUUGUGUUGAUGUGAUUUCCACCAUAUUAAAAUAUUAAAAUCUUCUUGAUCUUCAAAUGAAAUUAUAUCAGUAUUAAGAUAUUUAUCUAAAUCAGAUGUAUUAUUUGGAGAAUUAUUUGUUGUCUUUUUUCGACUUUUCAACAUUUCUAGAGCUCCUUUAUAAAAAGAUGAGGAGUUUGUAGAUGUAGGUGGUAAUUUAAUAGUAUUAAUAUCAUUACCAUAUUUUUCUUUAUAAUAGUUAUAUAAAUUAUAUAAUAAUGAAUUUAUUUCAUUUUUAAUUUCUUCAAUUUUUAUUUGGUCAUUAAAAUAAAUAAUUGUUAACCAUUCAUCCAAAGCUUCAAAUUUCAAUCUAGGGUCCACAAUUAAAGCAAUAUAAAAAAUUAAAGGUAUUUCUCCCCAAUAUUUUCUAAAUUUUUAUAUCAUUACAAAUAUUGUAUCAUUAAAUAUUUCAAAACUUAAAUAUUUUUGAAGUACAAUAAAAAUAUUAGUUAUUUGCGUAAUAACUCGAUUUGAAGUUGGAUAAUAUACACCACAAAAAAUGUUUGUUGAAGUAUCAAAAAUUUCAAAAAGAUCUCUUAAAACAUCCGCAAUAUGCCAAUCAUAAUCAUUUAAUGCAUAAAUAUCUGCUUCAUAAUCAUUGUUAAUUAAUUGUAUUUCAUAUAAUUCGACUACUUUUCUAUAUUUUGUAAUAUUUUCUAAAAGUUUAUAUGUGGAAUUCCAUCUAAUAGCCAUAUCCAAAUUUAUAUUUUUUCUUUUCAUAUUUAACAUUUUGCAACAAUCAAAAAAUAAUUCAUGUUUUGCUUGAAAACUAUUAAUACUAUAUGCAAUGCCUCUAAUUUUUUUCCAAUGUACUAUCAACAUUUUUUAAUCCAUCCUUUACAAUUAAAUUUAAAAUAUGUGCACAACAACGCACAUGAAAUAUUUUAGCAUGAUCUUCUUUUACUUGCCAAUAUCGUUUUAGUCUAUGUAUUGCUGCAUCAUUAUUAGCAGCAUUAUCUAAUGUUAUUGUCAAUAUUUUAUCACGAAUGCCUAAAUCUAUAAUUUCAUCAUUUAUUAAAGAUGCUAUAUUUUUACCACUAUGUGGAGUAUUUAUUAAUUUAAAUAAAAUUAUUCUUUUAUUUAAUUUCCAUUCAUUAUCAAUGUAGUGAACAAUUAUAUAUAAAAAACCAGUAUGAGUUAAAGAUGUCCAAAUGUCAGAUGUUAAACGAAUAUUUCCUUCAAAAUUUGCAAAAUUUUUUUUUAAAAUUUCUUUUUGUGUAUAAAUUUUUUUCAUAAUAUCUCUUUUAACUGUAUUUCCAGAUCAACCUUUAAAUUGAGGAUUAAUACCUCGUUGAAUUGUUCUUGCAAAAUCAUGAGUUUCCAUCAUGUUGAAAGGUUGUUCUGCUCUUAUUAUAUAAUCAAUCAUUUCUUCACAACAGUUAGAUUCAUCAUAAGAAAAUGUUUUUAAAUUUCCACUUUCAUUUUUACUUAAUUGCAUAUAAUUUCUAAUAUCUACAUUAUUUUUAGUUUUACAAUUUUCAUGAUGUCUUUUUAAAUGACUUGUAUCUGCAUUUGAGCCACCAGUAAGAAAUUUAUUACAAAUUUUACAUUUUGCUUUUAUUUUUUUUUUAUUAUUUUCUAAAAUUAUUUCUAUUCUAUCAAAAAAAUUCCAUAUAUUUAAAGUAAAUUUUUUGUUUGAUGAUAUUUCAUCACAUGGACUAGACGAAGAAGCACUUGUCAUAUUAUAAUUAUUGAUAAAAUAUUAUGCCAAAAAUAAUAAAGUAAUAAAUAUAAAAAAAAAUGUAACAAAAAAAAUAAAGUAGUAGGGGUGAAGUAUGUUACUCAAUUAGAGAACCUAUGCAGAAAUUCCUAGCAAAUUUGAACUCUUGGAGCCACCAAUGCUUGUUUUGCACCAUCAACAAUAUUGUAUAAUUUGAGGGAAAAAUAAAAGAAUUUAAAAUAUUGUAGAAUGUGAGAGAAAUAGAGAGAAUUUGAUGAAAAAAUGAAAAGGAAGAAAAUGUAUUUAUAGGAAGGUUAAAAAUAAUAAUAAUAAUAAUAAUAAUAAUAAUAAUAAUAAUAAUAAUAAUAAUAAUAAUAAUAAUUGGCCAUGUGACCGUUGGAGGCUUAGCUCCAACGGUCACAUGGGCUGGAGCUAGGCUCCAACAGUCACAUGACCGUUGGAGCCUUUAAUUUUUUUUUUUAAAAUAAUAUACUUUAUUUUUAUAUAUAUAUAACUAACUCAAUUAAUAAACAUAAAAAGAAUAUAGUUCAGUUGGUUAGAACCUUGAAGUUUAAACAUGAGGGGAGGGGUUUGAAUCCCUCCCUCUCCCUUAGGGGCUUUUUUAAAAGCCAUUUUGGCUUAUUUCAAAAAGCCUGUCGGCCCGACCCGCCCUGCAGCCCGCGGGCCUAGCAUUUUAGCAUGGCCUGGUCUGUUGACUAGUCAAAUGGCUCAUAGGCUCGGCCCGAACUGGGCCGCGGGCCUCUUAUUUACGGACCGGCCCGACCCGGCCCGCCCGUUGGAGACCCUUGAUAAUAUCUUCUAUAUUAAGUUACAUUAUAGUUUAUUUUACAAUAUUAUUAUGAUAAUAUGUCUAAUUUUAAAAUAUAUUUAAUAUUAAAAUUAUGAUCUAUUUUAAUUUAAAUGUAUUCAAUGAUAUCAAAUAAAUAAUAAUAUAUGUAUAAUUCUUUUAUUAUUUAUAUUUAUUAUUUUUAAUAAAUAUAUAGAUUAUAUAAAAAAGACCGGAUAUAUCUUUUCAAAUUUUGUAUCGCUCUCCAAGGAUAUUAGAUGUAUGGGAAUUUGUAUUGCUAUCUACGGAUACGUUGAUAUAUGGGUGAUUUAUCAGGAUAAUUAGAAAUUCUAAUUAUGUAAGCAGGUACGGAGUUCUGUGUCGGUGCGAUCUUGUCGACAACAGCUCCAAAUUGUGCAUCUUGCUCAUAGAGAGUAGCGGAAUGCACCAAUCGUAGGCUCAGAGUACCACUGAGUCGUCUGGCAGAGACCCAACUGAAGGUGCCUGUGUUGUUCCUGAUCUGAUCAGGCUUCAAACUACAAGGUGGAAUACUGGUUCCCCUAUAUCAGAAGCUGGAGAUACCCACCCCAUAUGCUCGUCUGGAUGUGCUCCUACCCUUUGAAGCCUUCUUCCGAGUCAAGUCCGAAUUGAUAAGGCUAGUGAGUUCCCAACCAACUGUACUCAGCAUGCUGCCAGGUGGAGACCCUCCAUAUUUGAUGGCUUCCUAAUAUUAAAAUGCUGACCACUGGUCUUCAUGUUCCACAGGCUUAAUUGUGUCCUUUGCUGAAAGAAUGGAUAGUGAUCCAUUUUAACACAUGAUUCACGCCGUCUUUGCCAUUCUUCAUGGUCUAGCCCUUUUAUAUAUAUGCUUCCUGAACUGUUGCUAUUAAUAAAAUGUGGUAUCUAUCCCGUACACCUUCCUGAUGGCCAGCGAAUGCAGAAGCUACAGAAACGGUUCCAUCUUUUGCUUCCGCCACUUUGGCAUCCUCCAUGAUGAGAUCGAAGGUGAAUAAUCAUAUUCUGGGGAUUUAUGUCCUGGAUAUUCUCAGUAAUGCCCAAUUUCCUGGUGCCGGCCUCAUUUCCAUGGGAACUGAUGGAUAACUUAAGGCUUCUACCAUCUGCGUGGUUCGCUUCUAACACAGGAAACUUCACGGCUAAAAGCAAGAUACCAAGAACAUCAAGGCUGUGACAAAAAUUAGUAUUUUUAACUUGUAGGAAUUUGAAAGGCAACCAACCAUCUAGCUCUGUUCUUAAAGCUCCCAUAGGAGGAUCAGAGGCUGGAUUGCUCAAGAUGAACUCAUCCAUUGUUGCACUUAAAAAGAAUUGGCAUGAAUUGUGGCCGCUCUAAUAGGUUCCCUAAACCAUCAUCCAAGUGGGCUUGCGGAAGGUAGCGAGUUUAAAACACCUAGGGCGAUGAACAGUGGACUGUGAUGCUCACAAAAGAGAAAAGGAAGAAUUCAAUAAUUCCUAAGAAUCCAUUUGCCUGUCAUCCAAAUUUUUAUAUUCUCUUCAGUCUGACGCGUUAUGCCAUAUAUUAAAAAUAGCGGCUUCUUCCAAGCCGAGACAGACUGUGCAAAGUUCGCAAGGCCAAUCAUCACCAUAAUCUGAAGUUGGCCUCCUCAAUCGCAGCUUGUAUCCGAAUGCUCACUUCACGGGAUGGAUUGUAAUGAAAACUAAUCUCAGUCCCAGCUAUGGCAGCAUCCUCACUUGACAGCAUUUUCUGCAUAUUCUAGAACAAAGCAAUAAACCCUCAAAGGCUCCUUCGGAUCAGAGUUAGAAGACUGUCCCUCAGGAACGUGAACACUAUGGUGGUUCUGAUAAGCAGUGAUAUUGCAUUAGAGCCUUUUGGAACAAGAGGAUCUUUUCAGGUGGAAACUGUAAACUGCUUCAUGUUGGGCUGCAACCUUUUCUUCAAGCAAUACUUUCUUUCUGUAUCACGACUUAUGUUGCUUCCGGAGCCAUCCCGUGUGGACUGCCCUUCAGUGAAAGAAUAUGUGUGUUGACAUGUUGGAUUGUAAUCUUUGUUCCACUCUAAUGGCUUUUGGUCCUCCUCUUUCUCUUUAUGACAGAGAACCAUUUAGUGAUCCAUCUCUAUAUUGUAGCAUUGCUGGUGCUUUGCAAUACUACACUCUCACCAAGCAUAACAUCUAUUUUUCCGUGACCAAAGUAUGUCGGUUUAUGCAUGCGCAAACUCUUAUUCAUUGGCAAGUUGUCAAGCGUAUCUCAUGAUUUCCCAAAGCCACAAGUUCUUAUGGUCUUUCUGUUCAAGCUUACAAUGAUCUAUCUUUUCUUGGUUAUACUGAUGUCGAUUGGGCUAGUUGCCCUGAUAACAAGCACAAUACUAGUGGGUACAACACUUUUCCUGGUCCUAAUCUCAUUUCAUGGGCAUUUUCAAAGCAGAAGGUUGUGUCUCACUCCAAUAACGAAUCUGAAUAUAGGGGACUCACUAAUUAAUGUUGUUGCCAAGGUCACUUGGAUUGAAUCUGUCUUACGUGAGUUGCGUGUUUCUCUACCCCAACCACCAAUUUUGUUGUGUGACAACAUUAGUGCUACACACUUGGACAAACCAUGUUGAAAUACACUAUCAUUUUAUCCAUGAAAGGCUUAUGCAUCACACACUCAAAAUUCAAUACACCUCUUCUAUAGACCAACUAGUCAAUGCUAUGACCAAAGCUCUUCCUUCAUCUCACUUGUACAAUCUUCAGUGCAAGCUGAUUGUUCUUCCCAAACCACUCAACUUGAGGGGAGAUGUUAAGCCAAUUUAAUAAAUUGAUUUCUUUUGGUUAAUUUGUUAGAAUCAUUUUUAUUAGAGGUUUGUUUGUACAAUUACAUCCAUUUAUCAGGAGAGUACACGUGUACAACUCCUCUUUUAAUCUCACCAUUGUAUAUAUAUGAUACACGACCUUACUCAGAAUUGCAUAACAUUUCCUCUGCUCAUUCCUUUUCUUCUUUGAAUUUUCCCUUACCUCACUGAUUUUGAUUUAUACCUGGUGUUUUCACCUUUGGUCUCUACCUUUCUAGCCAGUUUUCUAAUUAAUCCGUAUAUGGUAUACCUGUCAACUAAUGAGGAGAAAGAGAAAAGGGGAUUGCUGUUCCACCAGCUACAUAUAAUAAUUAAUUACAAUCAUGGUAAUGGAUCCUGAAAUCCAUCCUUUGUGGAUUUUGUACGGAAUAUUGUUGUUAUGUAUGUGGGCUCACUUAGAUGUAUAUUGCUAGCCUGUCUGGGAAAUGUGAUUGCAGGUCCAGAUUAUGAUGUUGAUAUUAGUGGGAUAAGCAAGAGAUGCAGUUAACACGUAUGUGAUGGACUUGAGUAACUUUUCCAUUUCAGUCCAUUUUUUAAGAUUAUGCUUAGUCUUAUUACAAGGAAAGACCAUAAGAAUCAUGAGUCAUUGGCAAGGUAAUAUCAUUCCCUCUUUACAGGCUUCUUCACCUUUUGGUUUUUUUAAUAUCCAUCAAGAUCUUUUAAUUGGAGGACAAUUACAAGUAUAUAUAUAUGUAUUAAAAGGGGAAAAUAUUAAAACAGGAAAUUUUAGGGAAAAUAUAAUAAUUAUUUCUUCCUUCUUUCCCAUAUAGAACUACACAAAAUAAAACUUUAAUAAUUUUUUCUUAUCUUUUUUAUUAUUAUUUUUUCUUAGAAACAUCCGUGGUCUCACAAGCUUGUAAUCCUAGAUUGUUAGGCUCCUUUAACAGUGCCCCAACAUCGUGGUCCAAUGACAAGCUUCCACGCCUUAAAAUCAGAAAAUGCCAUUAAACUUUAUCAGACAUUACAGUUCAAGACAAAGCUUUCAUUUGCUUAAUGUGAUAAUGAAAUUGUUAAUUUCAUUUCGUGGGCAUCUAAAUUUGGACGAGCAAGACCUCUGAAUUCCCUGUUUUUAUCACCAGCAGAGGAGAUAAAAUCUUAAUGGUGAGAAUCUCCACGUGAAAUUUAUGUGUACUGUCAACAUAUUUUUGUUUAUAUAGUCCAGUAGCUGCAGGAAGUCUAGAUUAUAUAGGUAGCAGUAGCACUAUUUAUAGCACUCGAUAUUCGCUGUAUGAAUACAUUAAACCUUGUUUUCAAUACGCAUCACAAGCAAGUACUAGAUACUACAAGGAGUGACAGUCGCAUCAACAUUUCUUGAUAAUAGCAGUGACUGAUUUAUACACAGAACAGUACUGUACACGUACCAGUCACCAGAGAUAGGAUCUUAUUCCUACAUACGACUCUUAUUGAUCGAAGUCACUCAGUUGGGGUAGCCUGGAGUUGGAGGUUUGUGUGGUGGCUUCUUCUUUGGAGGAGGCUUUAUCUUUGGAGGCAUCAUCUUUGGAGGCAUCUUGUGUGAGUCUUCUUCAGCAUUCUCUACAGGAGGAUGGCCAGGCUUAUGACCCUUAGGUGGUUUGCCAACUGGGAUUGGUGGCUUGUGUCCUGAGAGUGGCUCCUCUUCUUCGGGAGGUUUGCCAACUGACGUUGGUGGCCCGUGUCCUGGGGGUGGCUUGUGUUUUGGGGGUGGUUUCACUCCACCGGGAGGUUUACCAAUUGGUGUUGGUGGUUUGUGCUCAAUCGGUGGCCUCUCAACUGGGGGGCGCUUGGGGUAAUCAGCGAGUGAAGAAGUGGUGAGAACCACCACUCCAAGCAACAACACUAGCAAGUAUGUGGAAGACAUCUUUGAGUUUGGCUCAGAUGGUGUAGAACUAGAAUCCUGGGUGGCCUUUUAUAUUAGUUGGGCCCUAUGCCCGAACGACAAGUGUCAUGGUGACACAUAAAGUGAUGGGGUCGAUUUGGGCCUACCGGAUUUGAAAACUUGGACAAUUCGAGAAGCGUCUCCUGACUCCGGGUUGUAAAGUGAAAGAUUAGGUAUCGACCAUUGAAGUAUGAUCACAACUUUUGGCCUUUGGCUCUCUCUACUGCCGUAUAGCUUUUUUCCUUUGGAUAUUUUUCUUAGCUAGACACAAUUAUUGAGCAGUCUAAUCUCGAAAUGGGAUUAGUAUAGCUUUAAGCAAAUUUAUUAUAGUUAGUGGAGGACUUUUAAGAGUGCAGACGACAUUUAACACAUGCAUGCAGUAGUAUAGGGGACAUAACACUAUUCUUUUUCCAAAGAUUCACAUGAUUUUUAUAUUAUAGUAUUGGCACAUUGUAUGUAGCUGGUUUUGUGGUUAAAAUUCCAUAUGUAGACACUGGCGUUUCUCCAUUUCUCACAAUUGAUGUUUACCUCCACGAUUACUAGAUUAGAUAUACCAAACAAUAACACAUUGUAUAAUCUAUCCGCCCUUCAAAAUCUACUGUAUGAUGAAAUGUUUCAUGUGUGUGUGAAGUGUUAGAAAUGCACUAUAGGCAACAUCAUCUUCUUUUGUCUAGGCUUGGGCCUCAAAUUAUACUCCCAUGCCAUGAUAAAUUUUCAUGUGCAUUCUCUAAAGAAGAGUGUCUUGAAUGUGCCAAAUCAUUUUGAUUGAUUUUAUGAUGUUAAUUGCUCCGCAUAUGGAUGGGUAUGUGCUUUAUUUGCUUAUUCAAUCCACAAUUACCUUGAACUGAAGUCCUAUUGGAGCUCUAUUAUUUUAGCAACGUCCUGUCAAAUAGGCUGCUAACUUGGGGUGGUAUGGACCCAAUGAUCCAUCUUAAUCUUGGGUUGAUUUUGUCUGACUCUAUCUAUCUCAGAGAGAACCAGGAUCACCAGUGCUGGUCUGCUUAAAGAAGACUCAGUACUGGAUUAAUAUUGGUUUGGGUCAAUAGCUUAUAAUGCAUUGAAUGCAGAAUAAACAAGAUCAAUGAAACCCAAAACACACUGCCCACACAACUUCACUCUGGUGUCUGUUAUUCAUCAAUUCUAUUCCCACAUGAACUGGUUCAAGUUUAAGAAAAUGACAACGGAUCCACUGUAUUAACUUGGUUUUGCUUGGUUUUGAGCUAGUUGCCAAACCAGCCAUGAGUUUUACCUCUAAUGUCAAUGAACAAACCCCAAAUGAACAACUGCAACAGCUUAAAGAGAAGGAAUGGAGAUGAAAAUCCCUGUUUCUUCUCAUUCUGGGGACAAAUUAGAACAUAACUACAAAGGUUCUAUUAAUUGACUUACUCUACCAUGAAUUAUGGUUCUUUGGUUUUCCAAAUUUAAAUUGUACAUGAGAUUAUUUUUUUCCUUUAUAUAUAAACAUAUUAAGGUUUUCUUAUUUCGUGGGCAAAUGCGCUAAGGAUGAAAGUCAUUUCAUUUGGCUGCAACAGCAUCUUAUAAUCAACAUGCAUAAGCAGCAGUUUUAAUUGAUCGAUUGAACACCGACUCACAAGAAUAGAUAGAAUGGUACAAGACAGCUCUUAUUAAUUUAUACUCGUUACUCAUUUUAUGUAGCCCCAUUAAGAUGGCUGGCUGGACCACCGAGGUCUGGGGGUGGUGUUGCUUGUGUGAUGCAGCGGGCCGGGCAGACACUUCUCUAGUUGCUUCUAUUUGGAGUUAGAGGAUCAGUCUCUGCCAACCUUGAGGACUCUCUACCUCAGAGGGUCCAGGUGGUGGACUCUGGUGUCGGUAGCUUUGAACUCUCAGUAGACUAGUGUGUCUUAAUCAGUCACUGCCAGAGGCUGGCGUAGGCAGUGACGAUAAGGUGAGACAAAUUACCGAAUAGUCAAUAUCGACUGCACUUGACCAUUAUAGAUUUGUUCUGACAAAAGUGAGAAAAGGGAGAAAAUCGGAUGUUGACCUUUAUAGAAAAAGAUAAGAUUUACUGCAACACAGAGCACUGAUUUGUUACUUGGAAACCAAGUUAUGCUAUUAGCUAGCCUCCAUUAGCAGCAGGGUACCUUGCUGCCUGAUCCUAAUCUGAGUUCCCAAGGUUUCAAUCUUCGUUUGUUAACGCUUCAGGAUUUGGAUAUUUCAGCUUCGUUUCUCCAUUUAGCCAACGCUGCCUGGUUUGGAUUUCAAUCCUCAUCUGGAACAUUCUUUUUUCGGUCUGAUUCAGGAAGUGUUUGGUGAUAGUUGAUUAAAAUUAAACAGUACUAUCAUACAAAUAAAGCUGAUCUAAUUUUGGUGGGCAAUAUACCAACUCAUUUAUUCUUGAAAACACCAUGGGGAAUUGGAGGUCCAUCCGAAGUACUAUUUGAUGGGACUCACAAAAAGAACAGGUGCACAUUUAUGAGAUCCGUGGAAGAGAUAACUAUGACAGCUAUGCAUGUACAACAGAUUUAUGUCGAGUUCACCUCGUAGAUAUUUUGUUUUCAGUGUCGGUGGACCCCAAAAUGGAAAUCGGAAAUUAAGGUUAUAUUUAUUUUUUUAUUUAAUUUUAAAUAGAAUUUUAAUUUUUAAUAAUAUUAAGUAUUAAAUUAUUUUUUUAAGGGUAUUUUAUUUUUAUUAAGUAUUAAAAAGUAAAAAAAAUUAAUAUGUUGCUUUUUUAUUUUAAAAAAAUUAUAUAUUUUAAUUUUUUCUAUUUACUAAAAAGUUUAUAAUAAAUUAUAAAAAAAUAAAAAAAUAAAAAACUUAAAUUCUGAAAAUAAAUUAUUUUUAAUAAAAAAAUCCAAAAAAGCAAACACCACCUAAAUUUGAGAUGACUCAAAAUUUUAUAUUUUUUUUCACCUAAAUUAUAUUCAUAAAUUUAAAAUUAAAAAAUUAGGAAGUUGAAUUUUAUUUUGGAUAAUUGGAAACUACAAGAAAUCAAUAAAAAUAUUUGGAAAAAAAAGAAAAAGAAAAACUAUCUAUAUAUUCACCCCCUUCUAAGAAACAUAACUUUAGUUUUUAACUAUUUUUUAAAAUAAUUUUUGAAAAAUGUUAUAUAAUAUUUUAUAAAACAAAAAAUCUGUUUGACAAUUUGAUAUGUCUUUAACUUAUUUUUAAUAUUUAUAUAUAUAUAUUUUAAAAAUAAUUUUAUAUUUAGAACUUUAUCUUUAAUUAUUAUAUAUAUUUAUAUAAUUAUUUUUUUUAAAACAACUCUUAAAAAAUAAGUGAAAGUAAUUGAAAACAACUCAAAGAUAUUUGAUGAAAACACUCUAAUUUGUAUUUUUGAGAAUAAAAAAAUAAAUAAAUAAAUUUCUAGUUAUCAAAUGUAUUUUUUAAUUCUUUUAUUCUAAAAAAUAGAAAAUCGUUUUUGAAAAUAAUUAUUAAACAACAUUCUUAAAAAUUCACUCGUUACAAUCUAGAUUUAAUGCAAGAAUGAUUGAAGGAGUCCUCCAAUAGAACCCAAAGUUAUAAACAUGAACAAGAAGCCCUAGAAACACCAAAGAUCUCAUAUGGUAUAUAUAUGAGCUUGAUUGAGAACUGUUUUAAAUUCAGUUUUUUUUUUUUUUUUUUUUUUUUGUUUUCAAAGUCAAAACAAGUUUACUUUUAAUUUUUACUUCUUUUUUUUAAUUUUAUAAAUAACAGUUUUUUAAUAAUUUAUUUUGAAAACAUGAUUAUUUUUAAAACUUAUAAUGAAAAUAGGAAUUUUUUUUUUAAUAUCAUGGUUAUUUUCCCUUCUUUUAAGGAGGGCUAUUUUAAAAAUAAAUUUACAAAUAUGAAAAAUGAUUCAAACUAAAGCAGUACAAAUAAAAAACAUUUUUAAGAAAUAUUUAAAAAUAGAGAAAAUUAUUUGAGAACAUUUGAAGUCCUUAAAUAGACUUUUGUUUUAGAAAAGGCAAGAUAAUUAUUUUUGAAAAUUGUUUUCAUAAUGAUAUGCAAAAACCUACGUAAAAACCAUAAUUAUAAUCGGCCACAUAUCAAAUCUACUAAAUAUGAAAAGUAAGUACAUAAUUAUAUUUGACUUAGAUGCAAGGAGGAAAAUGUCGCGAUAUUAUCGCCGAAAUAUCGUGUGUCGAAGGGUAUCGACACGAUUUUUCUUGCAGAAAUAUCGGCCAGUCGAUUUUUCGGGAUAAAUCUCGAGAAAUCGGCAAUUUAUCGCGAUAUAUCGGCGAUUUUUCCUCGAUAUAUCUUCUGGUCAACGCGGGUCAACGGAGUCAACACGCUACAGUGAAAGUCAAAUGUGCUACAAUGUCCCCGCUACAAUCACCUCCCCAAACAAAUUGCCAAAUUGCUUCCGAGGGGAUUUGAACCAGCCUUCUUGCCAUUUGGGCUAACUCGCCCUUAUGAUAUAUAUUGCAUUAAACAUAUAUAUACUUAAAGUCCUUAUAUAAAGAAAAUGUUAAAAAAAUAUUUUAAAGAGCAAAUUAAUUAUAAUUAUUUUAUAAUUAAAAGCAAAAUUUUCUUUUAAUUAAUUACCAAAAAUAUAAAAAUUAUAUAAUUUUCUUCAUAAUGUUUUUAAUAUCAUUAAUAAUUAAUUAAAUAUUAAAAAAUUAUAUAUAUAUAUAUAUAUAUAUAUAUAUAUAUUAUAAUUUAUUUUAUAUUGUUUAAUACAAUUGAAUUAAAUGGAUCAUAUUUUAAUAUUAAUAUAUAUUUUAAAAUUAGACAUAUUGUAAUCAAAUAUCAUAAUAUUAUAUGUAAUUUAAUAAUAAAUGUACACUUAUAAAAUUCAUAUUUUUAUCGAUGCAUACAAUAUUAUUAUCAAAUAUGAUAAAUCAUGUUAUACAUAUAUCAAAAUUUUCAAUAAAAUAACUUUAAAAUGUCUAUUAUACUUCUAAUUAUAUUAUUAUGAGGUUUUCUUUACAUUUUCAUGAGUUUUAAACAAUUUUAAGCACCAAUAUUUUUUUCCAAAAUAUCCACCGAUAUAUCUCCGAUAUAUCCAAUAUAUCUCCGAUAUCUCCGAUAUAUCCGUAAAAUCGAAGUACCGAUAUAUCCGUGAUUACCGAUAUUUUCAUCAUUGCUUAGAUGCAACCUUCUUCCAAAUGACAUACUUUAGUCAAUACUUAUAUUUUUUCGUUUCACUUCUUUGAUACAACACCUCAUGGAUUUAUUGUUUAAUUUAUUUGUAAUUAUAAAACUAUUUUUCAUUUUUAAUAAGACUUGAAUUAAUUUAAUAAAUAUUAUAUAAUUUGAAUUUAUAAUUCUUUUUAUAAAAUCAAAGUAUAUUAAAAAAAAAACAAUUUAUCCGAAGAAAGUUUUUUAUUUUUUAUUUUUUAAAACCGAUUUUAAAAAUAACUAGCUAGACACCCUUAUUUUGAUAAAAUACGAAAUAAAAGUGUAAAAACAACAUGGCCAAAUAGGGGCUUAAAUUUUAUUUUUAAAACAUUUUUUUACACUAAAGUGCAUUUUAAAAACACCAUCAAAACCAACUACAAGUUAUGCUUCUUCCCGUAAUAGAAAUAUUUUAGGCCAAAAUAGAACCUCCCCAAAUAAAGACCCUAUACUAAACUCCUUUUCAUUUUAUUAAUACAAAAGUGGGGAAAAAAGGUCUAUGCUCACCUAAAAAACAUGAAUAUUGUGAAUUCACCAUUUCUAUAAGGAAGUUGAAAACUUCAAAAUUUUAUCAACAAAUUCUCUAAAAUCCUCAAAAUAUAUAGGGCCUGUUUCACAAAGUUUUUUAAAAUUUGUUUUUAUAAAUUGCUUUUAAAAUAUAGAAUAAAUAACAGUUUUUUAGAUUUUUUGAAAAAUAAGAGUGUUUGGUAAGAUGUUUUUUUUUUUUUUUUUUUUUUUAAGAAUUAAAUAAAAAAUAAAAAAAUUGUUUAGAUAAAAGAAUUUGUAUUGUUUUUAAAAACAAUGUCUUACUUUUAUGUUAUAAAAAUUUUAUUAAUUUAAUUUAUAAUAAUAUGAAAUGAAAUUCAAGUUAAGUCUUAUUAAAAAAUACAAAUUAAAUCUAUAAUUAUGCAUGAGUUAAAGAUAAAUAUAUAUUUUUUAAAACUAUAAAAUAAAUUUUCUAUUAUAGUGAAACAAAAAUUACUAUAAAAUAAAAAUAAUUUUAAUAUUCAUUUUUAAUACAAGUCAAAUAAGUACUUUAAUUAAUUUUUUUUAUCAUGAUUUCUUAUGUUUUUUUUUUUUUCUAGAAAUUAUUUUAAGUAAUAUAACUAAUUUUUUUUUUAAUGUUUUAUAAAAAUAAGGAUAUUUGGCAAGUUGUUUUUAUAAAAGGAUUUUAAAAAUAAAUGGAUUUUUUUUUUUUUUAAAAAAAGAACAAAAUGAUUUGUUUGAAUAAAUUGUUUUGAUUUUGUAAAAACAUUUUAAAUUCAAUUUAUAUAAUAUUAAUUAAUUAAAUUAAAUUGAAGUUUUAUUGAAAAUAAAAAUAAUUUUGUAAUUAAAAUUAGAUUAAAAAAUAUAUAGGUUUUAAUAAAUCGUAAAUAGUAAUAUUAUAAUAAAAUUAUAAAUUAUAUUUUUAACAUAAAAUAUACUAUUUAUUACAUAUUAAAAAAAAUAUUUUAUUAUAUUAAUAAUUUUAUGGUAUUAAUGAGUUUAUUAUUUAAGUUUUAAAUUAUUUUUAAAAAUUAAUAAAUUUGUUAACAAAUGCAAUGUACUAAAUGUGGUUUAAUUUGGAGUUAAUUUGUUUAGGGAAAAAAAUAAAAAAUAAAAAUCUUAUGUAAAAGAGAAAUAAUAGAGUGUGUGUGUUUUUUUUUAUUAUUUUUAAAAAUCAGUAAAAAGAACUUUUACUUAUUGCCUAAAAAUUAUUCUCUAUUUUAUUUUAUUUUUUAAAUCUAGAAAUAGAUAACAAUAAUAAAAAAAAUUAAAAAAGAAAAAUGUUUUUUAAAACUCAGACUUAUAAUUGCUUUUGUUUCUCAUUCGCACCCCUGGAUUCCUGGAUUCUAAACACAAAAUUAAGUUGAAUCGUCCAUCUAUCUUGUAAGCCAAGAAUUCACAUAGAAGAAAUAAUCGGAAUUUGAUUUGAUAUCAGAUUUAGAGUGGCUCACUACUCAUGCAUUGUCCCACAAUAGUAAUGCUUUGGGCCGAGAUAAACCCAUUUGUGGGCCCAAAUAAAACCCCUGGUUUGAAAACAUCGAUUUUACAGUGGCCCAAAAGAUUAUCUAUGAGGGGAAGAUAACUUGGAAGUCAAGCAAACACAUUUAUCGCUAACUUUUCUCUAAUUAUAAAAUUAUAACUUGGUCUUCUACACGUCUCACUUAAGAGGCGGAGCCACUUGGCACUACCUUUCCAUAUUGUAAAAGGAGAAGAAGCAGAAGGAGAAGAUUCUUAUGCCAUUCCACACACCAUGGCUAGUACUGCUAUGCUGCUUGGCCCGCCGGCUCUCCGCCAUCCUAAUUCUCCCGCCGGCACUGUCUUUGAAGAUGGGGUCAUUCUAACGGAUUCCCUGAUCGUCCGCACCAGUAAUCUGGAGCUUUCUGAAAAACCGCCACUGGAAUCCCUGGCGUAGUGCUCUGUCAGUGGGGAUAUUGCUAUGGAUUGUUUGGAUUCCCAAGCCCACAAUCUUCAUCUUCCCGGGAAACCGCCGAUGGGCUUAACGGAAAACAAGUCUCCGACCUUUUUGUCUUCCGGGAACCCGUGCUUGGACUUCUUCUUCCAUGUGGUUCCCGAUACGUCGUCUGAUGAUCUGAUCCGACGGUUUGAGUUGGCUUGGGAAUUCAAUCCGCUGACGACGUUAAAACUGAUAUGCAACUUGAGAGAGGUGAGAGGCACCGGAAAAUCUGACAAAGAGGGUUUCUACACGGCGGUUCUCUGGCUCCACGACCACCAUCCCAAAACCCUAGCCUGCAAUGCUAGGGUGUUGGCCAGCUUCGGUUAUUUCAAGGAUUUUCUCGAGAUUCUCUACCGGCUUCUGGAGGGCCCUAAAAUUCGAAGAAUCGAAAAGAAAGACUGGCUGGAUCGAAAAGGAAGGAAGAAAAAUUCCCGGAAAAGGAACUCAAUAUUCAAGCGAGAAAAUAGGCCUGGAGUUGAAUUUCCUGUAGAAGAGAAGGAUGUGGAGUAUAUGGUGGAAGAAUUUGUGGAUAAAGAAAAGGCUAGGGUACUGAGAAAGGAGAGAGAACUUGCUCUUGCCAAAAGAGCCCUGCACAAGUAUUCUACUGAUUCUAAUUAUCAGUUCUUACAUGAUCAGAUUUCAGAUUUAUUUGCUGAACUUCUGAAAUCUGAUAUUCAGUAUUUAAACUCCGGUGAGCUUUACAAGAUUAGUCUCGCAUCCAAAUGGUGUCCCACAAUUGAUUCUUCUUAUGAUAAAUCCACCUUGAUAUGUGAAAAUAUUGCUCGAAAGGUUUAUUCUCGCGAGGAAUAUAUAUCCAGAAUACCAAGGAAUUGAGGAGGCUCACUAUGUUAAUAGAGUCAGGGAUAGGUUGAGAAAACAAGUACUUGUUCCAUUACGUAAGGCCCUGGAGUUGCCAGAGGUUUUCAUGUGUUCGAACCAGUGGGGAUCACUUCCCUACAACCGUGUGGCUUCAGUGGCCAUGAAAUCAUACAAGAGCCUCUUCUCAAAACAUGAUACAGAGCGGUUUGGUGUGUAUCUUGAGAAAGUGCAAACUGGGAAGGCUAAGAUUGCAGCUGGUGCAUUACUUCCCCAUGAGAUUAUAGCUUCAUUGAAUGAGGAGGAUGGCGAGAAAGUUGCAGAGCUUCAGUGGGCGAGAAUGGUGGAAGAUUUAUCAAAGAAUGGGAGGCUCACAAAUUGCAGUGCGGUAUGUGACGUAUCAGGAAGUAUGAGUGGAACUCCAAUGAAGGUGUGUGUGGCUCUGGGGCUGUUAGUUUCAGAGCUCAGUGAAGAUCCAUGGAAAGGUAAUGUAAUUACUUUCAGUGCAAGUCCUGAGCUUCACAAGAUCCAAGGAGACAGCCUUGUAUCCAAGACUGAAUUUGUGAGGAUGAUGGAAUGGGGUGCGAACACUGAUUUUCAGAAAGUUUUUGACAGAAUCUUACAAGUAGCAGUGGAGGGAAAUCUGAGUGAAGAUCAAAUGAUAAAGAGGGUUUUCGUUUUCACUGAUAUGGAGUUUGAUGAAGCUUGUGGGAGGUAUAACUAUUGUGAAUAUGACUAUGAUAUGGAGGAAAUUGAUGAGAGUCAGAAGGCAUCUCAGAAGUGGGAGACAGAUUAUGAAGUGAUACAGCGGAAAUUCCAGGACAAAGGAUAUGGAAAAGUUCCGGAGAUAGUGUUUUGGAACCUUAGAAACUCAUCAGAGACUCCAGUGAUGGCCACAGAGAACGGGGUGGCCUUAGUAAGCGGGUUUUCGAAGAAUCUGUUAGACCUUGUUUUUGGAAGGAGGUGGAAUUCUGACCCCUCAGGAUGUGAUGGAAUUAGCCAUCUCUGGUGAAGAUUACAAGAAACUUGUUCUAUUUGAUUAAGAUAUCAAGAGAUUUAUCAAUAAUAAUAUGUUUUUUUUUUUCUAUGUGAAAUACAUGUAAUAUUAACUAUGGAGUUAUCAAAGUUCUGGAAAUUUAAUUAUUUCUUCUUUUCAAGUUUUGUUUGUCUUUGUUAGGAAUUCCCCUUGGGCGGACCCAGCUGGGGACUUGGAUUGAGGAAGUAAGGAGGCGAAAUUGUGUUCUUCUAUGGACAGAGAAAAAAGAUAAAAAUAAAAAAUAAAAAAGGAGGUUAUUUGCAUUUGGAUGUCAUGUGGUUUCAGGGUACAACUACAAGUUCGAAAUUGUACAUAAUGUGAAAAUUCCUGUGUGGAGAACAGCAUAAAUAUGUAUCUCAGUGUGUUUUGUUUGAGCUAAUUGGCAAAUUCGCUUUAAACAUGGUCACAUGGAUGCAUAUUUAUUUGUGAAAUGAUAGUAGUCGAUUACUUGGUCAGUAAGGUUUGUAUCUCUAACUCCAACAUCUUAUUGUAGUCUUUUAAAAUGUCAAAAGUUUAAUGCUAGCUUGAGAAAUUUUGGAAUGGAGACAUUCUAAACAAAGUUAAUAAUCCAUGAGACUUGGUAAAACCGAUCAGAUGAUGCUUACGUACAUGAAUGCCUUCUUUAAGCCGUAUCCUAUUUUCAUUGAAUGAGACGUGCCAUCUAGUUUUGUUCUUGUCUUGAUUGGAUCAUGAUCCCGGGAAUUGAUUACUGUUCUGAAUUUGCGAAUGUUCAAGGUAUUAGAGAAAGUUAAUAUUAUCGUUAAUUUACAUAUUAGUAUUUAUCUAGUUAUUAUAUAUUAGUUUGAAUUAUAAUAUAAUAUAGAAUUUGAAUCAAGUUUACUAUUAGUUUGAAUUACAAUAGGAAAUAAAGUUUGAAUUAUAGUAUAACUCAAAUAUAUUUGUAUAUAAAUAUCCAUCUUUAUCAAUGAGAAUAGUAAACCAUAUUUUUCUCUAUCUUCUUCUUUCUCUAUAUAUAUGGUAUCAAAGCCUCCAAAUCCUAAACCUAGUCUCAACUUAGAGCAAAUUUAGGGUGCAGGGUUUAGGCCCCGCCUCCCCCAACCCUUACCACAAAUGGUAGUGACCUUGUUAUGCCUAUGUAUUGUCAAUGCCUCAUUUUCUAUGGUCUUCAAUACAAUAUCUAGUUUCAAUGUCUCUUUCCUUACUAUCUCCAAUGCAAUAUAUUGAUUUCAAUAUCUCUUUACAACCAAGAGCUCCAAAUUUUCCUGGUUCAAAUCUACCAUAAUUUUUAUUCUCCUUUGCUUUUUACCAAUAUUAGUUCCCCUAAUUUAAUAUAUAUCUCUUUAUUACCUUCAACUCUACCUCUCUCUUUCUUUAAAAGCUUCCUCAAAGAUUUGAUUGCUUUCUUGCAUGUUUUGGGAAAACAAACAUGCUCAUAUUCUAUUACCUCUACUUGAGAUCUGCCUUAUACUCUACCUUCUUCUUUACCUCCUAUAUCAUCUACUACAUUAGCUUCAAAAACAUUAUUUAGUUUGAUGCUAAAUAAGGCUCCUAAUCCUACCCUUCCUUCAACUAACUUUCUUUUACAAGUCCCUCAAAGUUUUUUUUUUUUUUUUUUUGGAAAUUUGGCUUAGAAAGAUUUCAUUACUCUUACCUAAUCUUUCAACCAUCAAGUCGAAUCCACUUAUCUCUUGAAUCCAAGGAGACUACCCUCCACAAAAACAAGGAGAUUGACCCCCACAAUAACAAAGAGAUUGUCCUCCAUAGAAACAAAGAGAGCUUCCUUCAUGGAAGCCGAAUACAUCGCAAUCUAUUUUCUUUCUCUCAAGAUCAAAUCUCCAAUCGGAGCUCCAUCUUGUGGGGAUAUAUUAGAAAAAGUUAAUAUUAUCCUUAAUUUACAUAUUAGUAUUUAUCUAUAUUAUAUAUUGAAUUAGAAUAGAAUAUAGAAUUUGAAUUAAGUUUACUAUUAGUUUAAAUUACAAUAGGAAAUAGAGUUUGAAUUAUAGUAGAACUCAAAUAUAUUUAUAUAUAAAUAUCCAUCAUUAUCAAUGAGAAUAGUAUUCCAUAUUUUUCUCUUUCCCUGAGGCUUCAGAAUGUGAUCUUGAACAUUUGAUCUUUUGGAUUCUUCUUGUUUCGGUGGUUUAAUAUAAUGGAAUGUUUAAUUAUAGCCUACUUUAUCACCAUGGAUGUGCUCCUGCAGAUUUCUUGAGGGUGAUGGUUAUUUUGUCAUGUUUCUUGAAUGGUUUGCAUCAGCUGCCUGAGCUGUUGUUGCUGGUCACUUUUGCAACCAGGGAAAGAAUCAUGGCUUUGGAGAAGCCAGCUUCUGUUUUUGUUGCCCAGCUGUUAGUUCACUAAGAUUGGGGGUCCUAACAUGUAUGUAUAAUCAUAAGCAAGGAAAUUUUAUGUCUUACGCUAGAUAGGUACCAUGAUAUGAUGUUUGAUUGAUUUAUUAACUCUACCUGUUUCAAAAGGCAUCAACAUUAAUUUUACCCUUUUAACACAUUGGAUUGUUUGACCUUACGAGAUUUUCUAUUUCUGUACUAUUUGAACUGCAAUCGUUAUGGUCCUUAGGUCUCUAAACCUUCGUUUAAAAUAAAAGUAAGGAGCACACAUAGUAAAAGUUAAUUUUGGGUAACUUUUAAAACAAAGAGAAAAGUAAAAGUUGUUUUUGAGAAAAACAUAUAGAAAUUGAAAGAUUUUUUAUUUUGAGAAAAAAAAGUCAUAGAAAAGAAAUAAUAUCCCCAUAUAAGUAGAUAUGAUCUAUCCGAAGUGUAGCUACUCUCCUGGAUUUAUUCUAACAUUUUAAAAUUUUUCUCAAUGGGCAAAGGAAUAUCAAAUCAAGCUUGAGUAGGAUUAAUUUCUUAAUUUUUAAAAUAACUUAUAAUUAAAAUUUUUUGGUGUUUUCUUUUUUGGACAAUUUUUUAUGAAGACUCUGAAUCAUGCAAGAGAUAUGGUUAUUUUAAAAAAAAAAAUAAUUUAAAACUCAAAUACAUAAUCAAUGUCACAAAUUUAUAAACAAAAGGUUUUUAAAAAAUACUAUUAUUUCCCCUCUACACAUAAUUUUACUUUUCCGAUUUAUUUAUUUUUGUUGGAAAACAGUCUUCAAAUCAAGUAAAAUUAAUAUGUUAAAUUUGUUAAACAAAUAAAUUUUAAAAUACAAUUUGGAACUCAAAAAUCAAUUCAAGUAAUGCUAAAAUUCAAAAAAUCAAAUUUGGAAUAAAAUGACUUUGUAAAUUUUUUUACUAAACAAAUGAAUUUUAAAUCAAGUGAGAUUUAAUACAUUGGAUUUUUAUGAGAAUAGUAAUUUUAAAAAUUAAUUUGGAACUCAAAAAUAGACACAAUAAAUACCAAAAAUCAAUGAACCAAAAUUGGUUUGGAAUAACUCCAUAAUUUUUUAUUUAUUUAUAUAUUUAUUUUUUUGUGCACACGAAUUUCUUACUAAGCAUAUUGCUUCCAAAUUGAGAAAAAUUUACUAUUUAGAUUUUUUUAAUGAGUUUAAUGGUAUUUAAAAAUAAUUCAAAAAUUCGAAAAUUGACUAAUUUAAUAUUAUAAAUUCAUAAACCAAGACUAAUUCAAAAUGCAUUGGGGGCUAAGGGGGUUGAAAUUAAUGCUCCAUUUGGUUGUGGCCACCAAUUGGCAAUGGCCACCAAUCAACCAAUCAAGGUGGCUAAGGGGGUUGAAAAUAGGGACAAUGGGGUGGGUUUGGGACAGGACACUCAUAUCCCAUUCCCAUCCCAAUUACACAGUUAUUUCCCAUCCUUAUUCCAAACUUGUGUUGGGGCAAGUUGAUUUGUUCCCAUCUUUGUUAACGAAAUGACUAAUAACCUCAUCCUCUCCUUGUCUUAGAUGUACAUUUUCUCAAAUUUGGUCAGGUAUGAUUGAUUCAAGCCCUAACCUUAAUUGGUAAUGAGUGGAUACCACACCUAAUUGCAUUCUUCUUUCGUUGCAAAAUAAUGAGAUUAUAAUAAUCUAGCAAAUAAGAAAAAAUAGUAUGGAAGUUCAAAUUAACACCAUAACUAUCAAUAAUUUUAAGCUUAUAGAUGACUUAAAUGAUUGAAAACUAAUGCAAAAUACUAAAAAAAAAAAAAAUCAUCUAAAGAAUUCACAAGAGAAUAGAACGAACAAAACCAAAUAGGAACAUGGGUCAACAUUAGUUACAGAUUUUGAUCCCUUUCAAGGCCAAUCUUUGAACCAAGACUUCAUCAAAUCUACUACUUCAAAGGCUUUUGUGUUCUUCUUGAGUUGUACUCUGGAACAAAGACUUCGAGGUGAUGCUUUAGAUGAUUGCAUUACACAUAUUUAGGGUAGGGAGAUUGGAGAAGCUUGAAGAUGCCAACGAUGGGUACAAUUGAGUGGUCAAUAAGAACAAUGUGGCCUAUGACUAGUUUGAUGUCAUGGUAUAGGAGUUUUGGGCAUUGAGGUGAAAGCAAGAGCAACAUGGAAUUGAUUUCAAAGUCUUUCAAUUAGUGUAAAGGAGGAAGAAGAAGUGGUAUUGAUCCUAGAAAUAGUGUUUUAGGUGUUGCAUUAGAGGAAAAGAAAAAGAAAAAGAAGGAACCAUUGGAAUUAGUACGAGUGUGAAGAGAGAAGUGUAUACAUAAGGGGAAGUAAAAGCAAAGUUCUAAAAAUUUAUUUUUUUAUUGGUGGUGUAUGGUUGCAUGAUUAUCCCUAUAAAUAAUAGGAGUUUUUUGGUGUUCUACUAGUAGUUGAAGGAUAAUUUCAUAAGAUAAUAUUUAGAGCGGGGUGGGGUGAGUUGUGACAAAAUCCAUACCCGUCCCAAACAUUGGUUCAGGUUUUUAAAAUAUUUUCAAACUUAUCAUAUACCCAAUUUUAUAUUUCAUACUUGUCCUAAUAGAGACAGGUUAGUCAGGGUUACUUGAGUAGCCUACAAAACUAUCAUCCCUAGUUGAAAUGCUCUUUUUGGCAGUGGCAGCUAGAAGCUCGAUCGAUUGACCUACAAGACUAGUUGUCAUCAUUUUAAAAAGAGUUUUGGCUUUGGUUGUGAGUGCAAUUGAAUCUAAACUAACAUUUCCUUAAUGCAUCUACUUCAAUCCUAAACUUCUUACUUAAGCCUCAAUUGUUGUUAAGAUUUUGGAAAACCCAUUUCCUUAAAUUGUAAAUUUAAGAAAAAAAAAAUUAAAAGUGAGACAUUUCUUGAUUGAAUGUUGUUAAAGGUCCCUUGGAAUUAAGACUUGGUUGAAGCCUUGGAAGAUUAGCAGAACUCUCAACUUAUGUUUGAACCUUGAGGAGAGUGGACGUAGGCCAAAAUUUUGUCAAACCAUUAUACAAAUUGAGUUUGAAUUCUCAUUUCUUGAUUUCUUAUUUAUUUGCUUUUUCUUAUUAUUACUUGAAUUGUCAUUUGCAUUCAUUAAUGUUAAAAUUGGUUAUAAUUAGCCAACACUAAUUCUCUUUCCCCUUCCCUUAAUUUCUUGGGUGUAAACCUAGGUUGGAUUAACUAGAUUUUAUCAAAUCUAUUAAGAUGGUAAAAGAAUAAUUAUUCUUAACAUACAUAAGAUCAUCUUCAAUCAAAUGACUCAUUGGCUGAUAUGUUGAAUUUGCUUAUUACUUGCAACUCAAAAUUGUGUUCUAGUUGAUAUGUCAAGUCCUGAGUGUAUGGACAUUAAAUUUGUAGUACGUGAUGAGUAUUUAGAUGGUCCAAUUCCAAGAAAGUGAUUGAAAACUAGUUCAAGAAAGGUGCAAAAGGGAAUUGUUUUGGUAUUUUCGUUUUUAUUCUUGAAGGUGGCAGAGCUAAAAUUUGAGAAAUCAAGCAAAACAUACUGAAAUUACAUUGAAAGAAAGAAAAUGGGAGUUAAUGUCUUGCAGUACAUGAUAAGGACUUCAUGCAUGUAGUGUGACCCAUGUCUUGGACUGAUGCCACACUCACGGUUACACUUAUACCCUUAGUUCUCUCUUUACUACCUUAGCUAACCUAGAUCAGGUUAUGAGAUAGGCACCUCACCACACCAUUACUUGCCCAUUAAUUAGUGACAUUUUCAAGCAAUGAGGUAACAUGGUGACACCAAGAGGGUAUAUUCCUCACCCCCAACAAGCCUAGACCUGGUCUAAAAAAAAUGGAGAAAAAUGACGUGUUGUUAUGCAGAAAUAUAGCAACCAUGCCUUCCUCAUUACUUAGAUUCAGAAUGUGAAGGUGAAAUUGAGAAACAGAAACUCUUGAAACCAAAAUGAAAAUUGAUACUUUUACGAAGAAUUACAACAACAUUAGAGGAAGACUACAUUCUUCCUCUUUAUUCCUACAUUUCUACACUACUUCUACUCCACUCCAUAUUUCUACAUACAUCUUUAAUCAGUCUUCCCUCCUUUAUAUAGAGCCAUCUUCACACAAAUUCCGCAAGGUAGAAAAGAGGAAUGAAACUUGGAGCAAGGUUCGACUACUGGCUGUAGCUUGUCAAGGCUGAAAGUGAACUUUUUUUCUUGGCUUUUCUGGGCAUAGGUAGUAACUUGUAGGUUCCUUUUUGGAAUGAAAAUGGUACGGCUAGAACAUGUGGCACUCUCUUGUUGGAUGAUGUGUCAAGCAUGUGGCAGCCAUCUAGUGGAGAUUAUGUCAAUUUUGGGAUGGAGAGUUGGCAUCCAAUUGCAAAGAAAUAUGACAUCUACCAACAUGCAAUGUCAACCUAUGUAGAUCAUAUGAAGAUAGAGAGGAAAAAUAUAGAAAUGGAUAUAUAACUAGAACUAGCUUUUUAUUAAAUGAGACGGAGAGCCAACAAUGAAGGAAAAUCAAAAUUUUUGGCUCAUAUCAAAGAAUUCACAUUGUGUUACCCUAGGUUUUCUUAAAACUUACUUUUAUGAUAAUAAAAAAUCAUUAUUGUUUAAUCCUUUGUUUUAAACGCAUGUUUAGCAGGUUGUAAAAUGUAAAUAUCUUUCGAAAUUCAAAUAUGAAGAUAUGACAUCAUUUCAAGCAAUAUAGUCUCUAGGAAUUAAUGUAAAGCUAAAUUAAGGUGCAAUUAAGUUAGUUCAAUGCAUUAUUUUAAGAAACUUGACCUAUCAAAACCUUGUCUUACUUCAAAGCCUCUUUUUCUUUUCUUCCAACUAACAUUUUAAUAAGUGAUCGCAAAAGUACAAAAUUAGAUGAAAUCCAUUUCAAUGGUUAAAAUGAUCAAAUUCAAACUUUUUCUAAGUAUCUUUUAAAAGCAUCAAUAUUGAAAGACAAUUUUAUAUUUAGUCAAAGCUUGGACAGAGCCAAAAAGCACACAAAAAUUUAUAUUUUCUAGCUCUCUACCUUGGAUGGUCUCUUGAUCCUACUUGGAGAUGUGCAUAAAUAAAAGGAUUUGAAAAUGACAAUUGACUAAGUAUGUAGUCAAUCAAUUACUCAUUGAUUGACUAGUUGAUCAAUUAACUUUGCAACAUCAUAUGCAAUCCUAAUAGCUAGUCAUCUAAUCAACUAGGUAGUAAAUCAAUAGGCCAAAAAUAUGUUUAUAAUGACUAUUUUGUACAAAAACCACUUAUAUAGUUAAAUAUAAUGCAUUUCAUUUAUAAAUCUUCUAAUUCUUGAAUAACAAUCCUAUCAUCCUUUGAAAGUUUUUAUUACACCUUUUCUACAUUUGUUCUAAAACUUAUACAUCACCCUUAAUUGUACCAUGAGAACCUAGCAUUUUUUUUUUUUUUUUUGUAUUUCAUCAAAGUUAGCUCUUGUACUCAUUGUUGUAUUAUUUUUAUUGUAACUUAGAGAGCGAGUGUUUUCAAGUGAGUGAAAUUGACUUGUAAAUAUUGUAAAGAUUCAUUGAUAUGUAUCUCAAACUAGGUGUACAAGUUGAAACAUUUGCUAGUAGAUUUUCUCAAGAUUUAGAAUGAGCUUAAGGCUAUCGAAUUAGGUGGGGUUGCGCCAAACCAUAUCACAUCGUUGUUUGCACCUUUUUUUUCACUCUCUUUUACUUAGUUGCUCUAUAUAUAUUGUCUAGCAAUAUCCUAAAGGCUUGAUGGGCUAGGGAGCAUCCCUCUGAAUGAAAAAUUUUCAUUCAAUUCUUAGUUGUAUUACGCAUAUAUAAAAUGCCUCAUUGUUUUAAUGGUAUUCAGUCGUGGCACCACAGAUAUGGACAUCUAAAUUUUAAAAGUUUGAAACUUUUAGCUAAAGAAAAUAUGGUGCUUUGCCUUUUUGGAAAGCAUGUUGAUGAAAUCCAUGAGAAUUGUAUACUUGGAGAGCAACAUCGAGAUAACUUUUUUUUUUUCUUUUUUUAUAAUGCAUUGUUUGUCCAAAUUCCGUACAAAUUAGGCCACCACAUGUUCAUAAUUCUCCCUUCUUGAAUUUGAAAACUCGGACAAUUUGACAAUGCGACACCUAAGUCCGGUUUUUAAAUGCUAAAGUGAAAGGGCAGGUAUGGACCAUUGAAAUGUGAUAACAACUUUUGGCCUUUUCCUUUUCUCUGUAGCCAUGUUGUCUCUUUUUAAUUUCUUUUGCAUGAUUUUCUUACCUAAACAGAAUCAUAGACUUGUUUAAUCUCUAAGUGGGAUUUCAUCCACCUUAAGCUACUGUAUUAUAUCUCGGUGGAGGACAACCGACAUAGAGCACAUGCAAGUGGGUAUAUGGGACAUGAAAUAUCUUCUUAUAAAGCUUGUUUUGCAGUUAAAUUAAUUGGAUAAGUAGACACUGGCGUUUCUAAAUUUCCCACCUAAGAUAAUGACCUUAUCCUUGACUGCUAGAUACACAAACAAUUAUACCUUCAAAAUCUACUGUGAAGUGCUUCAUGUAUGUGUGAAGUAUUAGAAAUUUCUUUCUUGGCAACUUGUUUUUUUCUUUGCGGUCUACUGAUAGGUUUGACUAAAAUUAUAUUCCCUGUCCUGCUAAUUAAUUUUCACGUGCAUGCUCAAAAGAAGAGUAUGACCUUAGUGCACCAAAAUCACUUUCAAUAAUUUGUGAUAAGUUUUUUUGCAUGACAUUAACCUUAUUCAUUUAGAUAAUGUUUAGUUCUCAUAAAUAUUAAGAAAAUGAAAAUAAAUAUUAAGAAAAAUAUUCUUAUAUUUGAUUGUAUUAUGAAAAAUAUCAUAAAAAAUCAAAUAUAAUUAAAAUUAAUUAAUAAUUUAUAUAUUUUAAAAUUAUUUAAUUUUUAUAUUAAAGAUAUAAUAUAAAUGAAAUGAGUUUUAAGUAUUAUAUAAAAAUGAUUUAUUUAUUUAUUUAUAUAUAUAUAUAUAUAUAUAUUUAGUUUUUCUCUUUAUUUUAUUUUCCUUAUGUUUUCCUCACAUUUUCCGGAAUCAAAGAUAGGGAAAUCCACAAUUACCUUCAACUGAGUAGAUUCUAUUGUUUUAGCAAUGUUAGGCUGCUAACUUGUGGUGGUACGAACCAAAUGAUCCAUGUUAAUCUUGGCUUGAUUUAAUUUGGCUCUAUCUCAGAGAACUCAAGGAUCACGUCAACUCUGGUUUCUACUAUUCAGGUCCAUUCCCAGAUGAACUGGUUCAAAUUUGAGAAAAUGGUAACAGACCUUUAGUGAUAUUGGUUUGGAGCCAGUUGCCAAACCUGCCCUGAGCUUUACCACUAAUGUCAAGGGACAAAGCCAUUUGAACAAAAACAAUAGCUUCAAGAGACUGAAUCGUGGAUGAAAUCUGAUCCACAUUUCUUCUCAUUUUGGGAAAAAAUGAGGACUUAACCACAAAGAUUCUACUGCCUCAUAGUGCUUUUCCUGAUCUAAGGUUGGCUCGUUUCCCAAAUUGUGAGGUGCACGUGCCACUCUCACGCUCAGGAGUGUAUCCACGUGGUGGACAUAAGAUGGUGGCUUAAUAUCUGGUGUCGGUGGCUUUACUUUACUAGGAGAGUAGUGUGUCUUCAUCUCAUUCACUGCCAGAGGGUGGCGUAAGCAGUGACGCUAAGGUGGGGCACAGUCAAUAUCAUUUGCAUUUGACCAUUAUAAUUUUCUCCCGGCUUUAAAGUAACCUUAUCGUGAUAAUGGAUUACUAGCACUAGUUCAGAUGACAGUCAUGUUAAAUUCGGACCAUGUUUGUGUCACAUUAUCAGCAACCAUGUGCUUGUGGUUCAUGCUAUCUGCAACUAAACUUGAUAUAUAACCAGGUGAACUUCAAUCUAAAUUCUGGAAGUACUCAUGUGAUAGAUGGUGCCUGUCUGCAGUGAGUGUAUCUAUAAGAGGGAAGGCUUGGCAAAUGUUCAGUUUUCUGGGAAUUCAACAGGGAUCUAAAAUAGAUUGUUUUCUUUGCUGAUUUCAAUGGUUGAAAUUUGAGAAGAUUGUGUCCACAUAACACAACUAUUACUGGUCCUUCUGUUGCAAUUUAUCCUCUAAGGCUCUAACAUGUCUUCCAAUUCCCACUUCCCACUUCCCUGUUACUCCAGGAAAGCUGUUUCUGUCAUUGUGAAGAAGAAAAGAGACUGUACAUAUCGAUGCUUUUAAGUGGACUGGAGAAUUCAUAUCAGGUGGUCUGCAGCCAUACAUGCCACUUUGUGAAGGUUGGAACAGUCAAUCACUAGGCUAUAUUAGUGGGGCCCAGCCACUUCAAUCAAGGACAAGUCUUCAUACUUAAAGUCAAAUUCUGCCUUUAGUCUCAUUAUAAAUUGCUGUUUAAAUAUCAAGCAAACAUUUGUUUAAUGCGAUUAAGACAGCACUAACUCAAUACUUGUUCUAUUUUUGGAUGCAAAUGCUUGAUAGUUUCAUCAUUGGAGGGGAUAAAGGUGCAUUCAUGAUUAUGAAUACUUGUAGUUAUAUUUUCAUUCUCUUUUUUCUCAAUGGGACUUGUUGGCACAAUUUUGCUGUUCAGAAACCUACCUCUCCAUGGAAAAUCAGUUGUGAUUGAUAUUACUGGAUAUAUUCAAGAAAGCUAAAUGUAGAUAGCACAAAAUAUUAUCGACAUAAAUAGCAUUAACAGCGUACGUAUGUCUCAAUGCUCAUCAGCUAUAAGCAAGGGGCAAACACUUACUAUGAGCAACUUACGUCAAAAUUCCGGAAUAGGACAUAGAAGUGACAGGUCAGUAAAUAUAGAACACUGCAUAUGAGUCACAAGAAAGGAAAUUACGGGUACAUAGCAGCUCUUAUUUUACAUCCUACUCAUACUGAUCAAAGUCACUCAGUUGGGAUGGGUGGGAGUGGGAGGUUUGUGGGGUGGCUUGUGCGGAGGAGUUGGCAGCUUCUUUCCAGGACCUGGUUGCUUCUCUGCUGGAGUUGAAGGAGGCUUAAUCUUCCGAGGUGGCUUGUAUGAGUCUUCAGCAUUCUCAGCAGGAGGGUGACCAGGGUUGUGACCACAAUGUGGUGGCUUCUCUCCCUUAGGUGGUUUGCCAACUGGGGUUGGUGGCUUGUGUUCCGGAAGUGGCUUCUCUUUGUGUUCAGGAGGUGGCUUCUCCACUGGAGGCUUGUGUUCAGGAGGUGGCUUCUCCACCGGAGGCUUGUGUUCAGGAGGUGGCUUCUCCACCGGAGGCUUGUGUUCAGGAGGUGGCUUCUCCACCGGAGGCUUAUGCUCUGGUGGUGGCUUCUCCACCGGAGGCUUAUGCUCUGGUGGUGGCUUCUCCACCGGAGGCUUAUGCAAUGGUGGUGGCUUCUCCACCGGAGGCUUGUGUUCAGGAGGUGGCUUCUCUACCGGAGGCUUAUGCUCUGGUGGUGGCUUCUCCACCGGAGGCUUAUGCUCUGGUGGUGGCUUCUCCACCGGAGGCUUGUGUUCAGGAGGUGGCUUCUCCACCGGAGGCUUGUGUUCAGGAGGUGGCUUCUCCACCGGAGGCUUGUGCUCUGGUGGUGGCUUCUCCACCGGAGGCUUAUGCUCUGGUGGUGGCUUCUCCACCGGAGGCUUGUGUUCAGGAGGUGGCUUCUCCACCGGAGGCUUAUGCUCUGGUGGUGGCUUCUCCACCGGAGGCUUGUGUUCAGGAGGUGGCUUCUCCACCGGAGGCUUAUGCUCUGGUGGUGGCUUCUCCACAGGAGGCUUGUGUUCAGGAGGUGGCUUCUCCACCGGAGGCUUAUGCUCUGGUGGUGGCUUCUCGAAUGGGGGAUGCGUAGGGUAAUCAGCUAGUGAGGGGGCGGUGAGAACCACCAGGCCAAGCAACACUACUAGCAAGUAUGUAGGAGACAUCUUUGGGUUUGGGCUCAGAUGGUGCAAAACUAGGAGAAUUGGCUAGCCUUUUAUAGCGGAUCGUACCCAAUAAUGAAAUGACACGUGUCAUUAUGACCCAUGUGUCAUGUGGUCGAUUUGGGUCCUACAGUGUUGAAAACUUCGACAUCCACUUUUUUGGCCUUUUGCUUUCUCUACAGUCGCCUUGCUUUUUCCCUCUUUUCUUUUGUUUUCCUCCUGCCCCAUUCUAUCAACUAAUCACAAUUAUGUAGUUGUUUAAUUCUUAAAUGAGAUAUUAUCCGUCAAUCAUAUUAUCUUUUAUCAAGAGAGAACGGAGUGAAAAGUGGCAAUCCAAAGAAAGAAGAUCCAUAAUGCAGCUGUAAUUUUAUCGUUUACUUUUAUCUCUAGGACCACUGCAUUUUUGUUGAGAGGUGCAAUAAUACACGUCUUUAUCUGCCAUUCAAUGUUUACAGUAAAGAGAGGGCACAAAACUCUUCACUGCUCUGCAUGUGCCCCAAAAAUGCAAUUGGACAAAUUAUGAUUUGCAUGCUAAAAAGAGGCAAAUGAGGUUAAUUAGCACCAAAAUUAUUUUGUUUUCUGGACACCCCGGGGCCCUUUGGUUGGUUUGGGGGUCAGAAAAUGAACAUCAUAGGGGGUUUUUCCCUAAUGUGCAUUUGCAUUUGUAUCUGAUGGCUUUAACUCGCCUUGUUACUACAAAGAAAUUGUCACAGAUAGGAACUUAUUCCAGGCUGAGUAUCUCCGCAUGGACCCUAUAAAAGAAGACAAGUCAUAAUGAACAUCUAACCUUUGUUCAAUUUGAUUCAAUGCCCCUAUUGUGUCCAUCUCACAAAUCUGAAUUAUUAUAUCCAUUGAAUACAUAAAUUAAUGAAGAAAAUAUGAAACCCAAGAUACAUCUCUGCACAACCUCAACCCUGGUUGCUAUGUUUCACUUCUAUUCACAUGAGGAUAUUGAUUACGGAAUAAGGAAACCUAGCAAGGGUUUACUCGGCUCUGGUUUGAUGCUAAUUGCCAAACUUGCAACAAGCCCUGAGUUUGACACCUAAUCGAUGGGCGAAUUAAAAGUCUCCUCCAAACAUAUAUUCCACAGCUUGAAGCUCACAGAAGAUGCUAUACAGGCAGGGAAAAACCUUCAGAGUUAGCUACCAAAGAUAAUUAUCAAGGAGAUAUCACCAAGAGAAUUCCAUGGAGUCUGAAUCAAAGACAAAUUGCUCGCUCGUGGGGGUUCUUACUUAAUUUCUUUUGGGUAUAACUCACUGAGGGCACUGGCUUUGUUAUUUGCAUUUCGCAUUUAGAGUUCUGUUCUGGAAGGUUUGUUCUGGAAACAUAUAAAAGGAGCAUCAUUUUGUUCUAGGGUAACCCAUAGUUGUGAGUGGGUCCAUUUGCAUGCUACUUAGUUGAAAAGUUGGACAAUUUGCUCCGACGCCUACCUCCUGGAUUCCAUGCUCGGAUAAAGCAAGAAUAAUAAAAUAUUUAUAAUUUACAAAUGGGGGAAAGAAAAAAAUGUCAACAACAAACUAGGAAAAAAGAGUAGUAAAAUUUAUGCCACAUGCUAUUGAUAGAAGGGGCAUGUAUUAGAUCCAUCACCAUUUGGUAAGAUUUUAGUAUUAUAUUUUUCAAGGUUCAUUAUUUGAGGGUGUGUUCUUCAUCUCUGUUGCAUUGCUUCUUACUAGGCCCACUGAGGUGGGUUCUUCACCUUUUGUAUAUUCUCUGCACUAGAUCAAUGAGAAAGGGGGAAUUUUGGUGAAUUUGCAGCCGUUGGAUGAUUGAUUCUAGGCUCAGUCCACCAAUGAUGCUCUCUUCACUCUUUCUCAUCUAGUGUCAUUCACAACUAUGUUUUGAUUCAUAUUUGUACUAUCAAAGAUAUCUCAUUAUUCUAGCUCAUUAGGUAGAGUUCCUAAUCUUCCUCCUUUUUGGUCUAUGGACAGUAUUGGCUUCAUAUUAAGAUCAUGUUUCAAUAAUUGCACAUUAAUGAAUGGAUCAUGACCCACAUAAACAGAGUCAGGGUUGAGUCAGUGAACCCUAAAAUUUCACAAUUCUAAAUUUGGGUUCUUUAACAAUGCAGGGUCAAGGACGCGUGGUGAUGAAGGAAAGCUGGUAAGCUCAGUGUUACUUCAAUUCCUGCCAUGUAGGAUGGUGAGGAGAUAUUCACUAUGCAAUUAAUAAUAGACAAUAUUCACUAUGCAAUAAUAAAGCAUAAAUUAAGUUGAAUGAAAAGCAUUUUCUUUGCAAGGAGUUGAUUUUGGUUUCAUAGUUUGUUCAACUGCUAUUUUGGAUAGGAAAGUGUGAGGAGAAGAAAAUAAAAAAUAAAAAUAAAACAAAAAAUAAAAAAUAGAUUUUAUAAAUUCAUUUAAUUUAUUUUUUUUUUAUAAAAAUUAACUAAUUUAAAAUAUAUGUAAAUUUCUAAUUAAUUUAAUUACAUUUUUUUUUUCAGUUUUUCAUAAUAAACCAAAUAUUAGAAAAUUAUUUUUAUUAAGACACCCAAGAUGAGGUAAUAUGCAAUGAAAACAUGAAUUAUAUUAAAAUUCAAAACAAAUUAAGAGAAAUCGGAAAAUAUACAUAGAUAUCUAAACAAAGAAAUUUAAAGAGAAGGAACCACAAACUUUAUUUACAUAAUUUGAAAAUAAAAAACAUAAAACAUACUUAUAGUAAGGAGAAAUUGAAUAUCUUACAAUGGAAGAAGGGAGAAAAGCUUUGAAGAAAGCUUUUGCUUGGAAGCUUACAUGGUGAGAGGUAGAGAAAGGAGAGAGAGAGAAGAAAAUGAAAAAUGAGAAGUGGAGAAAAUUGGAAGUUUUGUGUGCUUACAACUGAGGAUAGAGCCUCCUUAAAUAGCAAAAAAUGGAAUAUUAAAUAGUACCAAUCAGGAGACAAAAUAUUGUUUGCUUUUGAAACCCGUGCAUGAAUAGUAAUCCCGUGAGUGAAUAGUGAAUAAUAAAAGUGAAUAGUAAAAGUCACUUUCUACUAUAGCACUUUAGACUUUUUCAUCGAGAAUCUUACUUUCGGCUGAGUGAUGAUAGCUGAUAGGUUGCUUUGGAUUGUGGAGUCAUAUGUUUGAUGUUUUCGGUGCUGAAACCGCUUAGUUGGAGAAUAAUCUCGUCAGUAGAGCAUCAUGAGAAGCUUGAAUGGAGAGAGCUUAAUGAUGCCAUAUGAUUGGAAGGAAUCCUAUUUUAAUUUCCUUAUUGGAGGGAGAAUACCCUCACAAUCAUCUUCAUUAUCUUGAAGGUAGUUUGAUAUAGAGUCAUCUGACUCAGCAUAAGAGUCCUCUUGGGAGAAGCUUGAACUGCUUUUGUCAAGGAUUUUCUGAAAUUCUUGAGGGGUUUUUGCUAUUGCUAACAUGGUUUGGAGUUGCUGUUUCUUAAGAAGAAACUGUGCAAUAUCAUAAGAUGAUGAAGCUUGUGUAGGAUGCUUUAGGAAAUAUUGCUUUAUUGCUUGUAGUGAGGUAUCAUUUUUCAAGGCAUCCCACCACUUAGACUUGAAAGUCCUUCCAAGGGUUGGAAAGGCUGCUGAUUCAUCUGCUAUAAUGAUAUAAUCCCACUGGACUAUCCAGGCAAGGCCAAAUUCACUAAAAAAGAAUAAUAAUUGGGGAAAACUGAAAGUUCUCUAGGGAUAACAAAAGAACUUUGGAAUAGCUCAAAGCCAUCCAAAAUGGGUUUUGGGAGAAUUUUAAUAGUUGGACCAAAAUAUGUCCACCAAUUGUGGAACCAAAAUGGAAAAGAGGGGAGUUGAUGCUUAGAUGGGAAAUAGAACAUCCCUGAAUGAUGGAAGUCCUUGUUCUGGAUCAGAAAAGCAUUGAACCAUACUCUUUGGUAGUCUCAAUAAUUGAAAAUUUUAGGUUUUGAAGGCUUAGAAAAUUCUCUUGAAAAAUUAGGAUUCCCACCCCACUGCUUAACUGUAAGGAUUUUAUAAAUAUGGUAAGUGGAGAAUGCCAAAUCCAAAUUGCUGAAUUUAUCAGCAUUGUGCUUGAUUUUAACAGAGCCGGUUUCCAUAAGGAUUGCUUCAUAAAAUUCUCUUGUUUUUAAAAGAUCACCAAAGGGAUAAUGAAAAUUUUCAUGAAAAGCUUUUGCUGCAAUAUCUCUAGGGUUUUUAGAGAAAAACUCUUUUUCAAUAACCAAAAGAGGUUGAUUUAAAUCUUUUUGCCAAUAUCUUGCUUUUGCUGAAAGAGGUGUGGGGUUGGCUACCACCACAAUUUGCUUAUUUGAAAAAGAAGAGCUUGAUGCUAAUUCAUUUUGAGAGGGAUUAGCUUUAGUAACCUGCUUAAAGGUCUGAGACACAGUAAUAGUUGGAUACUGAGUAGCCUUGACUGGUUUAGAAGGAUUCGAAGGAUCAUAGUACAAGGACAAAAUCUUAUUAGGCAUAUGGUCAGAAGAAUGAAGCCUUGCUUCUUCUUCUAGCUCAACUUGUUGGCUCCAAAGUAUUUUAUGGGGAGAAGGUUCUUUGCUGGUUUUAGAAGACUAGGAUUCUGGAAGUUUAGGAGCUUGGGUAUUCUUUUUAGGGGCCAUGGUUUCGUGAAUCCUGUAAAAUUCACAAGUUAAGAAAUCAGGGCUCGAAGAAUGUUCUCCUUUAAUAUACUCAAUUUGUAAAUUAAAAUUGCUUAAAAUAGCUUGAUAUAUAGCAAAAAUAUGCUUAGAAGUUAUAUUCUUAACAUCCUUUUGUAAAACUAAUUUUGCAAAUUUACAAUCAACUCUUAAUAAAAACUUUUGAUUCAAAAGAUCAUCUUGAAAUUUUGAAAUGCAUAAAACAACGCUUAAAGUCUCUUUUUUAAUGAUGUUAUGAAUGAGUUGGGUAGUAUUCCAGGUUCUUGAAGUAUACCUAACUAACAUCUCAAGGUUACCAACACUUUGCUUAAGAAUCCCACCAUAACCUAUGUCUGAGGUAUCGAUCCCAACAAACUCAAAGGUUUCUGGAUUGAUAGAGCCUAAACAUGGUAGGGUCUUGACUUUGGACUUAACAUCAAUAAUGAAAACAAUGGUGAAAACAGAAAACUGGUUAAAGUUUUCAUCCAUUAUAUUCUGGAAUUCUGAGGUGCAUUCUUAAGAUCAAAGGGCAUUAUGAACCAUUCAUAAUGUCCAAGAGAUACCACAAAGGUGGUCUUAUUUGGAAUAGGACACCUAAUCCAACUUAAUGUAUCAUUAAGAGGCAUGUAGUUGACGACUAGUCUAGGUGUUCCUUUUUCUGAUUCAACUUGUUCCUGAACAUAGAAGGUUGAACAACUCCAAAGGGACUUAGACUUCCUUAUCAACUUUUUAUCAAGAAGAUCCCAAAUCUCCUUAUCACAAUAGCUUAACAAACCCUUGUUCAUCUGGAUAGGUCUUGAUUUAGUGGGAAUAUUCUUGUCACUAAAGUCUAGUUCAUAAGGUAAUUCUACCUCAUGUUGUUUCCUAUGCCAAAAUGCAUUAGGAAUGUUAGAGCAAACUUCUUCAACAAUCAGAUUAAUUUCUUGCUCAUGACUUUCCUUAGCUUGAAUCACCUGAUCCCUUAAGGUGUUUAUAUUUUUCUUAUUAGGUGGUUGGCAAAUUCAAAAAUAAUUUCCUUAUCUAAGAGCUUUGUUCUUAUACUUUGGUCAUCUACCCACAUGGGAUAGAUGGAGCUUAAAAAGGGGAUUCCAAGGAGAGCUUUCUCCUUAAGAUCCUUAACUAGAAUGAAGGUUUGCUUGAUGCAAAUGCCUUGGUUAUUUAUGUGAGCAUCUGACAGCUUAUACUCAAUGUCAAGCCUUUUACCAUUAGCUCCAAAGAGAGAUUCUUUGGUUUUCUUACAAAACUUAAUAGGACCUAGACCUUCUUGUAGGCAAUUCAAAGCUGUUCCUGAAUCAAUCAAAGCAACAAUAUCAAUGACAAAUUUACUCUUAAUUACUAUAGUAAGGGAGACUUUCCACCUCUGGAAAAUAACCCUACUAACAGUAUUUAAGUAUCCAUCCGUCUUUUCAUCAUUAGCAUGUGAAGAUUCUAGAACCUCUUCAAGGUUUUCCUAGUUAUCAACAAGAUUUUCUAUAACAAUCCUAUUUAUUUGUUCUUGGAGAUCUGAAAAACCUAAGCUUGUGUAUUGUCUUAAAUCUUUAAUUUCCUUCUUAUACUGUCUUACUUCUUCUUGAAGAUCCUUAAUGGUUACGUCUUUGGUAGACUACUGGUUAAAUCUUCCUAAGAUUUCAUUUAAGUUAUAAGAAUUUACUGUCUUCUUAAUCUCUUGCUUAUCGACAAAUUUCUUAAAAACUUCAUAAAGAUCUUGUUUAGUUUUUUCAUCUUCAACUUUCCUUAAAACAUCUAGGACAAGUUCUUGAUCUUGGCUUAUGACAUUUAUAGUCUUAGGUUGGCAAUCACAAUUAUCCUUAAUGUAUUCUUCUUGGUCACUAGAAGUUUGGCUUGAGAUUUCCUCACCACUACUAUCUAGUUGGUUAAUACCAUUUUCAUUAUCUGAAUCAAUCCUUGAUUCAGACUCUGUGGAAUUUAACAUUACUUUACAAAGCAUAUCUUUUAAGUCUUCUGUGACAUUUAAGUUAUUAAUUUUCUGCUUAACCCUACAAUCUUUCUUAUAGUGGCCUAUCUUACCACACUUAAAACAAACUGGCUUAGAUUGUGAAGGAGCUUCUAGCUUUUUAUGGGCUUCUUUGUUCAUCAUUCUUUGGAUGUGCCUUUGUUUCUUAGUUUCAUUCAUCCUAUAGUUGCCAUGAGUUCCUCUCUUGUUGUGAUAGGACUUUUCCUUACUAGGCUUUGUACUUACUUGUUUCUUACGUUGCUUAGAGGGGGGCUUAGUUUCUUUUUGGUUGAAUCCAAACUAGCUACAAAAUGAACCAAACUCAUUCUUGUAGAUCCUUUGUUCAUUUUUCAUCUGUUGCUUAAGCUUAAAGUCAUUGCACAGUUUAAUUGCUUCUGAUGUGACAAUGCUUAUAAUUUCUCCAUAAGAAAGCUUAUCAUAAGGGAUUUGUCCAUUAAACUGUUCCCUUAUCUUAAUCCUAAUCCUCUCAGAGAAAAGUCUAGGUAGUCCUAAGAUGAAUUUUUCUUUCCAAAAAGACUGGUUAUAGUUUGAUCUUAGUAUGACUUUGGUUAGGAAAACUUCUCUAUACCAUCUAAAGUCAUGAAGCUUGGGACACUUAAGGUUGGUUAAGAGAUCUACAAUCUUAUCCUUAAUCUUUGCAGGAUCUCCAAUGAAGUGCUUUGAAAUUGAAUAGAUUAGAGUAGCCACUACAUCCUCUAUAUCUUGUCCAUCUUCAUCCUUAACCACUUCAUUUUCCUCAUUAAUCCUAUAGGCUUUUAGGAUACCAUUUCUAUCCUCAAAGGUGAGAUAAUUAUCCCACCAACCCUAAAGUUGACCUGUAAACCCAACAACAAUUGUUUGAGCUACAGCAUGGCCUGACAAUCUAUUGUUUAACUUAUAGGUUGUACUAACCAUGGUCAUUUCUUGAAGCUUAGUGAGUAUGUUGUACUCAAUCAUACCAUCUAUGUUCCAUUCAUAGAUAGUGUCACUAGUGUAGGAAGCUUGAGUAUGCUGGUUUCUUUCCUCAUACUACAUAUCAGGAAAAGUUGGUCUAGGGUAGUAAUUCCUAGUUCUUGGUUGUUGAUAAUCCUCAUAACUGUUUGGUUAGGAGGUUCCUUAAAAAUCUUAAUUAGUUCAUCAGCCUCUGCUUCAGAACUAAUUUCUCCUUUAACCAUAUUGAUUCUCUUGUGAGAUGGUUGAGGUGUCUCAGAGACAACAAGGCUAUCCUUAACCUUUUGGCUUAUCCUAUCAAUGAGGGCUUGAUCAAUAUGGAGAUUCUCUAGGAAUUUCUUAGAGAAUUCAAAAGGCUUAAAUAAAGACUUAUUAUCUUUCUUAACAAACGUAGUCUUAAUGUAGUCUUGUGUUUCAAUGAUAUCCUCAAACUUGUUGAGUUGAUCGCCUGUAGUCUUAAGAAACAUGUUAGUGUAGUUGUUUUGUUCCAUGAUUCUUCUAACGUCAACAACACUAUCAAUUCCUUUAUUCUUUGGCCUAGUCUUAAAAGGUGAAGCUUUGACUAUGGUUCAAUUAAUGUUCUUUUAUAUCUUAGCUUCUAGAGGGUGGAUGGAUUCUAUGAUAGUAUCGUCACUAGUUUUCCAUAUCUUAGUUUUUUUGGAUGUGUCAUUGACACGCUUACUAGGGUAAUCUAGAUAUUCCUCUUGUUUGAAGAGUUCAAACCAGAUCCAAUACUUAAUGUUCUUCUUUUCUUGUCUUAAGUAUGUGUAGAAUUCUUCUUGGUAGAGGGUUCUAAUGUCUUUAAGGACCUUGCUAAAGAACCAAACUCUCCUUUUCUUAUUGACUUCAGAAUAGAAGUCUUUCCUUAAGAGGUCCUUGUUGAUUCAAAGUCUUCGUUAAUUAGGCUUACAGUGUUAAUCAACUGAGAAUAAGUAGGAGACAUAUCAGGAGAUUCGUCCUGAUGUGAUUCUUGAGUAAACUCAUUUUCCUCCAUGUAAAAGGGUUUGGCCACGUUGGUGUGACUUCUAACACCUGUUAGCUUAAUAUUCUUAGGAUUUGCUGAACUAGAUCCUUCCUCUAUCCUAGUGGUUCUUAUUGGGAUAGAUGAACUUGAAGCUCUAGAGGGCUCAUAAUAUGAAAUUCUAAGGCUGCUAGAAUGAUGAAAAGAGUUGGAGAAAAUUAGAUCUCGUUCUCCAUCAGGAUAUUGAACAAUCUGUUCAAUUCUUUCAGAUCUUUGCUCUAUGGCUGGGACAACAUUAGCAAAAUGCCAAUUUUCUGGAAACUCAACCUCAUUCCACUUGAUUUUCAUGGGGACUAUGAAAUUAGACUUGUUUAUCAUAUCUAAGUGGAAGAUAGUGGUUUCACCCUUGGGACUGGUGCACAAUGCUCCAAAUCCAACGCUUAUGGUCAUGCUCUUAUAGGCAAAUCUGGUGAUGAUGGAAACAUGAUUGUUUCCUUGCUUGAACUUAAAGUCAUGGGUCUUAACAUGAAGGACAACUGAAUCUAAGAUGUUGACAUCUCUUAGUCUAACUGUGAAGUUAGGGAAACACUGGAAAUAAACAGGACCAUCAUUUAAUCCUGCUUGGGUAGCUCCAAUAAUAGAAUCUCGGUAAUCAAGAUGUCUAUUAUCUCUUAAACACAUGACAAUAAAGGUGUUUAGACCUAGUCUUGUCAAGGGCUUAGCUGCAACUUGAAUCAUGCCAAAGUGUAUGAAGUUGUAGUCUCGCUUAUGCUUAUCAAUGGACUUACUAUCCAAGAGUCUUAUGACUUGAUCGUCGUGUUCUAAACUUACUGACAUUUCAGGGGUUUUAAUGGUGUAAUCUGUAAAGAACUUAAAGGUUCCUUUCUUAUAAAUUUCUUGAUUAGGUACCUUGGGUAACUUCCAAUCAUCUAAAUCAUCUUGGAUCUUAGGAUAAUUGAUCUCUUCAUUGUUUACUCUUGAGAAUUUGUGGAUUUCCUAGACAUGGUUCUGAAAAUCAAACUCAUUUUAAGGUUUUAAUCUAGAGCCUAAUAGCAGAUUAACAGACCUAGUGAGUAAUCACCCCAACCCUUUUCCAACCUUAACAAACGCCUAUCUCCAGCUAACAAUGGGCUCAACUCGGCAAGGAUCGCACUCAGGCACACUACUAUCUUUCCUAGGAUAGAUCAAAACACCCAAAACAAACCCGACUUCCUUUUCCUAGGAUAUAUAUAGUAUUUUGGGUUUGAGUAGGAGUUCAUGUUUUGUAUGUAAUUGUAGUCUACGUUGGACUAGGUUGUUUGCUCCUAAUUGAAAUAGGAAUGGUUGGUGUCACAUCUCAUUCAUUUUCUCAUCUAUUUCCAUGUUUAGAUAACUCAAGUAAUCAUAGGAAUGAAAUUAAGAAUGAUUUGAGGGAAAUGAAAUCUCACUUGUAAGUGGGAUCUCAAUUCAUCAUUAAUAGAAGGUAUUUUGAUUACAUAGUGCAAGUUAUUUUUAAAAACACUUUUCAAAAAUUGAAAAACCAAAAACUCUCUUGGAUAAGUUGUUUUUAAAAAGAAUUUUUGUAUUUUUAUUUUGUAAAAAAAAAAAAUAGUAAUUCAAUUUAUAUAAUAUAAAUAGACUUUAAUUUUAUUAAAAAUAAAAAUAAUUUUUUAAUUACAAAUAAAUUAAAAAAUAAAUAUUUGUAAUAAAAUAUGAAUAGUAAUAUUAUAAUAAAAUCAUAAAUAAAUUAAAAAUAUUUUUAAAAACAAAUAAGUUUAAUUUUUUUGAGGUACAAAUGAGCCAAAUUUUUCAUUAGGUACACAACCAACAAUUUUUAUUGGAAACAUUCCUCAAAAAAGAAUUCGUUUCCCAUAUAGCAAAGAUAUUUAUUAUUUAGUAUCUAACCAUCCGUAGUAAUCAUAUCAAUUCUACUAAGUUAUUUAAUAAUUCAUUUAUAUAUAGUACUCAAUUAUGAAUUUUUUUAUUUGAUGUAUAAUUAAUUAAUCAAUGUUUUGAAUUUUGAAUUAUUCUUAAAAUUUAAAACAUUAAUUAUGUCUAUUACUUUUUAUAGUCAUUAUAUAUAUAUAUAUAUAUAUAUAUAGAGAGAGAGAGAGAGAGAGAGAGAGAGAGCUUAAAUUUAUCUUUAAAAAUUAUUAAAUUUAUUAAUAAAUUCAAUACAAAGACUCAUUUGAUUUGAAAUUCAUUUCUUUAGUGAAAAUUUUGAAACUAAAUAGUACUUUGUUUUACUUUGUUUUUAAAUCAUACUCACAAAUAAGUUUUUAUCAUUUAGCCAAAAAAUCUCAAAGAUGUUUCUAAUUUUAUUUAUUUAUUUAUUUGUAAAUGAAAAUAAAAAAUUAGUUUAAACUAAAUAUGCGGAUAUUAUUGUUAAUUUAUUUCAUUUUUUAUUUCCAUUGUUAUUUAACAUUGAAACGGAAACAAAUAAUCAUUCCAAUCUUACAUUCUUAUAUGCAUCUAAACACAAGAAUUGAAAUCACCAAAUUCAUAUUCAAGGCAAAAUAGAAAUGGAAAAAAAAUAUUCAUUUUCAUUCCUCAUUCUCAUGUGCUAAACAUGACAUUAGUUCUACUACCUAUUUCACCAUUCUUCUUGAUAAAUUUGGUAUAUGCAAUAUUGAUCUAAGUGUGAGGUGAAUAAGAAUGAUGAUGGGAUGGGCUUGGAAAUAAGGGCAAAGUUUCUAGGUGCUAUCUAGAGGGGCAACGCGACUUUUUCAAAUUUCGAAUAUUUGUUCUCAACAUAAAGCAAAACUUUACUCACACAAUAGAUAAGACUCUGUUUGUUUUCUUCAUCCACGACUAUAUAAUGUAUAGCUCUUACUCAAGGGAUGAGCUACUUACUAUUAAGGAUUGGGUAAGAUAUUGCCUAAUGGCCAAGAAGGCAUGUCAAAAAAUAAAUCUAAUCACCAUAAAAAAUAAUAGGGGAAAAUUAAUAUAUUAUGAAUGAUGACUUUACUAUUUCUCUAUAUACAUAAUUAUAUAUUUUGAAUUUUCUCACUAGGUAAUGAGAUUCUAAAUCAACUGAAACAUAAUUAAUAAUUUAUAUUUUUAAUGAAUCUUUUAAUUUUUAAAAAUAAUUUAAAAUUUUAAAAAACAAUUCAAUUAAUUACAUAUUAAAUCAAAACAUUUCAAAAUAUUGUGUUUGUAGAUGAGUACUAAAUGCUUGCAUAUAAUAAUAAUAAUAAAAAAAUUGACUCAUUUAGAUGUUAAAAAAGUUAAAUGUUUUUCAUUAUUCAUUUUAAGUAAAAUAUUAUUGACAUUAUUAUUAUAAAAUUAUUAUUAUUCAUUUUUAACAAAAAACAAAAUAAGUUAUUCUUUUACCAAGAUGUCAAUAUCUAUAUUUUUCUAACAUAUAUUAAAAUAGUAUACUUUUCUUUUAUUAAAAAUAAUAAUUAUUAUUAUAUUAUUAUUCAAGUUUUAUUAAAAAAAUUUAUCUUUUAAUUCAUUUGUAAUUACAAAAUAAUUUUAUUUUAUUAAGAAUUUAAUUUAAUUACGCUUUUUUUUUUUAUAAAAAAAACAGUUAUGCUUUUACCAAGAUGUUAAUAUUCAUAUUUUUCUAGCUAACAUAAAUAGAAUAGUACACUUUUUCAUAUAAAAAAAUAAUUUAUGAUUUUAUUAUAAUGUUACUAUUCACAUUUUACUAAAAAUAUUUAUUUAUUUUAUUUAUUUUUAAUUAUAAAAUAAUUUUAUUUUCAAGAAUUUAAUUUUAAAAAAAUAGAAAUCAUUUAUUCUUUUACCAAGAUGUUAAUAAACAUAUUUUUCUAACAUAUACUAAAAUAAAAAAGUUUACUUGUUCAUUAAAAAAUAUAAUUUAUGUUUUUAUUAUAAUACUACUAUCUAUGUUCUACUAAAAAUAUUUAUUUAUAAUUAAAAAAUAAUUUCAUUUUUAAUAAGACUUGAACUAAAUUAAAUUUAUAAUUUUUUUUUAAAAUAAAAUAGAAAAUUAUUUUUUAAAAACAACUUAUUGAAAGAAAUUUUUUAUUCUUUACUUUUAAGAACUGUUUUUAAAAGCAACCUAUAAACCCCUUUGGGUCUGUUUGGCUAUGUUUCAUGCAACUUGUUUUUAAAAAUUGUUUUUUAUUCUUUAAUUUAAUUUUUUUUAAGUUAAAGAAUAAAAAACAACUUUCUAGUGUUUUAUAAAAAUGAGAGCUUUUGACAAGUUGUUUUUAAAAACCAUUUUUAAAAAUAAAAAAUAAAAAACUUAUUUAGAUAAAUUGUUAUAUAUAUAUAUAUAUAUAUAUUUGUAAAAACAUUUUAAAUUCAAUUUAUAUAAUAUAAAUUUAAUUUAAUUUAAGUCUUAUUAAAAAAAAAUUGUUUGGAUAAGUUUUUUUUUUUAAAUAGUUUAUUAUUUUUGUUUUGUAAAAACAUUGCAAAUUCAAUUUAUAUAAUAUAAAUUAAUUUAAUUCAAGUCUUAUUAAAACCAAAAUAAUUUUAUAAUUACAAAUAAAUUUAAAAAUAAUUUUUUUAGUAAAACAUGAAUAAUAAAAUUAUAAAUUAUAUUAUUGUGGACCCUGCAUUUAUGCUCAUGCGCUUCCACUUGUUGGCGAACUCAUUUUUUAUUUGAAAAUGAUUUAUUUUUUUAGAAAAUGACUUAGAGUCGCCACUUAUUUUUGUUUUAUUUUUAAAGGGCAAGCAAAAUAAGAAAGAAAACCCUAAGUGUGACUCCUUAUUCGAAAAAGGUAGUCUGUGUAAAACCGGAUCAGGGUUCAGGGAUCAGGUUACUUAUUGGGAAGGUAUGACAAUGACCGUAGCACUCCUCUAAGUCCUUAAAAACGGGCCUCUACUAAAAAAAAUAAAGUAAUCAUGGCAAUCAGUAAGGAAAUCACUGGAUACCCAGAACAAUUAUGCACAUGUGAGAAUUAAAACAUGCAUAAGAAUGGACAAAGUGAGAGUGGGUGCGUACCUUGACAACGAACCACAAUGCGUUAUCAAGAAAUGGGGUUAGUGCACGAUCAAUGAACAUAAAACACGUCACACAUGUCACUAAGCAGAGUGAGAAAUCAUCAGAUAUUACAAUUCAAUCAAAUUUAUUUUUAGAAGAAACAUCUGUUGAUGUAGAGCCCCUACCAAAGCCUAAUUUAUUUUUGCAUGAAUCAAUUUCAUAAAUUCAAUCGCUUGGAAUUACAGAAUUAAAUUCAUGCUUAUUUUAAAACAUCUUUUUAAAAUCAUGGAAGAUGUGAAAAUGGUUUUCCAAAGAGAAAAUGACAACUGAUUUUAUUGAAAAUGGGAUUUUGGGGACCUAAACGUUAAAGAGGGAUUAGGAAUUGAAAAUUAAAUCAUUUGAAAAUUGAAUUUUUCAAAAAUCAGUUUUGAAAGCAUGCAUGCAAGUAUGGACUGUGAAAGUGGGCCUAGGGAGGGUGGCCAUGCAAAAUGAGGUCAUACACGUGGGCCUUGGGUACAAUUGGGACUACUUUGCUGGUGCCAGUGGUGCUUGCAGCUGUCAUCCAUGAUUUCUUCAUUGGGAUCAAUUUCCAUUCUUACUGCCAAACAUUCCAUAACAAUUGACCAAACUAGUAACCCUGACCUUGCAUGAAAAUGAACGUUACCUAGAAACUCACUGCCAGUGAGAUUCAUUGCUCUUUCAAAAGGUCUCAUUUUCUUUCUCAUCCAAUUGCUUUAAGGAGCAUUCUAGCGUCACGAUUGGUGACUGCGCAUCAUCUAGAGCCUUCUUUCUUCUCAGAAUCAGGUUUGCGUGCAGAGGCCUGUGCUUGUUCAAGGUUGACCUAAAUUCAUCUAGGUUUAGAACCGACCAGUUGAGCUUGGGGAGCAACGACAAGAAUAUCAGUCACUUGCGAAGAGAAAACUCGAGAUCUUUCAAGUAAUGCCUGACAUAGAUUCCUCCAACCUGUGGCCAAUAUCUCAUUCCUUGUUGGCCAGACGCCUAUUAGGGCGUAUCUCAAUCAAUAAUAUGAUUUUUCGUUUGUUCACAAUAAAGACCGGAAGCCAUGGUUGUGAUUUAUGCAGUACAGAAGAAGUUGCCAUGGCUGGUAUCCUUACAAAUUCUGGUGUUUCUGCUAUCUGUUCAAGUGCAAAACACAACAGCUUUAUCAAGUUUGUCCCUAACAACUGAUAUUGAGCCCUCUGGAGGAAACCUUGAUAAAUUCAUAAUCACUUUUGACUCAUGCAUGGGCUGCCCAUCAAAUUUUCCUAGCAACGAGACGACUGCUGUCAUCUACUGCAAAGAGAAUUUCUUCUCGCAAAGACAAGAGGAGUUUAAGAAUACACACUAUUCUGCCAUUUCAUUUCCUCUUUCUCCACAACCAACAUAAACCAUAGUGUCUACAUUAGAGUACUUAGAAAGAGCUUAACUGAUGACCGUUUUUCCACAACCAAAUGCCCCAGGUAUGGCACAAAUUUCACCGAAAACAGAAGGGAAAAGGGCAUCAAGAACACGCUGUCCUGUAAGUAGUGGGGUAUCAGGACUACUCUAGGGAAGUUAUUUCUGUCAUUUUGAAAAAGAAAAAUUAAAGAAUGUACACAUGCUUUCAAGUGGACUGGAGCAUUCUACAUAUCAGGUGGUCUGUAGCCACAUGUGCCACUUUGUGGAAGUUGGAACAGUCGAUCACUAGGCUAUUUAGUGUGGCCAAGCCACGUUAAUCAAGGACAAGUCUUCAUACUUAAAAGUCAAAUGGUGCCUUUAGUCUCAUUACACAUGGCUAUUUAAAGAUGAACUAAUCUUUAGUGUAAUGUGAUUAAGACAGUACUAACUGAUCAAUAUUUUUUCUAAUUUUGGAUGCAAAUGCUUGCUGGCUUCAUCAUUGGAUGGGAUAAAGGUGCAUUCAUGACUCUGAAUACUUGCAGUAAUACUUGCAGUAAUACUUCAUUCUCUUUUUUCUCGAUGAGACUUCUUGGCACAAUUUUGCUUCUCAGCAACCUACCUCUCCAUGGAAAAUGAGUUGCGAUUGAUGGUACUGGAUAUUUUCUAGGAAGCUAAAUAUAGAUAUAUAGCACUCAAUGUCAACGAUAUAUAUAGCAUUAACAGUAUAUGUCUCAAUGCUCAUCAGCUACAAGCAAGGGACAAACACUUACAAUGAAUAACUCACGUCAACAUUCCUAAACAGGACAUAGAAGUGACAGAUCUAUAUAUAGAACACUGCAUAUGAGUCACAAGAAAAGAUAAUACGGGUGCAUAGCAGCUCUUAUAUUACAUAUUACUCAUACCGUUCAAAUUCACUCAGUUGGGAUGGGUGGGAGAAGGAGGCCUCUGGGGUGGCUUGUGCGUGUGAGAAGUGGAAGAAAGUUGAAUGGAAUGAAACUGAAAAACAGGGUAGAAUAGAGGUUUCUUGAAUCUUCUGAAAUCUUUAUUUUUCUGAGAUUUAUUCUCUGUUUUUGUGAGUCGUGACUCUACAUAUAUACAUGUAUUUAAAGUUAGUUAUGCCUUAUAACUAAUUAUCUAACAGUACCAAAACUAAUCAUCUAGUUGCAUGUUUCUAAUUAAUGCUAUUUAGUUACAACUAUAUAUGGCUUAACAUCCUCUCUCAAACUCAAAAGUCUAGCUAGAACAGUGAGUUUGCUUCAUAGAUUGAGAAAUUGUUGAAUAGGUAAGGCUUUGGUAAGAGCAUUAGCAAUCUGGUCAUAAGAAGGAAUGUGUUGAACCACCAAAGUCUUAUUGAGCACCUUUUCCUGAACAAAAUGGCAAUCUAGUUCCACAUGCUUAACUCGAGAAUGAAAAUAGGAUUGGCAGCAAGAAAGGUGGCUGAAAGAUUGUCAUAGAACAAAACAAAAUAGGAGAAUAAGAAGAUGAGAUAGAAAACUCCUGAAGAAGAUGUUGAAUCCAUUGAAGUUCAAAAGCAACAUUUGCUAAGGCCCUAUACUCAGCUUCAUUGCUGGAACGAGACACAACUUUCUGCUUACUGGAGUUCCAGGAGACUAGAUUAGAGCUAAAAAAGAUGCAAUGACCACUUGUACUUCGACGAUCAUCAGGGCAACCAACCCAAUCAACAUCAGCAUAAGCAGUAAGUUGAAAAUCAGGAGAAGAAUAAAAGGAAAGACCAAAGGAAGUAGUGCCCUUAAGAUAAUGCAACAAUCGUUUAACAACUUGCCAAUGAAGAUCAGUUGGUUAUUGCAUGAAUUGGCAAAGUUUAUUGAUAGAGAAAGAGAUGUCAGGCCUUGUAAUGGUACAAUAUUGCAGGGCUUCAACAAUGUUGCGAUAUUGAGAAGGGUCAGCCAAGAGGGAACCUUUAGAGGCAGAUAAAGUGUGAGAGGUAGUCAUUGGUGUAUCAAUAGGUUUAAAAUAUGGAAGACCAGCACGAGUUAACAAGUCCUGAAUAUAUUUGGUUUGGGAAAGAUGAAGAGAAGAUCCUUGCCAACAUACUUCUACACCCAAGAAGUAAUUCAGAAUACCAAGGUCCUUGAGAGCAAACUGAAAGUGUAAAGACGAAACCAUUUGGUGGACUAGCACGGUAUUAAGACCACUAACAAUAAUGUCAUCAACAUAGAUGAGAAUAAUGAUCAUGUCAGUCCCUUUCCGAAGAGGAGCUUGCUUCAGACCCUACAAGGCUUUGCGAAGUUUACAGAAAAAACCGGGUUUAGAAUGAUCAACAAAGCCUGGAGGUUGAACCAUGUAAACCUCUUCUUCUAACUCACCAUUGAGAAAGGCAUUAUUAACAUCUAAUUGUUCCACUAACCAACCAUGAGAAAUAGCAAGAGAAAGAACAAUUCAUAUAGUAGUUGGUUUAACAACAAGGCAAAAGGUUUCAAAAUAAUCAAUACCAUAUGUUUGAUUAAAACCCUUUGCAACUAAGUAGGCUUUAAAACGAUCAAUUGAGCCAUUAGCUUUGAGUUUCAGCUUGUAUAUCCAUUUACAACUAAUAAUGCGUGUAUUAACAGGUUUAGGAACCAAUGUCCAUGUGGAAUUGGUGAGAAGAGCAUCAUACUCAGUCUUCAUAGCAGCUUGCCAAUUAGGAUGCAAUAUUGCUUCUUUGAAAGAGGAGGGUUCGACAACAGUAGUUUGGAUAGCAAGGCUAAAUAUUUUUUUGGGUUUAAAAAUACCAUUUUGGCUACGAGUAACAAUAGUUCGGUUUGGAAGUGAAAGAGGAUCAGUGGAGGAGGCUGGAACAAGGGAUUGUGGUAAAGUAGGAAAGGAAGGUGGAUGAGAUGGAACAAAAUCAGUAGGGACAAUAAUGGGAGAAGAAAAAUUAGGUGGAGAAUGAUGAGGAUUCCUUGAAGAUGGUGUAGGAAUAGAGAGAAUACCAGAAUCAAGAAGUGUUAAAGAAGAGUUGGAUGAUGAUACUGGUUGACAGGAUAAAGACUUUGUUAAAAAUGGAAAUCGAGUUUCAUCAAAUACAACAUGACGAGAAGCAUAUAUCCGAGAGGAAGCCAUAUCCAAACAGAGGAAUCCCUUGUGUUUAGCACUAUAACCCAAAAAACAGCAAACAACAAAUAUAUUUGCUAGCUUGUGAGAAGCAUAAGGGCGAAGAUAAGGAAAACACAAGCAUCCAAAACUUCAAAGAGAUGUAUAAUAAGGUAAACGAUUAUAAAGAACUCCAUAAGGAGAAUUUUGUGAAAGAACAGCAGAGGGAAGGCAAUUUAUGAGAAAAAUGGCAGUUUGAAAUGCAAAUGACCAAUAUUUGAGAGGGUAUACCAGCUUGUAUUAACAAAGAAAGACCAACUUCCACAACAUGACGAUUCUUUCUUUCAACUCUUCAAUUUUGCUAAGGAGUAUAAUGACAAGAGACUUGAUGAAGAAGACCAUUUGUAGCCAAAUAAUUCUGAAAAGCUGAAACUGAAACUCAUCAAAUUGAUUUUUAGUAUCAAAUUUUCUUCAGACUGAACACAUUGAUUUUUAGUAUCAAAUUUUCUUUCAACCAUGGCUUGAAAAUGUUGGAACAUAAGUAAAGCUUCAUCUUUAGUUUCCAAAAGGUACAACCAUGAGAAUAUGCUAAAAUCAUCAAUUAGCAAGAGGAAAUAUUGAGCAUUACCAUUGACAGAAACUAUAGGAGUUGCACCCCAAAGAUCAACAUGGAUGAGACCGAAUGGUUUUAUUGCUCUAGAAGUGGAUAUUUCAAAUGGAAAACGAUGGCUUUUAGCCAACUGACAAGACUCACAUACAGAGUUAUUAUUGUCAUGUUUCAAAGGUAUUUUAUAAAGAGAUAAGAUUUUGGAAACUACAUUAAUAGAGGGAUGACCAAGUCUAUUAUGCCAAAGCCUCAAAGAACCAACGGCUAAAGUACUACUAGUAGAGUAAAAUACUAGUGGAUGACCAACAACUCUUGGUGUAGCAAGAAGUUUAUAGAGACCCUUCUCAAUUUUUCCUUGAAGAAGAGCAAGUCUCGUUUCCUGAUCCUUUACCACAAAAUGAGAAGAACGAAAUUCAAUAAAGGUGCCAUUGUUUGAGUAAAAUCGUUGCACGCUAACUAAGUUGGUGGUAAUAGAAGGAACAUGUAAGACAUCAUUGAAAAACAAAGAACCACUUGAAGAGGCAAGAGAAAAUUUACCAAUAUUUGCAAUGGAUAAACCCUUACCAUCUCCAACAAUUACUUUGUCACCACUGGUAAAUGGAUUAUGGAUUGUUAAAUUGUUAAGAUCAGAUGUGAGAUGAUGGGUAGCCUUUGUAUCAAGAAACCAAUAAGUGUCUCCCAUUGUUGCAGAAGUUGUAGUCAUAGCCUCAGGAUUGUUAGAGGUGGAAUGUUUAGAAUCUUUUGGCUGAUAAUCAGAGUUAAACCGAUACCAGCAUUGUAAAGCGGUGUGUCCGAACUUACAACCGAGAGAAAUAAUCUUUACUUAUUCUCUAAAAACUGUUCUUUAUUCCACACAUUAUUUCUAAAAACUGUUUCUAGAUAACAAUGACAAAAUAGUAUUAGGAAUUUUUAAAAAUAAAAAUUGUUUUUAAAUUACAUGAUCUAUAUCAUUCACAUUUGACCAUUAUAGCUUUGUUCAGGAAAACACUUGAAAGUAACCUUAUCGUGAUAAGAGAUAUAAGUUGGCUGUAGUUUCAAACUGAAAACAGAGGAUGGCAAUAGAAAGCAAAGCAUUAGUUAUCUGCAAUCAGUGGUGAUCAUGCCCCAUGUCAAUUUCGGACCCAUAUCUUAAAACCGUAUAAUUUGCAUUUCAACAUUUCUGAUUUCUCAGAUGUUUCAUACUCCACAGAAGAACAUUGUUUGUGAAAGCAUGCAUUUAUGCUGGAUUUUGGAUGAUGUGGGAACUGGGGCAAGGAUCAUAUGGAAGAGUGGUCGAUUUUUUCUGUACUUUAACAUUUGAAAUAGGAGCAGCACGGGCAUUUGUGGGGCUUAAUUGAUUUUGAAGCCUGAAAUUGCGUUUCUGUCAUUUUGUAAAAAAUAUGGCAGAUUCCAUGCUCUCAUAUGUUUGGUCUGUGGCCAUGUAUAGAUGCCACUUAGUGACCAGUUUGUAACUGUCAAUCAUAGUGUUUUGACUCUGGCUCAACAACAUCAGCCAUUGACGGAUUUUCAUACAUGCAAAUCAAAUAGUCUUCUUCCUCCCUUAGGAAUUUCGGUUUAAAUGUUAUUAAGCAUACAUUUGGCUGACAAUUAUUAACCACUUCAUGAUAUGGUUUCUUACCCUUAAUCAAUGGUUUCUAAGUGAAUAUAUGCAGAAGGAAAUCUGAACUGUAGACAGCAGUAUUGAUAAUUAUCAAUAUUCUUUAUAUAAGAGAAUAAACAACGUCAUAGUGAUCGUCGCCUACAAGAAAGGUACAUUUCCCAACAAGAUGUAGUUGUGACUGGUACAUGGACGUAAUUAACUCGUAGAAAAGGAUAAGACCAGUGCACGGCAGCUCUUAUUUUACAUGCUAAUUAUGCUAACCAAAGUCACUCAGUUGGGAUGGGAGGGAGAUGGAGGUUUGUGCGGUGGCUUGUGGGGCGGAGUUGGUGGCUUCUUUUCAGGAGCUUGUGGCUUUUUCGGAGCUGAAGGAGGCUCAAUCUUAUGAGGCGGCUUGUACGAGUCUUCUUUACUCUCGACAGGAGGGUGGCCAGGGUUGUGACCAUAAUGUGGUGGCUUCUCUCCCUUAGGUGGCUUGCCAACUGGGGUUGGUGGCUUGUGUUCAGGAAGUGGUUUCUCUCCCUUGGGAGGUUUACCAAUUGGGGUUGGUGGCUUGUGUUCUGGGAGUGGUUUCUCUCCCUUGGGAGGUUUAGUGGGUGACUUGUGUUCUGGAGGUGGCUUCUCCACCGGAGGCUUGUGCUCCGGUGGUGGCUUCUUGGUUGGAGGGGGCUUGGGGUAAUCAGCAAGAGAUGGGGGGGUGAGAACCACCACUCCAAGGAACAACACUAGCAAGUAUGUGGGAGACAUUUCUGAGUUUGAGCUGAUCAGAUGAUGCAAAACUAGAAGAAUUACGUGACCUUUUAUAGCAAGUAGCUCCCAAUACCCACAUGACACGUGUUACUGUGACCAUAAAUAUUAUAGGGUCCAUUUGUGCCCUACCGGGUUGAAAACUUGGACGCUUGGCCGAGGACACACCGAACUAUGGAGGACUAUUGACGUGUGAUCACAGCUUUUGGAUUUUUCUUCCUGUGCAGCUGUCUAGCGGUUGGCAUUAUUUUUUUAAUCUUAAAUAAAGGCAUAGUUAUAGAGUACAUUUAUAUAUCUUCAGAUAGCCAUUAAUAUAUUUGAUGAAGAAAGACAAGUGCAUACAACAUGUAUACGGCUUGCUUCAAUCGAGUACAUUUAUGAUCAGUUUUCCAGUGCAAGUAAACCAGUUUUUUGUUCCACAACUAUUUUGGAAUCUUGUUUAUCAGUUUCUAUCAUUAUAAUGUCACAUAGGCUGCAAACUUGGGCACCCAAAGAUCUAGUUGGGCAAAUUUGUUUCAGAAUUUCAAUGGUGGAUUCAGUAAUUGUUAAAAGGUGUUUCUUCAUUAAGGAAAGAGUCCUGUAAAAAUAUUGUUAAAAGGUGUCAUAGAAACUAUAAUAAUUAAAUAACUUCUUUUCCCCGUGGGUGGUGUUUCUUCUGGGGAUACCCAAAAUGAGUUCAGAUUAAAAUUGGUUCGAGUCAAAGCUGUCUCUUUUGUCCAGAAAUCAACUAUUUUGCGCAUUGCAUGAAUCGAUAAAGAAAAAAUGAAAGCCAAAUCACACCUCCCCUGCAAAACCUAAACCCCGGUUGCUAACUUUCUAUGUUUCAGUCCUAUUCAUACAGGAAUAUUGGUUCAAGUUUGAGAAAAAUGGCAACUUACCUAGGGAUUACUUGGUUGUGGUUUGCGACGACUAUUUACGCAACCAACCAUGAGUUUGACUUUAACGUCAUGGGUUGAAGCCUCCUACAAUCGUGUAUGAUAGUUCAAAGCUCGUAGUAGAAAUUAUACAGGAAGGAAGAAACCUCCAAAGCUAGCUCCAAAAGAGAAUUAUCACAUCGAUAGCUCCAGAGAUUCCCAAGGGGACUGAAUCAAAGACAAGUUCCUCACUUUUUCUUCUUUUGAGGCCAAAUAUGAACCAAGGAUCACACGACCUCAUUCAACUUCAUAAGUUUGAUUUCAUGCAGUUGAACACUGGGUGAAGGCCAUGACAAGAAUUGAUUAAAAAAUUCUACCACUGUUUUAAGUAAUGGAAGAUUAUUAUCUCUGAUUGGCACCACAACAGCACAUGCUGCUAGAUCUUUCUAGACACUCCAUGCAAUGAAAGUACAAUGGAUCUUGUAACGAUAGAAACUAAGCCAUGCUACAGUACUAGAUGACGAGGUAAAACUAUUAGACAUGGGUGGCAGCCUAUAUGGGAGGGACACAAGUCUAAUUGAUUUGCAUUUCAGCGUUCUAGAUGGGUAUGUUUUGGAAGAUUUGUUCUGGAAAUACCGCACCAAGUAGGAUUCUUUUUUCUCUUGAGUGGGUCCACUUGCAUGCCAAUUAUCGAGUUGAAAAGUAGAGCACCUACCUCGUGCUCGUGGAACCGAAGGUCAGUGAAGUGGGGCUCCUUUUGGCCUCUUGUGUUUCUGUUCCAACCAAGGCGGCGGAGGGAAAAACAGCAAUAUGUCUCCGCUAAAUAUCAACGCAUGAUAGCGAAUGAGGGAGAAAAAAAGUAAUUGGCAUCUCAAUCUCACAAACUUGGUACAGUAGUGACAUUAAUAGUCUUCCACAUGGUUUUUAUUUUAUUUUAUUUUAUAUUUUAUAUUUUCCAUUUUUUUAUUUUUUUGUAUGUCAAGGCUAAUGAAUAAAAUGCGUUAGCUUGUUUUGUGAUUGGAACUGCAAAUGUCCAAAUUGGAGUUUCUCCAUUUCUCAGUUCGGAUGGUUAACUUUAUAAACAAGAUAUAGGAAACAUGUGAACGUCUUGAGGAACAAUUCGAAUUAUUGAUUAGAACUCCUAGGUUGAGUUCCAAGAUUUAAAUCAGACCCCUCUAGCAGCUUCAGGGGUACCUAGCAAUUAGAACAUAUUAAUGAAGAUUUAGGAUUUAGACUCCGGAAUACAAAUUAAUAUGUAUCUUAUGCUCUGACUAGCUUCCCUGCAUAUGCACAAAAUGGAGAUGACCCAAAAAAUAGCAGAAUCGCCUUAGUUUAUGUGGUUAAGGUGAUUCUCCGGUUAAUAUCCACAUUGGCUCAUUAUGCAAAUCAACUGAGCUAUUUUUUUUUUAAUGUCAAAUAGGAACUCCUAAUUAACCUAACCAUUGGCCUGUGUAAAUUGAUUUCACAUGCACAAUGUUGUAGUAGAAGUCCACAUUUUGAAUUUUAUUUUUGGAAAGGUAAGGAAAAUGAAGCAUUGUGUAAUUAUAAAAAUAACUUCAUUGGAAUUCACAAGGUUCACCCAAAAUGGAGCUACAUCCGUAUUCUAUCUUACAGUAGACUAUAUAGAUUGUACAAUAGUAAAUUGCAAAUACAAUUAAUAAGUCUUGUGUUUCCUUACUAAUAAUCCUUUGACAUAAACAUUGCAGCACUAAGGUCCUCUUGGGCAGACACCUUGCACCCAUGAGAGCACUAAGAGGAAGCAAGGCGGAGUCAUGGGUGCAAUGUCAUGACUUGUUGCACUAAGAGAGGCUUGGUGAUGGCAUAGUGCUGCAGUAGCAAGAAUGUUGCCUUGGCAGGGACACGAUCUAGGGACAGAUGCCAAGAAAGGCUUAGCACUCACAUGAGUUGCACAAAGAUGAAUGAAAUAGAACAUCAAAGAGACAUCUUGGCAAGCUCAAGAAAGACAUGUGGGUUGGUAAAUGAAUGGAUGCAAGAGGCAACAACAUGAGGAGUUUCAAAUGGAUAGGGAAUGAGUCAAAGACAUUUGAAAGCUACAAGUUGGAUUCUAAUUACGAUUGCAAUUUGAGUUUGAGUAGGAGUUUAUAUUAUGAUUGUAAUUGUAGUAUGAGUUGGACUAGGAUUGCUUAUCCCUAGUCAAAAUAGGAGUUGUUCAUGCCACACCCUAUGAAAAGAGUUUGAGUAGGGACUAGGAUUGCUUGCUCCUAGUCAAAUAUGGAGUAGGUGGUGCCACACCUAUAAAAAAAAAAGGGACAACAUGAGAGAGAGAGAGAAUGAAUUCACCAAAGAUAUUGUGGGAGUUUUGCUUUGUUACAUCUUGUAUUAUUAUUUAGAAUAGUAAUAAAAUACAAGUUGGGGCUAGAGCCCCAUAAUCUCGUGUGCCUUUGUGGGUUAUUCUUUAUUUGCCAUCUCGUGUGGAUUGGAUUAGAUUGAUGAGGCGAAAUAUUAUGUGGGAAAUUUAUGUUGGGACACUUACCAUAACCAGGUAAAAUCUACCAAGUCUUUUGUAAUAUCUUCUACAAAUAUUUUAGACCAGUUCUUCACAAAACAUCAUAAUAUGUUUUGUGUUUCUCUUGGAUUUUGAGUUGAAUUGUCUUAGAUCAAUUGAAUGCAUCUCAAUAUUAUUAUCUUGUUUGAAGGCUUGAUGAUUUUCCAUUUAACUUUACUUUCUUUAGGUUAUGCUUGAUUCCUUAAAAGUACUAAGGAAAACAAAAAAUAAAAAAAAAUAAAAAAUGCAGAGGGUUAGGACAUGUGUUAUCUAAUUGUCCUAUCCAAAGAUAUUAAGAAAGUCAUGUAGGAAAGUAAUUGAAAACUAGGUCAAGAAAGGAGCAAAAGGGAAUUGUUUUGGUAUUUUCUUUUUUAUUCUUGAAGGUGGCAGAGCUAAAAUUUGAGAAAUCAAGCAAAACAUACUGAAAUUACAUUGAAAGAAAGAAAAUGGUAGUUAAUGUCUUGCAGUACAUGAUAAGGACUUCAUGCAUGUAGUGUGACGACCCAUGUCUUGGACUGAUGCCACACUCACGGUUACACUUAUACCCUUGGUUCUCUCUUUACUACCUUGGCUAACCUAGAUCAGGCUAUGAGAUAGGCUCCUCACCACACCAUCACUUGCCCAGUAAUUAGUGACAUUUUCAAGCAAUGAGGUAACAUGGUGACACCAAGAGGGUUUAUCCCUCGCCCCAACAAGUCUAGACUCGGUCUCAAAAAAAUGGAGAAAAAUGAGGUGUCGUUAUGCAGAAAUACAACAACCAUGCCUUCCUUAUUACUUAGAUUCAGAAUGUGAAGGUGAAAUUGAGAAACAGAAACUCUUGAAACCAGAAUGAAAAUUGAUACUUUUACGAAGAAUUACAACAUUAGAGGAAGACUACAUUCUUCCUCUAUAUUCCUACGUUUCUACACUACUUCUACUCCACUCCAUAUUUCUACAUACAUCUUUAAUCAGUUUUCCCUCCUUUAUAUAGAGCCAUCUUCACACAAAUUCCGCAAGGUAGAAAAGAGGAAUGAAACUUGGAGCAAGGUUCGACUACUGGUUGUCGCUUGUCAAGGCUGGAAUUGAACUUUUUUUCUUGGCUUUUCUGGGCAUAGGUAGUAACUUGUGGUUCCUUUUUGGAAUGAAAAUGGUACAGCUAGAACAUGUGGCACUCUCUUGUUGGAUUAUGUGUCAAACAUGUGGCAGCCAUCUAGUGGAGAUUAUUUCAAUUUUGGGAUGGAGAGUUGGCAUCCAAUUGCAAAGAAAUAUGACAUCUACCAACAUGCAAUGUAAACCUAUAUAGAUCAUAUGGAGAUAGAGAGGAAACAUAUAGAAAUGGAUAUAUACCUAGAACUAGCUUUUUAUUAAAUGAGACGGAGAGCCAACAAUGAAGGAAAAUCAAAAUUUUUGGCUCAUAUCAAAGAAUUCACAUUGUGUUACCCUAGGUUUUCUUAAAGCUUGCACAAAGCCAAAAAGCACACAAAAAAUUAUAUUUUCUAGCUCUCUACCUUGGAUGGUCUCUUGAUCCUACUUGGAGAUGUGCAUAAAUAAAAGGAUUUGAAAAUGACAAUUGACUAAGUAUGUAGUCAAUCAAUUACUCAUUAAUUGACUAGUUGAUCAAUUAACUUUGCAACAUCAUAUGCAAUCCUAAUAGCUAGUCAUCUAAUCAACUAGGUAGUAAAUCAAUAGGCCAAAAAUAUGUUUAUAAUGACUAUUUUGUACAAAAACCACCUAUAUGGUUAAAUAUAAUGCAUUUCAUUUAUAAAUCUUCUAAUUCUUGAAUAACGAUCCUAUCAUCCUUUGAAAGUUUUUAUUACACCUUUUAUACUUUUGUUCUAAAACUUACACAUGUACAUCACCCUUAAUUGUACCAUGAGAACCUAGCUUUUUUUUUUUUUUUUUUUGUAAUUCAUCAAAGUUAGCUUUUGUAUUCAUUACUGUACUAUUUUUAUUGUAACUUAGAAAGCGAGUGUUUUCAAGUGAGUGAAAUUGACUUAUAAAUAUUGUAAAGAUUCAUUGAUGUGUAUCUUAAACUAAGUGUACAAGUUGAAACAUUUGCUAGUAGAUUUUCUCAAGAUUUAGAAUAGAGCUUGAGGCUAUUGAAAUAGGUGGGGUUGCACCAAACCACAUCACAUUGUUGUUUGCACCUUUUUUUCACUCUCUUUUACUUAGUUGCUCUAUAUUUGUUGUCUAGUAAUAUCCUAUAGGCUUGAUGGGUUAGGGAGCAUCCCUUUGUGAAAAAUUUUCAUUCAAUCCUUAGUUGUAUCACGCAUAUAUAAAAUGCCUCAUUGUUUUAAUGGUAUUCAGUCGUGGCAUCACAGAUAUGGGCAUCUAAAUUUUAAAAGUUUGAAACUUUUAUCUAAAGAAAAUAUGGUGCUUUGCCUUUUUGUAAAGCAUGUUGAUGAAAUCCAUGAGAAUUGUGUACUUGGGAAGCAACAUCGAGAUGACUUUUUUUUUUUUCAUUUUUUAUAAUGCGACACCUAAGUCCGGUUUCUAAAUGCUGAAGUGAAAGGGUAGGUAUGGACCAUUGAAAUCUGAUCACAACUUUUGGCCUUUUCCUUUCUCUGCAGCCAUGUUGUCUCUUUUUUCUUUUGCAUGAUUUUCUUACCUAAACAGAAUCAUAGACUUGUUUAAUCUCUAAAUGGUAUUUCAUCCAGCUUUAAGCUACUGUAUUAUAUCUUGGUGGAGGACUUUUAAGAGUGAAACCGACAUAGAGCACAUGCAAGUGGGUAUAUGGGACAUGAAAUUUCUUCUUAUAAAGACUGCAUGGUUUUUAUAUUAGAGUUGUUGAGGCGCAAUGUAUUUAGCUUGUUUUGCAGUUAAAUUAAUUGGAUAAGUAGACAUUGUCGUUUCUAAAUUUCCCACCUAAGAUAGUGACCUUAUCCUUGACUGCUUGAUGAGAUACACAAACAAUUAUACCUUCAAAAUCUACUGUGAAGUGCUUCAUGUAUGUGUGAAGUAUUAGAAAUUUCUUUCUUGGCAACUUGUUUUUUCUUUGCCCUCUACUGAUAGGUUUGACUCAAAUUAAAUUCCCUGUCAUGCUAAUUAAUUUUCACGUGCAUGCUCAAAAGGAUCACGUCAACUCUGGUUUCUACUAUUCAGGUCCAUUCCCAGAUAAACUGGUUCAAAUUUGAGAAAAUGGCAACAGCCCUUUAGUGAUGUUGGUUUGGAGCCAGUAGCCAAACCCGCCCUGAGCUUUACCACUAAUGUCAAGGGACAAAGCCAUUUGAACAAAAACAAUAGCUUCAAGAGACUGAAUCGUGGAUGAAAUCUGAUCCACAUUUCUUCUCAUUUUGGGAACAAAUGAGAACUUAACUACAAAGAUUCUACUGCCUCAUAGUGCUUUUCCUGAUCUAAGGUUGGUUCGUUUCCCAAAUUGUGAGGUACGUGCCAUUCUCACGCUCAGGAGUGUAUCCACGUGGUGGACAUAAGAUGGUGGCUUAAUAUCUGGUGUCGGUGGCUUUACUUUACUAGGAGAGUAGUGUGUCUUCAUCUCAUUCACUGCCGGAGGGUGGCGUAAGCAGUGACGCUAAGGUGGGGCACAGUCAAUAUCAUUUGCAUUUGACCAUUAUAGUUUUCUCCCGGCUUGAAAGUAACCUUAUCGUGAUAAAGGAUUACUAGCACUAGUUCAGAUGACAGUCAUGUUAAAUUCGGACCAUGUUUGUGUCACAUUAUCAGCAACCAUGUGUUUAUGGUUCAUGCUAUCUGCAACUAAACUUGAUAUAUAACCACGUGAACUUCAAUCUAAAUUCUGGAAGUACUCUUGUGAUAGAUGGUGCCUGUCUGCAGAGUCCAUCAAUUGAAAAAUGGAGUGAGUGUAUCUAUAAGAGGGAAGGCUUGGCAAAUGUUCAGUUUUCUGGGAACUCAACAAGGAUCUAAAAUAGAUUGUUUUCUUUGCUGAUUUCAAUGGUUGAAAUUUGAGAAGAUUGUGUCCACAUAACACAACUAUUACUGGUCCUUCUGUUGCAAUUUAUCCUCUAAGGCUCUAACAUGUCUUCCAAUUCCCACUUCCCUGUUACUCCAGGAAAGCUAUUUCUGUCAUUGUGAAGAAGAAAAGAGAAUGUACAUAUCGAUGGUUUUAAGUGACUGGGGCAUUCAUAUCAGGUGGUCUGCAGCCAUAUAUGCCACUUUGUGAAGGUUGGAACAGUCAAUCACCAGGCUAUAUUAGUGUGGCCCAGCCACUUCAAUCAAGGACAAGUCUUCAUACUUAAAGUCAAAUUCUGCCUUUAGUCUCAUUAUAAAUUGCUGUUUAAAUAUUAAGCAAACAUUUGUUUAAUGCGAUUAAGACAGUACUAACUCAAUACUUGUUCUAUUUUUGGAUGCAAAUGCUUGAUGGUUUCAUCAUUGGAUGGGAUAAAGGUGCAUUCAUGAUUAUGAAUACUUGUAGUUAUAUUUUCAUUCUCUUUUUUCUCAAUGAGACUUGUUGGCACAAUUUUGCUGUUCAGAAACCUACCUCUCCAUCGAAAAUCAGUUGUGAUUGAUAGUACUGGAUAUAUUCAAGAAAGCUAAAUAUAGAUAGCACCAAAUAUUAUCGAUAUAAAUAGCAUUAACAGCGUACGUAUGUCUCAAUGCUCAUCAGCUAUAAGCAACGGGCAAACACUUACUAUGAGCAACUUGCGUCAAAAUUCCAGAAUAGGACAUAGAAGUGACAGAUCUAUAUAUAUAUAGAACACUGCAUAUGAGUCACAAGAAAGGAAAUUACGGGUGCAUAGCAGCUCUUAUUUUACAUCCUACUCAUACUGAUCAAAGUCACUCAGUUGGGAUGGGUGGGAGUAGGAGGUUUGUGGGGUGGCUUGUGCGGAGGAGUUGGCAGCUUCUUUCCAGGACCUGGUUGCUUCUCUGCUGGAGUUGAAGGAGGCUUAAUCUUCCGAGGUGGCUUGUAUGAGUCUUCAGCAUUCUCAGCAGGAGGGUGACCAGGGUUGUGACCAUAAUGUGGUGGCUUCUCUCCCUUAGGUGGUUUGCCAACUGGGGUUGGUGGCUUGUAUGAGUCUUCAGCAUUCUCAGCAGGAGGGUGACCAGGGUUGCGACCAUAAUGUGGUGGCUUCUCUCCCUUAGGUGGUUUGCCAACUGGGGUUGGUGGCUUGUGUUCUGGGAGUGGCUUCUCCCCCUUGGGAGGUUUUUCCAAUGGGGUUGGUUUGUGUUCAGGAGGUGGCUUCUCCACUGGAGGCUUGUGUUCAGGAGGUGGCUUCUCCACCGGAGGCUUGUGUUCAGGAGGUGGCUUCUCCACCGGAGGCUUGUGUUCAGGAGGUGGCUUCUCGAAUGGGGGAUGCUCAGGGUAAUCAGCAAGUGAGGGGUUGGUGAGAACCACCAUGCCAAGCAACAGGACUAGCAAGUAUGUAGGAGACAUCUUUGGGUUUGGACUUAAGACAGUGGAAAACUGCGAGAAUUCUCUAGCCUUUUAUAGCGGGUCGACCCAGUACUCACAUGACACGUGUCAUUAUGACACAUGUGCCAUGGGGUCGAUUUGGGUCCUACAGUGUUGAAAAGUUGGGCAUUUGAGGUGUGAGCACAACUUUUGGCCUUUGCUUUCUCUACAGCCGCCAUGCUUUUCCCUUUUUUCCUUUUCCUUUUGUUUUCCUCCUGCCUCGUGUUCUCAACUAAACACAAUUAGGUUGUUUAAUUGUUAAAUGAGAUUUUUGUCUGUCAAUCAUAUUAUAUCCUAUCAAGAGAGAACAGAGUGUAAUGUAGUACACAUAACACGAGGCAGUAGUAAUUUUAUCAUUUAUUUUUAUAGCUUGGACCACCGCAUUUUUUCUUCUAAAAUAUUCUGUCUUGUUAAGAGACGCAAUAAUACACAAUUUUAUCUGCCAUUCAACAUUUACUGUAAAGUUCUUUUAUCUCUUUGUAGUUCUAGAAAAGUACAAAAUGGAACAUCAUGUAUAUGGUGCCUUCUGUCCUAAAAAAGAAACUGGACAAAUUAUGAACUGCAUGCUAAAAAGAGGCAAAGGAGCUUAAUUCGCAGCAUAAUUAUUUUGGUUUCUAGAGAGCCCGGGGCCUUUUGGUUGGUUUGGGGUCAGAAAAUGAACAUCAUAGGGAUUGUGCCCUUAACUGGCCUUGUUACUACAAAGAAAUUGCCAUAGAAAUUUAUUCCAGGCUGAGUAUCUCCGGAUAGACCCCAGAAAAGAAGAGUCAUAAUGAGAAUCAACCUUUGUUGAGUUUGAUUCCAUGCCUCCAUUGUGUUCAUUUCAUGAAUCUGAUUUGCAUUUAACAUUACAGUUUUGUUCUGGAAACAAUCAAAGGAGCAUCGUUUGCUUCUUGGGUGACCCAUAGUGGUGGGUGGGUCGAUUUGCUUAGUUGAAAAUUGGACAAUUGGCUCCAUCGCCUACCUCUUGGAUUCCAUGCUCGGAUAAAACGACAACAAAUAAAUAUUUAUAACUUACAACUGGGGAAAGGAAAAAAUAGUACUAAAUUCAUGGUACAUGAUAGUGAGAGAAGGGGGUGUUACACUCAGCUAAAGUUCUUUUCUAAAUAUUGCAUGGUGUUUAAUUUUAUGUGUCGGCGCGCGUGUGAAUGGAACCUGCAAAAGUCCAAAUUGGCGUUUCUCCAUUUUCCACAUAGGAUGGUGACGUUAAUAGACAAAGAUACAAUAUCUGUAGACAUUGCUUAAAAAUCGAUGUGAAGUAUUAGAAAUUACAGGCCACUGUACUGGGGGAGCGGCUGCCCCGCCAAAGGAAGAAUGUAGCAAUUUCUUCUGUUAGCCAGGCCUUAGGAUUUAUGCAUGGGAUGCCUAAUAACAAACAGAGAAAAUAUGCUUUUGGGGAAGGUAUCCAACAACAGACACCAUCAUUCAGAUGGUGGGAAGGUAUCCAACAGAUGCCAUCAUUCAGAUGGUAACAUAUAUAUACAUUUAUUAGUGAGUUUUUUUAAUACCUAUAAAAAAAAUAUACACUUUGAUAUUGUGGCUGAAUCCAUUACAUACUCAACUAACCUUGCUCAUUAGGGAUUUGACGUAACAAGGGCAACGUUGCAGUAAAAGCUCGAAACUUUAUGCAGGUGACAUUACAUUUGGUAAAGAAGAGGAAAAUAAGGAAAGCCAUCCAUAAAAGCAAAAUUCCUCAUGGGAUGAAAUUCACAAACUUCAUUUACGUUAGAGUCGCAUCCAGGCAAUUAAUUCCACAUUAGACCGCCUUUUGACAUGUGUACGGAUCUUUUUUCAAAAAUUAUUUAUAAAUAAUUGAUACUUACAAAAAUAAUUUAAGAUUUAUAAAGGAUAAAAAAAUAUUUUCAAAUCUAUGACAAUUUAUAAAAUAUUAAUAAAAAAUUAUCUCUUAAACUUAGUAUAGUUUUAUCGUAUUAAACUUUUAUUUUGAACAAAUAAUUUUAAUCUAAGUUUUAAAUUCUAAAAUUAUUUCCUUAAAAUAAAAUUUUAAAAUUCAACACUUCAAUUGAAAUUGUCUUUUAAAAAAAAUAUCUUCUUAUUUUAAUCCUUAUAAACUAUAGUUGAUUGAAAAUACUAUUGAAGUUCUCUCUUCAAAAAAAGUCUUAUUUUAAUCUUCAUAAAUUGCCCUUGAUUUGAAAAUAAACUUUGGGUUAUCAUAUUUUAAAUAAUAUAUAUAUAUAUAUAUAUAUAUAUAUAUAUAUAUAACAAAUACUCUAUUUUUUUUUUAAAUGAACUAAUUUUAAUUAUAUUUUAUUUUAUUUUUUUAUAUAUUUUUAAUGAUAAACCAAACAUAGAAAAUCAUUUUUCUAAAUAUUUUAAAAUUUCUAAGCAACCAAACAUAAUCUUCAAAAUAAAAGGAGAAUAAGGAGGGACAAGUGAGAAAUGGCGAUUAAAAAAAAGUGUACAAAAGCUCAAUUAAUUUUCUUCUAGUCUUUUAUAUAAAAAAGUAUUGGUAUGUAAAUUAAUAUUUGGAUUUUAAUAGUAUUUUAUUUGUCUUUCUCUAUCUCAUGUAAAAGAGAAUUUAAGAUAUUUCCUAAAGCAAAGCAUUAGUUAUCUGCAAUCAGUGGUGAUCAUGGUCCAUGUCAAUUUCGGACCCAUAUCUUAAAACCGUAUAAUUUGCGUUUCAACAUUACUGAUUUCUCAGAUGUUUCAUACUCCACAGAAGAGUAUUGUUAGUGAAAGCAUUUUGUAACUGUUACUCAUAGUGUUUUGACUCUGGCUCAACAACAUCAGCCAUUGACGGAUUUUCAUACAUGCAAAUCAAAUAGUCUUCUUCCUCCCUUAGGAAUUUCGGUUUAAAUGUUAUUAAGCAUACAUUUGGCUGACAAUUAUUAACCACUUCAUGAUAUGGUUUCUUACCCUUAAUCAAUGGUUUCUAAGUGAAUAUAUGCAGAAGGAAAUCUGAACUGUAGACAGCAGUAUUGAUAACUCUCAAUAUUCUUUAUAUAAGAGAAUAAACAACGUCAUAGUGAUCGUCGCCUACAAGAAAGGUACAUUUCCCAACAAGAUGUAGUGGUGACUGCUACAUGGACGCAAUUAACUCGUAGAAAAGGAUAAGACCAGUGCACGGCAGCUCUUAUUUUACAUGCUAAUUAUGCUAACCAAAGUCACUCAGUUGGGAUGGGAGGGAGAUGGAGGUUUGUGCGGUGGCUUGUGGGGCGGAGUUGGUGGCUUCUUUUCAGGAGCUUGUGGCUUUUUCGGAGCUGAAGGAGGCUCAAUCUUAUGAGGCGGCUUGUACGAGUCUUCUUUACUCUCGACAGGAGGGUGACCAGGGUUGUGACCAUAAUGUGGUGGCUUCUCUCCCUUAGGUGGCUUGCCAACUGGGGUUGGUGGCUUGUGUUCAGGAAGUUGUUUCUCUCCCUUGGGAGGUUUACCAAUUGGGGUUGGUGGCUUGUGUUCUAGGAGUGGUUUCUCUCCCUUGGGAGGUUUAGUGGGUGACUUGUGUUCUGGAGGUGGCUUCUCCACCGGAGACUUGUGUUCUGGAAUUGAUUAAAAAAAUUCUACCACUCUUUUAAGUAAUGGAAGAUUAUUAUCUCUGAUUGGCACCACAACAGCACAUGCUGCUAGAUCUUUCUAGACACUCCAUGCAAUGAAAGCACAAUGGAUCUUGUAACGAUAGAAACUAAGCCAUGCUACAGUACUAGAUGACGAGGUAAAACUAGUAGACAUGGGUGGUAGUUGAUUACUACUCAAAAAGUACUCUUUUAUAGUUUGAAACUAACUGUUUUAAACACUUUUGAGUAGUAGUUAAUAAAUUUUAACUCAAUUGGCACAUUAAGGAACCUAGCAAGGGUUACUAAUAAACUUUUGGCAAGUUUUGGUGUUUUUGGUAGUUAUUCGAUCAUUGAAACAAGCCAAGAAUGAGGGAGAAUUUUGUGAAGUCCAUGGCAAUGCAAGUUAAAGCUCAAAUACACGAAGAAUCCAAGCUUUGGAGCACUACAUAGCCCUUUGCCAAGCCAAUUAGAGAUGCAAGGAACAAAACCAAAGGAAGAAAUCCAACAACCAACAUUUUCGCAUGGUUGUGUGAAAUUUCGCACACCAUGCGAAACCACAAGAGGUAGCCAAAGAAUUUCACAUGGUAUGCGAAAUCUUCUCAUGCACCGACUCCGUUAGAUUUUUAUCUUCAGAUAUUUUGUGUAAUUUCCUAGUUUCUCCUUGUAACCAACCUAGAUAUUUUCUUUUAUAUCUUUUUUUAUAUUUUUUAGGUAACAUCAUAUAUAAGGGGAGAGACAUAAGGAGGAUAUGGAUGUUUUUCAUAGAACACUUGUAAAUUUUCAGUAGUAAGAAAUAUACAAAGCUUUUUGCUAUGCCUUACCUUCUCAUUUUGUUUUCACCUGUCUUUCUAGCCAAACAACCUCUAAGGAUGAUUUCUCAGGGGAUGAGUGGCUAGGUUUUACGUUUCUUGGAGUGAGGGAAGCUAGGUGAAGGACCUGAAUGCAAAGAUGAGAGUUUUCCUUGCUUUAAAUGAAAGUAGUUGUUAAACAUUAAUGGUUUUUAUUUUAAGGUUUAGCUUUAAAUCCCUUAAAAACACCUUGAAUGACCAAUACUUGGUAAGCUUUUCGGAUUCUAUGGAUGCUUAUUGCUAGAUCCAUGGAUGUCUAUUAGUUAUCAUUUACGAGCCUUUGGAAGGUGAUUCAAGGUGAGGGUCUUUAGUGUUUGAAGCCAUUAAUGGGAAGCAAUUACCAUUUUUUCAUGAAUCCUUUGGAUCAAAUCUUAAUUGCUAAAUAUAAAACCGAUUUGGGAAAUAACCAUCCUUUAUGUUAUUAUCCCCAACGCAAGGAGAAGAUCCGGAAUCUUCCCUUUUGUCUAAGGAACCCGAUCCUAGUGACCUAAAGCUCCAAGAGACCUUUUCUUUGUAGUUAACUUCAUUUAUUGUUUUUGCUUAACUUAAAAUCAAUCUUUGCAACCACAAUUCCAUUUUCUUUAAAAGCUAAUUUUUAUAAGGAAAAACACCAUUUUAUUUCCUUCACUAAGUCAACUGUACGAUGAAAACCCAUCCCUGUGGACGAUCCUAGAGCCAUUAUACUAUGUUAGCUAUGCUACCCUAGUGUGAGGUGAUUUAGGUUUUAUAAAUUUUGUUGAUAACACCCAUCUGAGCCAGAAUCAAAUGGCACAACUGAACCAGGGACGAAUCAAAUGGCGCCGCUAUCGAGGAUGGUGCCAAAGUACAUUGACAUGACUUUUGGUGAACACUUGUGAUCUUCAUCACAAGUUUGGUGAUUUUUCUAUUACUAAUUUUUUUCUUUGUUUUUAUUUUAGCUUAUCUUUUAUUUAGUUUUUAGCUAACCUUAACUUUUUCUUAGAAUUGUAUUUCUUCUAUUUUCUUUGUUUUUGUUUCAGUGAUCUUUAGUUGUGCAUGCCCUAUUGGAUAAGAAAUAUUGAGGGAAUACUUGUGAAGAUUGAAAAUCCUCGAGAAACUGAGUUGGAAGUGUGAUUGAACAUCAUGGAUGUUCCACCUGAAGACCAGAAUAGCCAACAUGGUUAAGAGGAUAAUUUCAAAGCAUACCGAUCCAUGAGGGACUGCAUGCAUCCACCUCGUAUGAGUGCACCGUCAUGCAUAGUGCCUCCCACUGAGCAACUAGUAAUCUGACCUCACAUUGUGCCACUCCUACCUACUUUCCAUGGGAUGGAGAGUGAGAAUCUCUACUCGCAUAUUAAGAAAUUCGAGGAGGUUUGUAAUACAUUCCAAGAAGGAGGAGCUUCAAUUGACUUGAUGAGGCUCAAGCUAUUUCCUUUCACUUUGAAGGAUAAGGCUAAGAUUUGGCUUAAUUCUUUAAGGCCAAGGAGUAUCCGAACUUGGACUAAUUUGCAAGCCGAUUUUCUUAAGAAGUUCUUCCUUACCCAUAGGACCAAUGGUUUGAAAAGGCAAAUUUCGAACUUCUCAGCUAAAGAGAAUGAGAAAUUCUAUGAGUGAUGGGAGAGGUACAUGGAAGCUAUUAAUGCUUGUCCUCACCAUGGCUUUGACACAUGGCUCUUAGUGAGUUAUUUUUACGAUGGUAUGUCUUCUUCAAUGAAGCAACUCCUAGAAACUAUGUGUGGAGGAUACUUCAUGAGUAAGAAUCCGAAGGAAGCCAUGGACUUUUUGAGUUAUGUGGCUGAAGUUUUAAGAGGAUGGGAUGAACCAAAUGCUAGAGAGGUGGAAAGAAUGAAGUCUCAACCUAAUGCUAAGGGUGGGAUGUAUGUUUUGAAUGAAGACAUUGACAUGAAAGCAAAGGUUGUAGCUAUGGCAAGGAGAUUGGAAGAGCUAGAAAUGAAGAAGGCACAAAAAGUGGAAGCCAUUUCUGAGACAUCAGUGCAAGCUAUGCCUUGUUCCAUUUGUCAACCUAAUGCUAAGGGUGGGAUGUAUGUUUUGAAUGAAGACAUUGACAUGAAAGCAAAGGUUGUAGCUAUGGCAAGGAGAUUGGAAGAGCUAGAAAUGAAGAAGGCACAAAAAGUGGAAGCCAUUUCUGAGACAUCAGUGCAAGCUAUGCCUUGUUCCAUUUGUCAAUCUUAUGAGUACCUAGUGGAGGAGUGUCCUACAAUUCCAGUAGUGAGAGAGAUGUCUGGUGAUCAAGCAAAUGUUAUUGAUCAAUUCAAGCCUAAUAAAAAUGCUUCAUAUGGCAACACCUACAAUUCAAAUUGGAUGAACCAUCCAAAUUUCUCUUGGAAACCAAAGCUACCUCAAUACACACAACCUGCUCAAGCACCUUAGCAAUCCUCGAAUCUUGAACAAGCUAUUGUGAACCUUAGUAAGGUUGUGGGAGAUUAAAAGUCCAUCAAUGCUCAACUGAAUCAGAGAAUUGACAGUGUAGAGAGUACAUUGAACAAAAGGAUGGAUGAGAUGCAAAAUGAUCUGUCUCAAAAGAUAGACAAUGUCCAAUAUGCAAUCUCAAGGCUUACCAACCUCAACACAGUGCAAGAGAAAGGAAAGUUUAUUUCUCAACCUCAUCAAAAUCCCAAGGGUAUCCAUGAAGUGGAGGCUCAAGAGAGAGAAUCUUCAAAGGUGAGGGAAGUCAAAGCAGUUAUCACCUUGAGGAGUGGUAAAGAGGUUGAUCAACCCACAUCCAAGCCAAAGCAUAAUGAAGAGAGUUUUGUAGAAAAAGAAAAGAGAGGAAAAUAAAGGAAAGAGAAUAGAGAAAAGUACAAAGAAAGAUGACCAUGAGUCUAGUGUGGAUGAAGAGCCCAAGAGGAUAGUGAUCAAGGAAAAUAUGAUGAAGAAACACAUGCCUCCACCUUUCCCCUAAGCUUUGCAUGACAAAAAAGGAACCAAUAAUACAUCGGAAAUUUUUGAAGUAUUGAGGCAAGUGAAGGUCAAUAUCCCUUUGCUAGAGAUGAUCAAACAAGUGCCGACAUAUGCAAAAUUCUUGAAGGACUUGUGCACUGUAAAGAGAGGGUUGAAUGUGAACAAGAAAGCUUUCUUGACCGAGCAAGUGAGUUCCAUCAUACAGUGCAAGUCUCCAGUGAAGUACAAAUAUCCGGGCUACCCUACCAUCUCAGUGAGUAUUGGAGGUACUUGUGUGGAAAAAGCUUUGUUGGACUUGGGAGCAAGUGUGAAUUUGCUACCCUACUCUGUCUAUAAGUAGUUGGGACUUGGAGAGUUGAAGUCAACAUCCAUCACCCUAUCUCUGGCAGAUAGAUCAGUGAAGAUUCCAAGAGAGAUGAUAGAAGAUGUCUUGGUUCAAGUUGACAAAUUCUACUAUCCAGUGGAUUUUGUUGUUCUUGAUACGGAUCCGAUUGUCAAAGGAACUAAUUAUGUUCCUAUCAUACGAAGACCCUUCCUAGCUACAUCAAAUGCAAUCAUCAAUUGUAGGAAUGGAGUCAUGAAACUCACGUUUGUCAACAUGACAUUAGAGCUCAACAUCUUCCAUUUGUACAAGAAGCAUAUCCAUUCAGAAGAAAAAGAAGGUCUAGAGGAAGUGUGCAUGAUUGACACUUUAGUGGAGGAGCAUUGUGAUCGACAAUGCAAGAAGAUUUAGUUGAGAGUUUUGGGGAUCUUGAUGAAGGGUUACUUGAACCCUCAGAUUUGCUUGCUACCCUACUCCAUUGGAGGAAGAGAGAAGAAAUUCUACCCUUAUUCAAUGAGGAGGAGACACAAAGAGCUGCUAAAGAUAAGCCCCCAAAGCUUAUUCUUAAGCCACUACCCACAGAGUUGAAGUAUGCAUACUUGGAAGAAGACAAGAAGUGCACUGUUGUUAUAUCUUUAGCUCUUACCAUUCAUCAGGAGGAUUGUCUACUUGAAGUCCUUAGAAGAAGUAAGAAGGUAAUAGGGUGGCAAAUUUCUGAUUUGAAAGGGAUCAGCCCUUUUGUCUGCACCCAUCAUAUUUACAUGGAGGAUGAAGCUAAGCCAAUUCAUCAACCUCAGAGAAGGUUGAACCCUCACAUGCAAGAAGUGGUGAGAGUUGAAGUUCUUAAGCUACUUUAGGCUGGUAUUAUUUACCCCAUAUCAGAUAGCCCAUGGGUGAGUCCUACUCAAGUUGUGCCAAAGAAGUCGGGGAUCACGGUGGUGCAAAAUGAUAAGGGAAAAGAUGUCUCUACAUGUCUCACUAUAGGUUGGAGGGUGCGUAUCAAUUACAGGAGGUUGAAUGUAGUGACAAGGAAUGACCAUUUCUCGUUGCCCUUUAUUGAUCAAGUGCUUGAGAGGGUCUCUGGGCAUCCUUUUUAUUGUUUCUUGGAUGGCUACUCGAGGUAAUUUAAGAUAGAAAUUGAUGUUGAAGACCAGGAGAAGACCAUUUUCACAUGCCCAUUUAGAACCUAUGCAUAUAGGAGAAUGUCUUUCGGCUUAUGCAAUGCACCCACAACUUUCCAAAGAUGCAUGUUAAGCAUUUUCAAUGAUAUGGUGGAGCAUAUUAUGGAAGUCUUUAUGGAUGAUAUCACCAUAUAUGGAAGUGCAUUUGAUGAAUGCUUGGUCAACUUAGAAGUUGUUCUGAACCGAUGCAUUGAGAAAGACUUAGUGCUUAAUUGGGAGAAGUGCCAUUUCAUGGUACACCAAGGGAUUGUCCUUGGGCACAUCAUCUCCAAGCAAAGCAUUGAAGUUGACAAAGCAAAGGUUGAACUCAUUGUUAAGUUGCCAUUCCCAACAAAUGUCAAAGGAGUAAGGCAAUUCCUUGGCCAUGCCGGGUUCUAUAGGAGGUUUAUCAAGGAUUUCUCUAAGCUUGCAAGGCCUCUUUGUGAAAUAUUGGUGAAGGAUGUUAAAUUCAUAUGGGAUGAUAGAUGCCAAAGGAGUUUUGAAGAAUUGAAGCUAUUUUUGACAACCUCACCAAUAGUGAGGGCUCCCAACUAGCAACUGCCCUUUGAGGUAAAGUGUGAUGUCAAUGACUUUGCUAUAGGAGCUGUUCUUGGGCAAAGAGAAGAUGGAAAACCUUAUGUGAUCUACUAUGCGAGCAAGACAUUGAAUGAGGUGCAAAGAAACUACAUAACCACCGAGAAAGAAUUGUUAGCUGUAGUUUUUGCCUUGGAUAAGUUUCGUGCUUACUUGGUGGGAUCCUUCAUCGUGGUUUUUAUUGAUCACUUUGCUUUGAAGUAUCUAUUGACUAAGCAAGAUGCUAAAGCAAAACUGAUUAGAUGGAUUUUCUUGCUUCAAGAGUUCAAUCUCCAGAUCAAAGACAAGAAAAAAAUGGAGAAUGUGGUAGUAGACCACAUUUCAAGGCUAGCUAUCGCACAUAAUUCCCAUGCUUUGCCCAUUAAUGACGAUUUUCUAGAGGGGUCUCUCAUGUUGGUGGAAGUUGUCCCUUGGUACGCUCACAUUGCUAACUACCUGGUCACAAGAGAAGUUCCAAGUGAGUGGAAAGCACAAGAUAAGAAGCACUUCUUUGCAAAAAUUCAUGCCUACUAUUGGGAAAAGCCAUUUCUAUUCAAGUAUUGUGCGGAUCAGAUAAUAAGGAAGUGAGUUCCUGAAGAAGAGCAACAGGGGAUCCUCAGUCAUUGCCAUAAAAAUGCAUGUGGAUGCCACUUUGCUUAUCAGAAGACAACCAUGAGGGUGCUGCAAUCGGGUUUCUGUUGGCCAUCACUUUUCAAAGAUGCCCACACCAUGUGCAAGAGUUGUGAUCGAUGCCAGAGGCUUGGGAAGUUAUCAUGUAGGAACAUGAUGCCUUUGAACCCCAUUUUAAUAGUUGAUCUUUUUUAUGUUUGGGGCAUUGACUUCAUGGGACUUUUCCCUAUAUCUUUUGGCUACUCUUACAUCUUGGUGGGAAUAGAUUAUGUUUCUAAGUGGGUUGAGGCAGUCCCAUGCAAACACAAUGACCAUAGAGUGGUUCUCAAGUUUCUUAAGGAGAACAUCUUCUCAAGAUUUGGGGUGCCCAAAGCCAUAAUUAGUGAUGGGGGUACUCAUUUUUGCAACAAGCCUUUUGAAACUCUCCUAGCCAAGUAUGGGGUGAAGCAUAAGGUAGCUACACCUUACCACCCUCAAACUAAUGGGCAAGUUGAGUUAGCAAACAAGGAGAUUAAAAACAUAUUGAUGAAGGUGGUGAACACAAACAGAAAAGAUUGGUCAGUCAAGCUCUUCGAUUCACUAUGGUCAUGUAGAACAGCUUACAAGACCAUUAUCGGGAUGUCUCUUUAUCACCUAGUCUAUGGAAAAAAUGCCAUCUCCUUGUGAAAUUGGAAUACAAAGCUUGGUGGUCAAUCAAGAAGCUCAACAUGGAUUUGAGCAGAGCUGGGUUGAAGAGGUUCUUAGACCACAAUGAGAUGGAGGAAUUGAGAAAUGAUGCCUACAUCAAUUCAAAAAUUGUAAAAGAAAAAUUGAAGAGGUGGCAUGAUCAGUUGAUUUCCCGCAAGAAUUUUCAAAAUGGAUAAAGAGUCUUGCUCUAUGACUCUAAACUCCACAUCUUUCCGAGCAAGCUGAAAUCAAGGUGGAUAGGUCCUUUUACCAUUCACCAAGUGCAUUCAAAUAGAGUAGUGGAACUACUCAACUCCAACAACAUCGGGAGCUUCAAAGUGAAUGACCAUUGUCUCAAGCCCUUUGUAGAGUCUUUUUUCUCGCGACAAGGAGGAAUUCAUCCUCCUUGAUCCACAUCAAGCUUGACAAGACCAGUUUUUUUUUAUGGACUUAGUCUUUCUAAAGACUAUCGAGUCCAUAACUUUUUAUUUUAUUUUUUAUUUGAGAGUUUUUCGGUAUUAUUACUUGUUUUGUUUUUUAUUUUUCGUUUUACUUUUAUUUGGUUUGAUUUAACUUAGAUUUUUUAUGAUCAAUUGCAGGGGGGAUUUCAAAUAGAGGAAAAACCAAGAUAAUUCGCACACCCUGCGAAAAUUUCGCAAGGCAUGCGAAAUUUAUGGCUCAUUUCGCAUGGGAUGCGAAAUUUCGCACACCCUACGAACCAAUUUCGCACACUUUGUGAAAAUAAACCAACCCUACGAAAUCAUUUCAAAUACUCUACGAAAUUUUCGCAGAGCAUGUAAAAAAUUUCGCAGACCAAACACCAUUUCGCAUACUAUGCGAAAAUGUAAGGGGUCUACAAAACCAUUUCGCACCUCCAAAGCCAUUUCGCACAUUGUGCAAAAAUGAAAAGUCGCCCUAUCAUCCAUUUUUAAACCCCUUGAGCCCUGAAAUCCCCAUUUCGCAAGCACCCCUGUCCUUGCGAAUCCCUCAUUUUCCUCUGCCACCUUGCGACCUUGUCCCUCUCCAUUUGAUAUCGUGCCCUGCGCACAUCUCAUUUCAAAGACUCGCACUCUGCGCCCUCUCAAAGCACGAACCCAAGGCUCACAUUCCAUUUCCGACAUGGCACAGACCCGAGGAGCCCUUCCCGCCCCUUCAUCGAGACGCACACCAAGGUAGAGAGCCUCUUUUGCUCAGAUGCCAAGUGAUUCUCCAUUUCAGGCCACGGAGGCCCUGCGGAUUCCACAUUCCAAGGGUAGAACAGCCACUGGUCCUUCCUCUUCUAUUCCUCAGCGUAGAUAUGAGACGAGGAGACCACCUACUACACAAAGGGCGACUACUUCGCGCCAUGAGAAUUCGGUACGACACCCUCCUGCCAAGAGGGCCAGGACUUCAGGCCCAGGCGAGUCAUCCAAAGCUUCACAGCCUGAGCCUCCUGCAGAUUCCGAGGUUCCUACUGACAUAUCAUCGGAGUCUAUUAUCAAACGCCCGAUGCUCACAGCACCGCCCAUUGAGGGCAACUCUGAUUGUAGAGCGAGACCUUUCCACUUGGAGCUAUAUUUUAAUUAAGAGGCCAUGCCACAGCAGCCUGAGCUCCAAGACUCUUAUGGCUUACUACAGAGGUACCAUCUUGAGGACCUUAUGACUCCUCGUGAGUUCUUUUAUCCCAGAGUAGCACUAGACUUUUACCAGUCCAUGACUACUCGUGGCGUCCCGAGUCCUACCGCGAUGCACUUCACCAUUAAUGGACGUCAUGGUAUCCUCGAGGCCAGACAUAUUGGAGAGGCUCUACAGAUUCCUUUCGAGCUAGAGGACCCAUCUGUUUUCUGCCAAUGGUCCCCAAUAUCUCAGAGGGACAUGGUCCAUAUUUUAUCCAGGGGGACAUCUACAUAUUCGAUCCUUCUACGGAAGGAGCUUCGACCUGGGAUACUCCUCGUAGAUGUGGUGCUACUUUCCAACCUCUUUCCCUUUUAGCAUUCGAUACAUAGGCGAGGAGCUAUUUUGGACGCUUUAUUCUGUAUAUCAGAGGGCUUCUACUUUGGCCCGCACCACUUGAUCAUGGUUUCCCUCAUCCAUUUUGAGGAGAAGGUCCAUAGAAAGAAGCUUCAGAGGGCGAACACCAUUCCAUUACUAUUCCCGAGGUUGCUCUACUAGAUCUUGGAGUACAUGGGCUUUCCUACUGAGCCUCGGCUUGUGUGCCGCCGCCUUUGUCAAGAGCGAUCCACUCUCGACAAAUGGAAUCAGUUGGCGGGCUAUUCUACACCUCCAGGAGCCCCUCCCAUGGUAGCACCUCUAGUGUCCCCACAGGCAGAGUAGGGCAAGCUCCCGGUAGAGACUGCACCCCUAGUGCCCACACCUGAGGCUACUUCUGCUGUUCCGCCUACGACUCCUACUGUUCCACCAGUUGGUCCUUUUACAUCUGAGUCUUCCAUCAACAUCUCGACUUCGGAGUUUCGCGCCCUUGUGCAUACCUUUCAGACACUCACCACCACACAUACUGCUCUCUUCUAGAAAAUGGCUGAGAUGCGUGCCCAUCAGGACCAGCAGACUACUAUACUCCGCCAAAUUCAACAGCACCUGGGACUUCUGCCUCUGCCUCAGCUUGACCUUCCCACAUCAUCAGAGCCUCUAGCUCCAGUUGAGGAUACUAUUCCACCUGAGGACACUACCACAGUAGAGGUUCAGAUUCCACCACCUCAGGAGGCCACCACAGCUACAUUAGAGGAUGCAUCAUCUCCACCUGAGGCUCCCACUACUUGAUCAUAGGACAUCUCUUUAUCUUAUUGUAUUUACAUAUUAUAUUACUGGAGAUUUGUCUUUGUUUUGAUACUUUAUAUUCUGGCAUUGAAUGUAUUGCCUAAUGAUAUCUCAAUUGUACUUUCUCAUAUUAAUAUAUAGACAUCAAUUUUUUUUAGUAUACUUAGGAUUUUUCUAUUUACUCUACUCAUUACUCUUUUGUUUUUUUUUUUUUACUCAUGUGGUUUCUCCUAUACGACUCAGACUCCAUUUCACUCAGGAGGUACCACUUCUUCCCUUUAUUUUCAAUUGCUCUUGAAACAUUGAGGGCAAUGUUGAUCUUGGUUGGAGGGAGAGUUGAGGAAGGAAGUGAUUACUACUCAAAAAGUGCUAUUUCAUAGCUUGUAAUUAACUCUUUUAAAACACUUUUGAGUAGUAGUUAUCACCUUUUAACCCAAUUAACAUAUUAAGGACCCUUGCAAUCAAUUCUAAUCAAAUUGUGUUAAGUUUUGGUAUUUUGAUAGCUUUUUUAUCACCAAAGCAAUCCGAGAUUGAGGAUAUUUAUUUGGAAUCCAUGGCAAAAGAUGUUUGGACAGGACGUCCGGACACACCAUCGGAGGGCGGCGGAACGUGGGCUGUGGCAGGCUGUCGGAAUGACGUAGCAAGGCUUGUGCACUUUAGCCAAUGAUCGGGAUAACAUAUCCGAAAUUCUGCUCCGCCGACAUUCCACCCGGAUGUCUCACAUCCGGAAUUCUGCUCCGCCGACAUUACACCCAGAUGUCUCACAUCCAAAAUUCUUCUCCGUCGACAUUCCAUCCGAAUAUUUCACAUCCGACGCUUGACGCCGGAUGGGAGAGGAGGGCGUUUCAACUUCCCCGGUCAGACAUAUCCGAAUCCUUUGAUAACGCUUACCCGGAGAGUUUCGCAGCCAUUUUGCACAGUGCCGCGGUGUUCUCUUGAAGCUUCCCGAUAUGUGCGACCGACAUUUUGAGAUAUUUUGCUUUAGAUAUUUGAUGUCUAAAUCCCCAAACUCUCCUUGUAACCCACCAAUUAUAGGAUUCCUUAGUUAUUAAGUUUGGAAAAAUGGUGAAUAACCCCUUAUAUAUAGUUUGCAAUUUUCAUAAAAAAGAUAUGUAGAAUCUCGGGAGCUUGUUCCCAGAGAGACGCAUCCUUUGUACAGUUUUGGAAGGAAGUAAAAUACAGAGCACUUGCUCUGCUUUUCAUAUAUAUUUUUGUUUUCUCGUUCUUUUUAUUUCUAGCCAAUCAAAGUCUGAGGAUUUUUCCUCAGAGGAUGAGAGGCUAGGCUCUUCGUCUCUUGGAGUGAAGAAAACUAGGUAAGUUUCCACAUGCAUAAAUUGAAAGUUUUGUUGUUUUAGUUUUUAAUGAAGAGAAAGUGUGACCCGUUAAUGGUUUUUAUCUUUUUAGUUAACUUAAAACGCCUUUAAAUCACCCGGGCCAACACUUGAUAAGGCAAGUGGUCUCCAUCCAUUGAGAUGCACUAGUUUAUCUCUUGCGAGCCUUUGGGAGGUGGUUUGAAGGUAGGAUUUUCUAGAAUAACCAACACUUGAUAAGCUUUUGGACUCUAAGGAGACAUCCAUUAGUUAUCUCUUGCGAGCUUUUGACGGGUAAUCCAAGGUUAAAGAUCACCUUGAAUGGCAAGUACUAGGUGAGAGGUAUGAGCCAUUGCAAGAUGCAUUAGUGAGAGGGAUUUAGUGUUUGAACCCAUUAAAGGGAAGCAUCUGUACCACACCGGUUCGGGAAAUAACUAUAUGUUAAAUCCCCAAUGAGAGGAAAAGAAACAAGUGACCGGAACUCCCUUUUUGUAUAAGGAACCUGAGCCUAGUGAUCUAAACUCCAAGAAACACUUUUCUUUGUAAGUAAAAUCAGUUACUAUUUUUGGUUAGUUUAAAACCAAACCUUUUUCAUUCAAACAUCUUUAUGUUUUCUUUUAAAGCUAACCUUGAAAUGAAAAGGCACCAAUUCAUAUUUGAAUUAAUAUCAAUUGUGAAGUGAAAACCCAUCCCAGUGAACGAUCCUAGAGCCACUAUGCUAUAGUAGCUUUGUCUUUGCUACCCUAGUUCAUGGUUUAAUAGGUUAUAAAUUUUGUUGAUUACUCCCACAAUCAAAGGAGCACCAGUUGGACAUGAAUCAACUGAGACACUAAUUGGGCACAAAUCAGGAAGUUUUGUUAAUAAUGCUAGGUUAAUUUGUUAAUUUAGUUACUUUCUGCUUAAUUUUAAAAGUUUUCACUUUACUUUCCAUAGUUAUUAAGGAAAAAUUCUCAAAAUGAAAUGGGAGAAAUUGAAUUCUUACAUUUUUACUUGAAUUUUAGAAUUUGUAUUAUGCUUAUUGAAGCUGAUGAAUUAUUGAAACUCCUAUUGAAUUCAACCUUAUUUCUUCCACUUUAAUCUUACCACACACGGUGCACAUUAGGUUCCGAUUAUAAGAGGUGCGUUCUUAGCCUAUUGGAGGUUGGUCAAUUUGUUAAAGUUUGAGAAAGAUCUAGGUUAGGGGAGAGAGAAUAGUCUGACAUACUAUAAUCGAAAACUAAUAAACUUAACACUUAGAUCUUUGUGGAAGAGUAAGGAUUGGACCUUUGGGAGUGGAAAUUCGUUUGAUGCUUAAAUUUGCAUAAUGCUUACACUUUAUAAAUUGUGAUUAGGCAAGAGAUUUGAUGACUCUUGUUCAAGGUUGGGUUUUGCCUCUUUGAUGUUCCAUGAGAGAGUAUAAUCCUCAUCAUGCCACUUGAAAUUUUUUUUGGAGUGAUUAACAUGAUUUUGUAAAUUACUUUACUGUCUAUUUUUUUUUUAUCUCUCCUUCAUUGCUAAUGGACUAGCAAUAUGUCAGUUGAGGGGAGUGAUUACUACUCAAAAAGUACUCUUUUAUAGCUUGAAACUAACUGUUUUGAACACUUUUGAGUAGUAGUUAAUACCUUUUAACUCAAUUGGCACAUUAAAGAACCUAGCAAGGGUUACUAAUUAGUUUUUGGCAAGUUUUGGUGUUUUUGGUAGCUAUUUGAUCAUUGAAACAAGCCAAGAAUGAGGGAGAAUUUUGUGAAGUCCAUGGCAAUGCAAGUUAAAGCUCAAAUACAUGAAGAAUCCAAGCUUUGGAGCACUUCAUAGCCCUUUCCAAAGCCAAUCAGAGAUGCAAGGAAGAAAACCAGAGGAAGAAAUCCAACAAUUAGCAUUUUCGCAUGGCUGUGCGAAAUUUCGCACACCAUGCGAAACCACAAGAGGCAGCCAAAGAAUUUUGCACACUAUGCGAAAUUUCGCAUGGUAUGCAAAAUCUUCUUGUGCACCAACUCCGUUAUAUUUUUAUCUCAAAUAUUUUGUGUAAUUUCCUAGUUUCUCCUUGUAACCAACCUAGAUAUUUUCUUUUAUAUAUUUUUUAGGUAACAUCAUCUAUAGGGGGAGAGACAUAAGGAGGAUAUGGAUGUUUUUCAUAGAACACUUGUAAAUUUCCGGUAGUAAGAAAUAUACAGAGCUUUUUGCUCUACCUUACCUUCUCAUUUUGUUUUCACUUGUCUUUCUAGCCAAACAACCUCUGAGGAUGAUUUCUUAGGGAAUGAGUGGCUAGGUUUUACGUUUCUUGGAGUGAGGGAAGCUAGGUGAAAGACCCGAAUGCUAAGGUGGGAGUUGUCCUUGCUUUAAAUGAAAGUAGUUGUUAAACAUUAAUGGUUUUUAUUUUAAGGUUUAGCUUUAAAUCCCUUAAAAACAUCUUGAAUGGUCAAUACUUGGUAGGCUUUUUGGAUUCUAUGGAUGCUUAUUGCUAGAUCCCUGGAUGUCUAUUAGUUAUCAUUUAUGAGCCAUUGGAAGGUGGUUCAAGAUGAGGGUCUUUAAUGUUUGAAGCCAUUAAUAGGAAACAAUUACCAUUCUUUCAUGAAUCCUUUGGAUCAAAUCUUAAUUGCUAAAUAUAAAACUAGUUCGGGAGAUAACCAUCCUUUAUGUUAUUAUGCCCAACGCGAGGAGAAGAUUCGGAAUCUUCCCCUUUGUCUAAGGAACCCGAUCCUAGUGACCUAAAGCUCUAAGAGACCUUUUCUUUAUAGUUAACUUCACUUAUUGUUUUUUCUUAACUUAAAAUCAAUCUUUGCAACCACAAUUCCAUUUUCUUUGAAAGCUAAUUUUCAUAAGGAAAAUCACCAUUUUAUUUUCUUCCCUAAGUCAACUGUACGAUGAAAACCCAUUCCCAUGGACGAUCCUAGAGCCACUAUACUAUGUUAGCUAUGCUACCCUAAUGUGAGGUGAUUUAGGUUUUAUAAAUUUUGUUGAUAACACCUGUUUGAGCCAGAAUCAAAUGGCGCAACUGAACCAGGGACGAAUCAACAACUUAUAUGGGAGGGACACAAGUUUAAUUGAUUUGCAUUUCAACGUUAUAUAUAGGUAUGUUUUGGAAGAUUUGUUCUGGAAAUACUGCACCAAGUACGAUUCUUUUUGUCUUGAGUGGGUCUACUUGCAUGCCAAUUAACGAGUGGAAAAGUAGGAGCACCUACCUCAUGCUCGCGGAACCGAAGGUCAGUGAAGUGGGGCUCCUUUUGGCCUCUUGUGUUUCUAUUCCAACCAAGGCGGCGUAAGGAAAAACAACAAUAUGUUUGUGCUAAAUAUCAACGCAUGAUAGAUGUUUUUGUUUUUUGGUAUGUCAAGGCUAAUGAAUGAAAUGCUUUAGCUUGUUUUGUGACUGGAACUGCAAAUGUCCAAAUUGGAGUAUCUCCAUUUCUCACUUCGGAUGGUUAACUUAUAAACAAGAUAUAGGAAACAUGUGAACAUCUUGAGGAACAAUUUGAAUUAUUCAUUAGAAGUCCUGGGUUGAGUUCCAAGAUUUAAAUUAGACCCCUCUAGCAGCUUCAGGGGUACCUAGCAACCUAUAGCAUAUUAAUGAAGAUUUAGGAUUUAGACUCUAGAAUACAAAUUAAUAUGUAUCUCAUGCUUUGACUAGCUUCCCUACAUAUGCACAAAAUGGAGAUGACCUAAAAAAAUAGCAGAAUCUAGCUUCCCUACAUAUGCACAAAAUGGAGAUGACCCAAAAAAUAGCAGAAUUUCCUUAGUUUCUGUGGUUAAGGUGAUUCUCCGCUUAAUAUCACAUUGACUCAUUAUGCAAAAUCAACUGAGCUAAUUUUGUUUAUUUAUUUAAUGUCAAAUAGGAACUCCUAAUUAACCUAACCCUUGGCCUGUGUAAAUUGAUUUCACAUGCCCAAUGUUGAAGUAGAAGUCCAUAUUUUGAAUUUUAUUUUUGUAAAGGUAAGGAAAAUGAAGCAUUGUGUAAUUAUAAAAAUAACUUCAUUGGAAUUCACAAGGUUCACCCAAAAUGGAGCUACAUCCGUAUUCUAUCCUGCAGUAGACUAUAUAGAUUGUACAAUAGUAAAUUGCAAAUACAAUUAAUAAGUCUUGUGCUUCCUUACUAAUAAUCCUUUGACAUGAACAUUGCAGCACUAAGGUCCUCUUGGGAAGACACCUUGCACCCAUGAGAGCACGAAGAGGAAGCAAGGCAGAGUCAUGGGUGCAAUGUCAUGACUUGUUGUUGCACCAAGAGAGGCUUGGUGAUGGCAUGGUGUUGCAGUAGCAAGAAUGUUGCCUUGGUAGGGACAUAAUCUAGGGAUAGAUGCCAAGAAAGGCUUAGCACUCACAUGAGUUGCACAAAGAUGAAUGUAAUAGAGCAUCAGAGAGACGUCUUGGCAAGUAAAUGAAUGGAUCCAAGAGGCAACAACAUGAGGAGUUUCAAAUGGAUAAGGAAUGAGUCAAAGACAUUUGAAAGCUACAAGUUGGAUUCUAAUUACGAUUGCAAUUUGAGUUUGAGUAGGAGUUUAGAUUCUGAUUGUAAUUGUAGUAUGAGUUGGACUAGGAUUGCUUAUCCCUAGUCAAAAUAGGAGUGGUUCGUGUCACACCCUAUGAAAAGAGUUUGAGUAGGGACUAGGAUUGCUUACUCCUAGUCAAAUAUGGAGUAGGUGGUGCCACACCUAUAAAAAAAAAGGGACAACAUGAGAGAGAGAGAGAGAGAGAGAGAGAGAGAGAGAGAGAGAGAGAGAGAGAGAAAGAGAUAAUGAAUUCACUAAAGAUAUUGUGGGAGUUUUUCUUUGUUACGUCUUGUAUUAUUACUUAGAAUAGGAAUAAAAUACAAGUUUGGGCUAGAGCCCCAUAAUUAAUCUCGUGUGCCUUUGUGGUUAUUCUUUAUUUGUCAUCUCGUGUGGAUUGGAUUACAUUGACUUAGAGGGCUUCUAAGCACCACCUUUGUGGGUUAUUAUUUAUUUUCCAUUUCUUGUGGAUUAGAUUAGGUUGACUUUGAGGGCUUUUAAGCACCACCUUUGUGGGUUAUUCUUUAUUUUCCAUAUCGUGGGGAUUGGAUUAGGUUGACGAUGAGAAAAAUUAUGUGGGAAAUUUGUGUUGGGACACUUAUCAUAACCAGGUAAAAUCUGCCAAGUCCUUUGUAAUAUCUUCAACAAAUAUUUCAGACUAGUUCUUCACCAUAAACAUCAUAUUGUGUUUUGUUUUUCUCCUGGAUUCUGAGUUGAAUUGUUUCAAGUCAAUUGAAUGCAUCUGAAUAUUAUUAGCUUGUUUGAAGGCCUGGUGAUUUUCCAUUUAACUUUACUUUCUUUAGGUUAUGCUCACUAUAAGAAAAAUGAGAAAUAAUGACGCUUUUUACGCGUUAAGAAAGGCAACAGAUGAUGCUUCUCUAAAGCGUCCUCUUCGGCUCUGUCAUUAUAUGUGUUAGCCAAUAAUGACGCUUCUAGGAAGUGCCAUCUUUGAAUAAUGUUAAUAACGACACUCGUAAAAAGUGUCAUCUUUAAACAUAUUCUGGUCAAAUAAUUUUUACAAAAUUAGUAAUCUUCAAGCCGUUUCUGAAUCAUAUCUGAGCCUAUUUCUGGGGACCAGAAAACCAUCUUUUUUCCAUUCGCCUGAGAGGUCUGAUUAGCAUUUCUGGAAUCAAUCUCUAAACCCAAGCUUCCCUCAUCUACCCAUUUAACCCUCAUGCCCUCCUGUUUGAACAACUUUCCCACUAUAUACACAAAUUUUUUACCUUCUGUUGUUGGUAUUCGACCUCUUCCCAUUCCCAGCACAGAAUCCACCAUUAGUGCCACUUUGUGAAUAAAAUCAUCGAACCAGAUCUUUCGGGCGGAAGAUGAGCUCCAGAGAAAUAAAAUUUUUGGGGUCUUCCCAGCAUGAAAGUCAUAGGUAGCAUUAAUGACAUCAAGAAAUGGGGCACUGUUGAGAAAAAACAUGUUCCCAUCAACCACCCAAGAAUUGUACCAGACUCCAAACACUUCUGGAUUACAUAUGCCUUUACUAAGAUAUAUUUCUUGAUCUCCAUAUCAGAAUCUUGGAGACUCUUCAUUUUAUGAGCUCUGACACUACUGUGAAAUUGGUCCACAUCAAUCACAGGAUGACCCCUUCUAGCAAGAUCAAGCAGGAAGUCUGAAUUCGGGCCCAUAAAAAUGUAGUUCUGAAUAUUGAAACUCUCAAAGUGGCACAACAAAUUCCUUAUGACUCUUUCAGAUGCUCCAAACAGGCUCACAAGUAUAAUGGUAUCCUGUUUUUGCACAGAGUAAAGAAAAUAUCCGAGUUCUUCAAAACUCCUUACAACUAUUCCAGGAUGUACUUCUUUGAAACAGAAAUCGUACCACUUUAGCUUAGUCAGAGGUUGAAUCUAAAAUAACAAAACCCAAACUGAAAUCAAAAUCGAAAUCAACCCUAAUAGAUUUCAGAAACAACAAAUUAAAAGAGUAAAGCACAAAAGGGGGAAAACACAUAUGAAGCAAUCUCCAUACAAGCCCUAACCUUAGAUAAACCCAAAAAAAAAAAUCAAAGCAGAGAGUUACCAUAGAGCAUCUCUGUUUCAAGCUUAGAAAAUGUUUAAUGCCAUUGAUAACUAGUUGGCUAGUGGUGGACUUCAAGCUUCUCUAUUUCGGUGUUAGUAGCUCUCAAUGGCUAUGGUGAGAACAAAGAAAUGAGAGGCUUAGGGUUUGGGAUGUGAGGUUAUUGAUGAUGAUGAGGAUAAAGUUAUGGGCUCUUGGAGGGGUUAGGGAAAUUGAAGAUGGCUGAGAGUAAAGGCUAGGGUUUUUGAGAUAGUUAAUAGCUUUUUAGGGUGUGACUGUCCAUAGAUAGAAGAUAAAUGAGGGUGUGAGAAUUUAUAGAUCUCUAGGUGAUAUGGCGGGUGUGAGAAUGAAAUUUUAGAGGGAAUUGUGUGUUUGGUAGAAAUUUCACACAUGCAUAUAUAAUGUUUCAGAACAUGGCACUUUAAAAAUACGACAAGGAAGAAAUUAUUUAUUGACGCUUAAAUAAAGCGCCAAGGUCUCCAACAUUUUUGCAAUCAAUGACGUUUGUAAAAGGUGCCAUUGAAUAGGAGUGCCAUUGCUUUCCCACAAAGCAUCAUUGUUAAUCAAGCCUUUAAAAAACGCCAAGAUAUGUUGCCACUUAGGUUAAAUAUUGACGCUUUUAAAAAACGCCAAGGAAAAAAACGUCAUUAUUCAUGUUUUUUGUAGUAGUGGCUUGAUUCCUAAAAAGUAAAGGAAAGCAAAAAGUAAAAAAAUAAAAAUGUGGAGAGUUAGGACAUGCGUUAUCUAAUUGUCCUAGUCCCAAAUAUAUUAAGAAAGUCAUGUAGGUUACUUGGAGUAACGAGUCAAGUAAAGCAAGCCUUCUAGUGUUUAAGACAUUAGAUAUUACCGAACUGAUUAUGUCAUUAAUGUAUUGCAUUUGUUGUUUCUAAUAUAUAGAAGAAGAUGAAAUUAUUGGAAUAAGUGGGAAAUAGGAAUAAAUCCAAGGUACCAAAAAGUCACUUUAUCUUAGAUGUUGUUGGAAACAUAAGUGAUUUCACAAUAACGACUAUGAGACAAUCAAGGAUUAAUAAGAUAGACUUUAUAUGAUAUACCUCCCAAUUAGAGCCUAAAAAUAUGGAUGAAGCACUUAGAGAUGAAUCUUCAAUUUUUGUACUAUAGGAAGAAUUAAAUCAAUUUGUUAGCUAUUCUUUGGAUAUUUGAUUCAUCACAAGCUACAAAUCACUUUUGAUGACCAAACACGAAACUAAGAGGAUUGGGCCCAAUUCGAUGCCUAUCAACAAUGAUUUGUAUUCCACCUCAUUAAUUAUUCAAAGUUGGGAAGCUAGGUCUAACCACUUUCUCUACCUGUUCACCCUUAGAGGAGCAGAAGAAAAUUCUAACUUUGGUGCCUAAUGCCUUUGACAAUCUUUCGACAAAGAGAGUUCACUAAUUACUUUGAUUAUUUCUCUGUUGGUCACUGGGGGACAAGACUUUUGUAAUGAAGUCAACUAGAACUUGCCCUUUGAGGGCCAUUCAUGGACGAUAUUACACCAUGAAUUCCCUUAGGUCAUGUUUGGUAUGUGAGAAUGAGGAGUGGAAUGGACAUCUUAUUCAUUUUUUCAUCUAUUCAAAUGUUGGGAUAACUCAAGUGACCAUGAGAAUGAAAUCAAGAAUGAUUCAAGGGAAAUGAAAUCUUACUUAUAAGUGUGAUUUCAAUUAAUCUCUAAUAGAAAUUAUUUUGAAUCAAUAGUGCAAGUUAUUUUUAAAAACAUUUUUCCAAAAUUAAAAAAAUCAAUUUUUUUUUUUUCGAUAAGUUGUUUUUAAAAGGAUUUUUUUUAUUUUGUAAAAAGAAAAUUGUAAUUCAAUUUAUAUAAUAUAAACUAAAUUUUAUUUUAUUCAAAAAGAAAUAAUUUUUUAAUUAUAAAUAAAUUAAAAAUAAAUACUUUUAAUAAAAUAUAAAUAGUAUUAUUAUAAUAAAAUCAUAAAUAAAUUUAAUUUUUUUUAUAAAUAUUAUAAAAAUAUGGAUAUUAACAUUGGAUAAUUGAUUUAUUUUGUUAAAAUAAAAAAUAAUAAUUUUUAAUAUUAUUUUAUGUUAAAUGAAUUUUAAAAUAAAGAAAGUUUAAUUAUUUUAAGGUAUAGAAGAGCCAAAUUUUGCAUUACAUACAUAACAAACAAUAUUUAUUAGAAACAUUUCUCAAGGAGAAUCUUAUUCCAUCUCACAAAGAUACUCGUUUAUUCGAUGUUUGACCAUCCGUAACAAUCAUGUCAAUUCUACUGAUUUAAUAAUUCCUUUACAUUUAUUACUCACUUAUGAACAUGGUAUUGUGAUUUAUUUAUUUAUUUGAUGUAUAAUUAAUUAAUCAAUUUUUUAAAUUUCAAAUUAUUUUUAAAAACUAUUCAUUAAGGAAUUUAAAGCAUUAAUUAUGUCUAUUAUUUUUUAUAGUCAUUAUAUAUAUAUUGAGUUUUAAUUUAUUUUUAAAAAUUAUUAAACUUAUUAAUAAAUUCAAUAUAAAGUCUCGUUUCAUUUGAAAUUCAUUUCUUUAGUGAAAAUUUUGAAAAAAAAAUUGUUAUUUAUUUUACUUUGUUUUAAAAAAAUUGUUUCUAGAGAACAAUAAUCAAAUAAUGGUAUGAAUUUUUAAAAACAAUUUUGUUUUUAAAUCAUAUGCCCAAAUAAUUUUUUUUUAUUUAGCAAAAAACUUUGUUGUAGUAUGUGGCUCAUAUUGAGGGAAAGACAUAUAUGGAGAAAAAUGUGCAAAUGUUGGAGUGGAGCGGAGUGGAAUGACGACAUUUGUCAUUCAAACUUGUAUUUUUAUUGUUAAGGGUGACCGAUAGGUUGGUACGGUUUAGGGGUAUUUUUGGAAUUUCAUUACCUGAGGGUUAGUAUAAAUACCAUUUUAUGUAACCCUAAUUUUACAUAUAAUGUAAGUUUUCUUCCUUGUUCUUGUGGACAUAGGCAAUCCGUCGAACCACGUUAAAUCUGUGUGUUUUUUUUUCUUUUUUCUUUUUCUCUAAUUUCUUCACCAGGAAUCGUUACACUAAGAUCAACAAACUCUCAAAGAUGAUUUUUAAAAUGAAAAAAAUAAUGUAUAGUGUGAGAAUUUUUUAUUUUUUAUUUUUUUAAAAUGAAAAUAAAAAAUUGCUUUAAGGUAAAAGUGUGGAUAUUAUUGUUAAUUUAUUUCAUUUUUCAUUUUCAUUUCCAUUGUUACCUACAAUUGAAAUGGAAACAACUAAUCAUUACAACCUUACAUUCUUAUAUGCAUCCAAAUACAAAAAUUGAAAUCACCAAAUUCAUAUUCAAGGCAAAAUAGGAAUGAAAACAAAUAUUCAUUCUCAUUCUUUAUUCCCACGUGUCAAACAUGACCUCAAAGUUAUAAACAUGAACAAGAAGUCCUUGAAACACCAAUGAUCUCUUCUGGUAUAUAUAUGAGCUUGAUUGACAACUGUUUUAAAUACAGUUUUUUUUUUUUUUGUUUUCAAAAUCAAAACAAAUUUAUUUUUAUUUUUUAUAAAUAGUAGUUUUUUAAUAUUUUUUUUAAACCUUAUUAUGAAAAUAGGAUGUUUUCUAAUAUCAUAUUUUAAUUAUUUUCAAUUAUUUUCCCUUCUUUUAAGGAGGGCUAUUUUAAAAAUAUGAAAAAUGAUACAAAAUAAAGCAUUACAAAUAAAAAUCAUUUUUAAGAAAUAUAUGAAAAUAAUUUGAGAACAUUUGAAGUUCCUUAAUUAAACUUUUGUUCUAGAAAAUGCAAGAAAACUGUUUUUGAAAAUUGUUUUCAUAAUGAUAUGCAUUGAUCGUUUAAAAUUUAAUUACAUGAUAAAAAGACCUAUGUAAAAACCAGAGUUAUAUAAUCAGUCAUAGAUCAAAUCUACUAAAUAUGAAAAGUAAGUACAUAGUUGUAUAUGACUUAGAUGGAGCCUUCUCCGAAUGACAUUCUUUAGUCGGUACUCAUAUUUUUUUGUUUCGUGUCUUCAACAUAACACCUCAUGAUCCUUAAUAAAUCACCUGAAAACUAUAUUAGCACCUUAUUGUUUAAUAUUUCUCUAAAUUUUUUUAUUAAGCAAAUAAAUUCCAAAUUUAAAAUGACAAAUAAAAUUUAUUAAUUUUUAAAAAUAAUUUAAAACUCAAAAACCAAUUUAAUUGAUAUUAAAAGUCAUGAAACUUAAUAAUAUUAGAAAGUCAUGUAUCCAAAUUUAUUUUAAAUGACUUGUUUAAUUUCUUGUUUAUAUAUAUUAUAUUUUUAUAAUUUUUUUUACUAUACAAAUAAAUUUUAAAUUAAACAAAACUUAAUGCGUUGAAUUCAUUAACGAGUCUAAUAAUUUUUAAAAGUUACUUAAAAUUUAAAUACUAAAUCAAUUAGUACCACAAAUUCAUGGAAAAAAAUUGAUUUAUUACUACUAUAUUGUUUCUCUAUUGCAUAGAACCAUUAUUUUUCAAUUUUUUCAUUUGGCAAAUGAACAUCAAAUUAAACAAGACUAAGUGUAUUAAAUUCAUUAAUGGGUCUAGUAAUUUUUUAAAAUAAUUUAAAAUUCAAAUAUUGAUACUCCAAAUUAAACAAGACUUAGGUGGUGUUUGUUUUUUGGUUGAAUAGAAAAAGGUAAAAUAUUUGACUUUUUCUAUUUAGUUAAAAGUAACUUGUUGACAUCGUCCAAUAUAAUUAAAGUAAACCUAUUGAGGGCAAGUUCACUUUAAUUAUGUUGGACGAUGUCAACAGGUUACUUUUAACUCAAUAGAAAAAAUCAAAUAUUUUGACUUUUUUUUUAACUCAAAUAAUAAAUCCAUUAAUACAAAAAAAUUAUGGAUAAUUUGAAACUUUCUUUCUUUUUUUUUUUUUUUUUGCUACACAUAGCUAUAUUUUUAUAAAUUUUAUCAUUAGAGAAAUGGAUUUCAAAUCAAGUGAAACUUUGUAUUGAAUUAAUGGAUUUAACAUUUUUUAAAAAUAAUUUGGAACUAAAAAAAAAAGAUUUAAUUACUAAGAAAAUCAUAGAUCAAAACUAAUAUAUUCUGAUCCAUGAUUUUAUUAUUUUUCCUAUACAUACAAUUAUAUUUUUAUAAUUUUCUCACUAGGUAAAGAUAUUAUAAAUUAAGUGACACAUAAUUAAUAAUUUAAAUUUUUGAAUGAAUCUUUUAAUUUUAGGAAUAAUUUGAAAUUUAAAAAGUUGAUCCAAUUAAUUGUAAAUUAACUUAAAAUAUUAUAAAAUAUUAUGUUCAUAAUUAAGUACUAAAUGUAUAUAUGUAAUGAAAACUUAACUAGUUACAUGUUACAAAAGCCAAAAUUUAUUCAUUCUUUAUUUUAAAUAAAAUAUUAUUAAUAAUUAUUUUUUUUAAAAUAAUAUUUAGUAAUUAUUGUUUUUAAAUUAUUAUUAUUAAUUUUUAAUAAAAAAAUUGCAAAGUUAUUAAUAUCAUUAUAUUUCUAACAUAAAUUUAAAUAGUAUAUUUUUUAAUAUAUAUAUAUAUAUAUAUAUAUAUAUAUAUAUAUAUAUAUAUAUAUAUAUAUAAUUUAUGAUUUCAUUAUAAUAUUUUUAUUCAUGAUUGACGAAAAAUUAUUUAUUGUUUAAUUUAUUUGAAUUGCAAAACUAUUUUUCAAAAUUCAAGCGAGAAAAUAGGCCUGGAUUUGAAUUUCCUGUAGAAGAGAAGGAUGUGGAGAAUAUGUUGGGAGUAUUUGUGGAUAAAGAAAAGGCCAGGGUACUGAGAAAGGAGAGAGAACUUGCUCUUGCCAAAAGAGCCCUGCACAGGUAUUCUACUGAUUCUAAUUAUCGGUUCUUACAUGAUCAGAUUUCAGAUUUAUUUGCUGAGCUUCUGAAAUCUGAUACAGUAUUUAAACUCCGGUGAGCUUUACAAGAUUAGUCUCGCAUCCAAUUCCAAAUGGUGUCCCACAAUUGAUUCUUCUUAUGAUAAAUCCACCUUGAUAUGUGAAAAUAUUGCUCGAAAGGUUUAUCCUCGCGAGGAAUAUCCAGAAUACUAAGGAAUUGAGGAGGCUCACUAUGUUUAUAGAGUCAGGGAUAGGUUGAGAAAACAAGUAGUUGUUCCAUUACAUAAGGCCCUGGAGUUGCCAGAGGUUUUCAUGUGUUCGAACAAGUGGGGAUCACUUCCCUACAACCCUGUGGCUUCAGUGGCCAUGAAAUCAUACAAGAGCCUCUUCUCAAACCAUGAUACAGAGCGGUUUGGUGAGUAUCUUGAGAAAGUGCAAACUGGGAAGGCUAAGAUUGCAGCUGGUGCAUUACUUCCCCAUGAGAUUAUAGCUUCAUUGAAUGAGGAGGAUGCCGAGAGAGUUGCCGAGCUUCAGUGGGCAAGAAUGCUGGAAGAUUGAUCAAAGAAAGGGAGGCUCACAAAUUGCAUUGCAGUAUGUGACGUAUCAGGAAGUAUGAGUGGAACUCCAAUUGAGGUGUGUGUGGCUCUGGGGCAGUUAGUUUCAGAGCUCAGUGAAGAUCCAUGGAAAUUAAGGUAAUGUAAUUACUUUCAGUGCAAAUCCUGAGCUUCACAAGAUCCAAGGAGACAGCCUUGUAUCCAAGACUGAAUUUGUGAGGAUGAUGGAAUGGGGUGCCAACACUGACUUUCAGAAAGUUUUGACAGAAUCUUACAAGUAGCAGUGGAGGGAAAUAUGAGUGAAGAUCAAAUGAUAAAGAGGGUUUUCGUUUUCAGUGAUAUGGAGUUCGAUGAAGCUUGUGGGAGGUAUAACUAUUGUGACUAUGACUAUGAUAUGGAGGAAAUUGACGAGAGUCAGAAGGCAUCUCAGAAGUGGGAGACAGAUUAUGAAGUGAUACAGAGGAAAUUCCAGGAGAAAGGAUACAGAAAAGUUCCAGAGAUAGUGUUUUGGAACCUUAGAAACUCAUCAGCGACUCCAGUGACGGCCACAGAGAACGGGGUGGCCUUAGUAAGCGGGUUUUCAAAGAAUCUGUUGACCUUGUUUUUGGAAGGAGGUGGAAUUCUGAUCCCUCAGGAUGUGAUGGAAUUCGCCAUCUCUGAUGAAGAUUACAAGAAACUUGUUCUAUUUGAUUAAGAUAUCAAGAGAUUUAUCAAUAAUAAUAUAUUUUUUUUCUAUGUGAAAUACAUAUAAUAUUAACUGUGGAGUUAUCAAAGUUCUGGAGGUUUAAUUAUUUCUUCUUUUCAAGUUUUGUUUAUUUAAGGUUUUCUUUGUCUUUGUUAGGAAUUCCCCUUGGGUGGACCCAGCUGGGGAGUUGGAUUGAGGAAGUAAGCAGGCGAACUUGUGUUCUUCUAUGGACAGAGAAAAAAAAUAAAAUAAAAAAAUAAAAAAGGAGGUUAUUUGCAUUUGGAUGUCGUGGUUUGAGGGUACAACUACAAGCUCGAAAUUGUACAUAAUGUGAAAACUCCUGUGUCCAUUGCUGAGAACAGCAUAAAUGAUGGUGAUUUUCAAGUUGUGCCUGGUAUUCUACAGGAUGAAACAAGAAAGGAUCCAGGUGGUAUAUUGAACAAUAUCCCAAUCAUGUUGGUGGCAUCUUUAUUUAGUUAAUGGUAUUCAUUUGGUGGAAGCUGGUUGUUUAUGAUGUUUUUAAUUUUUUUUAACAUGAAGUUCGAUCAAAUACGUAUCUUAGUAUGUUUUGUUUGAGCUAAUUGGCAAAUGCGCUUUAAACAUGGUCACAUGGAUGCAGUUUUAUUUGUGAAAUGAUAAUAGUCGAUUACUUGGUCAGUAAGGUUUAUAUCUCUAACUUCAACAUCUUAUUGUAGUCUUUUAAAAUGUCAAAAGUUUAAUGCUUGAGAAAUUUUGGAAUGGAGACAUUCUAAACAAAGUUAAUAAUCCACAAGACUUGGUAAAACCGAUCAGAUGAUGCUUACGUACAUCAAUGCCUUCUUUAAGCCAUAUCCUAUUUUCAUUGAACGGGAUGUGCCAUCUAGUUUGGUUCUUUAAGCCUCCAAAUCCUAAACCUAGUCUCAAUUUAGAGCAAAUUUAGGGUGCAGGGCCUGCAUGCCUCCCCCUCCCCCUUCCACAAAUAGUAGUGACCUUGCUAUGCCUAUGCAUUGUCAAUGCCUCAUUUUCUAUGGUCUCCAAUGUAAUAUCUUAGUUUCAAUGUCUCUUUCCUUACUAUCUCCAAUGCAAUAGAUUGAUUUCAAUACCUCUUUACAACUAAGACCUCCAAAUUUUCUUGGUUCAAACCUACCAGAAUUUUUCUUCUCCUUUGCUUUCUAUCAAUAUUAGUUCCCCUAAUUUAAUAUAUACUUCUUUAUUACCUUCAACUCUACCUCUCUUUCUUUCUCUAAAAGCUUCCUCAAAGAUUUAAUUGCUUUCUUGCAUGUUUUAAGAAAACAAACAUGCUCAUAUUACAUUACCUCUACUUGAGAUCUACCUUAUACUCUACCUUCUUUCUUUACCUCCUAUAUCAUCUACUACAUUAGCUUCAAAAAUAUUAUUUAGUUUGAUACUAAAUAAGGCUCCUAAUCCUACUCUUCCUUCAACAAACUUUCUUUUUACAAGUUCCUUAAACUUUAUUUUUUAUUUUUUAUUUUUUGGAAAUUCGGGUUAGAAAGAUUCCAUUACUCUUACCUAAUAUUUCAACCAUCAAGUUGAAUCCACUUAUUGCCUAAAUCCAAGGAGUCUGCCCUCCACAAAAACAAGGAAAUUGAUCCCACAAUAACAAGGAGAUUGCCUUCCACAGAAACAAAGAGAUCUCCCUUCACAGAAGCCGAAUACAUUGCAAUCUAUUUUCUUUCUUGUAAGAUCAAAUCUUCAAUCGAGCUCCAUCUUAUGGGGGCAUAUUAGAGAAAUUUAAUAUUAUCCUUAAUUUACAUAUUAAUAUUUAUCUAUUUAUUAUAUAUUGAAUUAAAAUAGAAUAUAGAAUUUGAAUCAUAGUAGAAGUUUACUAUAAGAUUGAAUUACAAUAGUUAAUAGAGUUUAAAUUAUAAUAACUCAAAUACAUUUAUAUAUAUUUGACCUUACGAGAUUUUCUAUUUAUGUAUUUGAACUACAAUCCUUAUGAUCCUUAGGUCUCUAUACCUUCGUGAUGGGCUCCUUGACAUUUCAUAGGUUGUGCUACACAUGCAUUUGAAAUUUAGAGUGCAUUUGACAGUGAUUCUGGGAAGUGUUUUUGGCAUUUCUAACACUUAAAAUUUUUUAUUUUUCAAGUAUUAGAAAUGCUACAAACACUUUUGAAAAUUACUGUCAAACACACUCUUAGGAGCGCAUAUAGUAGAAAACUAGAAAUUGUGGUUUUUUUAGGAUUUACUGUAAUGUCAUUAGGAGGGUAGUAAGUUGAAACUGAGUAUGAAUAAAUAUUUCUUUCUUUGGGAUGUUCUUCUGGUAGGUGCUGAUGAAACUGUUCUUUUUACUGCCAAUGUCACAUAUCAGCCAGAAAUUGAAAAUUUCAGUCAAGGUGUCCUCGGUUUUAGUGGUGAGGAAAGCUAGAAAUUUUAAGGUGAAGUUCUGUUAAAAACCUUAAGUAGCUGGGAUAUCAGGCCUGUUUUGCUUGAAAAAAAAAGUUGCAAGAUAACUCAUAUGCCAAACAGGUUCUGAUAUUGUGAAUCUAUCGGCAGACAUCAGUAAUCUCAUCUUCUGAGAUGGAUGUUGGGGGUGCAUGUGGUGGUGGAGGGGCAAGGUUUCAUUUGGUUUAUUUUGUUGAUGGAUAUUGUCUAGCCCCCUGCGCCAAGUUUGAGGGGUGGUGGGUUGUGAUGGCCCUACAAUUACUAUUAAUUUCUUCCUCUUUUACCGAUUAAAGUGUCCGAACAGUCGAAGUUACCCUUAUGCAUGUCAACUUGAUCACUUACCUCUUCAAUGGAGUUUAUGCUGGUUCAUUUAGGAACUGAUUUUUAUUGUUAUGCAUUCUAUGCUGAUGUUUAGGCCUCUCCAUCAUCACUAUAUACAAAAAUUCUAGGUUGAUACUAUAGGUUGAGAUUUAUUUUUUAAAUAAAAAAUAAUAAAAAUAAAAAUUAUGGUGAUGUUUAGUUGUUUUAUGGAAAAUUUUAACAAGUUAUUUUUGGGCAAGUUUUCAAACAAAAAGAAAAGUAAAAGUUGUUUUGACAAAAACAUAUAGAAAAAAAAAAUCAUAGAAAAGAAAUAAUUUCCCCAUAUUCUAACUUUUUUUAAUUUUUCUCAAUGGGCAAAGGAAUAUCAAAUCAAGUUUGAGUAGGAUUUCUUAAUUUUUAAAAUAACUUACAAUUAAAAAAUUUUGGUGUUUUCAUUUUUGGACAAUUUUUUAUUAAGCAAAUGGACUCUGAGUCAUGCAAGAGAUAUGGUUGAUUAAUGGGUCAAACAAUUUUUUUAAAAUAAUUUAAAACUCAAAUACAUAAUCAAUGUCACAAAAUUUAUAAACAAAAAUAGGUUUAGAGAAGAUCUACACAUAAUUUUACUUUUCUAAUUUUAUUUUAUUUUAUUUUUUUGUUGGAAAAUAGUCUUCAAAUCAUGUAAGAUUUAAUAGGUUAAAUUUGUUAACAAUAAAUUUUAAAUUAUAAAAUAUAAUCUGGAACUUAAAAAUCAAUUCAAGUAAUGCUAAAAAAAAUCAAAUUUGGUAUAGAAUGACUACGUAAAAUUUUUUACAAAACAAAUGAAUUUUAAAUCAAGUGAGAUUUAAUGCAUUAGAUUUUUAUCAAAUAUAGUAAUUUUAAAAUUUAAUUUGGAACUCAACAAUAGACACAAUAAAUACCAAAAAAUAAUGAACCAAAAUUGGUUUGGAAUAACUCCACAACCUCUUUUUUUUUUUUUUGGUGCACACGAAUUUUCUUACUAGGUAUAUUGCUUUCAAAUUGAGAAAGAUUUACUAUUUAGAUUUUUUUUUUUAAUGAGUUUAAUGGUAUUUUAAAAUAAUUCAAAAUUUCAAAAAUUGACUAAUUACUAUUAUAAAUUCAUAAACCAAGACUAAUUCAAAAUGCAUUGGGGGCUAAGGGGGUUGAAAAUAGGGACAAUGGGAUGGGUUUGGGACAUGACACUCAUAUCUCAUUUCCAUUCCAAUUACAUAGUUAUCUCCCAUCCUUAUCCCAAACUUGUGUUGGAGCAAGUUGAUUUGUUCCCAUCUUUGUUGAUGAAAUGACUAAUAACCUCAUCCCCUCCUUAUCUUAGAUGUACAUUUUGUCAAAUUUGAUCAGGUAUGAUUGAUCCAAGCCCUAACCCUAAUUGGUAAUGACUGGAUACUACACCUAAUUGCAUUCUUCUUUCGUCGCAAAAUAAUGAGAUUAUAAUAAUCUAGCAAAUAAGAAAAAAUAGUAUGGAAGUUCAAUUUAACACCAUAACUAUCAAUAAUUUUAAGCUUAUAGAUGACUUAAAUGAUUAAAAACUAAUGCAAAAUACCAAAAAAAAAAGUUCAUAUAAAGAAUUCACAAGAGAACAAAAUGAACAAAAACCAAAUAUGAACAUGGGUCAACAUUAGUUAUGGAUUUGGAUUCCUUUCAAGGCCAAUCUUUGAACCAAGACUUCAUCAAAUCUACUACUUCAAAGGCUUUUGUGUUCUUCUUGGGUUGUGCUCUCAAACAAAGACUUCAAGGUGAUGCUCUAGAUGAUUGCAUUACACAUAUUUAGGGUGGAGAGAUUGGAGAAGCUUGAAGAUGCCAACGAUGGGUACAAUUGAGUGGUCAAUAAGAACAAUGUAGCCUAUGACUAGUUUGAUGUCGUGGUACAAGAGUUUUAGGCAUUGAGGUUAAAGCAAGAGCAACAUGGAAUUGAUUUUGGAGUCUUUCAAUUAGUGUAAAGGAGGAAGAAGUGGUAUUGAUUCUAGAAAUAGGGUUUUAGGUGGUGCGUUAGAGGAUGAAGAAGAAGAAAAAGAAGGAUCUGUUGGAAUUAGUGUGAGUGUGAAGAGAGAAGUAUAUAAAUAAGGGGAAGUAAAAGCAAAGUUCUAAAAGCUAUAUUUUUUUUUAUUGUUGGUGUAUGGUUGCAUGAUUAUCCCUAUAAAUAAUAGGAGUUUUUUUGGUAUUCUACUAGUAGUUGAAGGAUAAUUUCAUAAAUUUAUAUUUAGAGUGGGGUGGGGUGAGUUGUGACAAAAUUCAUACCCGUCCUAAACCUUGGUUCAGAUUUUUAAAAUAUCCUCAAACUUAUCAUAUACCCAACUUUUAUAUUUCAUACUUGUCUUGAUAGAGGCAGGUUAGGCCGGGUUACUUGAGUAACCUACAUAAUUGUCAUCCCUAGUUGAAAUACACUUUUUUGGCAGUGGCCACCAACUGAGCUAGAAGCUUGAUCGAUUGACCUACAAGAUUAGUUCUCAUCAUUUUAAAAAAAGUUUUGGCCUUGGUUGUGAGUGCAAUUGAAUCUAAACUGGCAUUUCCUUAAUGCAUCUACUUCAAUCCUAAAUUUCUUACUUCCUAAGCCUCAAUUGUUGUUAGGAUUUUGGAAAGCCCAUUUCCUUAAAUUGUAAAUUUAAGAAAAAAUAAAAUAAAAGUGAGACAUUUCUUGAUUGAAUAUUGUUAAAGGUCCCUUGGCAUUAAGACUUGGUUGAAGCCUUGGAAGAUUAGUGGAACUCUCAACUUGUGUUUGAAUCUUGAGGAGAGUGGACGUAAGCCAAAAUUUUGUCAAACCAUUAAACAAAUUGAGUUUGAAUCCUCAUUUCUUGAUUUCUUAUUUAUUUGCUUUUUCUUAUUAUUACUUGAAUUGUCAUUUGCAUUCAUUAAUGUUAAAAUUGGUUAUAAUUAACCAACACUAAUUCUCUUUCCCCUUCCCUUUCUUGGGUGUAAACCUAGGUUGGAUUAACUAGAUUAAUUUAUAAAAUCUAUUAAGAUGGUAAAAGAAUAAUUAUUCUUAACACACAUAAGAUCAUCUUCAAUCAAAUGACUCAUUGGCUAAUAUGUUGAAUUUGCUUAUUACUUGCAACUCAAAAUUGUGUUCUAGUUGAUAUGUCAAGUCCCCAGUGUAUGGACAUUAAAUUUGUAGUACGUGAUGGUAAUUAGAUGGUCCAACUCCAAGAAAGUGAUUGAAAACUAGUUCAAGAAAGGUGCAAAAGGGAAUUGUUUUGGUAUUUUCGUUUUUAUUCUUGAAGGUGGCAGAGCUAAAAUUUGUGAAAUCAAGCAAAACAUACUGAAAUUACAUUGAAAGAAAGAAAAUGGGAGUUAAUGUCUUGCAGUAGAUGAUAAGGACUUCAUGCAUGUAGUAUGACCCAUGUCUUGGACUGAUGCCAACUCACGGUUACACUUAUACCCUUGGUUCUCUCUUUACUACCUUGGCUAACCUAGAUCAGGCUAUGAGAUAGGCUCCUCACCACACCAUUACUUGCCCAUUAAUUAGAGACAUUUUCAAGCACUGAGGUAACAUGGUGACACCAAGAGGGUUUAUUCCUCGCCCUCCUCGCCCUCAACAAGUCUAGACUUGGUCUCAAAAAAAUGGAGAAAAAUGAGGUGUCGUUAUGUAGAAAUACAACAACCAUGCCUUCCUCAUUACUUUGAUUCAGAAUGUGAAGGUGAAAUUGAGAAACAGAAACUCUUGAAACCAAAAUGAAAAUUGAUACUUUUACGAAGAAUUACAACAACAUUGGAGGAAGACUACAUUCUUCCUCUUUAUUCCUACAUUUCUACACUACUUCUACUCCACUCCAUAUUUCUACAUACAUCUUUAAUCAGUCUUCCCUCCUUUAUAUAGAGCCAUCUUCACACAAAUUCCGCAAGGUAGAAAAGAGGAAUGAAACUUGGAGCAAGGUUCGACUACUGGCUGUAGCUUGUCAAGGCUGGAAGUGAACCUUUUUUCUUGGCUUUUCUGGGCAUGGGUAGUAACUUGUGGGUUCCUUUUUGGGAUACAAAUGGCUAGAACAUGUGGCACUAUCUUGUUGGAUGAUGUGUCAAGCAUGUGGCAGCCAUCUAGUGGCGAUUAUGUCAAUUUUGGGAUGGAGAGUUGGCAUCCAAUUGCAAAGAAAUAUGACGUCUACCAACAGGCAAUGUAAACCUAUGUAGAUCAUAUGAAGAUAGAGAGGAAAAAUAUAGAAAUGGAUAUAUACCUAGAACUAGCUUUUUAUUAAAUGAAACGGAGAGCCAACAAUGAAGGAAAAUAAAUUUUUUUGGCUUAUAUCAAAGAGUUCACAUUGUGCUACCCUAGGUUUUCUUAAAACUUACUUUUAUGAUAACAAAAAAAAAAAAAAACAUUAUUGUUUAAUCCUUUGUUUUAAACGCAUGUUUAGCAAGUUAUAAAAUGUAAAAAUCUUUCUAAGUUCAAAUAUGAAGAUAUGACAUCAUUUCAAGCAAGAUAGUCUCUAGGAAUUAAUGUAAAGCUAAAUUAAGGUGAAAUUAAAUUAGUUCAAUGCAUUAAUUUAAGAAACUUGACCUAUCAAAAGUACAAAAUUAGAUGAAAUCCAUUUCAAUGGUUAAAAUGAUCAAAAUCAAACUUUUUCUAAGUAUUUUUUAAAAGUAUCAAUAUUGAAAGACAAUUUUAUAUUUAGUCAGAGUUUGGACAAAACCAAAAAGCACACAAAAUCCAAGCGACCAUCUCUAGCUUGGAUGGUCGCUUGAUCUCUAGCUUGUGUACUUGGAAAGCAACAUCGAGAUGAUAUAUAUAUAUAUAUAUAUUUUAUAUAAUAUUGUUUGUCCAAAUUCCCUAAAAAUUAGGCCACCACAUGUUCAUAAUUCUCCCUUCUUGAAUUUGAAAACUCGGACAAUUGGACAAUGCGACACCUAAGUCCGGUUUCUAAAUGCUAAAGUGAAAGGGUAGGUAUGGACCAUUGAAAUGUGAUCACAACUUUUCUCUGUAGCCAUGUUGUCUCUUUUUUCUUUUGCAUGAUUUUCUCACCUUAACAGAAUCAUAGACUUGUUUAAUCUCUAAAUGGGAUUAAUUUCAUCCAGCUUUAAGCUACUAUAUUAUAUCUAGGUGGAGGACUUUUAAGAGUGCAACCGACAUAGAGCACAUGCAAGUGGGUAUAUGGGACAUGAAAUUUCUUCUUAUAAAGAUUGCAUGAUUUUUAUAUUAGAGUUGUUGGGGCGCAAUGUAUGUAGCUUGUUUUGCAGUUAAAUUAAUUGGAUAAGUAGACAUUGGCGUUUCUAAAUCUACUGUGAAGUGCUUCAUGUACGUGUGAAGUAUUAGAAAUUUCUUUCUUGGCAACUUGUUUUUUCUUUGCGGUCUACUGAUAGGUUUGACUAAAAUUAUAUUCCCUGUCAUGCUAAUUAAUUUUCACGUGCAUGCUCAAAAGAAGAGUAUGACCUUAGUGCACCAAAAUCACUUUGAUUAAUUUGUGAUAGGUUUUUGUGCAUCAUGACAUUAGCCUUAUUCAUUUAGAUAAUGUUUAGUUUUUAGAAAGUAUUAAGAAAAGGAAAAUAAAUAUUAAGAAAAAUAUUCUUAUAUUUGAUUGUAUUAUGAAAAAUGUCAUAAAAAAAUCAAAUAUAAUUUAAAUUAAUUAAUAAUUUAUACAUUUUCAAAUUAUUUAAUCUUUAUAUUGAAGAUAUAAUAUAAAUGAAAUGAGUUUUAAGUAUUAUAUAAAAGUGAUUUAUUGAUCUUGCAUAUAUGUAUUUCUUUUUUUUUUCUUCUAUUUUUUUUCUUUAUUUUAUUUUCCUUAUGUUUUCCUCAACAUUUUCCGGAACCAAACAUAGCCUUAGGAAAUCCACAAUUACCUUCAACUGAGUAUAUUCGGUUGUUUUAGCAAUGUUAGGCUGCUAACUUGUGUUGGUACGAACCUGUUAAGCCUAAAGAUGUAAUUAGUUAGGAUAUUCUUUUCCCUCUAGUCUUGUAGCUCCACGUGUAUAGUUGGUUAGGACCUCAUUGUAUAUAAUGCCUGCCCUGUUAUUGUUGAAGACAACAGAGAUAAAUAAUAUUAACAUUUUUCCUCUCAUCUCUCUUUGUUUCCCUCUGUUUUCAUCUCCUCUCUCAUCUUGGUAUCAGAGCCUCCAUGGAUUCUUUCAAAGAAACCUCCGAAUCACCUUCUGCUAGCAUUGUUAAUGUGCAAAACCCAUUAUCUCAGUCAAACAACCUUCCUUCACCAGCAGCCACACCCUCUUUUUCUUUCUUGUCUAUGAAUCAACCUCUCACAGUGAAGCUGGAUAAUGGAAACUACCUCAUCUGGAAGAAUUAGCUUCUGAAUGUCAUCAUUGCGAACAGACUCGAUGAUUUCAUUUAUGGAACUCGACCCUGCCCUCCUUGAUUUCUCAAUCUGCAACAACAAACCCUCACUCCAGAGUACUCGGUCUAGCAGAGAUACAAUCGACUUCUAAUGAGUUGGCUGUACGCAUCCUUGUCCGAAGAUAUAAUGACUCAGAUUGUUGGGUAUUCAACAACUGUGGAGAUUUGGAACGUCCUUAAUCAGAUUUACUCUGCCUCUUCAAUGGCGUGGGUUACCGAGCUUCACACCAAGCUUCAAACGCUCAAGAAAGAUGGACUCUCAGUUGGUGAAUAUAUUCAAAGGCUCAAAUCCAUUUGCAAUAGUCUUGCAGCAAUAGGAGAACUAGUUUCUGAGAAAGACCAGCUUAUCUAUUUGUUCAAUGGAUUAUAUUGUGAGUAUAAUUCUUUUGUUACCUCCAUUCAAAAUCGAUCUGACCAACCAACUAUUGAGCAAAUCCAUAGCCUAUUGCUUAGCUAUGACUUUCGGCUUGAACAACAAAACUCUGUUUCUCUCCAUUAUGCCCAAGUCCGUAUGGCUCAUCUGAACAAGAAACCUUAUAAAUCAACUCCUCAACCUACAUUCAAUCAUAUUCACAUUCAACCUAGAUACUCUUCUCCACCUUUUAAGCCAACCACUAGUCAAUAUCAACCCAGGAUUUUGGGCAAACCACAACCACAACCAUGACAGCCUCAACCUCAAUGGAAACCACAUUUUUCAAUCCAGAAUCAAAAGCCUCAGUGCCAAAUUUGUGGUAAAUUUGGACACACUGCUCUUAUUUGCUUCCAUUGCACAAAUUUGAACUAUUCACCCCAACCUUCUCCUAAAUCUUUCAAUACUGUUCUCACCACAAAUUCCCAGCUCCCUAAUCCUCCAAAAUUUUCUUACCCUACAAUGGCUCAUCCUGCUGCUACGCAUAACACGAUUCCUGAUACAAAUUGGUACAUGGACUCAGGUGCUACACAUCACUUUACUCCGGACAUCAACAUGCUUGACACUGUGACACCAUUUAGUGGUUUAGAACAGGUGACAGUUGGGAAUGGUAAGCAACUCUGUAUCUCACAUCUUGGUACUGCAAAACUACCAUCCUCGUAUUCUCCUCUUGUUCUACAUCAGGUAUAUCACACUCCAAAAAUUUCAAAUAAUCUUAUUAGUGUUAGAAAAUUGUGUUCUGAUAAUAAAGUUUUUGUUGAAUUUUAUGCCACUCAUUUUCUUAUCAAAGAUCAAGUUUCGAAGAGAGUUCUCUUUCAAGGUCAACUUGAUAAUGGCUUAUACAAAGUUCAGUCGUCAUGCUCUCCUUCUACUAUUUCCUUUCAUCCUCAAGUUUUCAUAGCCAACAUCAAGGAUCAAAAUUUGUGGCACAAGAGACUAGGCCACCCAGCUUUAUCUGUUAUUAAUCAAAUCUUGGAUUCUUGUAACAUUGCUCGAACACAGAAAAUUGGUUUUAAUUUUUGUAGUUCUUGUCAAUUAGCAAAAAGCCACAGGCUUCCUUUUUCUCUGUCUCCAUCCAUUGCAGAAAAACCUUUUGAGUUAAUUCAUACAGACCUAUGGGGUCUUUCUCCUGUUCGCUCUAUUUCUGGUGCUCGUUAUUUUUUACUUUUCAUUGAUGAUCAUACUCGUUUUACUUGGUUUUAUUUGCUCAAAACAAAAGAUGAAGCAUAUCCUACUUUUCUCAAGUUUCAAGCUCUCAUUGAAAAUCAAUUUAAUACCAAGAUUAAGGUUGUCCAAUCUGAUUGGGGAGGUGAGUUUCGAUCUCUCUCCAUACUGUUUUCAAAUAUGGGCAUUGUCUAUCGUUUAUCAUGUCCAUACACCUCACAACAGAAUGAGUGGGUUGAGCGAAAAAAUCACCAUGCGGUUGAAAUGGGAUUGUCCUUUCUUGCUCGCUCGGGUAUGCCCUUAUCUUAUUGGCCUUAUGCCUUUCAAACUGCCACUUACCUUAUUAAUCGUCUCUCUACCCCUGUGCUGCACCAUCAAUCCCCUUACUUCGCACUCUAUCACAAAUUCCCAGCUUAUACUCAUCUUAAGGUCUUUGUUCCUCUUGUUUUCCAUAUUUACGCCCUUAUAAUACCCAUAAACUCCAAUACAGGUCACUGGAGUGUGCUUUUCUUGGUUGCAGUUCACACCACAAAGGUUAUCUAUGUCUUGACAUUCAUUCUAGCAGGGUGUAUAUUUCUCGCCAUGUGAUUUUUAAUGAAGAUUCUUUUACAUUCAAGAAUUUGAAAUCUUCUCUCUCUUAGUCUAUUUCUUCUUCCUCUUCUUUAUUAGUUCCUCUGUUCAUUUCCUUGCCUCCCCUCUCCCCAUAUCCUCCUAUUUCUCCAUCUAUAUCUCAUUCUUUUCUCUCUUCUUCUUCUACCUCUAGUACUUGUUCCCCUCUCGUUGCUCCUACCUCUCUUCCUCCCUCUUCACACUUUGUGUCCCAUCUAUUCCACCUCCUUCUCCACCUUCUUCGAGUGUGGACCUGCUUGUACCUUGUGUGAAUACAAAUUUACUUACUUUUUCUCGCACUCACAAUAUUCAUCCUAUGGUGACCAGAUCUAAGGGUUUGUAUCUAUAAACCUAAGUUGCUAUUGAGUGUCUCCAUAGGUUCUCUCACUAAGCCUACUUCCUUUCUUCAAGCUAUUAAAGAUCCUUCAUGGAAGCAAGCCAUGGAAUUGGAGUUUGCUGCCCUUCAACACAACAAGACCUGGCAUCUAGUUCAUUCACCUUCCUCAGGCAAAGUAAUUGGUUGUAAAUGGGUCUAUAAGAUAAAGCUUUAGCCUGAUGGCUAAUUGAGAGAUACAAGGCCCGCUUAGUAGCUUAGGGUUAUCAUCAAACUGAAGGUAUUGACUACUUCGAAACAUUCAGCCUGGUUGUCAAGCCUUCUACUACCGUAUUGUGCUCAGUCUUACUUUUUCCCAGAAUUGGUGUAUUAGACAGCUGGAUGUUCAUAAUGCCUUCUUACAUGGUGACUUAGCUGAAGACGUUUUCAUGGAACAACCACCUGGAUUUGUUGAUCCUCUCUAUCCUACUCAUGUCUGCAAGUUGGAUAAGUCUCUCUACGGUCUUAAUAGUCACCUCGGGCUUGGUAUACUAAGCUGAGUACUUCUCUACUACACUUGGGAUUUGUUACUUCUAAGAAUGACUCUUCCUUAUUUAUUUGUCAUUCGUCUCAUGGGUUACUUCUUGUUCUUGUCUAUGUGGAUGAUAUAAUCGUCACUGGGAGCCACUCUCCUCAAGUUACUCACCUUAUCCAAUAGUUGCAUCAUCAGUUUUCUUUAAAGGAUCUUGGUCAUUUACACUAUUUUCUGGGCUUGGAGGUUCAUCACACCCCUACUGGUAUUCACCUCAGCCAAGCAAAGUAUAUCACUGAUCUCCUUACCCGGGCGGCUAUGUUGGAUGCCAAGCCAUGUCCCACUCCUAUGUCCUCCAACACAUAUCUUUCUCUUCAUGAUGGAGUGGCUCUUGAAAAUGGUUCAGAUUAUUGAAGUUUUGUUGGUGCCCUUUAGUAUUGUACCAUGACACGCCCAGAUAUAGCUUUUGCAGUAAAUAAAGUGUGUCAAUUCAUGCACCAUCCCUCUGAUGUUCACUGGCAGGCUAUAAAACGUAUUCUCCAGUACUUAAAGGGCACAUCUCAUUUUGGUCUCUUCCUACAGCCUUCCUAUGACUUCAACAUCACUUGCUAUACAGAUGCCGACUGGGCUUCCUGCCUUGAUGACAAGUGUAGCACCAGUGGCUACUGCCUCUUUCUUGCCUCUAAUCUGGUUUCUUGGUCAUCUUCCAAACAAAAAGUGGUCUCCCGCUCCAGCGCCAAAUCAGAGUACCGAGGGGUAGCAAAUGGGGCUGCUGAAAUUGCUUGGACUGAAUCUCUUCUUUGUGAACUUUCCACCCACUCGACCUCCCCUCAUUGUCUGUGACAAUAUCAGUGCCACAUACUUAGCUGUCAAUCCUAUUUUGCAUGCCCGCACCAAAACAUGUGGAAAUCGACUAUCACUUUGUCUCGGAACGUGUUCUUCAACGCUCUCUCUCUCUCCAGUUUACACCUUCGGAUGAUCAACUUGCUGAUUGCAUGACCAAGCCUCUCUCCACCCAACGUUUCAUCACUCUACGCUCCAAGCUCACUGUUCUCACUAGACCAAUGAGCUUGAGGGGGGAUGUUAAGCCUAAAGAUGUAAUUAGUUAGGAUAUUCUUUUCCCUCUAGUCUUGUAGCUCCACGUGUACAGUUGGUUAGGACCUCAUUGUAUAUAAUGCCUGCCCUGUUAUUGUAGAAGACAACAGAGAUAAAUAAUAUUAACAUUUUUCCUCUCAUCUCUCUCUCUGUUUCCCUCUGUUUUCAUCUCCUCUCUCAUCUGAACCAAAUGAUCCAUGUUAACCUUGGCUUGGUUUGAUUUGGCUCUAUCUUAGAGAGCUCAAGGAUCACGUCAACUCUGGUUUCUACUAUUCAGGUCCAUUCCCAUAUGAACUGGUUCAAAUUUGAGAAAAUGGUAACAGACCUUUAGUGAUGUUGGUUUGGAGCCAGUUGCCAAACCCGCCCUGAGCUUUACCACUAAUGUCAAGGGAGAAAGCCUUUUGAACAAAAACAAUAGCUUCAAGAGACUGAAUCGUGGAUGAAAUCUGAUCCACAUUUCUUCUCAUUUUGGAAACAAAUGAGAACUUAACUAAGAAGAUUCUACGGCCUCAUAGUGCUUUUCCUGAUCUAAGGUUGGUUCGUUUCCCAAAUUGUGAGAUGCACGGGCCAGACUUCAGAACUCUCACGCUCAGGAGUGUAUCCACGUGGUGGACAUAAGAUGGUGGCUUAAGAUCUGGUGUCGGUGGCUUUACUUUACUAGGAGAGUAGUGUGUCUUCAUCUCAUUCACUGCCGGAGGGUGGCGUAAGCAGUGACGCUAAGGUGGGGCAUAGUCAAUAUCAUUUGCAUUUGACCAUUAUAGUUUUCUCCCGGCUUGAAAGUAACCUUAUCGUGAUAAAGGAUUACUAGCACUAGUUCAGAUGACAGUCAUGUUAAAUUCGGACCAUGUUUGUGUCACAUUAUCAGCAACCAUGUGUUUAUGGUUCAUGCUUUCUGCAACUGAAAUUGAAAUUGAUAUAUAACCAGGUGAACUUCAAUCUAAAUUCUGGAAGUACUCAUGUGAGCGAUGGUGCCCAUCUGCAGAGUCCAUCAAUUGAAAAAUGGAGUGAGUGUAUCUAUAAGAGGGAAGGCUUGGCAAAUGUCCAGUUUUCUGGGAAUUCAACAAGGAUCUAAAAUAGAUUGUUUUCUUUGCUGAUUUCAAUGGUUGAAAUUUGAGAAGAUUGUGUCCCACAUAACACAACUAUUACUGGUCCUUCUGUUGCAAUUUAUCCUCUAAGGCUCUAGCAUGUCUUCCAAUUCCCACUUCCCUGUUACUCCAGGAAAGCUAUUUCUGUCAUUGUGAAGAAGAAAAGAGAAUGUAGAUAUCGAUGCUUUUAAGUGACUGGAGCAUUCAUAUCAGGUGGUCUGCAGCCAUAUAUGCCACUUUGUGAAGAUUGGAACAGUCAAUCACUAGGCUAUAUAUUAGUGUGGCCCAGCCACUUUAAUCAAGGACAAUUCUUCAUACUUAAAAGUCAAAUUCUGCCUUUAGUCUCAUUAUAAAUUGCUGUUUAAAUAUUAAGCAAACAUUUGUUUAAUGCGAUUAAGACAGUACUAACUCAAUACUUGUUCUAUUUUUGGAUGGAAAUGCUUGAUGGUUUCAUCAUUGGAUGGGAUAAAGGUGCAUUCAUGAUUAUGAAUACUUGUAGUUAUAUUUUCAUUCUCUUUUUUCUCAAUGAGACUUGUUGGCACAAUUUUUCUGUUCAGAAACCUACCUCUCCAUGGAAAAUAAGUUGUGAUUGAUAGUACUGGAUAUAUUCAAGAAAGCUAAAUAUAGAUAGCACAAAAUAUUAUCGACAUAAAUAGCAUUAACAGCGUACGUAUGUCUCAGUGCUCAUCAGCCAUAAGCAUGGGGCAAACACUUACGAUGAGCAACUUACGUCAAAAUUCCAGAAUAGGACAUAGAAGUGACAGAUCUAUAUAUAUAGAACACUGCAUAAGAGUCACAAGAAAGGAAAUUACGGGUGCAUAGCAGCUCUUAUUUCACAUACUACUCAUACUGAUCAAAGUCACUCAGUUGGGAUGGGUGGGAGUAGGAGGUUUGUGGGGUGGCUUGUGCGGAGGAGUUGGCAGCUUCUUUCCAGGACCUGGUGGCUUCUCUCCCUUAGGUGGUUUGCCAACUGGGGUUGGUGGCUUGUAUGAGUCUUCAGCAUUCUCUGCAGGAGGGUGACCAGGGUUGUGACCAUAAUGUGGUGGCUUCUCUCCCUUAGGUGGUUUGCCAACUGGGGUUGGUGGCUUGUGUUCUGGGAGUGGCUUCUCCCCCUUGGGAGGUUUUUCCAAUGGGGUUGGUUUGUGUUCAGGAGGUGGCUUCUCCACUGGAGGCUUGUGUUCAGGAGGUGGCUUCUCCACCGGAGGCUUGUGUUCAGGAGGUGGCUUCUCCACCGGAGGCUUAUGCUCUGGUGGUGGCUUCUCCACCGGAGGCUUAUGCUCUGGUGGUGGCUUCUCGAAUGGGGGAUGCUUAGGGUAAUCAGCAAGUGAGGGGGCGGUGAGAACCACCAGGCCAAGCAAGACCACUAGCAAGUAUGUAGGAGACAUCUUUGGGUUUAGACUCAGAUGGUGCAAAACUAGGAGAAUUGUCUUUUAUAGCGGAUCGCACCCAAUAAUGAAAUGACACGUGUCUUUAUGACCCAUGUGUAAUGGGGUCGAUUUGGGUCCUACAGUGUUGAAAACUUCGACAUCCACUUUUGGCCUUUUGCUUUCUCUACAGCCGCCUUGCUUUUUCCCUCUUUCCUUUUGUUUUCCUCCUGCCCCAUUCUAUCAACUAAACACAAUUAUGUAGUUGUUUAAUUCUUAAAUGAGAUAUUAUCCGUCAAUCGUAUCAUAUUUUAUCAACAGAGAACGGAGUGCAAUGUGGCAAUCCAAAGAAAGAAGAUCCAUAAUGCAGCUGUAAUUUUAUCGUUUACUUUUAUCUCUUGGACCACUGCAUUUUUGUUAAGAGGUGCAAUAAUACACGUCUUUAUCUGCCAUUCAAUGUUUACAGUAAAGAGAGGGCACAAAACUCUUCACUGCUCUGCAUGUGUCCCAAAAAUGCAAUUGGACAAAUUAUGAUUUGCAUGCUAAAAAGAGGCAAAUGAGGUUAAUUCGCACCAUAAUUAUUUUGUUUUCUGGACCCCGGGGCCCUUUGGUUGGUUUGGGGGUCAGAAAAUGAACAUCAUAGGGGGUUUUUCCCUUAUGUGCAUUUGUAUCUGAUGGCUUUAACUCGCCUUGUUACUACAAAGAAAUUGUCACAUAUAGGAACUUAUUCCAGGCUGAGUAUCUCCGCAUAGACCCUAUAAAAGAAGACAAGUCAUAAUGAACAUCUAACCUUUGUUCAAUUUGAUUCAAUGCCCCAUUGUGUCCACCUCACAAAUCUGAAUUAUUAUAUCCAUUGAAUACAUAAAUUAAUGAAGAAAAUAUGAAACCCAAGAUACAUCUCUGCACAACCUCAACCCUGGUUGCUAUGUUUCCCUUCUAUUCACAUGAGGAUAUUGAUUACGGAAUAGGGAAACCUAGCAAGGGUUUACUCGGCUCUGGUUUGAUGCUAAUUGCCAAACUUGCAACAAGCCCUGAGUUUGAAGCUCACAGAAGAUGUUAUACAGGCAGGGAAAAACCUUCAGAGUUCGCUGCCAAAGAUAAUUAUUAAGGAGAUAUCACCAAGAGAAUUCCAAGGAGUCUGAAUCAAAGACAAAUUGGUCGUUCGUGGAGGUUCUUACUUUCUUUUGGGUAUAACUCACUGAGGGCACUGUCUUUUUUAUUUUCAUUUCACAUUUAGAGUUCUGUUCUGGAAACAUAUAAAAGGAGCAUCAGUUUGUUCUUGGGUAACCCAUAGUCGUGAGUGGGUCCAUUUGCAUGCUACUUAGUUGAAAAGUUGGACCAUUUGCUCCGACGCCUACCUCCUGGAUUCCAUGCUCGGAUAAAACAAGAAUAAAAAAAUAUUUAUAAUUUACAAAUGGGGGAAAGAAAAAAAUGUCAACAACAAACUAGGAAAAAAGAGUAGUAAAAUUCAUGUCACAUGCUAGUGAGAGAAGGGGUUGUUACACUCACUCGAAGUUCUUUUCAAAAUAUCGCAUGGUAUUUUAUUUUAUGUGUGAGCGCAGUUGUGAAUGGAACGUGCAAAAGUCCAAAUUGGUGACCUUUAAUAAAUAUUUAAAACAAAAAACGAAAAAAAGGAGGGAAAAGGGAUCAGAAAAGAUAAAACAAUGUGUACAAAAGCUCAAUUAGUUUGCAAAUUACUGUUUGGAUUUUGAUAGUAUUUUAUUUGAUGUAAAAGAGAAUUUAAGAUAUUUCCGAAACAAAAGCAUUAGUUUGCUCCAUGUCAAUUUCGGCAUUUCUCAUAUGUUUCACACAUACACAGAAGAGCAUCGUUUUUUAAAGCAUGCAUUUAUGUUGGAUUAAUUUGGAUUUUGUGGGAACUGGGGCAAGGAUCACAUGGAAGAGAGGUUGACUUUUUUCAGUACUUCAAUGGUUGAGACAGGUGAAGGCCUGAUUGAUACUGAAGCCUGAAAUUGCGACUCCGUCAUUUGUCAAAACAUAUGACAGCUUCCAUGCUCUCGUUUGGUUGCAUUGUUCUGUGGUCAUGCAUACAUGCCACUUAGUGAUCAGUCUGUAACUGUCAAUCAUUGGGCUUUGACUGAACAACAUCAGCCAUGUAUAAAUACUUGCAAAUCAAACGGUCUUCUUCCUCCCAUAAGGAAUUUCGGUUUAAUUAUGAAGCAUGCAUUUGGCUGACCAUCAUAAACCACUUCUUUAAAUUGAUGAAUGAUAGUUUUUCAUUCAUUCUUUCAUUCGUUCAUAUACAGAGUAUAUAUAGAGGGUAAUCAUCAUUCUAAGAAUGGGAAAGAAUGAUACAAGGAAAUAAUGAUAUAAAGAAAUAACAACUAAUAUUCUAAUAUCUCAACUUUCCUAAUAUCUAAACAUUCCUAAUAUCUCAACACUAAAUGAUAUAAAGAAAGAAUGAUAUAAGGAAAGCAUUCCUAAUAUCUCAACACUCCUCCUCAAGUUGGUGCAUAGAUGUCAAACAUGUCCAACUUGUCUAAAAAUUUUGAGAACAGUUGACUUGAGACAUCUUUGGUGAGGAUAUCGGUCAAUUGAUCUUCUGAUCGAAUCUUAGGCAAUUCCACAAUCUUAUCAUCCAACUUUUCCUUAAUGAAAAAUCUAUCCAUCUCGACAUGCUUUGUACGAUCAUGUUGUACUAGAUUAUGAGCAAUGUCACAUGCUGCUUUAUUGUCACAAAACAAUCGGAUUGGUUGCCUAGAUAGGUAACCUAAAUCCUAUAAGAGGAGUCUUAGCCAUAAUGCCUCACAAAGUCCUAAAGUCAUACCUCUAAAUUCCGCUUCUGCACUUGAACGAGCGACGACAUUUUGCUUCUUACUUUUCCAUGUCACAAGAUUACCACCUACAAAGGUAAAGUAACCAGAUGUAGAUCGCCUAUCAUCCACUGCACCGACCCAAACAGCAUUAUACUUCUAUACUCUGAUGAUCAACAUUUUUAGCGAACAAAAUUCCCUUCCUAGGAGCAUUCUUCAAAUACCUCAAAAUACGCAUGACUACAUUCAUAUGUUGCUCUCCAGGAUUAUGCAUGUAUUGACUCACUACACUCAAUGUAUAAGCAAGAUCUAGUCUUGUAUGAGCUAAGUACAUUAAUCUCCCCACAAGUCUCUGGUAUCUUCCCUUAUCGAUUGAUACUUGAUUAGGCUCAACACACAAUUUCAGACCUUCUUCUAUUGGUGUAUUAAUAGGUUGACAUCCCGACAUUCCAGUUUCCUGUAGAAGAUCUAAGGCAUACUUUCUUUGAGACAGAAAAAUUCCUUCACUUGAUCGAGAAACUUCAAUCCCAAGAAAGUAUUUCAGACGACCAAGAUCUUUCAUUUCAAAUUCUCUAGAUAGAUACUUUUGCAAAGCUUUUCUUUCUUCAGGAUCAUUUCCUGUAACUACAUGUCAUCCACAUAUAUCAUAAGUGUCGUAAUCUUACCAUGUUGCUUUUUCAAGAACAAAGUGUGAUUUGAAUUACUUUGAUGAUAGCCAAAAGCUCUCAUUGAUUUUGUGAACCUUCCAAACCAUGCUCUCGGGGAUUGCUUCAACCCAUACAAUGACUUCUUCAAUUCGCACACCUUCUGACAUUGCUUUUCUGACACCAUGCAUCCUGGUGGAAGAUCCAUAUAUACUUCUUCAGAUAAAUCGCCAUGCAGAAAGACAUUUUUUACAUCGAACUAUUGUAAUGGCCAAUCUAGGUUUGCAGCUAAAGACAAUAAUACUCGAACUGUGUUGAUCUUAGCUACAGGUGCAAAUGUCUCUGUGUAGUCAAUUCCAUAAGUUUGAAUGUACCCACUAGUCUUGCUUUAAAUCGUUCAAUACUACCAUCUGCCUUGUACUUCACAGUAUAGAUCCAACGACACCCAACUAGCUUCUUUCCUGGUGGACAUUCUACGAGUUCCCAUGUUUCAUUUUUCUGCAAUGAUUUCAUCUCUUCAUUCAUGGUUGCUUUCCACUUUGGAUCAGCUAAAGCUUCCUGCACACUAUUAGGAAUAGCUACAGUAGAUAAUUGAUUUACAAAUGACUUAUUUGAUUCAGACAAACCAUGGUGUGGACCCGCAUUUUUCACGUGCGCCUCUACUCGAUCGGCGAGACUCGCUUUCUAUUUGUGAAAAAUUAAUUUUAGAAAAGUUGGAGUCGCCACCUAUUUUAUUUUUAUUUUGAAGGGAAAAUAAAACAAGAAAGAAAAACCCUAAAAAGUGACUCCAUAGUUUUGGAAAAAGCAUGUCUUUGGGAAACCUGAGUCUAGGUCCGGGGAUCAUGUUACUUAUUGGGAAGGUACCUCUAGGAGGUAGCACCCCUCUAAGCCUUAUGAAGGUCUCUACUAACUAAAUUAAGGGAAGUGUGGCAAUAAAUCGAUUGAUCAUAGAUACCUAAGUAGACUAGGUGAUUUUAAAGUGUGGCAUGUCAAACACAAUCAAAUUGCAAUAAAGGAGAGUUAGGGCGCGUACCUGAACCGCUUCUCAAGCGCUAUCAUAAAACAUCAAUGGUUAAUUUAAAUAAUAUAUCAUCCAGCAUGUAUUUUAUUAGAAAUAAUCAAACAAUGAAACAUGUAUAUCAGAACACUCAAGCAUUAUUAGACAUAAGCAUUAUUUCACUAUUCACAGAAUUCAGAAAGUAGGUGAUAGAGGACAUACCUGGAUAGCAUAGAUAAUUUGUAAUGUGCUUCCUCAAGUUGUAAGGGGUUAGAUAACAAAUAAUAAAAUAUAGAAAUCCUAGCAUGCUCGUUAUCUAAUUAGCAUAGCAAAAGUGAUCACAGUAUACAGAAUCAUCAAUUAUCACAUACAUCUUGUAUAUAAUUCCUAAAAAAAAUAGAUAGACAUGAUUUCAACAAGUGUCAAAUGUGGCAACAAAAAUAAAUUUUGAAAAGAUUUUCUUAUGUAGGGGUUUCACCAAUUCCCCAAAUUAAUAUACACGAAUUUAGCUUAGAAUUAUCCCAUUUAUUUGGGACUACAAGCUUUGAUUCGUGUUUUUGUUCAAAACCAAAAAUUUUUGUUGAAAAUCAAGAAGGAUGCGAACCGAACAAGAUAUGGUUGCAUAUUAUUUUUAAAUAAAUAAAUAAAUAAAUAAAGGAGAUUUUGAUCCUGAGGACUUUAAUGAGUUUUUUUUUUUAAAAUAGAUUUUUAAAAUGAUUUUUUUGAGAAAAGUAUUUUAUUUUAAAAUAAAAGGGAUUAAUUUGGGAAAAAAAUAAAAUAUAAGAAAUAAAAUACCAAACAAAACAAAAAUGAAACCUCAAAGUAAAAUUUUUUUAGUAAUUAACAAAAAUGAUAAUGGUGAUGGUAGAGGGCAAUCUUCAUGAUUUUCCAAUGGCCUCAGAAAGAAAAUCAAAUUAAAUGAAGGAUCACUAACAGGCAAGACAUUCUAAAUUAGACAAACUAACAAAGUAUCAAUUCAUGAACUAACCGCUAGGAUUUUGAAAGCAUAUAAGCUAAGAUAAGGGUGAUCAGGAACUAAUAUUAAUGAUUUUGAAAUAAAAACUAAAAAAAAGGAUCAAUUCGGGUAAGGAACUAAAAUUAUAAAAGUACCUAAACUAAUUAUGACGAGUUUGACUAAAUUAAACUAAAAACAUGAACUUUCAAACAUAGAAUUAAUUUUACUAAUGAACCAAAGCAAACUAAAAAUAUGUACUUUCAAGCAUAGAAUUAAUUUUAUUGAUGAACUAAACUAUAACAAAUAUCUAAACUAAAUAUAAUGAAUCAAAUUAAAUUAAAGCAACUUAAAAACGCAAACUUUCAAACAUAGAAUCAAUUUUAUCAAUGAAUUAAAACUAUAAAUGUAUUUGAACUAAAUAGAUGAAUCAAACUAAAUCAGAGCAAAAUUAAAAAAAAAAAAGAACUUUCUAACAUGAAAUCAAUUUUAUCAACAAAUAAAUGAAUGAAUAACAAGUAAUUAAAAGAAUAGCUACUACAUGAAUAACUGAAUGAAUAAAAUUCAAAUGUUUUCAAUCUGAAGCAAUCAAUCAAAAUUAAAUAGGGAUCAAAUCAAAAUAAUCGAAAUCGGAAAAACAAUAUGCAAUCUUUCUAAAGGUUUAACCAGACAAUUGAAUUAAAAUUAUGAAUAGAAUAAAUUAAUAAACCAAAUCGAAACCUAAAUUGUACCUAAAAAGAUUAAUUAAUUAAACUAAGAAAUCAAAAUCAAUAACAAAACUAAACUAAGGAGUAAAUUAAGACAAGACUAAUUAAAUUAAACUCACAAACACGUUUUAACUAUCAUAUGGAUUAAAACAAAAUUAGCAUGGACUUAUGAAUUACGAACAAAAAUAAUCAAAACUAUUUUAAAAAACUCACCUCUAUUAUAAGAAAAAAUCUGCCUUUGAUGCGUUGAGGUGGCUCCCCUCUCUGUGUGGAUCUCUCUGCUCCCCAGAAAAAAAAUGUCUCUUCCUCCGUUCUCUUUUGUUUCAGCAAAAUAAUAUAUCCCCUGCUGUGGAUCUCUCUACUCCCAGAAAAUAAUAUAUUCUCUCCGUGUCCUAAAGUGGACCUAGGGUGCCUAAGUGGACCUAGGGUGCCUAAAUGGGCCUAGGGUGCCUAAAUGGGCCAAGUGUAUCUAAAUAGGCUUAGGGUGCCUAAGUGGGCCUAAGUCUAAGUGAGCCUAAGUCUAAAUCAAGACUACCAAGGAUCAUAAUAAGGGGUUAGGCAAUCCCUUAACCAAAGUCUCCAAGGUGGCUAAAAAAAAGUAAGUAGUAUGAGUAGCUAUGGGUCACCAAGGAACUACUGUGGAGCAUUGAAAACGAAUUUAAAGACAUGUGCCAAAGGGACAAAAUUGAGGGUCUACAGAUGGUUAGACACAUAGUUGCUCAUGGGAUAUUUGACUUUGGUAAACAAUUCAGAUUCAUAUGUGGGUUUAGGAAUACCUUUAUUAUGACGGUGUGGUAAUCGUUUCAUGAAUGGAUCAGGUUGCAAAUUAAGAACACCCUCAGCAAACAACGAUUGGUUUGGUAUUUCAGUGAAGACAUCUUCGAACCCAAAUUGUUGACCACUCAUAUCCAACUCACCCGCUUCCUGGUUCACUAGUUCAGAUUGUCCAAAUUCAUCAUUCUCAUAGAUAUGAUAAUCAUAAUCGAGAGUCUGAAUUUCCUUAUGGUACUCCCCCUGAAGUUCAGACUUAGAUGAAAAAUACAUCGAAUAUUCAUGAAACAGCNNNNNNNNNNNNNNNNNNNNNNNNNNNNNNNNNNNNNNNNNNNNNNNNNNNNNNNNNNNNNNNNNNNNNNNNNNNNNNNNNNNNNNNNNNNNNNNNNNNNNNNNNNNNNNNNNNNNNNNNNNNNNNNNNNNNNNNNNNNNNNNNNNNNNNNNNNNNNNNNNNNNNNNNNNNNNNNNNNNNNNNNNNNNNNNNNNNNNNNNNNNNNNNNNNNNNNNNNNNNNNNNNNNNNNNNNNNNNNNNNNNNNNNNNNNNNNNNNNNNNNNNNNNNNNNNNNNNNNNNNNNNNNNNNNNNNNNNNNNNNNNNNNNNNNNNNNNNNNNNNNNNNNNNNNNNNNNNNNNNNNNNNNNNNNNNNNNNNNNNNNNNNNNNNNNNNNNNNNNNNNNNNNNNNNNNNNNNNNNNNNNNNNNNNNNNNNNNNNNNNNNNNNNNNNNNNNNNNNNNNNNNNNNNNNNNNNNNNNNNNNNNNNNNNNNNNNNNNNNNNNNNNNNNNNNNNNNNNNNNNNNNNNNNNNNNNNNNNNNNNNNNNNNNNNNNNNNNNNNNNNNNNNNNNNNNNNNNNNNNNNNNNNNNNNNNNNNNNNNNNNNNNNNNNNNNNNNNNNNNNNNNNNNNNNNNNNNNNNNNNNNNNNNNNNNNNNNNNNNNNNNNNNNNNNNNNNNNNNNNNNNNNNNNNNNNNNNNNNNNNNNNNNNNNNNNNNNNNNNNNNNNNNNNNNNNNNNNNNNNNNNNNNNNNNNNNNNNNNNNNNNNNNNNNNNNNNNNNNNNNNNNNNNNNNNNNNNNNNNNNNNNNNNNNNNNNNNNNNNNNNNNNNNNNNNNNNNNNNNNNNNNNNNNNNNNNNNNNNNNNNNNNNNNNNNNNNNNNNNNNNNNNNNNNNNNNNNNNNNNNNNNNNNNNNNNNNNNNNNNNNNNNNNNNNNNNNNNNNNNNNNNNNNNNNNNNNNNNNNNNNNNNNNNNNNNNNNNNNNNNNNNNNNNNNNNNNNNNNNNNNNNNNNNNNNNNNNNNNNNNNNNNNNNNNNNNNNNNNNNNNNNNNNNNNNNNNNNNNNNNNNNNNNNNNNNNNNNNNNNNNNNNNNNNNNNNNNNNNNNNNNNNNNNNNNNNNNNNNNNNNNNNNNNNNNNNNNNNNNNNNNNNNNNNNNNNNNNNNNNNNNNNNNNNNNNNNNNNNNNNNNNNNNNNNNNNNNNNNNNNNNNNNNNNNNNNNNNNNNNNNNNNNNNNNNNNNNNNNNNNNNNNNNNNNNNNNNNNNNNNNNNNNNNNNNNNNNNNNNNNNNNNNNNNNNNNNNNNNNNNNNNNNNNNNNNNNNNNNNNNNNNNNNNNNNNNNNNNNNNNNNNNNNNNNNNNNNNNNNNNNNNNNNNNNNNNNNNNNNNNNNNNNNNNNNNNNNNNNNNNNNNNNNNNNNNNNNNNNNNNNNNNNNNNNNNNNNNNNNNNNNNNNNNNNNNNNNNNNNNNNNNNNNNNNNNNNNNNNNNNNNNNNNNNNNNNNNNNNNNNNNNNNNNNNNNNNNNNNNNNNNNNNNNNNNNNNNNNAACCAAAGGAAGCAUGUUCCAGACGUCGAUGCCACAACCAAAUUUCAGACUUUUUCUUCUCCUCCUUAGAUCCAUCUGCCAUCAAGGCUUGUUGCAACUUAUUUGAAUCCUUUGAUUGCAAGUCCAAGUAUAGAGUUUCCCCCGCUUAAUACGACAACCAAUCGUCUGUCUUGUUUGAAUGUCCUUAAUCACACAAAAUUCAGGCCAAAAAAUGACAAUACAAGAUAAGGCUGCAGUGAUUUGAGAAACUAACAAAAGAUUGUAAUCUAAAGAUGGAACAACUAAAACAGAAUCCAAAUUCAAAGUAUCAGUAAGAGUUAAGGAUCCUUCCCCAAUGACUGGGGUUGUGUUACCAUUGGCUGUGGAAACAAUUUUUUGUGAGGAAGGUCUAAGGGGUGAAACCUGUCUAGAAUCAAAAGUCAUAUGAUCUGUAGCACCAGAAUCAAUUAUCCAUGCACUAUUAAUAACAGGUGUAAAAGUAUUUAAAAACUUACCACAAUGAUCUGUAGCGGCUACUAAUGCAGAGACUUUCUCAACAACAUUAGUCUUUGUUUUUAUUUCGGUAACAGUUGCAAUCAAGGUUUUCUUGGAAUUCUUCUUCCGUUGAUCACGAUUAUUAUCAUUAAUAACAAAGUGUUGAUAGCCUAAACAUGAUCUAAAGGUCCAUGGUGCAAACCCUCGGUUCCUCAUUGUUUUCCUGGUCAUACCAAGAGUUGUUGCUUUGAAAUUGUGGGAUAUCCAGACUGGUGGGAUCAGUUUUAUUGCAGUGAGUGCAUUUGAAUGUUGACUUAUCAAUAUUAGGGCUUGUCUUCGGAUGGUUGAUUGCUGUUGGACUACCAUAGCGACAAAAUAUCCAGGAUUUCAAUUCCAGGGCUCUGAUACCAUCUUCAAAUUGAUGAAUGAUAGUUUUUCAUUCAUUCUUUCAUGUACAGAGUAUAUAUAGAGGGUAAUCACCAUUCUAAGAAUGGGAAAGAAUGAUACGAGGAAAUAAUGAUAUAAGGAAAUAAUAACUAAUAUCCUAAUAUCUCAACUUUCCUAAUAUCUCAAUAUUCCUAAUAUCUCAACUUUCCUAAUAUCUAAACAUUCAUAAUAUCUCAACACUAAAUGAUACAAGGAAAGAAUGAUAUAAGGAAAACAUUCCUAAUAUCUCAACACCACUUCAUGAUAUAUAUAGUUUCUUACCCUUAAUCAAUGGUUUCUAAGUGAAUUUAUAUAGAAAGAAAUCCAAACUGUAGACAGCAGUAUUGGUAACACUCAAUAUUCUGUAUAUAAUAGAAUAAAUAGCGUCACAGUGAUCGUCGCCUACAAGCAAGGUACAAAUACCACAAAGAGUGACCCACAUAGACAUUCCCCAACAAGAUGUAGUAGUGACUGACACAUAGCCACAAUUAACACGUAGAAAAGGAUAAGACCGGUGCACAGUAGCUCUUAUUUUACAUACUACUUAUGCCAACCAAAGUCACUCAGUUGGGAUGGGAGGGAGAUGGAGGUUUGUGCGGUGGCUUGUGGGGCGGAGUUGAUGGCUUCUUUCCAGGAGCUUCUGGCUUUUUCAUCGGAGCUGAAGGAGGCUCAAUCUUAUGAGGCGGCUUGUACGAGUCUUCUUUGCUCUCGAAAGGAGGGUGGCCAGGGUUGUGACCAUAAUGUGGUGGUUUCUCUCCCUUGGGAGGUUUACCAAUUGGGGUUGGUGGCUUGUGUUCUGGGAGUGGUUUCUCUCCCUUGGGAGGUUUAGUGGGUGACUUGUGUUCUGGAGGUGGCUUCUCCACCGAAGGCUUGUGCUCCGGUGGUGGCUUUUUGGUUGGAGGGGGCUUGGGGUAAUCAGCAAGAGAUGGGGUGGUGAGAACCACCAGUCCAAGGAACAACACUAGCAAGUAUGUGGGAGACAUUUUUGAGUUUGGGCUGAUCAGAUGAUGCAAAACUAAAGCAUUACGUGACCUUUUAUAGCAAGUAGCUCCCAAUACCUACUUGACACGUGUUACUGUGACCCAUAAAUAUUAUGGGGUCUAUUUGUGCCCUACCGGGUUGAAAACUUGGACAAUUGGGCAAGGACCCGCCUGACUAUGGAGGACUACUGAGGUGUGAUCACAGCUUUAGGAUUUUUCUUCCUCUGCAGCCGUCUUGCCGUUGGCAUGAUUUUCUUAAUCUCAAAUAAAGGCAUAGUUAUAGAGUUGUUUAAUCUCUAAAUGGGAUUUUAUAUAUCUUCAGAUAGCCAUUAAUACAUUUGAUGAAGAAAGAAAGACAAGUGCAUACAACAUGUAUACGACUAGCUUUCAUGGAGUUCAUUUAUGAUCAGUUUUCCUGUACAUGUAAACCAAGAUCAUAUAUGUUUUUGUUCCACAACAAUUUUGGAAUCUUGUUUAUCCGUUUUUAUCAUUAUAAUGUCACAUAGGCUGCCAACUUGGGCGCUAAAUUAAAGAUCCAGUUGGGCAAGUUCGUUUCAGAAUUUCAAUGGUGGAUUCAGGAAUUGUUUUAUAAGAUAUGCAAAAUAGUAGAGGGAUGAAUAGUGUUUCAUUAAGAAAAGAGCCCUGUAAAAAUAUUGUUUAAAGGUGCCAUAGAAACUAUAAUCAAUAAAUAACUUUUUUUCCCCAUGGGUGGUGUUUCUUGUGGGGAUCAGUGACUGGUUUGAGUCAACGCCGUGUCUCUUUAGUCCAGAAAUCAACUAUUUUAUGCAUUGAAUACAUCAACAAAGAAAAUAUGAAAGCCAAAUGACACCUCCCCCGCAAAAACUAAACCCUGGUUGCUAACUUUCUAUGUUUCAGUUCCAUUCACACAAGAAUAUUAGUUCAAGUUUGAGAAAAAUGGCGACUUACCUAGUGAUAACUCGGUCUUGGUUUGCGAUUUGACUUUAACGUCAUGGGUUGAAGCCUCCUACAAUCAUCGUGUAUGCUAGUUCAAAGCUCGUGGAAGAAGUUAUACAGGGAGGGAGAAACCUCCACAGCAAGCUCCAAAAGAGAAUUAUCACAUUGAAAGCUCCAGUUGAACACUGGGUGAAAGCCAUAACAAGAUUGGUUUUCUAUCGCUCUUUUAAGUAAUGGAAGAUUAUUAUCUCUGCUUGUCACUACAACCGUGCAUGCUGCUAGAUCUUUCUAGACACUUCAAACAGUGAAACCAAGUAUGAUUCUUUUUCUCUUGAGUGGGUCCACUUGCAUGCCAAUGAACGAGUUGAAAAGUUGGACAAUUGGCCACAGCGCGCACUUACCUUCUGGAACCGAAGGUCAGUGAAGUGGGGUUCCUUUUGGCCCCUUGUGUUUCUGUUCCAACCUACUCCAGGAACCGAAGUUCAGUGAAGUGGGGCUACUUUUGGCCUCUUGUGUUUCUGUUCCAACCAAACAAAAAUGGGAGGGAAAAAUAGCAUUAUGCUUGUGCUAAAGAUCAACGCAUGAUAGCUGAAUAAGGGAGAAAAAGGCAUUGCUAUCUCAAUUUCAUAAACUUGAUAAGUAGUGACAUUAAUAGUCUUCCUCAUAGAUGGAUACAUGGUUUUAUUUUAUUUAUUUAUUUUUAUUUUUUUGUUUUAUGUCAAUGCUAAUGAAUGAAGUGCAUUAGCUUGUUUUGUGACUAGAACUACAAAUGUCCAAAUUGGAGCUUCUCCAAUAUAUUUCUCAGUGAGUUAUUGAUUAGAACUCUUGGAUUGAGUUCCAAGAUUUGAAUCAGACCCCUCUAGCAGCUUCAGGGGUACGUAGCAACCUAUAGCAUAUUAAUGAAGACUUAGGAUUUAGACUUAGGAAUACAAAUUAAUAUGUACCUCAUGCUCUGACUAGCUUCCCUGCGUAUGCACAAAAUGGAGAUGACUCCCAAAAAAAUAGCAGAAUCGCCUUAGUAUGUUUUUGUGGUUAAGAUGAUUCUCCACUUUAUAUAUCCACAUUGGUUCAUUAUGCAAAUUAAUCAACUAAGCUAUUUUUAUUUUUUCUUAAAUGUGAAAUAGGAGCUCCAAAUUAACCUAACCAUUGGCCUGAUUGAAUUGAUUUCACUUGCAUAAUGUUAUAGUAGAAGUCCGUAAUUUGAAUUUUAUUUUUGCAAAAGGUAACGUAAAUGAAGCAUUGUAAUUAAAUUUAUUUGUAAUUACAAACUAAUUUUAUUUUAUUAAGAAUUAAUUUAAUUACUCAUUUAAAAUAAAAAUCAGUUAUACUUUUACCAAGAUGAUAAUAUUCAUAUUUUUCUAGUUAACAUAUAUAAAAUAGUACACUUUUUCAUAUAAAAAAAUAAUUUAUGAUUUAUUAUAAUGUUACUAUUCACAUUUUACUAAAUUGAUGGUACAUGAUAGUGAGAGAAGGGGGUGUCACACUCAGCUAAAGUUCUUUUCAAAAUAUUGCAUGGUGUUUAAUUUUAUGUGUCGGCGCGCGUGUGAAUGGAACCUGCAAAAGUCCAAAUUGGCGUUUCUCCAUUUUCCACAUAGGAUGGUGACGUUAAUAGACAAAGAUACAAUAUCUGUAGACAUUGCUUAAAAAUCGAUGUGAAGUAUUAGAAAUUACAGGGCACUGUACUGGGGGAGCGGCUGCCCCGCCAAAGGAGGAAGAAUGUAGCAAUUUCUUCUGUUAGCCAGGCCUUAGGAUUUAUGCAUGGGAUGCCUAAUAACAAACAGAGAAAAUAUACUUUUGGGGAAGGUAUCCAACAACAGACACCAUCAUUCAGAUGGUGGGAAGGUAUCCAACAGAUGCCAUCAUUCAGAUGGUAACAUAUAUAUACAUUUAUUAGUGAGUUUUUUUAAUACCUAUAAAAAAAAAUAUACACUUUGAUAUUGUGGCUGAAUCCAUUACAUACUCAACUAACCUUGCUCAUUAGGGAUUUGACUUAACAAGGGCAACGUUGCAGUACAAGCUCAAAACUUUAUGCAGGUGACAUUACAUUUGGUAAAGAAGAGGAAAAUAACGAAAGCCAUCCAUAAAAGCAAAAUUCCACAUGGGAUGAAAUUCACAAGCUUCAUUUACGAUAGAGUCGCAUCCAGGCAAUUAAUUCCACAUUAGACCGCCUGUUGACAUGUGUACCAAUCUUUUUUCAAAAAAUAUUUAUAAAUAAUUGAUACUCACAAAAAUAAUUUAAUAUUUAUAAAGGAUAAAAAAAUAUUUUCAAAUCUAUAACAAUUUAUAAAAUAUUAAUAAAAAAUUAUCUCUUAAACUUAGUAUAGUUUUAUCAGAUUAAACUUUUAUUUUGAACAAAUAAUUUUAAUCUAAGUUUUAAAUUCUAAAAUUAUUUCCUUAAAAUAAAAUUUUAAAAUUCAACACUUCAAUUGAAAUUGUCUUUUUAAAAAAUAUCUUCUUAUUUUAAUCCUUAUAAACUAUAGUUGAUUGAAAAUACUAUUGAAGUUCUCUCUUAAAAAAAAGUCUUAUUUUAAUCUUCAUAAAUUGCCCUUGAUUUGAAAAUAAAUUUUCAGUUAUCAUAUUUUAAAUAAUAUCUAUAUUUAAAAUACUCUAUUUAAAAAAAAAUGAACUAAUUUUAAUUAUAUUAUAUUUUAUUUUUUUAUAUAUUUUUAAUGAUAAACCAAACAUAGAAAAUCAUUUUUCUAAAUAUUUUAAAAUUUCUAAGCAACCAAACAUAAUCUUCAAAAUAAAAGGAAAAUAAGGAGGGACAUUUGAGAAAUGGCGAUUAAAAAAAAGUGUACAAAAGCUCAAUUAAUUUUCUUCUAGUCUUUUAUAUAAAAAAGUAAAGGAAUUGAAAAGUAUUGAUAUGUAAAUUAAUAUUUGGAUUUUAAUAGUAUUUUAUUUGUCUUUCUCUAUCUCAUGUAAAAGAGAAUUUAAGAUAUUUCCUAAAGCAAAGCAUUAGUUAUCUGCAAUCAGUGGUGAUCAUGCCCCAUGUCAAUUUCGGACCCAUAUCUUAAAACUGUAUAAUUUGCAUUCAAACAUUACUGAUUUCUCAGAUGUUUCAUACUCCACAGAAGAGCAUUGUUUGUGAAAGCAUGCAUUUAUGUUGGAUUUUGGAUGAUGUGGGAACUGGGGCAAGGAUCAUAUGGAAGAGUGGUCGAUUUUGUUCUGUACUUUAACAUUUGAAAUAGGAGAAGCUCGGGCAUUUGUGGGGCUUAAUUGAUUUUGAAGCCUGAAAUUGCGUUUCUGUCAUUUUGUAAAAAAUAUGGCAGAUUCCAUGCUCUCAUAUGUUUGGUCUGUGGCCAUGUAUAGAUGCCCCUUAGUGACCAGUUUGUAACUGUCAAUCAUAGUGUUUUGACUCUGGCUCAACAACAUCAGCCAUUGACGGAUUUUCAUACUUGCAAAUCAAAUAGUCUUCUUCCUCCCUUAGGAAUUUCGGUUUAAAUGUUAUUAAGCAUACAUUUGGCUGACAAUUAUUAACCACUUCAUGAUAUGGUUUCUUACCCUUAAUCAAUGGUUUCUAAGUGAAUAUAUGCAGAAGGAAAUCUGAACUGUAGACAGCAGUAUUGAUAACUCUCAAUAUUCUUUAUAUAAGAGAAUAAACAACGUCAUAGUGAUCGUCGCCUACAAGAAAGGUACAUUUCCCAACAAGAUGUAGUUGUGACUGGUACAUGGACGCAAUUAACUCGUACAAAAGAAUAAGACCAGUGCACGGCAGCUCUUAUUUUACAUGCUAAUUAUGCUAACCAAAGUCACUCAGUUGGGAUGGGAGGGAGAUGGAGGUUUGUGCGGUGGCUUGUGGGGCGGAGUUGGUGGCUUCUUUUCAGGAGCUUGUGGCUUUUUCGGAGCUGAAGGAGGCUCAAUCUUAUGAGGCGGCUUGUACGAGUCUUCUUUACUCUCGACAGGAGGGUGGCCAGGGUUGUGACCAUAAUGUGGUGGCUUCUCUCCCUUAGGUGGCUUGCCAACUGGGGUUGGUGGCUUGUGUUCAGGAAGUGGUUUCUCUCCCUUGGGAGGUUUACCAAUUGGGGUUGGUGGCUUGUGUUCUGGGAGUGGUUUCUCUCCCUUGGGAGGUUUAGUGGGUGACUUGUGUUCUGGAGGUGGCUUCUCCACCGGAGGCUUGUGCUCCGGUGGUGGCUUCUCCACCGGAGGCUUGUGCUCCGGUGGUGGCUUCUUGAUUGGAGGGGGCUUGGGGUAAUCAGCAAGAGAUGGGAUGGUGAGAACCACCACUCCAAGGAACAACACUAGCAAGUAUGUGGGAGACAUUUCUGAGUUUGAGCUGAUCAGAUGAUGCAAAACUAGAAGAAUUACGGGACCUUUUAUAGCAAGUAUCUCCCAAUACCCACAUGACACGUGUUACUAUGACCAUAAAUAUUAUAGGGUCCAUUUGUGCCCUACCGGGUUGAAAACUUGGACGCUUGGCCGAGGACACACCUGACUAUGGAGGACUAUUGACGUGUGAUCACAGCUUUUGGAUUUUUCUUCCUGUGCAGCUGUCUAGCGGUUGGCAUUAUUUUCUUAAUCUUAAAUAAAGGCAUAGUUAUAGAGUUGUUUAAUCUCUAAAUGGGAUUUUAUAUAUCUUCAGAUAGCCAUUAAUAUAUUUGAUGAAGAAAGACAAGUGCAUACAACAUGUAUACGGCUUGCUUCAAUCGAGUACAUUUAUGAUCAGUUUUCCUGUGCAAGUAAACCAGUUUUUUGUUCCACAACUAUUUUGGAAUCUUGUUUAUCAGUUUCUAUCAUUAUAAUGUCACAUAGGCUGCAAACUUGGGCACCCAAAGAUCUAGGUGGGCAAAUUUGUUUCAGACUUUCAAUGGUGGAUUCAGUAAUUGUUAAAAGGUGUUUCUUCAUUAAGGAAAGAGUCCGGUAAAAAUAUUGUUAAAAGGUGUCAUAGAAACUAUAAUAAAUAAAUAACUUCUUUUCCCCAUGGGUGGUGUUUCUUCUGGGGAUCAGUGACUGGUUAGGGUCACCCAAAAUGAGUCCAGAUUAAAAUUGGUUCGAGUCAAAGCAGUCUCUUUUGUCCAGAAAUCAACUAUUUUGCGCAUUGAAUGAAUCGAUAAAGAAAAAAUGAAAGCCAAAUCACACCUCCCCUGCAAAACCUAAACCCCGGUUGCUAACUUUCUAUGUUUCAGUCCUAUUCAUAUAGGAAUAUUGGUUCAAGUUUGAGAAAAAUGGCAACUUACCUAGGGUUUACUUGGUUUUGGUUUGCGACUAUUUACGCAACCAACCAUGAGUUUGACUUUAACGUCAUGGGUUGAAGCCUCCUACAAUCAUGUAUGAUAGUUCAAAGCUCGUGGAAGAAAUUAUACAGGAAGGAAGAAACCUCCAAAGCUAGCUCCAAAAGAGAAUUAUCACAUCGAUAGCUCCAGAGAUUCCCAAGGGAACUGAAUCAAAGACAAGUUCCUCACUUUUUCUUCUUUUGAGGCCAAAUAUGAACCAAGGAUCACACGACCUCAUUCAACUUCAUAAGUUUGAUUUCAUGCAGUUGAACACUGGGUGAAGGCCAUGACAAGAAUUGAUUAAAAAAUUCUACCACUCUUUUAAGUAAUGGAAGAUUAUUAUCUCUGAUUGGCACCACAACAGCACAUGCUGCUAGAUCUUUCUAGACACUCCAUGCAAUGAAAGCACAAUGGAUCUUGUAAUGAUAGAAACUAAGCCAUGCUACAGUACUAGAUGAGGGGGUAAAACUAGUAGACAUCUUUCUAGACACUCCAUGCAAUGAAAGCACAAUGGAUCUUGUAAUGAUAGAAACUAAGCCAUGCUACAGUACUAGAUGAGGUGGUAAAACUAGUAGACAUGGCUGGCAGUUGAUUACUACUCAAAAAGUACUCUUUUAUAGCUUGAAACUAACUGUUUUAAACACUUUUGAGUAGUAGUUAAUACCUUUUAACUUAAUUGGCACAUUAAGGAACCUAGCAAGGGUUACUAAUCAACAUUUGGCAAGUUUUGAUGUUUUUGGUAGCUAUUUGAUCAUUGAAACAAGCCAAGAAUGAGGGGGAAUUUUGUGAAGUCCAUGGCAAUGCAAGUUAAAGCUCAAAUACAUGAAGAAUCCAAGCUUUGGAGCACUUCAUAGCCCUUUGCCAAGCCAAUCAAAGAUGCAAGGAAGAAAACCAAAGGAAGAAAUCCAACAAUCAGCAUUUUGGCAUGGCUAUGUGAAAUUUCGCACACCAUGCGAAACCACAAGAGGCAGCCAAAGAAUUUCGCAUGGUAUGCGAAAUCUUCUUGUGCACUGACUCUGUUAGAUUUUUAUCUUCAGAUAUUUUGUGUAAUUUCCUAGUUUCUCCUUGUAACCAACUUAGAUAUUUUCUUUUAUAUCUUUUUUUAUAUUUUUUAGGUAACAUCAUAUAUAAGAGGAGAGACAUAAGGAGGAUAUGGAUGUUUUUCAUAGAACACUUGUAAAUUUUUGGUAGUAAGAAAUAUACAAAGCUUUUUGCUCUGCCUUACCUUCUCAAGGGAUGAGUGGCUAGGUUUUCUUGGAGUGAGGGAAGCUAGGUGAAGGACCUGAAUGCAAAGGUGGGAGUUUUCCUUACUUUAAAUGAAAGUAGUUGUUAAACAUUAAUGGUUUUUAUUUUAAGGUUUAGCUUUAAAUCCCUGAAAAACACCUUGAAUGGCCAAUACUUGGUAAGCUUUUUAGAUUCUAUGGAUGCUUAUUGCUAGAUCCAUGGAUGUCUAUUAGUUAUCAUUUACGAGCCAUUGGAAGGUGAUUCAAGGUGAGGGUCUUUAGUGUUUGAAGCCAUUAAUGGGAAGCAAUUACCAUUUUUUCAUGAAUCCUUUGGAUCAAAUCUUAAUUGCUAAAUAUAAAACCGGUUUCGAGAGAUAACCACCAUCCUUUAUGUUAUUAUCCCCAACGCGAGGAGAAGAUCCGAAAUCUUCCUUUUUAUCUAAGGAACCCGAUCCUAGUGACCUAAAGCUCCAAGAUACCUUUUCUUUGUAGUUAACUUCAUUUAUUGUUUUUGCUUAACUUAAAAUCAAUCUUUGCAACCACAAUUCCAUUUUCUUUAAAAGCUAAUUUUUAUAAGGAAAAACACCAUUUUAUUUCCUUCACUAAGUCAACUGUACGAUGAAAACCCAUCCCUGUGGACGAUCCUAGAGCCACUAUACUAUGUUAGCUAUGCUACCCUAGUGUGAGGUGAUUUAGGUUUUAUAAAUUUUUUUGAUAACACCCAUCUGAGCCAGAAUCAAAUGGCACGACUGAACCAGGGACGAAUCAAAUGACGCCGCUACCAAGGAUGGUGCCAAAGUACAUUGACAUGACUUUUGGUGAACACUUGUGAUCUUCACCACAAGUUUGGUGAUUUUUCUUUUACUAAUUUUUUUUAUUUUAGCUUAUCUUUUAUUUAGUUUUUAGUUAACCUUAAAUUUUUCCUAGAAUUGUAUUUCUUUUGUUUUCUUUGUUUUUGUUUCAGUGAUCUUUAGUUGUGCAUGCCCUAUUGGAUAAGAGAUAUUGAGGGAAUACUUGUGAAGAUUGAAACUCCUCGAGAAACUGAGUUAGAAGUGUGCUUGAACAUCAUGGAUGUUCCACCUGAAGACCAGAAUAGCCAACAUGGUUAAGAGGAUAAUUUCAACACAUACCGAUCCAUGAGGAACCGCAUACAUCCACCUUGUAUGAGUGCACCGUCAGGCAUAAUGCCUCCCACUGAGCAGCUAGUAAUCUGACCUCACAUUGUGCCACUCCUACCUACUUUCCAUGGGAUGGAGAGUGAGAAUCCCUACUCGCAUAUUAAGGAAUUCGAGGAGGUUUGUAAUACAUUCCAAGAAGGAGGAGCUUCAAUUGACUUGAUGAGGCUCAAGCUAUUUCCUUUCACUUUGAAGGAUAAGGCCAAGAUUUGGCUUAAUUCUUUAAGGCCAAGAAGUAUCCAAACUUGGAUUGAUUUGUAAGCCGAGUUUCUUAAGAAGUUCUUCCCUACCCAUAGGACCAAUGGUUUGAAAAGGCAAAAUUUGAACUUCUCAGUUAAAGAGAAUGAGAAAUUCUAUGAGUGUUGGGAGAGCUACAUGGAAGCUAUUAACGUUUGUCCUCACCAUGGCUUUGACACAUGGCUCUUAGUGAGCUAUUUUUACAAUGGUAUGUCUUCUUCAAUGAAGCAACUCCUAGAAACUAUGUGUGGAGGAGACUUCAUGAGUAAGAAUCCGGAGGAAGCCAUGGACUUUUUGAGUUAUGUGGCUGAAGUUUCAAGAGGAUGGGAUGAACCAAAUGCUAGAGAGGUGGGAAGAAUGAAGUCUCAACCUAAUGCUAAGGGUGAGAUGUAUGUUUUGAAUGAAGACAUUGACAUGAAAGCAAAGGUUGCAGCUAUGGCAAGGAGAUUGGAAGAGCUAGAAAUGAAGAACAUACAAAAAGUGCAAGCCAUUUCUGAGACAUCAAUGAAAGCUAUGCCUUGUUCCAUUUGUCAAUCUUAUAAGCACCUAGUGGAGGAGUGUCCUACAAUUCCAGCAGUGAGAGAGAUGUUUGGUGAUCAAGCAAAUGUUAUUGAUCAAUUCAAGCCUAAUAACAAUGCUUCAUAUGGCAACACCUACAAUUCAAAUUGGAGGAACCAUUCAAAUUUCUCUUGGAAACGAAAGCCACCUCAAUACACACAACCUACUCAAGCACCUUAGCAAUCCUCGAAUCUUGAACAAGCUAUUGUGAACCUUAGCAAGGUUGUGGGAGACUUUGUGGGAGAUCAGAAGUCCAUCAAUGCUCAACUGAAUCGGAGAAUUGACAGUGUGGAGAGUACAUUGAACAAAAGGAUGGAUGAGAUGUAAAAUGAUCUGUCUCAAAAGAUAGACAAUGUCCAAUACGUAAUCUCAAGGCUUACCAACCUCAACACAGUGUAAGAGAAAGGAAAGUUUCCUUCUCAACCUCAUCAAAAUCCUAAGGGUAUCCAUGAAGUAGAGGCUCAAGAGGGAGAAUCUUCAAAGGUGAGGGAAGUCAAAGUAGUUAUCACCUUGAAGAGUGGUAAAGAGGUUGAUCAACCCACAUCCAAGCCAAAGCAUAAUGAAGAGAGUGUAGCAGAAAAAGAAAAGAGAGGAAAAUAAAGGAAUUAGAAUAGAGAAAAAUACAAAGAAAGAUGACCAUGAGUCUAGUGUGGAUGAAGAGCCCGAGAGGAUGGUGAUCAAGGAAGAUAUGAUGAAGAAACACAUGCCUCCACCUUUCCCCUAAGCUUUGCAUGACAAAAAAAGAACCAAUAAUACAUCAGAAAAUUUUGAAGUAUUGAGGCAAGUGAAGGUCAAUAUCCCUUUGCUAGACAUGAUCAAACAAGUGUCGACAUAUGAAAAAUUCUUGAAGGACUUGUGCACUGUAAAGAGAGGGUUGAAUGUGAACAAGAAAGCUUUAUUGACCGAGCAAGUGAGUUCCAUCAUACAGUGCAAGUCCUAGUGAAGUACAAAGAUCCGGGUUGCCGUACCAUCUCAGUGAGUAUUGGAAGGACUUGUGUGGAGAAAGCUUUGUUGGACUUGGGAGCAAGUGUGAAUUUGCUAUCCUACUCUGUCUAUAAGCAGUUGGGAUUUGGAGAGUUGAAGCCAAUAUCCAUCACUCUAUCUCUAGCGGAUAGAUCAAUGAAGAUUCCAAGAGGGAUGAUCGAAGAUGUCCUGGUUCAAGUUAACAAAUUCUACUAUCCAGUAGAUUUUGUUGUUCUUGAUAUGGAUCCGGUUGUCAAAUGAACUAAUUAUGUUCCUAUCAUACUUGGAAGACCCUUCCUAGCUACAUCAAAUGCAAUCAUCAAUUGUAGGAAUGGAGUCAUGCAACUCACAUUUGUCAACAUGACAUUAGAGCUCAACAUCUUCCAUUUGUACAAGAAGCAUAUCCAUCAGGAGGAAAAAGAAGGUCUAGAGGAAGUGUGAAUGAUUGACACUUUAGUGGAAGAGCAUUGUGAUCGAGAAUGCAAAAAGAUUUAGUUGAGAAUUUUGGGGAUCUUGAUGAAAGGUUACUUGAACCCUCAGAUUUGCUUGCUACCCUACUCCAUUGGAAGAGAAGAGAAGAAAUUCUACCCUUAUUCAAUGAGGAGGAGACGCAAAGAGCUGCAAAGGAGAAACCCCCAAAACUUAUUCUUAAGCCACUACCCACAGAGUUGAAGUAUGUAUACUUGGAAGAAGACAAGAAGUGCCCUAUUGUUAUAUCUUCAACUCUUACCAUUCAUCAGGAGGAUUGUCUACUUGAAGUCCUUAGAAGAUGUAAGAAGACAAUAAGGUGGCUAAUUUCUUAUUUGAAAGGGAUCAGCCCUUUAGUCUGCACCCAUCAUAUUUACAUGGAGGAUGAAGCUAAGCUAAUUCAUCAACCUCAGAGAAGGUUGAACCCUCACAUGCAAGAGGUGGUUCGAGCUGAAGUUCUGAAGCUACUUCAGACCAGUAUUAUUUACCCCAUAUCAAAUAGCCCAUGGGUGAGUCCUACUCAAGUUGCGCCAAAGAAGUCUGGGAUCAUGGUGGUGCAAAAUGAUAAGGGAGAAGAUGUCUCUACACGCCUCACUACAGGUUGGAGGGUGUGUAUCAAUUACAGGAGGUUGAAUGCAGUGAUAAGAAAGGACCAUUUCUCAUUGCCCUUUAUUGAUCAGGUGCUUGAGAGGGUCUCUGGGCUUUUUUUUUUAUUGUUUCUUGGAUGGCUACUCCGGGUACUUUCAGAUAGAAAUUGAUGUUGAAAACCAAGAUAAGACCAUUUUCACAUGCCCAUUUGGAACCUAUGCAUAAAGGAGAAUGCCUUUCGGCUUAUGCAAUGCACCCGCAACUUUCCAAAGAUGCAUGUUAAGCAUUUUCAGUGAUAUGGUGGAGCGUAUUAUGGAAGUCUUUAUGGAUGAUAUCACCAUUUAUGGAAGUGCAUUUGAUGAAUGCUUGGUCAACUUAGAAGCUGUUCUGAACCGAUACAUUGAGAAAGACUUAGUGCUUAACUGGGAGAAGUGCCAUUUCAUGGUACACCAAGGGAUUGUCCUUGGGCACAUUAUCUCCAAGCAAGGCAUUGAAGUUGACAAAGCAAAGGUUGAACUCAUUGUUAAGUUGCCAUCCUCAACAAAUGUCAAAGGAGUAAGGCAAUUCUUUGGCCAUGUCGGGUUCUAUAGGAGGUUUAUCAAGGAUUUCUCUAAGCUUGCAAGGCCUCUUUGUGAAAUAUUGGUGAAUGAUGUUAAAUUCAUAUGGGAUGAUGGAUUUGAAAGGAGUUUUGAAGAAUUGAAGCUAUUUUUGACAACCGUACCAAUAGUGAGGGCUCCCAACUGGCAACUGCCCUUUGAAGUAAUGUGUGAUGUCAAUGAUUUUGCUAUAGGAUUUUUUCUUGGGCAAAGAGAAAAUGGAAAACCUUAUGUGAUCUACUAUGCGAGGAAGGCAUUGAAUGAGGCACAAAGAAACUACACAACCACCGAGAAAGAAUUGUUAGCUGUAGUUUUUGCCUUGGAUAAGUUUCGCGCUUACUUGGUGGGGUCCUUCAUCAUGGUUUUUACUGAUCACUUUGCUUUGAAGUAUCUGUUGACUAAGCAAGAUGCUAAAGCAAGGCUGAUUAGAUGGAUUCUCUUACUUCAAGAGUUCAAUCUCCAUAUCAAAGAUAAGAAAGGAGUGGAGAAUGUGGUAGCAGACCACAUUUCAAGGCUAGCUAUCGCACAUAAUUCCCAUGCUUUGCCCAUUAAUGACGAUUUUCUAGAGGGGUCUCUCAUGUUGGUGGAAGUUGUCCCUUGGUACGCUCACAUUGCUAACUACCUGGUCACGGGAAAAGUUCCAAGUGAGUGGAAAGCACAAGAUAAGAAGCACUUCUUUGCAAAAAUUCAUGCCUACUAUUGGGAAGAGCCAUUUCUAUUCAAGUAUUGUAUGGAUCAGAUAAUAAGGAAGUGCGUUCCUGAAGAAGAGCAACAGGGGAUCCUUAGUCAUUACCAUGAAAAUGCAUGUGGAGGCCACUUUGCUUAUCAAAAGACAGCCAUGAGGGUGUUGCAAUCGGGUUUCUGUUGGCCAUCACUUUUCAAAGAUGCCCACACCAUGUGCAAGAGUUGUGAUCGAUGCCAGAGGCUUGGGAAGUUGACACGCAGGAACAUGAUGCCUUUGAACCCCACUUUAAUAGUUGAUAUUUUUUAUGUUUGGGGCACUAACUUCAUGGGACCUUUCCCUAUGUCUUUUGGCUACUCUUACAUCUUGGUAGGAGUAGAUUAUGUUUCUAAGUGGGUUGAGGCAGUCCCAUGCAAACACAAUGACCAUAGAGUGGUUCUCAAGUUUCUUAAAGAGAAUAUCUUCUCAAGAUUUGGGGUGCCCAAAGCCAUAAUUAGUGAUGGGGGUACUCAUUUUUGCAACAAGCCUUUUGAAACUCUCCUAGCCAAGUAUGGGGUGAAGCAUAAGGUAGCUACACCUUACCACCCUCAAACUCAUGGACAAGUUGAGUUAGCAAACAGGGAGAUUAAAAACAUAUUGAUGAAGGUGGUGAACACAAACAGAAAAGAUUGGUCAGUCAAGCUUCUUAAUUCACUAUGGGCAUAUAGAACAACUUACAAGACCAUUCUCGGGAUGUCUCCUUAUCGCCUAGUUUAUGGCAAAGCAUGCCAUCUCCCUGUGGAAUUGGAAUACAAAGCUUGGUGGGCAAUCAAGAAGCUCAACAUGGAUUUGAGCAGAGCUGGGUUGAAGAGGUUCUUAGACCUUAAUGAGAUGGAGAAAUUGAGAAAUGAUGCCUACAUCAAUUCAAAAAUUGCAAAAGAAAAAUUGAAGAGGUGGCAUGAUCAGUUGAUUUCCCGCAAGGAUUUUCAAAAUGGACAAAGAGUCUUACUUUAUGACUCUAAACUCCACAUCUUUCCGGGCAAGCUGAAAUCAAGGUGGAUAGGUCAUUUUACCAUUCACCAAGUGCAUUCAAAUGGAGUAGUGGAACUACUCAACUCCAACAAUAUCGAGAACUUCAAAGUGAAUGGCCACCGUCUCAAGCCCUUUGUGGAGUCUUUUUCUCACAACAAGGAGAAAUUCAUCCUCCUUGAUCCACAUCAAGCUUAACAAGACCAAUUUUCUUGAUGGACUUAGUCUUUCUAAAGACUAUCGAGUCCAUAACUUUUUGUUUUAUUUUUUAUUUGAGAUUUUUUCGGUAUUGUUACUUGUUUUGUUUUUUAUUUUUCGUUUUAAUUUUAUUUGGUUUGAUUUAACUUAGGUUUUUGAUGAUCAAUUACAGGGGGGAUUUCAAAUAGAGGAAAAACCAAGAUAAUUCGCACACCCUACGAAAAUUUCGCAAGGCAUGCGAAAUUUAUGGCUUAUUUUGCAUGGGGUGAAAAUUUUCGUACAUCUUACGAACCAAUUUCGAACACUUUGCGAAAAUAAACCAACCCUGCGAAAUCAUUUCGAUUACUCUACGAAAUUUUCGUAGAGCAUGCGAAAAAUUUAGCACACCAAACACCAUUUCGCAUACUAUGCAAAAACCUAAGGGGUCUGCGAAACCAUUUCGCACCUCCAAAUCCAUUUCGCACAUUGUGCGAAAACCAAGAGGCGCUGUGCGAAAAUGAAAAGUCGCCCUGUCAUCCCUUUUUAAACCCCUCGAGCCCUAAAAUCUCCAUUUCGCAAGCACCCCUGUCCUUGCGAAUCCCUCAUUUUCCUCUACUACCUUGCAACCUCGUCCCUUUCCAUUUGAUAUUGUGCCCCGCGCACAUCUCAUUUCAGAGACUCGCACUCCGCGCCCCCUCAAAGCAUGGACUCGAGACCCACCUUCCAUUUCCGACGUGGCACGGACCCAAGGAGCCCUUUCUGCCCCUUCACUAAGACACACACCAAGGCAGAAAGCCUCCUUUGCUCAAGUGCCUAGUGAUUCUCCAUCUUAGGCCUCAGAGGCCUCGGAGGCCCCGUGGAUUCCACCUUCCGAGGGUAGAGCAGCCAUUGGUCCUUCCUCUUCUACUCCUUAGCGUAGAUACGAGACGAGGAGACCACCUACUACACAAGGGGCGACUACUUCGAGCCUUGAGAAUUCAGUACGAUGCCUUCCUGCCAAGAGGGUCAAGACUUCAGGUCCAAGUGAGUCAUCCAGAGCUUCAUAGCCUAAGCCUCCUGUAGAUUCCAAGGUUCCUACUGACAUAUCACCGGAGUCUAUUAUCAGAAGCCCGAUGCUCAUAGCACCGCCCAUUGAGGGCAACUCAGAUUAUAGAGCGAGAUCUUUCCACUUGGAGCUAUAUUUUGAUCAGGAGGCCAUACGACAGCAGCCUGAGCUCCGAGACUCUUAUGGCUUACUGCAGAGGUACCAUCUUGAGGAACUUAUGACUCCUCGUGAGUUUUUUUAUCCCAGAGUAGCACUAAACUUUUACCAGUCCAUGACUACUCGUGGCGUCCCGAGUCCUACCACGAUUCACUUCACCAUUGAUAGACGUCAUGGUAUCCUCAAGGCCAGACAUAUUACAGAGGCUCUACAAAUUCCUUUCGAGCUAGAGGAUCCAUCUGUUUUUCGCUAAUGGUCCCCAGUAUCUCAGAGGGACAUGGUCCGUAUUUUAUCUAGGGGAACAUCUACAGAUUCGAUCUUUCUACGGAAGGAGCUUCGACCUGGGAUGCUCCUCUUAGAUGUGGUGCUAUGCUCCAACCUCUUUCCCUUACAACAUUCGGUACAUAGGUGAUGAGCUAUUUUGGACGCUUUAUUCCGUAUAUCAGAGGGCUUCUACUUUGGCCCGCACCACUUGAUCAUGGUCUCCCUCAUCCACUUUGAGGAGAAGGUUCAUAGGAAGAAGCUUCAGAGGGUGGACACCAUUCCAUUACUAUUCCUGAGGUUACUUUGCCAGGUCUUGGAGUACAUGGGCUUUCCUACUGAGCCUCGGCUCGAGCUUUGCCGCCUUUGUCGAGAGUGAUCCACUCUCGACAAAUGGAAUUAGUUGGCGGGCUAUUCUGCACCUCCAGGAGCCCCUCCCAUGGUAGCACCUCCAAUGUCCCCACAGGCAAAGUAGGGCGAGCUCCCGGCAAAGACUGUACCACCAAUGCCCACACUUGAGGCUAUUUCUGCUGCUCUGCCUAUGACUCCUACUGUUCCACCAGUUGGUCCUUUUACAUCCGAGCCUUCCAUCACCAUCUCGGCUUCGGAGUUUCGCGCCCUUGUGCAUACCUUUCAGACACUCACCACCACACAUACUCCUCUCUUCUAGCAAAUGGUUGAGAUGUGUGCCCAUCAGGACCGGAAGACUACUAUACUCUGCCAAAUUCAGCAGCACCUAAGACUUUUGCCUCAACCUCAACCUAACCAUCCCAUAUCAUCAGAGCCUCUAGCUCCAACUGAGGAUACUAUUCCACCUGAGAACACUACCACAGUAGAGGUCCGGUUUCCACCACCUUAAGAGGCCACCACAGCUACAUCAGAGGAUGUGUCAUCUCCACUUGAGGCUCCCACUACUUGAUCAUAGGACAUAUCUUUAUCUUAUUGUAUUUACAUAUUAUAUUACUAGAGAUUUGUCCUUGUUUUGAUACUUUAUAUUCUGGGAUUGGAUGUAUUGCCUGAUGAUAUCUCAAUUGUACUUUCUCAUAUUAAUAUAUAGACAUCAAUUUUUUUUAGUAUACUUAGCAUUUUUCUAUUUCCUCUACUCAUUACUCUUUUGUUUUUUUUUACUCAUGUGGUUUCUCUUAUACAACUCAGACUCCAUUUCACUCAGGAGGUACCACUUCCUCCCUUUAUUUUCAAUUGCUCUUGAAAUAUUGAGUGCAAUGUUGAUCUUGGUUGGGGGGAGAGUUGAGGAAGGAAGUUUUGUUAAUAAUGCUAGGUUAAUUUGUUAAUUUAGUUACUUUCUGCUUAAUUUUAAAAGUUUUCACUCUACUUUCCAUGGUUAUUAAGGAAAAAUUCUCAAAAUGAAAUGGGAGAAAUCGAAUUCUUGCAUUUUUACUUGAAUCUUAGAAUUUGUAUCAUGCUUAUUAAAGUUGAUGAAUUAUUGAAACUCCUAUUGAAUUCAACCUUAUUUUUUCCACUUUAAUCUUACCACACACGGUGCACAUUAGGUUCCAGUUAUAAGAUAAAAAACUAUCUCACCCCCUAAACUUAGAAAAAUUUACACUUGGUACCUUUGACAUCGUUUUAAUAGUGUUGGGACACCUUAUAAAAGGCCAAUGAGCCUUUAAAAAAAAAAAAAAAAAAAAAAAGAGAAAGAACAAAGUAUUGCACUUGCCUUGAAACCUGAGCAAGAUCCGAGGGGUAUACAGUGAAAGUCUUUAAAACCUGGUGCCCUAAGCCUUGAUUGGUUGGGAGUCACCGACCUCAAUGCUCGUUAUAAGGGUGAAUAGGUGGAGUUUAACAUAUUGUAGGUGCUUGGGUAUUGAAUUUCAAUCUCAAAAGUCCGGGAAAAAAUCUAAGGAGUUAGUGGUCAAAAGAUCCUUAAAGCUUGAUGCCCUAAACCUUGAUUGGUUGAGAGUCAUUGAUGGAUCCCCGCUACAUGGACAUUUUAGAAAACAAUACCUUUAGCAUUGCACGCCUACAAUGAAAAAAAAAUGUGAAAUAAAAGAGGUGCGUUCUUAGCCUAUUGGAGGUUGGUCAGUUUGCUAAAGUUUGAGAAAUCUAGGUUGGGGGGAGAGAAUAGUCCGACAUACUAUAAUAAAAAACUAAUAACCUUAACACUUAGAUUUUUGUGGAAGAGUAAGGAUUGGACCUUUAGGGGUGGAAAUUCUUUUGAUGCUUAAAUUUGCAUAAUGCCUACUCUUUAUAAAUUAUGAUUAGGCAAGAGAUUUGAUGACUCUUGUUCAAAGUUGGGUUUUUCCUCUUUGAUGUUCCAUGAGAGAGUAUAAUCCUCAUCAUGCCACUUGAAAUCUUUUUGGAGUGAUUAACAUGAUUUUGUAAAUUAUUUUACUGUCUAUUUUUCUUUAUCUCUCUUUUAUUGCUAAUGGACUAGCAAUAUGUCAGUUGGGGGGAGUGAUUACUACUCAAAAAGUACUCUUUUAUAGCUUGAAACUAACUGUUUUAAACACUUUUGAGUAGGUGUUAAUACAUUUUAACUCAAUUGGCACAUUAAGGAACCUAACAAGGGUUACUAAUAAGUUUUUGGCAAGUUUUGGUGUUUUUGGUAGCUAUUUGAUCAUUGAAACAAGCCAAGAAUGAGGGAGAAUUUUGUGAAGUCCAUAGCAAUGCAAGUUAAAGCUCAAAUACAUGAAGAAUCCAAGCUUUGAAGCACUUCAUAGCCCUUUGCGAAGCCAAUCAGAGAUGCAAGGAAGAAAACCAGAGGAAAAAAUCCAACAACCAGCAUUUUCGCAUGGCUGUGCGAAAUUUUGCACACCAUGCGAAACCACAAGAAGUAGCCAAAGAAUUUUGCACACCAUGCGAAAUUUCGCAUGGUAUACGAAAUCUUCCUAUGCACCAACUCCGUUAUAUUUUUAUCUUCAGAUAUUUUGUGUAAUUUCCUAGUUUCUCCUUGUAACCAACCUAGAUAUUUUCUUUUAUAUCUUUUUUUUAUAUUUUUUAGGUAACAUCAUAUAUAGGGGGAGAGACAUAAGGAGGAUAUGGAUGUUUUUCAUAAAACACUUUUAAUUUUCUGGUAGUAAGAAAUAUACAAAGUUUUUUGCUCUGCCUUACCUUCUCAUUUUGUUUUCACCUAUCUUUCUAGCCAAACAACCUCUGAGAAUGAUUUCUCAGGGGAUGAGUAGUUAGGUUUUACGUUUCUUGGAGUGAGAGAAGCUAGGUGAAAGACCCAAAUGCUAAGGUGGGAGUUGUCCUUGCUUUAAAUGAAAGUAGUUGUUAAAUAUUAAUGGUUUUUAUUUUAAGGUUUAGCUUUAAAUCCCUUAAAAACACCUUGAAUGGCCAAUACUUGGUAAGCUUUUCGGAUUCUAUGGAUGCUUAUUGCUAGAUCCAUGGAUGUCAUUAGUUAUCAUUUAUGAGCCAUUGGAAGGUGGUUCAAGAUGAGAGUCUUUAGUGUUUGAAGCCAUUAAUGGGAAACAAUUACCAUUUUUUCAUGAAUCCUUUGGAUAAAAUCUUAAUUGCUAAAUAUAAAACUGGUUCGGGAGAUAACCAUCCUUUAUGUUAUUAUGCCCAAUGCAAGGAGAAGAUUUCGAAUCUUCUCAUUUGUCUAAGGAACCCGAUCCUAGUGACCUAAAGCUCCUAGAGACCUUUUCUUUGUAGUUAACUUCAUUUAUUGUUUUUGCUUAACUUAAAAUCAAUCUUUGCAACCACAAUUCCAUUUUCUUUAAAAGCUAAUUUUUAUAAGGAAAAGCACCAUUUUAUUUCCUUCACUAAGUCAACUGUAUGAUGAAAACCCAUCCCUGUGGACGAUCUUAGAGCCACUAUACUAUGUUAUCUAUGCUAUCCUAGUGUGAGGUGAUUUAGGUUUUAUAAAUUUUGUUGAUAACACCCGUCUGAGCCAGAAUCAAAUGGAACCACUGAACCAGGGACAAAUCAACAGCCUAUAUGGGAGGGACACAAGUUUAAUUGAUUUGCAUUUCAGCGUUAUAGAUAAGUAUGUUUUGGAAGAUUUGUUCUGGAAAUACUGCACCAAGUACGAUUCUUUUUCUCUUGAGUGAGUCCAUUUGCAUGCCAAUUAACGAGUUGAAAAGUAGGAGCACCUACCUCGUGCUCAUGGAACCGAAUGUCAGUGAAGUGGGGCUCCUUUUAGCCUCUUGUGUUUCUGUUCCAACCAAGGCGGCGUAGGGAAAAACAACAAUAUGUCUGUGCUAAAUAUCAACGCAUGAUAGAUGUUUUUUUUUUUUUUUUUGGUAUGUCAAGGCUAACGAAUGAAAUGCAUUAGCUUGUUUUGUGACUAUAACUGCAAAUGUCCAAAUUGGAGUAUCUCCAUUUCUCACUUCGGAUGGUUAACUUUAUAAACAAGAUAUAGGAAACAUGUGAACAUCUUGAGGAACAAUUCAAAUUAUUCAUUAGAAGUCCUGGGUUAAGUUCCAAGAUUUAAAUCAGACCCUUCUAGCAGCUUCAAGGGUACUUAGCAACCUAUAACAUAUUAAUGAAGAUUUAGGAUUUAGACUCCGGAAUACAAAUAAAUAUGUAUCUCAUGCUUUGACUAGCUUCCCUACAUAUGCAUAAAAUGGAGAUGACCCAAAAAAAAUAGCAGAAUCUAGCUUCCCUACAUAUGCACAAAAUGGAGAUGACCCAAAAAAUAGCAUAAUCGCCUUAGUUUCUGUGGUUAAGGUGAUUCUCCGCUUAAUAUCCACAUUGACUCAUUAUGCAAAAUCAACUGAGCUAAUUUUAUUUAUUUAUUUAAUGUCAAAUAGGAACUCCUAAUUAACUGAUUACUGUCGAAAAGUGCUAUUUUGUAGACCUAAUUAUAAGGGUUUUAAGCACCUUUGAGUAGUAAUCAUAUUCAUUUAACCUAAUUAAUUCAUUAAGCUCCUUAGUAAUUAGUUCUAACCAUUUUUAGUGGCAAGUUUACAUGUUUUUCAUCAGCUUAUGAACCAAUUCAAGCAUGCCAAUUGAUGGAGGAGCUACUUGGGCGAGUUAAGCAAGGAUUUUGGACGUUUACAGGCUUGAAUUUCAAGUGGAAACACGAGCACAAGCAAUGGGAACACCAUUUCGCAAGGGGAGGCAAUUCACCUUGCCAAAUGACCAAUUUCGCAAGGGGAUUUUCCUCAUGGUGCAAAAUUUGGUCAUUUCGCACCAUGAAGAAACCACCUUGCAAAAUUUCGCAAGGUGGAUUUAGGCACCUUGCGAAAUGCCAAAUUUCACAAGGUGGCUUUUCACCUUGCGAAAUUUGGACCUUUCAUCUUCCCCCCUUGCGAAAUGCCUUUGAAAUCCCCUGUUUUGAGACGCUGUUGAUGAUAUUCCACUGCCGGUUCUCCAAGAUAUUUUGCUUGACUUUUAGCUUUAUAAAUACCUAUUUUACCCUUGUAAUCAACCAAUGAAAAGGUUGCUUUUGUAAUAGCUCUUGUAAUUUAGCUUUUUAUUGUCUUUAAAUAGAGGUGAAGAGCCUCAGACACGAUCAUCUUGUAACCUGUAACUUUAUAAGUUAUAAGAGCACUUUUGUUCAUACGCUUCUUUUCUCUUUUCUUUCUCAUUUUCUUAGUAGCCAAACAUCCUUGGAGGAUGAAAUCCCCAAGGAUGAGAGGCUAAAACCUUUUAGUUUCUUGAAGUAAUGGAUGCCAUGUGAAGCUCCCGUGUCAGGAUGGAGAUUUCCAAGCCAUAAAUGUAAGUAGCUGAGCGUCAUAAAUGUUUUCAUUCAAAGUAAAGCUUUUAAUCCCUCUGACUUGCUUUGAAUGGCCAAUACUUGAUAACCUUUUGGUCUCAAUGGAUUCUUAUUGUUAGAUCCACUGACGUUCAUUAGUUAUCUCCUACGAGCCAUUGUAUUGCAAGUCGAGGAGAUGACCUAUACCAAUAAAAGAGCAUUUAUGAGGUUCAACUACCCUUUUUGUAAGUUUUCAAGGACUAAAACUCAGUUGUUAAACUCAUACCGGUUCGAGAAGUAAGCAUCACCUUAGUUGCUUCCCCAACUCGAGGUGAAAAGUCCCAAAAUCUCCAUUUUUACACAGUGAGUUAAGCAUGGCUAUCCAAAGCUUUAAGAAACUUCUUUUUCCAUCUUUUAACCUAUUUUCAUGUUAGUUUAGUUUACAACACCUUCAUCUUUUUAUGUUUUCAUCUUAACCUAAUUUUUAUUAAGAAAAGUUCACUCCAUCCUCCGAACUUCACCAGUUAAAGUAAAAACCCUUCCCAGUGUUCGAUCCUAGAGCCACUAUGCUAUAGUAGCUUUGCUACUUUAGUGUAAGGACCUUAGGUAUAAAUUUUGUUGAUACCCUUACAUGCCAAGCUACCAAGAGUCGGGUUAUCAUUAACCUAACCAUUGGCCUGUGUAAAUUGAUUUCACAUGCACAAUGUUGUAGUAGAAGUCCAUAUUUUGAAUUUUAUUUUUGUAAAGGUAAGGAAAAUGAAGCAUUGUGUAAUUAUAAAAAUAACUUCAUUGGAAUUCACAAGGUUCACCCAAAAUGGAGCUACAUCUGUAUUCUAUCCUACAGUAGACUAUAUAGAUUGUACAAUAGUAAAUUGCAAAUACAAUUAAUAAGUCUUGUGCUUCCUUACUAAUAAUCCUUUGACAUGAACAUUGCAGCACUAAGGUCCUCUUGGGAAGACACCUUGCACCCAUGAGAGCACUAAGAGGAAGCAAGGCAGAGUCAUGGGUGCAAUGUCAUGACUUGUUGUUGCACCAAGAGAGGCUUGGUGAUGCCAUGGUGUUGCAGUAGCAAGAAUGUUGCCUUGGCAGGGACACGAUCUAGGGAUAGAUGCCAAGAAAGGCUUAGCACUCACAUGAGUUGCACAAAGAUGAAUGUAAUAGAGCAUCAGAGAGACGUCUUGGCAAGUAAAUGAAUGGAUCCAAGAGACAACAACAUGAGGAGUUUCAAAUGGAUAAGGAAUGACUCAAAGACAUUUGAAAGCUACAAGUUGGAUUCUAAUUACGAUUGCAAUUUGAGUUUGAGUAGGAGUUUAGAUUUUGAUUGUAAUUGUAGUAUGAGUUGGACUAGGAUUGCUUAUCCUUAGUCAAUAUAGGAGCGGUUCGUGUCACCCUAUGAAAAGAGUUUGAGUAGGGACUAGGAUUGCUUACUCCUAGUCAAAUAUGGAGUAGGUGGUGCCACACCUAUAAAAAAAAGGGACAACAUGAGAGAGAGAGAGAGAGAGAAAGAGAGAGUGAAUUCACUAAAGAUAUUGUGGGAGUUUUGCUUUGUUACGUCUUGUAUUAUUACUUAGAAUAGGAAUAAAAUACAAGUUGGGGCUAGAGCCCCAUAAUUAAUCUCGUGUGCCUUUGUGGUUAUUCUUUAUUUGUCAUCUCGUGUGGAUUGGAUUAGGUUGACUUAGAGGGCUUCUAAGCACCACCUUUGUGGGUUAUUAUUUAUUUUCCAUCUCUUGUGGAUUAGAUUAGGUUGACUUAGAGGGCUUCUGAGCACCACCUUUGUGGGUUAUUAUUUAUUUUCCAUCUAUUGUGGAUUAGAUUAGGUUGACUUAGAGGGCUUUUAAGCACCACAUUUGUGGGUUAUUCUUUAUUUUCCAUAUCGUGUGGGUUGGAUUAGGUUGACAAGGAGAAAAAUUAUGUGGGAAAUUUGUGUUGGGACACUUACCAUAACCAAGUAAAAUCUACCAAGUCCUUUGUAAUAUCUUCAACAAAUAUUUUAGACUAGUUCUUUCAGUUAGUGUAAAGGAGGAAGAAGUGGUAUUGAUUCUAGAAAUAGGGUGUGUGUAUUUGAACUACAAUCCUUAUGAUCCUUAGGUCUCUAAACCUUCGUGAUGGGCUCCCUGACAUUUCAUAGGUUGUGCUACACAUGCGUUUGAAAUUUAGAGUGCGUUUGACAGUGAUUCCGGGAAGUGUUUUUGGCCUUUCUUACACUUGAAAAUUUUUAUUUUUCAAGUAUUAGAAAUGCUACAAACACUUUUGAAAAUUACUGUCAAACACACUCUUAGGAGCGCACAUAUAUAGUAGAAAACUAGAAAUUGUGGUUUUUUUAGGAUUUACUGUAAUGUCAUUAGGAGGGUAGUAAGUUGAAAUUGAGUAUGAACAAAUAUUUCUUUCUUUGGGAUGUUCUUCUAGUAGGUGCUGAUGAAACUGUUCUUUCUACUGCCAAUGUCACAUAUCAGCCAGAAAUUGAAAAUUUCAGUCAAGGUGUCCUCUGUUUUAGUGGUGAGGAAAGCUAGAAAUUUUAAGGUGAAGUUUUGUUAAAAACCUUAAGUAGCUGGGAUAUCAGGCCUGUUUUGCUUGAAAAAAAAAGUUGCAAGAUAACUCAUAUGCCAAACAGGUUCUGAUAUUGUGAAUCUAUCGGCAGACAUCAGUAAUCUCAUCUUCUGAGAUGGAUGUUGGGGGUGCAUGUGGUGGUGGAGGGGCAAGGUUUCAUUUGGUUUAUUUUGUUGAUGGAUAUUGUCUAGCCACCUGCGCCAAGUUUGAGGGGUGGUGGGUUGUGAUGACCCUACAAUUACUAUUAAUUUCUUCAUCUUUUACCGAUUAAAGUGUCCGAACAGUCGAAGUUACCCUUAUGCAUGUCAACUUGAUCACUUACCUCUUCAAUGGAGUUUAUGCUGGUUCAUUUAGGAACUGAUUUUUAUUGUUAUGUAUUAUAUGCUGAUGUUUAGGUCUCUCCAUCAUCACUAUAUACAAAAAUUCUAGGUUGAUACUAUAGGUUGAGAUUUAUUUUUUAAAUAAAAAAUAAUAAAAAUAAAAAUUAUGGUGAUGUUUAGUUGUUUUAUGGAAAAUUUUAACAAGUAAAAGUUAUUUUUGGGCAAGUUUUCAAACAAAAAGAAAAGUAAAAGUUGUUUUGACAAAAACAUAUAGAAAAAAAAAUCAUAGAAAAUAAAUAAUUUCCCCAUAUUCUAACUUUUUUGAAUUUUUCUCAAUGGGCAAAGGAAUAUCAAAUCAAGUUUGAGUAGGAUUUCUUAAUUUUUAAAAUAACUUACAAUUAAAAAAUUUUGGUGUUUUCAUUUUUGGACAAUUUUUUAUUAAGCAAAUGGACUCUGAGUCAUGCAAGAGAUAUGGUUCAUUAACCGGUCGAACAAUUUUUUUAAAUUAAUUUAAAAGUCAAAUACAUAAUCAAUUUCACAAAAUUUAUAAACAAAAAUAGGUUUAGAGAAGAUCUACACAUAAUUUUACUUUUCUAAUUUUAUUUUAUUUUAUUUUUUGUUGGAAAAUAGUCUUCAAAUCAUGUAAGAUUUAAUAGGUUAAAUUUGUUAACAAUAAAUUUUAAAUUAUAAAAUAUAAUCUGGAACUCAAAAAUCAAUUCAAGUAAUGCUAAAAAAAAAUCAAAUUUGGUAUAGAAUGACUUUGUAAAUUUUUUUACAAAACAAAUGAAUUUUAAAUCAAGUGAGAUUUAAUGCAUUAGAUUUUUAUCAAAUAUAGUAAUUUUAAAAAUAAAUUUGGAACUCAACAAUAGACACAAUAAAUACCAAAAAAUAAUGAACCAAAAUUGGUUUGGAAUAACUCCACAACCUUUUUUUUUUUUUUUUGGUGCACACGAAUUUUCUUACUAGGUAUAUUGCUUUCAAAUUGAGAAAGAUUUACCAUUUAGAUUUUUUUUUAAUGAGUUUAAUGGUAUUUUAAAAUAAUUCAAAAUUUAAAAAAUUGACUAAUUAAUAUUAUAAAUUGAUAAACCAAGACUAUUUCAAAAUGCAUUGGGGGCUAAGGGGGUUGAAAAUAGGGACAAUGGGAUGGGUUUGGGACAUGACACUCAUAUCUCAUUUCCAUUCCAAUUACACAGUUAUCUCCCAUCCUUAUCCCAAACUUGUGUUGGAGCAAGUUGAUUUGUUCCCAUCUUUGUUGACGAAAUGACUAAUAACCUCAUCCCCUCCUUAUCUUAGAUGUACAUUUUGUCAAAUUUGAUCAGGUAUGAUUGAUCCAAGCCCUAACCCUAAUUGGUAAUGAGUGAAUACUACACCUAAUUGCAUUCUUCUUUCAUUGCAAAAUAAUGAGAUUAUAAUAAUCUAGCAAAUAAGAAAAAAUAGUAUGGAAGUUCAAAUUAACACCAUAACUAUCAAUAAUUUUAAGCUUAUAGAUGACUUAAAUGAUUAAAAACUAAUGCAAAAUCCUAAAAAAAAUAAAAAUCAUAUAAAGAAUUCACAAGAGAACAGAAUGAACAAAAACCAAAUAUGAACAUGGGUCAACAUUAGUUAUGGAUUUGGAUUCCUUUCAAGGCCAAUCUUUGAACCAAGACUUCAUCAAAUCAACUACUUCAAAGGCUUUUGUGUUCUUCUUGGGUUGUGCUCUCAAACAAAGACUUCGAGGUGAUGUUCUAGAUGAUUGAAUUACACAUAUUUAGGGUGGAGAGAUUGGAGAAGCUUGAAGAUGCCAACGAUGGGUACAAUUGAGUGGUCAAUAAGAACAAUGUAGCCUAUGACUAGUUUGAUGUCAUGGUACAAGAGUUUUAGGCAUUGAGGUUAAAGCAAGAGCAACAUGGAAUUGAUUUCGGAGUCUUUCAGUUAGUGUAAAGGAGGAAGAAGUGGUGUUGAUUCUAGAAAUAGGGUUUUAAGUGGUGCGUGAUUACUACUCAAAAAGUGCUAUUUGAUAGCCUUUAAUUAAUCCUUUUUAACACUUUUGAGUAGUAGUUUAGGCCUUUUAACUCAAUUGGCAUGUUAAGGAUCCUUUAAAGCAAUUUUGAUCACUUUGUGCAAGUUUUGGUGUUUUUGUUAGUAUUUUGAUCACCAAAGCAAGUCAAGAAUGAGGAGAACUAUGAGGAAUCAUGGGCAAAGCUUAGAAUUCAAUUGCCAAGAGUGAAUCCGGAUUGCAAGGAGAAAAAGCAAAGAGAAUCUGUCAUGAAGCCUAUUCUUGAUGACAGUCGUAGCAGCCACUUUUGGAGCACUUUCUGAAGUCCAAAUGAUGCAAGCUAUAUACCAUUUCAAAGAUCAGGAAGUCAACAAUCCAAUGCUUCAAACGGUGCGCGAUUCGGAGUUGAAACGAAGAAGUUGCAGCCAUUACAAGCCAGUCACUCUAAAGUGUUGCGGAAUCAGCCUUUUGUUGCGAGAAUUUCGCAGCACUUUUGUACAGUAAGGUGUUUCUCCUUCUGACGAUGCACGAACCAUGCCGCGAGAGGGAAGCUAGGAACUUCAAGAUGGAAGCCAACUUUGCAGCCUGGUGAAGAUAGCUUGGUCUUGCGAAAUAAUUUCGCAGCCCUCUUGGGUGUCUGCGAAAUUUCGCAGGCACCACUUUUUUCCUGCGAAAUGGCUCCGGAAGCCUCCCGAAGCUUGCUACCGACAUUGGGAGAUAUUUUCCAUUAGAUUUUUGUUGUCUAAAUUCCAAAAUACUCCUUGUAAACCACCAAUUACAUGAUUCCUUAGUUUUUAAGUUAGUAAAAAGACCAAAUAUCUAUGUAAUAAUUAGUUUUAUAUUAGUUUGCUAUAAAUACCUCUCGGGAGCAUGUUCUCAGAGAGGAGUUCCUUCUGUAACCAUUUUGGUAAGCAAGUAAAGUCUUUUCUUUCUACUGCCUUACCUUCUCACUUUGUAUUUUCAUUUUAUUUCUAAGUUAUGAAUUCUCUGAGGAGCUUUCCCCAGAGAAUGAGUAACUAAACCUCCAAUUCCUUGGAGCUAAGGUUGCCGGGGAAGGUUCCAAGUGCAAGAAUGCAAAGCUCUGUGGUUUUAGCUAGUAAUGAAGAGGAAGUGAAAUCCUUUAGUGAUUUCAAUGUUUUUAGUUAACUUAAAACACCUUGGAGUCACCUGGGCCAACACUUGGUAAGGCAAGUGAUUUCCAACCGUGGAAAUGCACUAGUUUACCCCUUGCGAGCCUCUGGUAGGUGACUUCAAGGUAGGAUUUUCUGGAAUUACCAACACUUGGUAAGCUUUUGGACUCCUAGGAGACAUCCAUUAGUUAUCUCUUGCGAGUUUGUGAAGGGGAAUCCAAGGUUAAAGAUCACCUUGAAUGGUAAGUGCUCGUGAGAGGCAUGAACCAUUGCAAGUUGUAUCAGUGAGAGAAUUAAAGUGAAAUCUAAUUGAAGGAGUCUCUGUACAUCACCGGUUAGAGAAUUGACUAUAAGUUGAAUCUCUAAUGCGAGGAAAUGAACCAUCUGACCGGAGCUAUGUCUUUUGCAUGAGGAACCACCCCAGUGAACCUAAAUCUCCAAGGAAUGCUUUUCUUCCUAAAUUAUUCCAAACUUCUGUUAAGUUAGUUAGUUUAAGUCUAAACCUUUACCAAUCAAACUUUGUGUUUUAUUUCUUAAGCUAACCGUGAAAUGAAACAAAACCAAUUCACUUGGAAUUGGUAUCCUUGAUUGCUUGCAAAUCAUUCCCAGUGAACGAUCCUUAGAGCCACUAUACUAUAGUAGCUUUGUAUUUGCUACCCUAGUGUAUGGUGUUAUAGGUAUAAAUUUUGUUGAUCACUUCCUCAAUCAAGGAACACCAGCUGAACACAAAUCAGCUGAGACACCAAUUGGGCAUGAGUCAAAUGGCGCCGUUGCCGGGGAAUGAGUGUCAAGAUCAUUGUGAUACCAUUUUUGAGCACUUGUGAUUUUCAUCACAAGUUGGUAAAGUUUCUUUCACUUUACUAAUUUUCAUUCUCUCUUUGUUUAUUUACAAUCUAAGUUUAUCUUUUUAAAAUUUAGUCUAGUUUAAUUUUGCUAUUGUAGCCUUGUUUCUCUUGUUGUCCUCUGUUCUUGUUGUCCUCUGUUUUCAUUUUAGUUGCAGCUGAAUACUAGUUGUGUAUGCCAAAGUGGAUACGAGACAUUGGAGGUAGGCUUAUUAAGUGUGAUACACCUCAGAGAGGAGAAUUGGAAGUAAUCUUGAAUAUCAUGGAGGCUGCACCUGAAGAUCAGCAUAGUCACCAAGGUCGUCAAGACAAUCUCAAUGAAUUCAGAUCAAUGAGGGACCGUAUGCAUCCACCUCGUAUGAGUGCACCAUCAUGUAUAGUGCCCCCUACAGAGCAACUAGUGAUCAGACCAUAUCUUGUUCCACUUCUACCAACUUUCCAUGGGAUGGAAAGUGAGAAUCCGUAUGCACACAUCAAGGAAUUUGAAGAUGUUUGUAAUACAUUCCAAGAGGGAGGAGCUUCAAUUGAUUUGAUGAGGCUUAAGUUAUUUCCUUUUAAUUUAAAGGAUAAGGCCAAAAUUUGGCUUAAUUCUUUAAGGCCAAGGAGUAUCCGCUCUUGGACUGAUUUACAAGCUGAAUUCCUCAAGAAAUUUUUUCCUACUCAUAGAACAAAUGGCUUGAAAAGGCAAAUUUCAAACUUCUCAGCUAAAGAGAAUGAGAAAUUCUAUGAGUGUUGGGAAAGAUACAUGGAAGCUAUAAAUGCUUGUCCUCACCAUGGCUUUGAUACUUGGCUACUGGUGAGUUAUUUUUAUGAUGGUAUGUCCUCCUCAAUGAAGCAACUCCUCGAGAAAAUGUGUGGAGAAGAUUUCAUGAGCAAAAAUCCAGAGGAAGCUAUGGAUUUCUUGAGCUAUGUAGCUGAUGUUUCAAGGGGAUGGGAUGAACCAACUAAAGGAGAAGUGGGAAAGAUGAAGUCUCAGUUGAAUGCUUACAAUGCAAAGGCUGGGAUGUAUACUUUAAAAGAGGAUGAUGACAUGAAAGCAAAGUUGGCAGCUAUGACAAGAAGAUUGGAGGAGCUGGAGCUGAAAAGAAUGCAUGAAGUGCAAGCUGUUGCUGAAGCACCAGUGCAAGUGAAGUUGUGUCCCAAUUGUCAAUCGUUUGAACAUUUGGUAGAGGAAUGCCCUGCAAUUUCAGCUGAAAGGGAAAUGUAUAGAGAUCAAGCAAAUGUUGUUGGACAAUUCAGGCCCAAUAACAAUGCUCCUUAUGGAAAUACCUACAAUUCAAGUUGGAGGAAUCAUCCAAAUUUUUCAUGGAAGGCCAGAGCAACUCAAUACCAACAGCCGGAUCCACCAUCUCAACAAUCUUCAAGUAUUGAACAAAUAAUAGCUAAUCUCAGCAAGGUAGUGGGAGAUUUUGUGGGAAAGCAAGAAGCCACCAAUGCUCGAGUGGAUCAAAGAAUGGACAGAGUGGAUCAAAGAAUGGACAGAAUGGAGAGUAUGUUGAACAAAAGAAUGGAUGGAAUGCAAAAUGAUAUGAAUCAAAAAUUUGAUAACAUCCAAUAUUCAAUUUCAAGGCUUACAAAUUUGAAUACACUGCAAGAAAAGGGAAGAUUUCCUUCUCAACCUAACCAAAAUCCCAAAGGUGUCCAUGAAGUGGAAAGCCAUGAGGGAGAAUCAUCACAGGUGAAAGAUGUGAAAGCUUUGAUCACUCUAAGGAGUGGUAAGAAAAUUGAGCAGCCAACACCCAAGCCACAUGUUGAGAAAGAAGAAGAGAUGAAGAAAGGGAAGGAAAUGGAAGAUAAAGGCAGUGAGAUCAGUGAAGAAAAGAAGGACUCUGAUGCAACAAUGAAAGUAAUUCCAGAGAAGGAGCUUCUGAAGGAAGAAAUGCUGAAGAAAUCAACUUUUCCACCUUUUCCUCAAGCAUUACAGGGGAAAAAGGGGGUUAGAAAUGCAGCUGAAAUCCUAGAAGUAUUGAGGCAAGUGAAAGUUAAUAUUCCACUGCUGGAUAUGAUCAAACAAGUUCCAACGUAUGCAAAAUUCCUAAAGGACUUGUGUACUAUCAAAAGAGGGUUGACUGUAAACAAGAAAGCCUUCUUGACUGAGCAAGUAAGUGCAAUCUUACAGUGUAAGUCUCCUUUGAAGUACAAAGACCCUGGAAGUCCUACCAUUUCAGUCAUGAUUGGAGGAAAGGUAGUGGAGAAAGCCUUGCUAGACUUGGGAGCAAGUGUGAAUUUGCUUCCAUAUUCUGUCUACAAGCAACUGGGACUUGGAGAGUUGAAGCCAACAGCAAUCACUUUGUCUCUGGCAGAUAGAUCAGUGAAAAUUCCAAGAGGGGUAAUUGAGGAUGUAUUGGUUCAAGUAGAUAAUUUCUACUAUCCUGUAGAUUUUGUUGUUCUUGAUACAGAUCCUACUGUAAAGGAAGCUAAUUUAGUUCCUAUCAUCCUUGGAAGGCCAUUUCUUGCAACUUCAAAUGCAAUCAUCAACUGUAGAAAUGGGCUUAUGCAACUCACUUUUGGUAACAUGACACUGGAUCUAAAUAUUUUCUAUAUGUCUAAAAAGCAAAUCACUCCAGAAGAAGAAGAGGGUCCAGAAGAGCUAUGUAUUAUUGAUACUUUGGUGGAGGAGCACUGCAAUCAACAUAUGCAAGAUAAGUUGAAUGAAAGUUUUGUGGAUAUUGAGGAAGGUUUUUCUGAAUCUCCUAAUGGGCUUGCUACUCUACAAAGUUGGAGAAAGAUAGAAGGAAUUCUACCUUUGUUCAAUGAAGAAGAGGAGGCAGCUGUUGAAAAAGAAAUUCCAAAACUCAAUCUGAAGCCUUUACCUAUGGAGCUGAAAUAUACAUAUCUUGAAGAAAAUAAUCAAUGUCCUGUCGUAAUAUCUUCAUCUCAAACCAAGUCUCAAGUGAAGGAUGCAAGCUUCAAAUGGGAUCCGGGCAAACUGAAUCAGGAAGGGCAAAAAGUUUUGAUGUAUGACACAAGACUCCAUAUCUUUCCUGGGAAGCUCAAGUCAAGGUGGAUUGGUCCAUUUGUUAUUCACCGAGUAUAUUCCAAUGGAGUGGUGGACUUAUUGAAUUCCAAUGGCAAGGACAGCUUUAGAGUCAAUGGAUAUCGUCUUAAGCCGUUCAUGGAGUCAUUCAAAUCAGAAAAGGAGGCAAUCAACCUCCUUGAACCUCAAAAAGCCUAAGUGAAAUGGGUUUGCUGGACGUGGUUUUACCACAGUCCAAAAAUUUUUGUAAAUUUUGUAAAUUUUCAAGUUGUUUCCAUGCUUUUAAUCUUAGUUUUUGAUUUUAAAUCAUGUUUUUAGGUGUGUUUUAAUCGUUUUAUAUGAUCCCAGGCGGAAGAAAUUUCAAGGGGAUUGAAAAGAAAAAAAUCGGGUCGAAAUUGGAGCCGAAACAGAGCAAAAACAGGGGAAAAACAGAGCUCUGCGAAAUUUCGCAGGGUGAAGGAAACUUCUGCGAAAUUGGCAUUUUGCUGCCAAACCAUUCCGCAGCACUGUAGAAGCCUCUGCGAGUGUAUUUCGCAAUUGCGAAAGUGGAUUUGGCACACGAGUGCCACUUCGCAGCACAGUGACAUCAAUUUCGCAGCUGCGAAACUCACUGCGAAGUUGCUGCGAAAAUGGCAAGUUGCUGCGAAAUUGGCGUUUUGUUGCGAAACGUAAUCUGACCCCUGGGCUUCCGUUUUUCCUAUUUAUACCUGUCAAAAGUGCUGCGAAAAAGGUUUCAAAAAUUAGAGCACCAUUCUCGCAGCCCUUUCAUCUUCUUCGCCAAGCCACGCCGUCCGUUUCUCCGGUCGUCUUCUCCGUUUAGCAGCGCCGGCCAAAGAUCGAUAGCCCAAAAAUGGCACGAACGCGAGGGGCAAAGUCUUCAUCCCCUUCGAACCGCAAAAGGAGUCUGCGAAAGGAGCCAAGUUCAGGCUCUGUUCCAGAACCUGCUCCAAAGCCUUCGCCGUCGAGACCACAACCUUCUCCAGUGAAGCCGGCGCCACCAAAGCCGCCGGCAAGGCGAUAUUUAACCAGGUCAGGUGGUCAGCCAUUGAAGAAGAAAGCCAGAGUUGAGAGCUCUGAACCAAUCGAUUUGACUGAGCAAUCCCCUGAGAAAUCACCAAAUCCUUCACCGGUACAAAUUCCAGUGCCAUCACCGGUUCCCUCGCCAAUUCCCUCACCAGAAGCAACUCCAAUUCCAUCGCCGGUACCAUCUCCGGCACCCCAAGAAAAAGCUCAGGAGCCUCAAGCGCCAAUUCCAGAGCCCCAAAUUGCAGCUGAAGCACCUCUGGAAGAAGUGAUCCGAAGGCCAAUGCUGCCUCAGCCCCCAAUCGAAGGAAACCUGGAUUGCCGAACUCGGGCAUUCCAUUCUGAGCUUUGCUUCGAUUUAACAGCAUUCAGAGUGAGGCCAGAGCUUGCCCAAUCCUUCCAACUGCUGAGGAGAUAUCAUAUGGAGCAUCUGCUAGCUCCAAGGGAUUUUUUCUAUCCCCGGGUAGUCACGGAUUUCUACCAAACCAUGACAACCAAAGAAGUAAGAAAUCCAACUCUGAUUCAUUUCAUAAUUGAUGGAAGGCAUGGUAUUUUGGGAGCAAGACAUAUUGCUGAAGCCCUGCAAAUUCCUUUUGAGCCAACUCAAUUCGACAAUUUUAAAGCUUGGACAAAUCCUACUGAGUUAGAGAUGGUUAGCACACUAACCAGAGGAGCUGCAAAUCGAUCGCAUUUGUUGAGGGGGGAGCUACCUCCAGUUAUGUUUUUGAUUGAUGCCUUUUUGAGGCAUAAUAUCUAUCCCCUGCAGCAUUGGACCCAAAGAAGGGGAAUUCUCCUAGAAGCCUUGUACAAAAUGUCUGAAGGAUUCUUCUUUGGGCCUCAUCAUCUGAUCAUGGCAGCCCUUCUAUACUUUGAGGAGAAGGUUCACAAGAAGAAGCUUCAAAGAGCAGAUUGCAUUCCACUCCUCUUCCCAAGGCUGCUAUGCCAAGUUUUGGAGCAUCUCGGAUACCCCUCUGAGCCUCAGCAGGAAAGAAAGAGAAUAUGCCGUGAGCCUUUUACCCUUGAUAAAUGGAAUAAUAUGACGGCCUACAAAAUUGAUCAGCCUGGGCAGCCUCAGCCAGCAGCAAGGAGAGUCUCCCCAAGACAUAUACCUGAAGGUAUAACACUUGCUACUCCUGCCAUCCCUCGAGCUCCACCAGCUGCACCUGCUCCAUCACAGCCAUCCACAUCAGCUGAGCCGAGGAUGGCCAUCCCUAUAUCCGAAUAUCGAGAGCUGUGCCGUGCAUUGGAGACUCUUACAGCUUCUCAGAGCAAUCUUGCUCAGGAGUUGGCAGCCAUUAAAGCAUGCCAGGAGCAGAUGUUAGCCUCUCAGACUCAACAAGCUGCCAUCCUAAGGCAGCUUCAAGUCCAUUUCGAUCUGCCACAAGCUGUAGAGCCCUCUAUUCCUACUCCACCAGAGCCACACUCUCAGCCUUCAGAGUCUCAUCCUCCAGAACCCGAAGCACCAGCUGAUCCACCUACUGAGGAGGCAGAUCCUUCUGCCUAGCACCAUCACCCCCCUCAUCAGACAUUAUAUAUAUAUUUGCUGUUUAUGUUUUUAUGCAUGUUUGUUUUGUUUUAGUUGAAAAGAAAUCCCAGUAUUUUGGUACUAUAUAUGGGAUUCCUUGUGUUACUUGUCUUUAGUAUUGUAAUCACAUGAACUCAAAGUAAUACAAGUUGACUAUUUCUUGUUAAAAGUUAGCAUUAAAGUUUCCUUAUUUCCUUUUCUCACAUAUUCUAUUCUUUUUGAAACAUGUGGUUUUCCCCAAUCAAUAUUCGAAUUUGAUAUCAGCAUGGAGGUACCACUUCCUCCCUUUUAUUACAGUCACUCAAAUCACAUUGAGGACAAUGCUCAGUUCGGUUGGGGGGUAUGAGGAAGGAAGUAUUCUAAACCUUUUUGGUAUUGCAAUUAUAUUGGUUAAUUAGUUGUAGAUUUUACUUUUUACUAGUGUUACUCUAUUCUCCAUGAAUUUUGAGGAAAAAUUUUCAAAUUAAACCAAGAGAAAUUGAACUGUUGUUUUUCACUUGACUUAGAGUAUGGAUUAUGCUUACUAAAGUGGUUCAAUUGUUGAAACUUCUACUGAAAUUGAAUUGAGUUCUUCCACUUUAAGCUAUCCACACACUGUGCACAUUAGUUUCCGAUUAUAAGAUGAAAAGCUAUUUCCCUCUUGACUUAGUAUAUUUUUGGGACUUGGUAUAUUUGACCUCAUUUGAUAAAAAUUGAAACACCCUGCAAAAGGCCAAUGAGCCUUUGAAAUAAAGAAAGUUGUUUGCUUGCCUUGAAACCCGAGCAAGGUCUGAGGGGUAUAUGGUGAAAAUCUUUAAAGCCUGGUGCCCUAAGCCUUAAUUGGUUGGGAGUCACCGACCUCAAUGCUCGUUACAAGGGUGAAUAGGUAGAGUUAGCAUAUGGUAGAUGCUUGGGUAUUAGAAAUUCAUUCUUAAAAGUCCGGGGAAAAAUCCGAGGAGUUAGUGGUUGAAAGAUCCUUAAAACUUGGUGCCCUAAACCUUAAUUGGUUGGGAGUCAUCGAUGGACCCCCAUUACAUGGACAAGUCAGAAAGAGUACCCCAUAAAGCUACCUUAAAAAAAAAAAAAAAAAAAAAAAAAAAAAAAAAGAUGAAAGUGUGUUCUUUUCUUAUUGAUUUUGGUCAGUUUGCUAAAGUGUUGAAAAGAGAUAGGUUGGGGGGUGAGAUUAGUAGCAUAUUAUUCUCGGAACCUAAGGAACCAAUACACAUAGAUUUUUGUGGAAGAUUGAAGUUUAGUUCUUAGAAAAUGAAAUGAUUUUAAAACUUCAGUUUGCAUAAUGCACUCCCUUGAUUGACAGUGUUUAGCAUAGGUGUUAUGACUCUUGUUGAGAUUUGGGUUUGUAUUUCUUUAAUGAUUCAUGUGAGAAAUAGAUCAUCAUGCCACUUGAGAAUUAUUUUCCUUUUAGCAUGAUGUUGUAAAUUUUAGAUUAGUUUGCUAUUUAUUUUUUAUUUUCUCUCCUAUAUUGCUAAGGGACUAGCAAUAUGUCGGUUGGGGGGAGUGAUUACUACUCAAAAAGUGCUAUUUGAUAGCCUUUAAUUAAUCCUUUUUAACACUUUUGAGUAGUAGUUUAGGCCUUUUAACUCAAUUGGCAUGUUAAGGAUCCUUUAAAGCAAUUUUGAUCACUUUGUGCAAGUUUUGGUGUUUUUGUUAGUAUUUUGAUCACCAAAGCAAGUCAAGAAUGAGGAGAACUAUGAGGAAUCAUGGGCAAAGCUUAGAAUUCAAUUGCCAAGAGUGAAUCCGGAUUGCAAGGAGAAAAAGCAAAGAGAAUCUGUCAUGAAGCCUAUUCUUGAUGACAGUCGUAGCAGCCACUUUUGGAGCACUUUCUGAAGUCCAAAUGAUGCAAGCUAUAUACCAUUUCAAAGCUCAGGAAGUCAACAAUCCAAUGCUUCAAACGGUGCGCGAUUCGGAGUUGAAACGAAGAAGUUGCAGCCAUUACAAGCCAGUCACUCUAAAGUGUUGCGGAAUCAGCCUUUUGUUGCGAGAAUUUCGCAGCACUUUUGUACAGUAAGGUGUUUCUCCUUCUGACGAUGCACGAACCAUGCCGCGAGAGGGAAGCUAGGAACUUCAAGAUGGAAGCCAACUUUGCAGCCUGGUGAAGAUAGCUUGGUCUUGCGAAAUAAUUUCGCAGCCCUCUUGGGUGUCUGCGAAAUUUCGCAGGCACCACUUUUUUCCUGCGAAAUGGCUCCGGAAGCCUCCCGAAGCUUGCUACCGACAUUGGGAGAUAUUUUCCAUUAGAUUUUUGUUGUCUAAAUUCCAAAAUACUCCUUGUAAACCACCAAUUACAUGAUUCCUUAGUUUUUAAGUUAGUAAAAAGACCAAAUAUCUAUGUAAUAAUUAGUUUUAUAUUAGUUUGCUAUAAAUACCUCUCGGGAGCAUGUUCUCAGAGAGGAGUUCCUUCUGUAACCAUUUUGGUAAGCAAGUAAAGUCUUUUCUUUCUACUGCCUUACCUUCUCACUUUGUAUUUUCAUUUUAUUUCUAAGUUAUGAAUUCUCUGAGGAGCUUUCCCCAGAGAAUGAGUAACUAAACCUCCAAUUCCUUGGAGCUAAGGUUGCCGGGGAAGGUUCCAAGUGCAAGAAUGCAAAGCUCUGUGGUUUUAGCUAGUAAUGAAGAGGAAGUGAAAUCCUUUAGUGAUUUCAAUGUUUUUAGUUAACUUAAAACACCUUGGAGUCACCUGGGCCAACACUUGGUAAGGCAAGUGAUUUCCAACCGUGGAAAUGCACUAGUUUACCCCUUGCGAGCCUCUGGUAGGUGACUUCAAGGUAGGAUUUUCUGGAAUUACCAACACUUGGUAAGCUUUUGGACUCCUAGGAGACAUCCAUUAGUUAUCUCUUGCGAGUUUGUGAAGGGGAAUCCAAGGUUAAAGAUCACCUUGAAUGGUAAGUGCUCGUGAGAGGCAUGAACCAUUGCAAGUUGUAUCAGUGAGAGAAUUAAAGUGAAAUCUAAUUGAAGGAGUCUCUGUACAUCACCGGUUAGAGAAUUGACUAUAAGUUGAAUCUCUAAUGCGAGGAAAUGAACCAUCUGACCGGAGCUAUGUCUUUUGCAUGAGGAACCACCCCAGUGAACCUAAAUCUCCAAGGAAUGCUUUUCUUCCUAAAUUAUUCCAAACUUCUGUUAAGUUAGUUAGUUUAAGUCUAAACCUUUACCAAUCAAACUUUGUGUUUUAUUCCUUAAGCUAACCGUGAAAUGAAACAAAACCAAUUCACUUGGAAUUGGUAUCCUUGAUUGCUUGCAAAUCAUUCCCAGUGAACGAUCCUUAGAGCCACUAUACUAUAGUAGCUUUGUAUUUGCUACCCUAGUGUAUGGUGUUAUAGGUAUAAAUUUUGUUGAUCACUUCCUCAAUCAAGGAACACCAGCUGAACACAAAUCAGCUGAGACACCAAUUGGGCAUGAGUCAGUGCGUUAGAGGAUCAAGAAGAAGAAAAAGAAGGAACUGUUGGAAUUAGUAUGAGUGUGAAGAGAAAAGUAUAUAAAUAAGGGGAAGUAAAAGCAAAGUUCAAAAAGCUAUAUUUUUUUAUUGUUGGUGUAUGGUUGCAUGAUUAUCCCUAUAAAUAAUAGGAGUUUUUUGGUAUUCUACUAGUAGUUGAAGCAUAAUUUCAUAAAUUAAUAUUUAGAGCGGGGUGGGGUGAGUUGUGACAAAAUUCAUACCCGUCCCAAACCUUGGUUCAGAUUUUUAAAAUAUUCUCAAACUUAUCAUAUACCCAACUUUUAUAUUUCAUACUUGUCCUAAUAGAGGCACGUUAGGCCGGGUUACUUGAGUAACCUACAUAAUUGUCAUCCCUAGUUGAAAUACACUUUUUGGCAGUGGCCACCAACUGAGCUAGAAGCUUGAUUGAUUGACCUACAAGAUUAGUUCUCAUCAUUUUAAAAAAAGUUCUGGCUUUGGUUGUGAGUGCAAUUGAAUCUAAACUGGCAUUUGCUUAAUGCAUCUACUUCAAUCCUAAACUUCUUACUUCUUAAGCCUCAAUUGUUGUUAGGAUUUUGGAAAACCCAUUUCCUUAAAUUGUAAAUUUAAGAUAAAAUAAAAUAAAAGUGAGACAUUUCUUGAUUGAAUAUUGUUAAAGGUCCCUUGGCAUUAAGACUUGGUUGAAGCCUUGGAAGAUUAGUGGAACUCUCAACAUGUGUUUGAAUCUUGAGGAGAGUGGAUGUAAGCCAAAAUUUUGUCAAACCAUUAUACAAAUUGAGUUUGAAUCCUCAUUUCUUGAUUUCUUAUUUAUUUGCUUUUUCUUAUUAUUACUUGAAUUGUCAUUUGCAUUCAUUAAUGUUAAAAUUGGUUAUAAUUAACCAACACUAAUUCUCUUUCCCCUUCCCUUUCUUGGGUGUAAACCUAGGUUGGAUUAACUAGAUAAAUCUAUUAAGAUGGUAAAAGAAUAAUUAUUCUUAACAUACAUAAGAUCAUCUUCAAUCAAAUGACUCAUUGGCUAAUAUGUUGAAUUUGCUUAUUACUUGCAACUCAAAAUUGUGUUCUAGUUGUGUCAAGUCCCCAGUGUAUGGACAUUAAAUUUGUAGUACGUGAUGAGUAAUUAGAUGGUCCAACUCCAAGAAAGUGAUUGAAAAGUAGUUCAAGAAAGGUGCAAAAGGGAAUUGUUUUGGUAUUUUCGUUUUUAUUCUUGAAGGUGGCAGAGCUAAAAUUUGAGAAAUCAAGCAAAACAUACUGAAAUUACAUUGAAAGAAAGAAGAUGGGAGUUAAUGUCUUGCAGUACAUGAUAAGGACUUCAUGCAUGUAGUGUGACCCAUGUCUUGGACUGAUGCCAACUCACGGUUACACUUAUACCCUUGGUUCUCUCUUUACUACCUUGGCUAACCUAGAUCAGGCUAUGAGAUAGGCUCCUCACCACACCAUUACUUGCCCAUUAAUUAGAGACAUUUUCAAGCAAUGAGGUAACAUGGUGACACCAAGAGGGUCUAUUCCUCGCCCGGAACAAGUCUAGACUUGGUCUCAAAAAAAUGGAGAAAAAUGAGGUGUCGUUAUGUAGAAAUACAACAACCAUGCCUUCCUCAUUACUUAGAUUCAGAAUGUGAAGGUGAAAUUGAGAAACAGAAACUCUUGAAACCAAAAUGAAAAUUGAUACUUUUACGAAGAAUUACAACAACAUUAGAGGAAGACUACAUUCUUCCUCUUUAUUCCUACAUUUCUACACUACUUCUACUCCACUCCAUAUUUCUACAUACAUCUUUAAUCAGUCUUCCCUCCUUUAUAUAGAGCCAUCUUCACACAAAUUUCGCAAGGUAGAAAAGAGGAAUGAAACUUGGAGCAAGGUUCGACUACUGGUUGUAGCUUGUCAAGGCUGGAAGUGAACUUUUCUUGGCUUUCUGGGCAUGGGUAGUAACUUGUGGGUUCCUGUUUGGCAUAAAAAUGGCUAGAACAUGUGGCACUAUCUUGUUGGAUGAUGUGUCAAGCAUGUGGCAGCCAUCUAGUGGCGAUUAUGUCAAUUUUGGGAUGGAGAGUUGGCAUCCAAUUGCAAAGAAAUAUGACGUCUACCAACAUGCAAUGUAAACCUAUGUAGAUCAUAUGAAGAUAGAGAGGAAAAAUAUAGAAAUGGAUAUAUACCUAGAACUAGCUUUUUAUUAAAUGAAACGGAGAGACAACAAUGAAGGAAAAUAAAAUUUUUUGGCUUAUAUCAAAGAGUUCACAUUGUGUUACCCUAGGUUUUCUUAAAACUUACUUUUAUGAUAACAAAAAAGAAAAAACCAUUAUUGUUUAAUCCUUUGUUUUAAACGCAUGUAAGGUGUAAUUAAGUUAGUUCAAUGCAUUAAUUUAAGAAACUUGACCUAUCAAAAGUACAAAAUUAGAUGAAAUCCAUUUCAAUGGUUAAAAUGAUCAAAAUCAAACUUUUUCUAAGUAUUUUUUAAAAGCAUCAAUAGUGAAAGACAAUUUUAUAUUUAGUCGGAGUUUGGACAAAACUGAAAAACACACAAAAUCCAAGCGACCAUCUCUAGCUUGGAUGGUCGCUUGAUCCCACCUAGAGAUGUGCAUGAGUAAAAGGAUUUGAAAAUGGAAAUUGACUAUGUAGUCGAUCAAUUAACUUUGCAACAUCAUAUGCAAUCCUAAUUGCUAGUCAUCUAAUCAAUUAGGUAGUCAAUCAACAGGCCAAAAAUAUGUUUAUAAUGACUAUUUUGUACAAAAACCACCUGUAUAGUUAAAUAUAAUGCAUUUCAUUUAUAAAUCUUCUAAUUCUUGAAUAACGAUCCUAUCAUCCUUUGAAAGUUUUUAUUACACUUUUUUUACUUUUGUUCUAAAACUUACACAUCACCCUUAAUUGUACCAUGAGAACCUAGCUAUUUUUUAUUUUUUUUUUUGUAAUUCAUCAAAGUUAGCUUUUGUAUUCAUUGUUGUAUUAUUUUUAGUAUAACUUAGAAAGCUAGUGUUUUCAAGUGAGUAAAAUUAACUUGUAAAUAUUGUAAAGAUUCAUCGACAUGUAUCUUAAACUAAGUGUACAAGUUAAAACAUUUGCUAGUAGAUUUUCUCAAAAUUUAGAAUAGAGCUUGAGACUAUUGAAAUAGGUGGGGUUGCACCAAACCACAUCACAUCGUUGUUUGCACCUUUUUUCACUCUCUUUUACUUAGUUGCUCUAUAUUUGUUGUCUAGUAAUAUCCUAUAGGCUUGAUGGGUUAGGGAGCAUCCCUUUGUGAAAAAAUUUUAUUCAAUCCUUAGUUGUAUCACGCAUAUAUAAAAUGCCUCAUUGUUUUAAUGGUAUUCAGUCGUGGCAUCACAGAUAUGGGCAUCUAAAUUUUAAAAGUUUGAAACUUUUAUCUAAAGAAAAUAUGGUGCUUUGCCUUUUUGUAAAGCAUGUUGAUGAAAUCCAUGAGAAUUGUGUACUUGGGAAGCAACACCGAGAUGACUUUUUUUUUUUUUUUAUAAUAUUGUUUGUCCAAAUUCCCUACAAAUUAGGCCACCAGAUGUUCAUAAUUCUCCCUUCUUGAAUUUGAAAACUCGGACAAUUGGACAAUGCGACACCUAAGUCCGGUUUCUAAAUGCUAAAGUGAAAGGGUAGGUAUGGACCAUUGAAAUGUGAUCACAACUUUUCUCUGUAGCCAUGUUGUCUCUUUUUUCUUUUGCAUGAUUUUCUUACCUUAACAGAAUCAUAGACUUGUUUAGUCUCUAAAUGGGAUUAAUUUCAUCCAGCUUUAAGCUACUAUAUUAUAUCUAGGUGGAGGACUUUUAAGAGUGCAACCGACAUAGAGCACAUGGAAGUGGGUAUAUGGGACAUGAAAUUUCUUCUUAUAAAGAUUGCAUGAUUUUUAUAUUAGAGUUGUUGAGGCGCUAUGUAUUUAGCUUGUUUUGCAGUUAAAUUAAUUGGAUAAGUAGACAUUGGCGUUUCUAAAUCUACUGUGAAGUGCUUCAUGUACGUGUGAAGUAUUAGAAAUUUCUUUCUUGGCAACUUGUUUUUCUUUGCGGUCUACUGAUAGGUUUGACUAAAAUUAUAUUCCCUGUCAUGCUAAUUAAUUUUCACGUGCAUGCUCAAAAGAAAAGUAUGACCUUAGUGCACCAAAAUCACUUUGAUUAAUUUGUGAUAGGUUUUUGUGCAUCAUGACAUUAGCCUUAUUCAUUUAGAUAAUGUUUAGUUUUUAGAAAGUAUUAAGAAAAGGAAAAUAAAUAUUAAGAAAAAUAUUCUUAUAUUUGAUUGUAUUAUGAAAAAUAUCAUAAAAAAAUCAAAUAUAAUUUAAAUUAAUUAAUAAUUUAUACAUUUUCAAAUUAUUUAAUCUUUAUAUUGAAGAUAUAAUAUAAAUGAAAUGAGUUUUAAGUAUUAUAUAAAAGUGAUUUAUUGAUCUUACAUAUAUAUAUUUCUUUUUUUUUUCCUUCUAUUUUUUCUCUUUAUUUUAUUUUCCUUAUGUUUUCCUCAACAUUUUCCGGAACCAAACAUAGCCUUAGGAAAUCCACAAUUACCUUCAACUGAGUAGAUUCUGUUGUUUUAGCAAUGUUAGGCUGCUAACUUGUGUUGGUACGAACCUAUUAAGCCUAAAGAUGUAAUUAGUUAGGAUAUUCUUUUCCCUCUAGUCUUGUAGCUCCACGUGUACAGUUGGUUAGGACCUCAUUGUAUAUAAUGCUUGCCCUGUUAUUGUAGAAGACAACAAAGAUAAAUAAUAUUAACAUUUUUCCUCUCAUCUCUCUCUGUUUCCCUCUGUUUUCAUCUCCUCUCUCAUCUUGGUAUCAGAGCCUCCAUGGCUUCUUUCAAAGAAACCUCCGAAUCACCUUCUGCUAGCAUUGUUAAUGUGCAAAACCCAUUAUCUCAAUCAAACAACCUUCCUUCACCAGUAGCCACACCCUCUUUUUCUUUCUCGUCUAUGAAUCAACCUCUCACAGUGAAGCUGGAUAAUGGGAACUACCUCAUAUGGAAGAAUUAGCUUCUAAAUGUCAUCAUUGCUAACGGACUCGAUGAUUUCAUUGACGGAUCUCGACCCUGCCCUCCUCGAUUUCUCGAUCUGCAACAACAAACCCUCAAUCCAGAGUACUCAGCUUGGCAGAGAUACAAUCGACUUCUGAUGAGUUGGCUGUACGCAUCCUUGUCCAAAGAUAUAAUGGCUCAGAUUGUUGGGUAUUCAACAGCUAUGGAGAUUUGGAAUGCCCUUAAUCAGAUUUACUCUGCCUCUUCUAUGGCGCGGUUUACUGAGCUUCGCACCAAGCUUCAAACGCUCAAGAAAGAUGGACUCUCAGUUGGUGAAUAUAUUCAAAGGCUCAAAUCCAUUUGCAAUAGUCUUGCAGCAAUAGGAGAACCAGUUUCUGAGAAAGACCAUCUUAUCUAUUUGUUCAAUGGAUUAGAUUGUGAGUAUUAUUCUUUUGUUACCUCCAUUCAAAAUCGAUCUGACCAACCAACUAUUGACAAAAUCCAUAGCCUAUUGCUUAGCUAUGACUUCCGGCUUGAACAACAAAACUCUGUUUCUCUCCAUUCUGCCCAAGUCCAUAUGGCUCAUCUGAACAAGAAACCUUAUAAAUCAACUCCUCAACCUACAUUCAAUCAUAUUCACAUUCAACCUAGAUACUCUUCUCCACCUUUUAAGCCAACCACUAGUCAAUAUCAACCCAACAUUUUGGGCAAACCACAACCACAACCAUGACAGCCUCAACCUCAAUGGAAACCACAUUUUUCAAUCUAAAAUCAAAAGCCUCAGCGCCAAAUUUGUGGUAAAUUUGGACACACUGCUCUUAUUUGCUUCCAUCACACAAAUUUGAACUAUUCACCCCAACCUUCUCCUAAAUCUUUCAAUACUGUUCUCACCACAAAUUCCCAGCUCCCUAAUCCUCCAAAAUUUUCUUACCCUACAAUGGCUCAUCCUGCUGCUACGCAUAACACGGUUCCCGAUACAAAUUGGUACAUGGACUCAGGUGCUACACAUCACUUUACUCUGGACAUCAACGUGCUUGACACUGUGACACCAUUUAGUGGUUCAGAACAGGUGACAGUUGGGAAUGGUAAGCAACUCUGUAUCUCACAUCUUGGUACUGCAAAACUACCAUCUUCGUAUUCUCCUCCUGUUCUACAUCAGGUAUAUCACACUCCAAAAAUUUCAAAUAAUCUUAUUAGUGUUAAAAAAUUGUGUUCUGAUAAUAAAGUUUUUGUUGAAUUUUAUGCCACUCAUUUUCUUGUCAAGGAUCAGGUUUCGAAGAGAGUUCUCCUUUAGGGUCAACUUGAUAAUGGCUUAUACAAAGUUCAGUCGUCAUGCUCUCCUUCUGCUGUUUCCUUUCCUCCUCAAGUUUUCAUAGCCAACAUCAAGUAUCCAAAUCUGUGGCACAAGAGACUAGGCCACCCAGCUUUAUCUGUUGUUAAUCAAAUCUUGGAUUCUUGUAACAUUGCUCGAACACAGAAAAUUUGUUUUAAUUUUUUAAAUUCUUGUCAAUUAGCAAAGAGCCACAGGCUUCCUUUUUCUCUGUCUCCAUCCAUUGCAGAAAAACCUUUUGAGUUAAUUCAUACAGACCUAUGGGGUCUUUCGCUCGUUCGCUCUAUUUCUGGUGCUCUUUAUUUUUUACUUUUCAUUGAUGAUCAUACUCGUUUUACUUGGUUUUAUUUGCUCAAAACAAAAGAUGAAGCAUAUCCUACUUUUCUCAAGUUUCAAGCUCUCAUUGAAAAUCAAUUUAAUACCAAGAUUAAGGCUGUCCAAUCUGAUUGGGGAGGUGAGUUUCGAUCUCUCUCCAUACCGUUUUCAAAUAUGGGCAUUGUCUAUUGUUUAUCGUGUCCAUACACCUCACAACAGAAUGGGCGAGUUGAGCGAAAAAAUCGCCAUGCGAUUGUCCUUUCUUGCUUGCUCUAUGCCCUUAUCUUAUUGGCCUUAUGCCUUUCAAACUGCCACUUACCUUAUUAAUCGUCUCUCUACCCCUGUGCUGCAUCAUCAAUCCUCUUACUUCGCACUCUAUCACAAACUCCCAACUUAUACUCAUCUUAAGGUCUUUGGUUCCUCUUGUUUUCCGUAUUUGCACCCUUAUAAUACCCAUAAACUCCAAUACAGGUCACUAGAGUGUGCUUUUCUUGGUUACAGUUCACACCACAAAGGUUAUCUAUGUCUUGACAUUCAUUCUAGCAGGGUGUAUAUUUCUCGCCAUGUGAUUUUUAAUGAAGAUUCUUUUCCAUUCAAGAAUUUGAAAUCUUCUCUCUCUCAGUCUAUUUCUUCUUCCUCUUCUUUAUAAGUUCCUCUGUUCAUUCUCUUGCCUCCCCUUUCCCCAUCUCCUCUUAUUUCUUCAUCUAUACCUCAUUCUUUUCCCUCUUCUUCUUCUACCUCUAGUACUUGUUCCCCUCUCGUUGCUCCUACCUCUCUUCCUUCCUCUUCACACUCUGUGUCUCCAUCUAUUCCACCUCCUUCUCCACCUUCUCCGAGUGUGGACCUGCUUGCACCUUGUGUGAAUACAAAUUUACAUACUUCUUCUCGCACUCACAAUAUUCAUCCUAUGGUGACUAGAUCUAAGGUUUGUAUCUAUAAACCUAAGUUGUUGUUGAGUGUCUCCAUAGGUUCUCUCACUAAGCCUACUUCCUUUCUUCAAGCUAUUAAAGAUCCUUCAUGGAAGCAAUCCAUGGAAUUCGAGUUUGCUACCCUUCAACACAACAAGACCUGGCAUUUGGUUCCUUCACCUUCCUCAGGCGAAGUAAUCGGUUGUAAAUGGGUCUAUAAGCUAAAGCUUCAGCCUGAUGGCUAAAUUGAGAGAUACAGCCUGCUUAGUAGCUAAGGGUAUCAUCAAAUUGAAGUAUGGACUACUUCGAAACAUUCAGCCUGAUNNNNNNNNNNNNNNNNNNNNNNNNNNNNNNNNNNNNNNNNNNNNNNNNNNNNNNNNNNNNNNNNNNNNNNNNNNNNNNNNNNNNNNNNNNNNNNNNNNNNAGCUUCAGCCUGAUGGCUAAAUUGAGAGAUACAAGGCCUGCUUAGUAGCUAAGGGUUAUCAUCAAAUUGAAGGUAUUGACUACUUCGAAACAUUCAGCCUGAUUGUCAAGCUUUCUACUAUCUGUAUUGUGCUCAGUCUUACUUUUUCCCAGAAUUGGUGUAUUAGACAGCUGGAUGUUCAUAAUGCCUUCUUACAUGGUGACUUAGCUAAAGACGUUUUCAUGGAACAACUGCCUGGAUUUGUUGAUCCUCUCUAUCCUACUCAUGUCUGCAAGUUGGAUAAGUCUCUCUACUGUCUUAAAUAGUCACCUCGGGCUUGGUAUACUAAGCUGAGUACUUCUCGCUACACUUGGGAUUUGUUACUUCUAAGAAUGACUCUUCCUUAUUUAUUUGUCAUUCGUCUCAUGGGUUACUUCUUGUUCUUGUCUAUGUGGAUGAUAUAAUCGUCAUUGGGAGCCACUCUCCUCAGGUUACUCACCUUAUCCAACAGUUGCAUCAUUAGCUUUCUUUAAAGGAUCUUGGUCCUUUACAUUAUUUUCUGGGCUUGGAGGUUCAUCACACCCCUACUGGUAUUCACCUCAGCCAAGCAAAGUAUAUCACUGAUCUCCUUACCCGGGCGGCUAUGUUGGAUGCCAAGCCAUGUCCCACUCCUAUGUCCUCCAACACAUAUCUCUCUUUUCAUGAUGGAGUGGCUCUUGAAAAUGGUUCAGAUUAUCGAAGUUUUGUUGGUGCCCUUUAGUAUUGUACCAUGACACGCCCAGAUAUAGCUUUUGCAAUAAAUAAAGUGUGUCAAUUCAUGCACCAUCCCUCUAAUGUUCACUGGCAGGCUAUAAAACGUAUUCUCCGGUACUUAAAGGGCACAUCUCAUUUUGGUCUCUUCCUACAGCCUUCCUAUGACUUCAACAUCACUUGCUAUACAAAUGCCGACUGGGCUUCCUGUCCUGAUGACAAGUGUAGCACCAGUGGCUACUGCCUCUUUCUUGCCUCUAAUCUGGUUUCUUGGUCAUCUUCCAAACAAAAAGUGGUCUCCCGCUCCAGCGCCGAAUCAGAGUACCGAGGGGUAGCAAAUGGGGCUGCUGAAAUUGCUUGGACUGAAUCUCUUCUUUGUGAACUUUCCAUUACUCCCCCUCCCCUCAUUCUCUGUGACAAUAUCAGUGCCACGUACUUAGCUGCCAAUCCUAUUUUGCAUGCCCGCACCAAACAUGUGGAAAUCGACUAUCACUUUGUCACGGAACGUGUUCUUCAAUGCUCUCUUUUUGUCCAGUUUACACCUUCUGAUGAUCAACUUGCUGAUUGCAUGACCAAGCCUCUCUCCACCCAACGUUUCAUCACUCUACGCUCCAAGCUCACUGUUCUCACUAGACCAAUGAGCUUGAGGGGGGAUGUUAAGCCUAAAGAUGUAAUUAGUUAGGAUAUUCUUUUCCCUCUAGUCUUGUAGCUCCACGUGUACAGUUGGUUAGGACCUCAUUGUAUAUAAUGCCUGCCCUGUUAUUGUAGAAGACAACAGAGAUAAAUAAUAUUAACAUUUUUCCUCUCAUCUCUCUCUCUGUUUCCCUCUGUUUUCAUCUCCUCUCUCAUCUGAACCAAAUGAUCCAUGUUAACCUUGGCUUGGUUUGAUUUGGCUCUAUCUUAGAGAGCUCAAGGAUCACGUCAACUCUGGUUUCUACUAUUCAGGUCCAUUCCCAUAUGAACUGGUUCAAAUUUGAGAAAAUGGUAACAGACCUUUAGUGAUGUUGGUUUGGAGCCAGUUGCCAAACCCGCCCUGAGCUUUACCACUAAUGUCAAGGGAGAAAGCCAUUUGAACAAAAACAAUAGCUUCAAGGGACUGAAUCGUGGAUGAAAUCUGAUCCACAUUUCUUCUCAUUUUGGAAACAAAUGAGAACUUAACUAAGAAGAUUCUACGGCCUCAUAGUGCUUUUCCUGAUCUAAGGUUGGUUCGUUUCCCAAACUGUGAGAUGCACGUGCCAGACUUCAGAACUCUCACGCUCAGGAGUGUAUCCACGUGGUGGACAUAAGAUGGUGGCUUAAGAUCUGGUGUCGGUGGCUUUACUUUACUAGGAGAGUAGUGUGUCUUCAUCUCAUUCACUGCCGGAGGGUGGCGUAAGCAGUGACGCUAAGGUGGGGCACAGUCAAUAUCAUUUGCAUUUGACCAUUAUAGUUUUCUCCCGGCUUUAAAGUAACCUUAUCGUGAUAAAGGAUUACUAGCACUAGUUCAGAUGAUAGUCAUGUUAAAUUCGGACCAUGUUUGUGUCACAUUAUCAGCAACCAUGUGUUUAUGGUUCAUGCUUUCUGCAACUAAAAUUGAUAUAUAACCAGGUGAACUUCAAUCUAAAUUCUGAAAGUACUCAUGUGAUAGAUGGUGCCCGUCUGCAGAGUCCAUCAAUUGAAAAAUGGAGUGAGUGUAUCUAUAAGAGGGAAGGCUUGGAAAAUGUUCAGUUUUCUGGGAAUUCAACAAGGAUCUAAAAUAGAUUGUUUUCUUUGCUGAUUUCAAUGGUUGAAAUUUGAGAAGAUUGUGUCCACAUAACACAACUAUUACUGGUCCUUCUGUUGCAAUUUAUCCUCUAAAGCUCUAGCAUGUCUUCCAAUUCCCACUUCCCUGUUACUCCAGGAAAGCUAUUUCUGUCAUUGUGAAGAAGAAAAGAGAAUGUACAUAUCGAUGCUUUUAAGUGACUGGAGCAUUUAUAUCAGGUGGUCUGCAGCCAUAUAUGCCACUUUGUGAAGAUUGGAACAGUCAAUCACUAGGCUAUAUAUUAGUGUGGCCCAGCCACUUUAAUCAAGGACAAGUCUUCAUACUUAAAGUCAAAUUCUGCCUUUAGUCUCAUUAUAAAUUUCUGUUUAAAUAUUAAGCAAACAUUUGUUUAAUGCGAUUAAGACAGUACUAACUCAAUACCUGUUCUAUUUUUGGAUGCAAAUGCUUGAUGGUUUCAUCAUUGGAUGGGAUAAAGGUGCAUUCAUGAUUAGGAAUACUAGUAGUUAUAUUUUAAUUCUCUUUUUUCUCAAUGAGACUUGUUGGCACAAUUUUGCUGUUGAGAAACCUACCUCUCCAUGGAAAAUAAGUUGUGAUUGAUAGUACUGGAUAUAUUCAAGAAAUCUAAAUAUAGAUAGCACAAAAUAUUAUCGACAUAAAUAGCAUUAACAGCGUACGUAUGUCUCAGUGCUCAUCAGCUAUAAGCAUGGGGCAAACACUUACUAUGAGCAACUUACGUCAAAAUUCCAGAAUAGGACAUAGAAGUGACAGAUAUAGAACAUUGCAUAUGAGUCACAAGAAAGGAAAUUACGGGUGCAUAGCAGCUCUUAUUUUACAUACUACUACUCAUACUGAUCAAAGUCACUCAGUUGGGAUGGGUGGGAGUAGGAGGUUUGUGGGGUGGCUUGUGCGGAGGAGUUGGCAGCUUCUUUCCAGGACCUGGUUGCUUCUCUGCUGGAGUUGAAGGAGGCUUAAUCUUCCGAGGUGGCUUGUAUGAGUCUUCAGCAUUCUCAGCUGGAGGGUGACCAGGGUUGUGACCAUAAUGUGGUGGCUUCUCUCCCUUAGGUGGUUUGCCAACUGGGGUUGGUGGCUUGUAUGAGUCUUCAGCAUUCUCAGCAGGAGGGUGACCAGGGUUGUGACCAUAAUGUGGUGGCUUCUCUCCCUUAGGUGGUUUGCCAACUGGGGUUGGUGGCUUGUGUUCUGGGAGUGGCUUCUCCCCCUUGGGAGGUUUUUCCAAUGGGGUUGGUUUGUGUUCAGGAGGUGGCUUCUCCACUGGAGGCUUGUGUUCAGGAGGUGGCUUCUCCACCGGAGGCUUGUGUUCAGGUGGUGGCUUCUCCACCGGAGGCUUAUGCUCUGGUGGUGGCUUCUCGAAUGGGGGAUGCUUAGGAUAAUCAGCAAGUGAGGGGGCGGUGAGAACCACCAGGCCAAGCAACACCACUAGCAAAUAUGUAGGAGACAUCUUUGGGUUUGGGCUCAGAUGGUGCAAAACUAGGAGAAUUGGCUAGCCUUUUAUAGCGGAUCGUACCCAAUAAUGAAAUGACACGUGUCAUUAUGACCCAUGUGUAAUGGGGUCGAUUUGGGUCCUACAGUGUUGAAAACUUCGACAUCCACUUUUGGCCUUUUGCUUUCUCUACAGCCGCCUUGCUUUUUCCCUCUUUCCUUUUGUUUUCCUCCUGCCCCAUUCUAUCAACUAAACACAAUUAUGUAGUUGUUUAAUUCUUAAAUGAGAUAUUAUCCGUCAAUCGUAUUAUAUUUUAUCAAGAGAGAACGGAGUGCAAUGUGGCUGUAAUUUUAUCGUUUAGUUUUAUCUCUUGGACCACUGCAUUUUUGUUAAGAGGUGCAAUAAUACACGUCUUUAUCUGCCAUUCAAUAUUUACAGUAAAGAGAGGGCACAAAACUCUUCACUUCGCACCAUAAUUAUUUUGUUUUCUGGACACCCCGGGGCCCUUUGGUUGGUUUGGGGGUCAGAAAGUGAACAUCAUAGGGGGUUUUUCCCUUAUGUGCAUUUGUAUCUGAUGGCUUUAACUCGCCUUGUUACUACAAAGAAACUGUCACAGAUAGGAACUUAUUCCAGGCUGAGUAUCUCCUCAUAGACCCUAUAAAAGAAGACAAGUCAUAAUGAACAUCUAACCUUUGUUCAAUUUGAUUCAAUGCCCCCAUUGUGUCCAUCUCACAAAUCUGAAUUAUUAUAUCCAUUGAAUACAUAAAUUAAUGAAGAAAAUAUGAAACCCAAGAUACAUCUCUGCACAACCUCAACCCUGGUUGCUAUGUUUCCCUUCUAUUCACAUGAUUUGAUGCUAAUUGCCAAACUUGCAACAAGCCCUGAGUUUGACACCUAGUAUCGAUGGGCGAAUUUAAAGUCUCCUCCAAACAUAUAUUCCACAGCUUGAAGCUCACAGAAGAUGUUACAGGCAGGGAAAAACCUUCAGAGUUCGCUACCAAAGAUAAUUAUUAAGGAGAUAUCACAAAGAGAAUUCCAAGGGGUCUGAAUCAAAGACAAAUUGGUCGUUCGUGGGGGUUCUUACUUUCUUUUGGGUAUAACUCACUGAGGGCACUGUCUUUGUUAUUUGCAUUUCACAUUUAGAGUUCUGUUCUGGAAACAUAUAAAAGGAGCAUCAUUUUGUUCUUGGGUAACCCAUAGUCGUGAGUGGGUCCAUUUGCAUGCUACUUAGUUGAAAAGUUGGACCAUUUGCUCCGACGCCUACCUCCCGGAUUCCAUGCUCGGAUAAAACAAGAAUAAAAAAAAUAUUUAUAAUUUACAAAUGGGGGAAAGAAAAAAAUGUCAACAACAAACCAGGAAAAAAGAGUAGUAAAAUUCAUGUCACAUGCUAGUGAGAGAAGGGGUUGUUACACUCACUCGAAGUUCUUUCCAAAAUAUCGCAUGGUAUUUUAUUUUAUGUGUCAGCGCAGUUGUGAAUGGAACGUGCAAAAGUCCAAAUUGGCGUUUUUCCUUUUCCCGUGUAGGAUGGCGACCUUUAAUAAAUAUUUAAAACAAAAAACGAAAAAAAGGAGGGAAAAGGGAUCAGAAAAGAUAAAACAAUGUGUACAAGAGCUCAAUUAGUUUGCAAAUUACUGUUUGGAUUUUGAUAGUAUUUUAUUUGUCCAUCUAUAUUUGAUGGAAAAGAGAAUUUAAGAUAUUUCUGAAACAAAAGCAUUAGUGUAAAACUAAAUUAAGGUAUAAUUAAGUUAGUUCAAUGCAUUAAUUUAAGAAACUUGAUCUAUCCAAAGUACAAAAUUAGAUGAAAUCCAUUUCAAUGGUUAAAAUGAUCAAAAUCAAACUUUUUCUAAGUAUUUUUUAAAAGCAUCAAUAUUAAAAGACAAUUUUAUAUUUAGUCGGAGUUUGGACAAAACCAAAAAGCACACAAAAUCCAAGCGACCAUCUCUAGCUUGGAUAGUCACUUGAUCCCACCUAGAGAUGUGCAUGAGUAAAAGGAUUUGAAAAUGGAAAUUGACUAAAUAUUUAGUUGAUCAAUUAAAUUUGCAAUGUCAUAUGCAAUCCUAAUAGCUAGUCAUCUAAUCAAUUAGGUAGUCAAUCAAGUGUUUGUAAUGACUAUUUUGUACAAAAAACCACAUGUAUAGUUAAAUAUAAUGCAUUUCAUUUAUAAAUCUUCUAAUUCUUGAAUAACGAUCCUAUCAUCCUUUGAAAAUUUUUAUUACACCUUUUUUACUUUUGUUCUAAAACUUACAUAUCACCCUUAAUUGUACCAUGAGAACCUAGCUAUUUUUUUUUUUUUUGUAAUUCAUCAAAGUUAGCUUUUGUAUUCAUUGUUGUAUUAUUUUUAGUAUAACUUAGAAAGCUAGUGUUUUCAAGUGAGUAAAAUUAACUUGUAAAUAUUGUAAAGAUUCAUUGAUAUGUAUCUUAAACUAAGUGUACAAAUUAAAACAUUUGCUAGUAGAUUUUCUCAAAAUUUAGAAUAGAGCUUGAGGCUAUUGAAAUAGGUGGGGUUACACCAAACCACAUCACAUCGUUGUUUGCACCUUUUUUCACUCUCUUUUACUUAGUUUCUCUAUAUUUGUUGUCUAGUAAUAUCCUAUAGGCUUGAUGGGUUAGGGAGCAUCCCUUUGUGAAAAAAUUUCAUUCAAUUCUUAGUUGUAUUACGCAUAUAUAAAAUGCCUCAUUGUUUUAAUGGUAUUCAGUCGUGGCAUCACAGAUAUGGGCAUCUAAAUUUUAAAAGUUUGAAACUUUUGUAAAGCAUGUUGAUAAAAUCCAUGAGAGUUGUGUACUUGGGAAGCAACAUCGAGGUGACUUUAUUUUUUUUUCCUUUUAUAAUGCCACACCUAAGUCCGGUUUCUAAAUGCUAAAGUGAAAGGGUAGGUAUGGACCAUUGAAAUGUGAUCACAACUUUUGGCCUUUUCCUUUCUCUGCAGCCAUGUUGUCUCUUUUUUCUUUUGCAUGAUUUUCUUACCAAAACAGAAUCAUAGACUUGUUUAGUCUCUAAGCUACUAUAUUAUAUCUCGGUGGACUUUUAAGAGUGCAACCGACAUAGAGCACAUGCAAGUGGGCAUAUGGGACAUGAAAUUUCUUCUUACAAAGAUUGCAUGAUUUUUAUAUUAGAGUUGUUCACGUGCAAUGUAUUUAGCUUGUUUUGCAGUUAAAUUAAUUGGAUAAGUAAACAUUGGCAUUUCUAAAUCGACUGUGAAGUGCUUCAUGUACGUGUAAAGUAUUAGAAAUUUCUUUCUUGGCAACUUGUUUUUUCCUUGCCAUCUACUGGUAGGUUUGACUAAAAUUAUAUUCCCUGUCAUGCUAAUUAAUUUUCAUGUGCAUGCUCAAAAGAAGAGUAUGACCUUAGUGCACCAAAAUCACUUUGAUUAAUUUGUGAUAGGUUUUUUUGCAUCAUUUAGAUAAUGUUUAGUUCUAAGAAAAAUUUAUAUAAAAAUGGUUUAUUUAUCUUACAUAUAUAUAUAUAUAUAUAUAUUUUUUUUUUUUUCAUUUUUUUUUCUUCUAUUUUAUUUAUUUAUUUUAUUUUCCUUAUGUUUUCCUCACAUUUUCCGGAACUAAACAUAGUCUUACGAAAUCAACAAUUGCCUUCAACUGAGUAGAUUCUGUUGUUUUAGCAAUGUUAGGCUGCUAACUUGUGGUGGUACGAACCAAAUGACCCAUGUUAAUCUUGGCUUGGUUUGAUUUGGCUCUAUCUCAGAGAGCUAAAGGAUCACGUCAACUCUGGUUUCUACUAUUCAGGUCCAUUCCCAGAUGAACUGGUUCAAAUUUGAGAAAAUGGUAACAGACCUUUAGUGAUGUUGGUUUGGAGCCAGUUGCCAAACCCGCCCUGAGCUUUACCACUAAUGUCAAGGGAGAAAGCCAUUUGAACAAAAACAAUAGCUUCAAGAGACUGAAUCGUGGAUGAAAUCUGAUCCACAUUUCUUCUCAUUUUGGGAAAAAAUGAGAACUUAACUACAAAGAUUCUACUGCCUCAUUCAUAGUGCUUUUCCUGAUCCAAGGUUGGUUCGUUUCCCAAAUUGUGAGGUGCACGUGCCACUCUCACGCUCAGGAGUGUAUCCACGUGGUGGACAUCAGAUGGUGGCUUAAUAUCUGGUGUCGGUGGCUUUACUUUACUAGGAGAGUAGUGUGUCUUCAUCUCAUUCACUGCCGGAGGGUGGCGUAAGCAGUGACGCUAAGGUGGGGCACAGUCAAUAUCAUUUGCAUUUGACCAUUAUAGUUUUCUCCCGGCUUGAAAGUAACCUUAUCGUGAUAAAGGAUUACUAGCACUAGUUCAGAUGACCGUCAUGUUAAUUCGGACCAUGUUUGUGUCACAUUAUCAGCAACCAUGUGUUUAUGGUUCAUGCUAUCUGCAACUAAACUUGAUAUAUAACCAGGUGAACUUCAAUCAAAAUUCUGGAAGUACUCUUGUGAUAGAUGGUGCCUGUCUGCAGAGUCCAUCAAUUGAAAAAUGGAGUGAGUGUAUCUAUAAGAGGGAAGGCUUGGCAAAUGUUCAGUUUUCUGGGAAUUCAACAAGGAUCUAAAAUAGAUUGUUUUCUUUGCCGACUUCAAUGGUUGAAAUUUGAGAAGAUUGUGUCCACAUAUCACAACUAUUACUGGUCCUUCUGUUGCAAUUUAUCCUGUAAGGCUCUAACAUGUCUUCCAAUUCCCACUUCCCUGUUACUCCAGGAAAGCUAUUUCUGUCAUUGUGAAGAAGAAAAGAGAAUGUACAUAUCGAUGCUUUUAAGUGACUGGAGCAUUCAUAUCAGGUGGUCUGCAGCCAUAUAUGCCACUUUGUGAAGGUUGGAACAGUCAAUCACUAGGCUAUAUAUUGGUGUGGCCCAGCCACUUCAAUCAAGGACAAGUCUUCAUACUUAAAGUCAAAUUCUGCCUUUAGUCUCAUUAUAAAUUGCUGUUUAAAUAUUAAGCAAACUUUUGUUUAAUGCGAUUAAGACAGUACUAACUCAAUACUUGUUCUAUUUUUGGAUGCAAAUGCUUGAUGGUUUCAUCAUUGGAUGGGAUAAAGGUGCAUUCAUGAUUAUGAAUACUUGUAGUUAUAUUUUCAUUCUCUUUUUUCUCAAUGAGACUUGUUGGCACAAUGUUGCUGUUCAGAAACCUACCUCUCCAUGGAAAAUAAGUUGCGAUUGAUAGUACUGGAUAUGUUCAAGAAAGCUAAAUAUAGAUAGCACAAAAUAUUAUCGAUAUAAAUAGCAUUAACAGCGUACGUAUGUCUCAAUGCUCAUCAGCUAUAAGCAUGGGACAAACACUUACUAUGAGCAACUUACGUCAAAAUUCCAGAAUAGGACAUAGAAGUGACAGAUCUAUAUAUAUAGAACACUGCAUAUGAGUCACAAGAAAGGAAAUUACGGGUGCAUAGCAGCUCUUAUUUUACAUACUACUACUCAUACUGAUCAAAGUCACUCAGUUGGGAUGGGUGGGAGUAGGAGGUUUGUGGGGUGGCUUGUGCGGAGGAGUUGGCAGCUUCUUUCCAGGACCUGGUUGCUUCUCUGCUGGAGUUGAAGGAGGCUUAAUCUUCCGAGGUGGCUUGUAUGAGUCUUCAGCAUUCUCAGCUGGAGGGUGACCAGGGUUGUGACCAUAAUGUGGUGGCUUCUCUCCCUUAGGUGGUUUGCCAACUGGGGUUGGUGGCUUGUAUGAGUCUUCAGCAUUCUCAGCAGGAGGGUGACCAGGGUUGUGACCAUAAUGUGGUGGCUUCUCUCCCUUAGGUGGUUUGCCAACUGGGGUUGGUGGCUUGUGUUCUGGGAGUGGCUUCUCCCCCUUGGGAGGUUUUUCCAAUGGGGUUGGUUUGUGUUCAGGAGGUGGCUUCUCCACUGGAGGCUUGUGUUCAGGAGGUGGCUUCUCCACCGGUGGCUUGUGUUCAGGAGGUGGCUUCUCCACCGGAGGCUUAUGCUCUGGUGGUGGCUUCUCCACCGGAGGCUUAUGCUCUGGUGGUGGCUUCUUGAAUGGGGGAUGCUGAGGGUAAUCAGCAAGUGAGGGGGCGGUGAGAACCACCAGGCCAAGCAACACCACUAGCAAAUAUGUAGGAGACAUCUUUGGGUUUGGGCUCAGAUGGUGCAAAACUAGGAGAAUUGGCUAGCCUUUUAUAGCGGAUCGUACUCAAUAAUGAAAUGACACGUGUCAUUAUGACCCAUGUGUAAUGGGGUCGAUUUGGGUCCUACAGUGUUGAAAACUUCGACAUCCAGUUUUGGCCUUUUGCUUUCUCUACAGCCGCCUUGCUUUUUCCCUCUUUCCUUUUGUUUUCCUCCUGCCCCAUUCUAUCAACUAAACACAAUUAUGUAGUUGUUUAAUUCUUAAAUGAGAUAUUAUCGGUCAAUCGUAUUAUAUUUUAUCAAGAGAGAACGGAGUGCAAUGCAGCUGUAAUUUUAUCGUUUACUUUUAUCUCUUGGACCACUGCAUUUUUGUUAAGAGGUGCAAUAAUACACGUCUUUAUCUGCCAUUCAAUGUUUACAGUAAAGAGAGGGCACAAAACUCUUCACUGCUCUGCAUGUGUCCCAAAAAUGCGAUUGGACAAAUUAUGAUUUGCAUGCUAAAAAGAGGCAAAUGAGGUUAAUUCGCACCAUAAUUAUUUGGUUUUCUGGACACCAUAAAAAGAUGUUAUACAGGCAGGGAAAAACCUUCAGAGUUAGCUACCAAAGAUAAUUAUCAAGCAGAUAUCACCAAGAGAAUUCCAUAGAGUCUGAAUCAAAGACAGAUUGCUCGCUCGUGGGGGUUCUUACUUUCUUUUGGGUAUAACUCACUGAGGUCACUGUCUUUUUUAUUUGCAUUUCACAGUUAGAGUUCUGCUCUGGAAGGUUUGUUCUGGAAACAUAUAAAAGGAGCAUCAUUUUGUUCUUGGGUAACCCAUAGUCGUGAGUGGGUCCAUUUGCAUGCUACUUAGUUGAAAAGUUGGACAAUUUGCUCCGACGCCUACCUCCUGGAUUCCAUGCUCGGUAAAACAAGAAUAAAAAAAAAUAUAUAAUUUACAAAUGGGGGAAAGAAAAAAUGUCGGAAAAAAUAGUAAAAUUCAUGUCACAUGCUAGUGAGAGAAGGGGUUGUUACACUCACUCGAAGUUCUUUUCAAAAUAUCGAAUGGUAUUUUACUUUAUGUGUCAGCGCAGUUGUGAAUGGAACGUGCAAAAGUCCAAAUUGGCGUUUUUAUUUUUCCCAUGUAGGAUGGUGACCUUUAAUAAAUAUUUAAAACAAAAGACGAAAAAAAAAAGGAGGGAAAAGGGAUCACAAAAGAUAAAAUAAUGUUUACAAAAGCUCAAUUAGUUUGCAAAUUACUGUUUGGAUUUUGAUAGUAUUUUAUUUGUCGUUCUAUAUUUGAUGUAAAAGAGAAUUUAAGAUAUUUCCGAAGCAAAAGCAUUAGUUUGCUCUGUGAUGUCCCACAUCGAAUAGGGGAGAAAGUUUCUGGCGCUAUAUAUGUAGAGGCUCCUCUUAACCAAGUAGAUGCGUUUUAAAACCAUGAGGGCCCCCUUAGGUCCAAAGCGGACAAUAUCUACAUGAUUGGGUGUAAGUCAUUACAAAUGGUAUCAGAGCCGAUCCCCGACCCCGGUGUGGGGGUUUGUUUGGCCCUGUAAGGGGUGUUUGUCUGUUUGACCCCACAAUCCCAUGGGACACAACGAGGACGUUGUGUCUGCAUGGGGGGGCGUUUGUGAUGUCCCACAUCGGAUAGGGGAGAAAGUUCCUAGUGCUAUAUAUGUAGAUGUUUCUCUUAACCAAGUAGAUGCAUUUUAAAAUUGUGAGGGCCUCUUUGGGCCCAAAGCGGACAAUAUCUACAUGGUUGAGUGUAAGUCAUUACAUGCUCCAUGUCAAUUUCAGCAUUUCUCAUAUGUUUCACACAUACACAGAAGAGCAUCGUUUUUUAAAGCAUGCAUUUAUGUUGGAUUAAUUUGGAUUUUGUGGGAACUGGGGCAAGGAUCACAUGGAAGAGAGGUUGACUUUUUUCAGUACUUCAAUGGUUGAAAUAUGUGAAGGCUUGAUUGAUACUAAAGCUUGAAAUUGCGACUCUGUCAUUUGUAAAAAAAUAUGACAGCUUCCAUGCUCUCGUUUGGUUGCAUUGUCCGGUCGAGAGGUGCAAAAAGCAUUCUCUCUCUUCUAAUAGUCUUUUCGUUUAAAUCAAGGGAUUUGCCUUCCCGGUCGAGGUCCAAUAGAGGGUAACGGUCACCUACUAAACAUUAAAUGCUCCAACAACUAGUGAACUGAUCGACCCCAGCUCGACUAGUUGAGGUUACUUUUUGGUUUUCUUGUCUCCCGAGGUUAGAAACCUAUAAAUAGAGAGCUUCACUUCAUUUAUGAGUAAGAGAACACCUAAAUUUAUUUGUUUACCUACUUGUUUUUGCCAUAAAAGCUCUCAUUUCUUUUCUUGGUGUAUUAAAUCUCCAUUUGCAUAUCCUUUAGUGCACCUUUGUGAUUCAUUCUAGCCUUGAGUUGUAUUUAAGCCUUUGUUGAGCUAGGUUGAGAGUUUCAUACUUGUUUAUUGAGUGUUAAAGCCUUCAAGUGAGUUAAAACUUGAAGAGAUUGUGUAAGAGCCCAUUGGAGUCGGAAUCCAAGUGUAAAGGUGAUUAAAAGCUUGGUUGAAGCUUCAAGUUAGUGGAACUCUCACUCGGUUAUGAGCUUGAGAAGAGUGGACAUAGACAAGGCAGUGUCGAACCACUAUAAAAUCUGAGUUUGAUUUCUCUAACCUUAUCUCUUUAUAUUUGCUUCUCUUGUGCUUAAAUUUUUUGUGUUUAAAAAGAAUUUUUAAAAACUCAAUUCACCCCCUUCUUGGGAGUUUUUCUCUUUUAAGAUCAGCUUUUAUUUUCUCAAUUGGUAUCAGAACUAUGCCUCUUGUUUAAGACUUAAUCGUCUAAGAGGAAAUGGCUAAUCCAUCAAGUUCAUCUCACAUUGAAAGUUUUGCAACCAAUAGACUUCUUUUUUUUUUUUUGCGGGAACUGAUUAUCCCUAUUGGAAAACUAAAAUGACUUGGUUUUUACAAUCAAUUGAUUUAGAUGUAUGAGAUGCCAUUGAAGAUGACCUAACUUUUCCUUCAAAACUAGUUGAUGGAGUCAUGGUUCCAAAACCUAAGCAAGAAUGGGAUGAGCGUGAUUGAAGAAAUUUUCAAUUAAAUGCUAAAGUCGUUUAUACUUUGCAAUGCUCUAUGGACAGAAAUGAAUAUAAUAGAAUAUGUCAAUGCAAAUCGGUUAAAGAAAUUUGGAGAUUGCUUGAAAUAACUCAUAAAGGAACAAAUCAAGUUAAAGAGUCAAAAAUCAAUUUACUUGUUCAUAGAUAUGAAUUGUUUUUUAUGAAAGAUAAUGAAACUAUUGUUAAGAUGAUCACUAGGUUCACCAACAUUGUUAAUGGUCUUAAAGCCUUGGGAAAGACCUACAAGGAAUCCGAAAACGUGAUGAAGAUCUUGAGGUCACUUCCAUCAAAGUGGCAUACCAAGGUCACCGCAAUUUAAGAAGCAAAAGACUUGAUCAAGCUACCUUUGGAGGAGUUCAUAGGGUCAUUGAUGACAUAUGAAAUCAAUUUGGCAAAGAAGUAACAAAAAGGUGAAGACAAAAAGAAGAAGAACAUAACUCUCAAAGCUACAACUAAGGAAGAAGAAGUUGAAGAAGAAAAACAAAUUGAAGAAGAUGAAGAUUUAGCCCUCAUCACAAGAAAGUUCAACAAAUUCAUGAGGGGUGAAAGGUUUAGAAGAAGAAGGUUCACUUCUAGAAGAGACUUUUCUAAAAAGGAAUCUUCAUCUAAUGGUGACAAAAAGAGAUGGGAAGAGAAAAGAGACUUGGUGUGUUUCAAGUGCAAGAAACCGGGACACAUUAAAUAUGAUUGUCCUCUCUACAAAAGUGAAGUCAAGAGGAAAAAGAAUAAGGCAAUGAUGGCCACUUAGAGUGAAAGUGAAGAUGAAUCAUCCGAAGAAGAAAAUGAGAAAGAAGUGGCAAACAUGUGUUUCAUGGCAAUAGAUGAACUUGAUGAGGUAAAAUCUAACCUUAGUGAUUAAGAUAUACAUGAUGCAUUUGAAGAAUUGUAUGAGGAUUUUUAAAAACUUAGUUUGAAAAAUAUUUCUCUUAAAAAGAAAGUUCAACAACUUGACAAAGAACUUAGAGAAGUAAAAGAAAAAUUUUCAAAUGUUAAAGUUUCUAAAACUCAUCUUGAAAAAGAAAAUGAGAUUCUAAGAAAGAAAAAUGAAUAGUUGAACUCCUCUCUUUCAAUCUUUUCUUCUAGACAAAAAUCUUUUGAAAUGAUUCUAACUAGCUAAAAAUGUGUUUUUGACAAACAAGGGUUAAGAUUUAAAUCUUCAAAAAAUCAAAAGUAUUUUAAAAACUAUUUUGUAAAGGAAUCCACAAGUGCAAGUCCUUCCACUACUUGCAACUUUUGUGGAAGAGAAUGGCACAUUAGUAGUACGCCCUUUAAGAAAUGGUUCUCAAAAGAAUUUAAAUGCAAAAACUAAAAAAGAUUUGGAUUGAGAAAUCCAAGGUCACUAACCCUCAAGGACCCAAAAAGAUAUAGGUACCUAAAUCAACUUGAGUUUUAUGUUGUAAGGUUCAAAGAAUGAUAAGUGGUUCUUAGAUAAUGGUUGCUCAAGACACAUGACCGGAGAUGAAUCCAAGUUUGCUUUUCUUAAAAAGAAAAAUGGAGGAUAUGUUACCUUUGGAGACAAUGCAAAAGAAAGGAUGAUUGGUCAAGGCAACAUUGGUAAUGGCACAUCCUCUCUCAUUGAAAGUGUUUUAUUAGUAGAUGGUUUCAAACAUAACCUUUUAAGCAUUAGUCAAUUUUGCGACAAAGGUUUUUAAGUGAUUUUUUAAGCAUCUCAUUGCAUCAUCAAGGAUAUUCAAAAUGAUAAAACCAUUUUCAUGGGCCAUAGAUGUGAUAAUGUUUAUGCUAUAAAUAUUUCAAAAUAUGAUGGCCAUGAUAGAUGUUUUUCAAGCAUGCAUGAUCAAAGUUGGUUGUGCCAUAGGAGAUUGAGACAUGCUAACAUAGACCUCAUUUCCCAACUCAACAAAGAUGAACUUGUUAGAGGCCUUCCCAAAAUAAUUUUUUAAAAAGAUAAAGUUUGUGAAGCUUGUCAAGUGGGAAAGUAAAUCAAAAACUCUUUUAAAAACAAAAACUUCAUUUCCACAUCUAGGCCACUUGAGUUGUUGCAUAUGGAUUUAUUUGGUCCCUCUAGGACACCAAGUCUUAGAGGAAAUUCUUAUGCAUAUGCUAUUGUGGACGACUUCUCUAGAUACACAUGAGUCUUGUUUUUUAGUCAAAAGAAUAAAGUUUUUUAUGAGUUUUCAAAGUUUUGCAAUAAGAUUCAAAAUGAAAAAGGUUUUUCAAUUACUUAUAUAAGAAGUGAUCAUGGGAGAGAAUUCGAAAAUAUUGAUUUUGAAGAGUAUUGCAAUGAGCAUGGAAUUGACCACAAUUUUUUGGCUCUUAGAACUCCUCAACAAAAUGGGGUAGUUGAAAGGAAAAAUAGAACUCUUCAAAAAAUGACAAGAACCAUACUAAAUGAAAACAACUUACCAAAAUAUUUUUAGGCCAAAACGGUUAACACUUCUUGUUAUGUUUUAAAUAGAGUAUUAUUGAGGCUCAUACUUAAGAAAACUCCCUAUGAGCUUUGGAAAAACAAAAAACCCAACAUUAGUUAUUCCAAAGUCUUUGGAUGCAAUAUUUUAUAAUAAACACCAAAGACAAUCUUGGAAAAUUUGAUGCAAAAUUGGAUGUUGGAAUUUUCCUUGGUUACUCAACUUCAAGUAAAGCUUUUCGAGUUUUAACAAAAGAACCAUGGUUGUAGAGGAGUCCAUCCAUGUUAUUUUUUAUGAAUCUCCAAGAAAGAGAGAGGAUUGAUGAUGAUUUAGGUUUGAAGACCUCUAUAGGAAGAUUGCAAAUCGAAGAUAGAAGACAACAAGAAGAAAAUGGAGAGAAUCCAAAGAAAGAAGGAUCACCAUUGGCACUACCCCCUCAUCAACAAGCGCAAGGUGAAUCAAGUCAAGAGCUUCCUAAAGAAUGGAAGUUUGUCAUCAAUCACCCACAAGAUCAAAUUAUAGGCAAUCCAUCUAGUGGGGUAAGAACUAGAUCCUCUCUUAGAAAUAUUUGCAAUAAUCUAGCUUUUAUCUCUCAAAUUGAGCCUAAAAAUAUAAAUGAUGUUUUAGAUGAUGAAAAUUGGAUAAUUGCAAUGCAAGAAGAGUUAAAUCCAUUUGAAAGAAGUGGAGUAUGGGAAUUAGUACCAAGACCUUCAAAUCAAAGUGUUAUUGGAACUAGAUGGAUCUUUAGAAAUAAAAUGGAUGAAAAUAGCAUAAUUGUUAGAAAUAAAGCAAGAUUGGUAGCCCAAGGUUUUAAUCAAGAAGAAAUGAUAGAUUAUGAAGAAACCUUUGCCCCCGUAGCUAGGUUGGAAGCCAUUAGGAUGCUACUUGCCUUUGCAUGUUUUAAAGACUUUGUUUUAUAUCAAAUGGAUGUGAAAAGUGCUUUUUUAAAUGGUUUUAUAAAUGAAGAAGUAUAUGUUGAACAACCACCCGGUUUUCAAAGUUUCAACUUUCCUAACCAUGUUUUUAAACUUAAAAAGACACUUUAUGGUUUGAAACAAGCACCUAGAUCAUGGUAUGAAAAAUUGAGUAAAUUUCUUUUGAAAAAAAUGUUUUAAAAUGGGAAAAAUUGACACAACUCUUUUUAUAAAAACCAAAGAAAAUGAUAUGCUCUUAGUUCAAAUAUAUAUUGAUGAUAUCAUUUUUGGUGCUACUAAUGUCUCUCUUUAUGAAGAAUUUUCUAAGUGCAUGCAUAGUGAGUUUGAAAUGAGCAUGAUAGGAGAACUCAACUUCUUCCUUGGACUUCAAAUCAAGCAACUAAAGGAAUGAACCUUCAUCAAUCAAGCAAAGUAUAUAAGAGAUCUUCUCAAAAGGUUCAACAUGGAAGAAGCCAAAACAAUGAAGACUCUAAUGAGCUCAUCCAUUAAGCUUGAUAAGGAUGAGAAAGGUAAAUCCAUUGACUCUAUUAUGUAUAGAGGCAUGAUAGGUUCUUUGCUCUAUUUGACCACUAGUAGACCUUACAUUAUGUAUAGUGUGUGUUUGUGUACUAGAUUUCAAUCUUGUCUUAAAAAAUCUCACUUAAGUGUCGUGAAAAGAAUCCUCAAAUAUUUGAAAGGGACAAUGGACAUAGGCUUAUGGUAUCCUAAGAGUGAUAACUUUGAAUUAAUUGGUUUUUUGGAUGCUGAUUUUGUCAGUUGUAGGGUUGAAAAAUAAAACACUAGUGGCACUUUUCAUUUCUUAAGACACUUACUUGUCUCAUGGCAUAAUAAGAAGCAAAAUUUGGUAGCUUUGUCAACAGCAGAAGCUAAAUACAUAGCAACUGGUUUAUGUUGUGCACAAAUCCUUUGGAUGAAAUAAACACUUAGUGAUUUUGAUUUAUCUUUUGAGCAUAUUCCUAUUAAAUGUGAUAAUAGUAGUGCCAUAAGUAUAUCAAAAAAUCUCGUGCAACACUCUAGGACUAAGCAUAUAGAGAUUAGACAUAAUUUUCUUAGAUAUCAUACACAAAAGGAUGAUAUAACACUUGAAUUUGUAAGCAUAAAAGACCAACUUGCCGAUAUCUUUACAAAACCUCUAAGAACAUUUUGUUGAUAUUAGAGGACAAUUAGGAGUGAUUUCUUUAUGAUCUAAUGUGAUGAAUUCUUGAUGAAUAUACUUUUUGAUUGCAUGAAUUUCAUGUCAUAUAUGCAUCAUAUAGAAAUAUACUUAGAUAAUGGUCAAAUUUCGACCAAAAAUCAAAAUUCCCAUGGCAUUAGGCAUAAAAAUUUUGGAAUUUCAACUGAAAAUGGUAGGAGGAGGAUCACAAAAUGAGAAAGUAUGCAAAAAUUGAAAAAUCAAAACGUUGACCAAGCGGUCAAUCGGACUAGACCGAUCGACUAGUUUGUCGAGAUUUAGGAUUUUUAAGAGACUCCAACGCUUCAAUUUUUGCACCGUUCUCCUCUAUUUCUUCACGGUUUCUCUGAUUUUGUCUUUUAGAGACUAAUUUGAGUGCGUUUUGGAUCAAUUGAAGCAUUUUGGAUUGGAUUUUAGGAAGAUUGAAAGUUAAGGUUUCGGAUUUGGGUCGCCUUCUCUUCCUCUCGCGUGUCACAAUCAGCUUUAGCAUUGUUCUCUUUCCAUUUUCACACACCUAGGGUUUCAGUUGUGAGCAUCUCUCUCUCUUUACCAACCACUACUCCCUUGCUUCUUCCAUAUGGCUCCUAGGCGAGAGUCCGCUACUUCUAGGGCACAAGGCAAGCACCCAACUGAGUCGUCUCAGUCAAAGGCACGUCGAAAAGUGAGAUUUGACAUUGCCUUGUUCAGUUCCAUGGAGGACUACCAACUAUACAAGCAACACUUUGCUUAGAGACGAGUAGUUCCCAAGAGAAAUAUUAAUUUUCCUCAACUUCAGCAUUUCGAAUUUAAGGGUCUAUUUACUAGGAUGGUUGGUUGUCUAUUGUCACAAUUUCGGAGCCGGUUUUCCUGACCUUAGUGCGAGUUUUUUACUCGAGGGCGACUUAUGGCAUGGGUGGCAUGAUCAUUUCUACUGUUGGAGGAGUUGAGAUCUGUCUGGACCCAGAGAGCAUCUGCCAUAUUUUCGAUAUUGCUCUGGUUGGACUCAAAGUAUACAAGUCCAAAAUGUGGCCCAUUGUGCCAGGAUUUGAGCUUAGAGAGGUCAUUCAGAGGAUUUGUGAACUUCCAGACGCCCAGGAGAUGGGCAAACCAUUGCCACACAGUUUGACGGUCAUCAACAGGGUGCUACACCAUAUAUUGUGCUCUAUCUUUCUACCACGAAGUGGACAUUGAGAUGAGGUCUCUUAUUAUGAGGCAUUCCUUAUUGACUCCAUUCUAACGGAGAGACGAAUUCAUCUACUAUGUCAUCAUUCACUAAGCCUCCUCACAGUGACAUACCACCUCAUCAGGCACCUCUUGCUCCUGACCAUGCUCCAUUGAUGGAUUUAUUUACUCAUAUUAGCUCUCUAGGCACUCGCAUGAAGGAGUUUGUUGUAGUUAGUGAUACAUGGUUCUACUCCAUAGAGGAUCGCAUGGAUCAGUAUCAGACUGGCUUCACGUCACAGUUUGAGUAUCUCCAAUAGAGGAUUGAGCAUAUUGAGGAUCACUUGAGCAUGAGAAGAUGAUGGCUUUUCUAUGCUCUGUGUUUCCACCUCCACCUCGUCAACCUUGAUUUCUUAGAGACCCAUUGUUUUCAUUUUGUAAUGUUGCCAAAAGGGGGAGAUAUUUAGGAUCUAGGACUCUAUAGGAGACUUACAUGCAUAUCAUUUUCAUAUCAUUGUUUGGAUCGUACAUAUUGGAUAGUGAUACUUUUUACUUAUAUAUGAUAUGCCUAUAUGUUUCAUGUCUUACAUUGUUUCUUAUUGCAAAUUAUCUCUAACAUGUCUUGAUUAUCUUUUUUUUAACUUCAUAAAUUUUGAUUGUUAACCCAUGAUUGGUUUGAGGGGAAGAUUCUUCUUCUCCUAGAUAACCAAGGUUUGUCAUCAUAAAAAAAUUGGAGAUUGUUAGCCCAAGGGUUCUCCUAAUCAUGUUUUGAUGAUAACAAACCAUGCUUAAGUUACUAAUUGGUUUGAAUUAUAAAGAAUUUCAAGUGUUAAUUUGAAAAUUCAUCAAAGAACCUAAUGGAUGCAAGAUCAAGAUUUUUGGAAGACCUUUAAUCAUAAGAAACAUAUGUAAGAUGAAUGCAUGGGUGCACUUAAGAUUUGCAUAUCAUUUCAUGCAUAUUUGGAAAACACGGUUUAUGCUUUAAAGUUACAUUUCCAUCAAAAUUUGAGAUCCAUCAAAUGAACCUUAGGAAAAAUGUUUUAAAAUUGGCAUAUAAUUUUACCUAAAGACCUUGCCUAAGUGUUAGAAGCAAAAGGACAAAAAAAAUAUAGGUUUUCUGGUCAAAAAUGGUGAACCAGUCAAGGCAUUGUCUAAAUCAGCUCAAUCGGCCAAGGUACCGGUCGAUCGGUUUCCCUUUCCCUGUCGAGAUCUAGUCAAGAGGUACAAAAAUCACAAUCUCUGUCUCUUUCUCUCUUUGUCUAUCUUCCAGUAGUCUUUCCUUCCCGGUCGAGGGAUUUGCCUUCCCGAUUGAGGUCCGAUUGAGAGUAAUAGUCACUUGCCAAAUAUUAAAUGCUCCAACAGUUAGUGAACUGGUCGACCCCCACCUUGCCCAGUUGAGGUUACUUUUUGGUUUUCUUGGCUCCCGAUGUUAGAAACCUAUAAAUAGAGAGUUCCACUUCAUUUAUGAGCAAGAGAACACUUGCAUUUAUUUGUUUACCUACUUGUUCUUGCCUUAAAAGCUCUCAUUUCUUUUCUUGGUGCAUUAAAUCUCCAUUUUGAUAUCCUUUAGUGCACCUUUGUGAUUCAUCUUAGCCUUGAGUUGUAUUUGAGCCCUUUUUUUAGCUAGGUUGAGAGUUUCAUACUUGUUAAUUGAGUGUUAAAGCCUUCAAGUGAGUUGAAACUUGUAGAGAUUAUGUGAGAGUCGAUUGGAGCCGAAAUCCAAGUGUAAAGGUGAUUAGAAGCUUGGUUGAAGCUUCAAGUUAGUGGAAUCCUCACUCAAUUAGGAGCUUGAGGAGAGUGGACGUAGCCAAGGAAGUGUCGAACCACUAUAAAAUUUGAGUUUGAUUUCUCUAACAUUGUCUCUUUAUAUUUGUUUAUCUUGUGCUUAAAUUUAUUGUGUUUAAAAAGAAUUUUUAAAUACCCAAUUCACCCCCCUCUUGGGUGUUUUUCUCUUUUAAAAUUAGCCUUUAUUUUCUCACAAACUAUUGUAGUAUAGUGGUUUUUAGGUGUCAUCCAUUAGGAUGAAUUGUUCUCGGUAAUUAAGGCGUGAAUGAGAGGAGAAUUAAUGAUUGUGAUUAAGUAAAAUUGAUUUGAAAAUUCAUGGUGAAAAAUCAAUUUAACAAUGGUUUCUAAUUGAGAAAAACAAUGAAAUGUGAAAUAAAAUAAAAUUAAUAGGAAAUGAAAUUCUCGAAGUUAGAAUUUUCUAAAAAACAAAUUCCAUGGUGAAUGGAUGUUGAGAUCUAAUUUUCAUCAAGUUAGAUUGAAAACCGAAAUUUUCAUAUAAACUGAUUUUUUAUUUAGUUUUAGGUCUAGAUUUAAUUUCCCUUAAAAUUAGGUUAUUUAAUCCAAGAAAUCAAUUCAAAUCAUAUAUUCAAUUCAUCUUAAAUUAUCUUCCAAUUAUUCACACAAUGCAACUAUUCAAUCUCAUCAAAUCUAGCUUUUAAGAAUUUAAUGAAUCUACCUAGUUUGCAUUGUAAUAGUCAUCCAUGACAAUUUGAAGAGAAAAAUAAUUCAAUUAAUCAAUCACUUGGAUCAAAUUACCUUUGCAAUUAAAGUUCAUUUCUCUAAUUCACCACAGAUUUUGUCUCUAGAUCCUCCUUUCUCAAAGAAAAAUGAGAUUUAGCCACACAUGAUUGGAGAUUUGGUCUCAUAAGGCAUGUUUAGCUAGUGAUAAAAUGAGAGAAAAUAAAGAAAAAUAGAGAAUUCGAUUAAGAAAGAAAAUCUAAAAAAUUCUACAAUUAGAAAUGUCCAAAAAGCUUUUUCAUGAGAAAAUCAAGUUUCUAUUUAUAGGCCAAGGUCAAGUGGACACUUGACAUCAUCUAAGAGGUCUUCCGGAAGCUUCUUCAUCAAGAAAUCUGGAGUUUAAUAAUAAAAUGGUCAUUUCACAAGAGCUCAAACAAUUUCGCAUGAUUAUGUGAAAUAAAAAAUGCAACAACAGCAAUUUACAUCUUCUUGGAGCAUUUCGCAUGACUGUGUGAAAUUUUCACAUGAUCAUGUGGAAUCGACUUGACAACUCUCAUUUAGCCUACAACAUAAUUCCACCUUUUGGUCCAUUUUUCAUAGUCAUGCGAAAUGGAAAUAUUUGAUUUUUAAGUUUUCUUUUGUCAUUUCUUUCAUUUCCUUCUCUUGAUUCCACUUCAACUACCUCCGAAUCCUGGUCCAAACCAAUUGCAUUACUUCUUUCAUUAUGCAUUUGGAUCAUCAUCAACAUUAUUUGUUCUCUUCAAUUUGAUUCAUCUCUUUUGUCACCAAUUUAUCAAAAUCAUACCUUGAAAUGACUCCAAAACUUCAUAAAACUUGUUAGUAACUCUUGCAAGGGCAACAACAUAUUAAUUAAGUGUUUUAGGCAUAGUUACUACUCAAAAGAUGCGAAACUCAUGAUAAUUAUUAUAUAAAAUAUGCUCUUUUUGAGUAGUAAUCAACUUUCUUGCAUAAGCAGACCUUUUAGGGUGGAGUACUAAAGACCAAUAUGCUUGUCCUUGUUGUAAUAAAGAAACUUGCUCUUAUUGAUUGCACCAUGGGAGAAAAUUUUGCUACAUGAGUUAUCAUCAAUUUCUUCCCACCAAUCAUAGAUUUAGACGUGACAAGAGGCCUCUUAAUGGCAAGGAGGAACUGACACUCACACUUAUACAAUUAUCGGGCAUUGAUGUGUUGCAACAAUUAGAAUAACUUACACCAAUUAUGUUGGGGAAGUCACAAAAGGCAAACAUGAAAACUAAAAGGAAAAAAGAAAAAUGUUACAUAUCACCACAACUGGAAAGAAAAAAGUAUUUACUUUCAUUUGCCAUAUUGGAAAGCACUUAUUUUACAUCAUAAUAAUUUAGACAUAAUGCAUAUUGAGAAAAAUGUGUGACAAUAUAAUUGAGACAUUGUUCAGUAUUGACGAAGAAACAAGGACAACCUAAAUAGUCAUCUCGAUUUACAAGCUCUAACUAUUAGAAAUGAGAUUCACCCAAUAGAAAGCAGGACCAAAUUUAUUUUGCUUGCAACAUGCUACUCACUCACCCCAAAUGAGAUUAAGGAAUUUUGCAAGUUUUUGAAAUCAAUAAAGGUCCCCAAUGGCUAUUCUUUCAAUAUCUCUCGUUAUGUGCAACUCAAUGAAAGGAAGAUAUAUGAGCUCAAAUUGUAUGAUUGUCAUGUCCUAAUGCAACAACUUCUCUCACUUGUAGUUCGUGGAGUUCUACAUAAGAAUGUUUGUGGAGUUAUCAUAGAAUUGCGUAAUUUUUUCAAGCAAUUGUGCUCAAAGGUGUUAGAAACAAAUCACUUACACCAACUUGAGAACAAUAUUAUUGUCAUACUAUGUAAAAUGGAGCAAAUAUUUCUUCCAUCAUUCUUUGAUAUUAUGGUGCAUUUACUUGUGCAUCUAGUAAGGCAAAGGUUGCAAGACUUGUGCAAUAUUGUUGGAUGUACCUAAUUGAACGAUAUUGUUAUAAUUUCAUAUGAAUCAUUUAAUUUUAUUUUAUAUUAUGUUCAGUUCAUUAACAUGUACAUUGGUCUACAUAUGGAUGAUGAUAGGUACCUAAGCACUUUAAAGUCAUAUGUGCGUAAUAGAACUUUUCUAGAAGGUUCUAUUGUAGAAAGGUACCUUGCAAAAGAAUGUACAACAUUUUAUUCUAGGUACUUGAAUGAUGUGGAAAUAAAGUAUAAUCACAAUGAUAGAAACUUUGUUGGUUUCAACACUAGAGGAGAUGAAAGGGGUUAUCUUUAAACAUAUUGGACAUGCAUUGGGAAAGCCCAUAUUUCAUUAACUUAGUUCAAAAGAGUGGUCACAAGCACAUUUAUAUGUGUUGACAAAUUGCGAAGAUGUCAUACCAUUCAUUGAGUAAAAAAUUUAUUUGAAUUUUAAUUAAAGCUCUAGUUUAUAUCCUUAAUCAAUGUUUUUUAAAUUCACAAGGAGCACAAGCAAACCAUCAAGGCUAGACCACAUAUACGUGUUUGAGACGUAGAUUUAAUUCAUAACAAGGAAUUUAUCAAGUGGUUUGAAAGACAUGUAAGUAUAUUCCUUAUUAUAAGGGAUUUAUUUCACAUUAUGUUUAUAUUGAAUCCAAACCUAUUAUUGAAUUGUAGGUUGAACAAUUACAUAAUGAAGGUCAUAUAUCUGAACACCUUCUCACAUUAUCAUGUGUUCCAAAUUCAUUAGUUACAUGCUUCAAAUGAUAUAUUGUCAAUGGAUUUAGAUCCCACAUUAAAGAACGUGAUAAAAAAGUUUUUAAAAAAAGACUCAGAAUAAUGGAAUUGUUGUAGUUGCAAAAACGUCAAGCUUUACAAGUGCAUGUGAUAUGAGUCCAAUUAUUAGUGAUGCUCUCUACUAUGGUGUUCUAACUAAAGUUGUUGAGUUACAUUAUCUUGGUGAAAAUAAGGUUGUUUUAUUCGAGUUUGAUUGGUGGGAUGUUACAAAUAUUGGAAAAUUGAUAAAAGAUGAUGAGUACAAUUACACAUUUGUUAACUUUGCAUGAAUUCUAACCACGAACGAACGAUUUGUACUUGCAUCUCCAGCAAAGUAAGUGUUCUAUGUGAAGAAUGCGAAUGAAUCAGAUUGGCAUACUAUCAUGGAGAUGCAACCUCAAGACCUCUAUAAGAUGAACGGGAUAGGAUCCAAUGGUGAUUUUGAACCAUUUCAACAAAGUGAACUACAUGAUCACUAAUAUAUCUCAGAUUUAGUUGAUGAAGAUAUAAUCAAGUGGAACAAAAGUGAUGUUUUAGGACUAAUCAUCCUAAAAAAUAUUGUAGUUUCUUAAAAAAAAAAUGAAAAUGAAGAAGAUAAUUGAACCUUUGUCAUACUUUAAAAAGCAACUAUGCAUUGUUCAUUUUGUAUGUUUUGGUUUUCUUCAUUUAAUUUCCUGAUUUUUGUGAUUCAAUGUCAUAUUAUUGAUCUUGAAAUAUUUUUCUAAUUUUUCAUUCUACGAUGGUUUCAACAAGGAUGACAUCAAGUCAAAAAAGGAAAUGUGGUCCCACACACAAUAUUGCAUUACAGGGAUUAAGGUCAGGGAAGAAGGUAAAAGUUGCAUUUAAUGAGUACAAUCAAUUGGUUAAACAGAAAAAUGGAAAACACUUAUCGAGCUACAUAGGGACACUUGUAUCUAACCAACACAAUGUACCUCUCCAAGCUAGUGAUUGGAAAAAUGUUCCAAAUGAUGCAAAAGAGAAAGUAUGGCCUUUGUUUUGGUAUGUUGUAUUUCUCACUAUAUGAUGUCAUUUCACUGUUAUUCUAUUUUGUGACUAACGUUUGAAUCAUAUGUAAGAAAAAUUUGAAGUAGAUAAAGACUGAAAAGAUUACAUGUUGGGUAUAGCCUCAAAUAAAUAUAGAAGCUAUAAAAAUAUGAUGAAUGCAAAAUACUAUGACCCUUGGCAUAAGGAUGCAUGAGGAGAGGUUAAUACAUAAAUCACCAUUUGUCUCUGAUGUUGAUUGGAAGUGGCUUGUCUCUGAUGCAUAAACCAAAUCCCCCACUGAAUGUUUGAUAUUUGAUAGCAGGAAAAACACACCCGCAGCUAUACACCUCCAUCAUUCAGAUAAUUAUAGUGGGGGAGAUGAUUCAUGGUUGCCCUUAUACCCUUUAUUUGCACCAUCUAUUGAGAUUCUUUAUCAUGGCCAGGUUUUACUGCAGCAAUAAGAUAUGGUGGCAACAAUUUUAUCUAUAGGUGCGGUUCCAGACCGCCUCCAUAGGUGCGGUUCCUGACUGCCUCCAUAGGUGCCUCUUCUUGUAAUGUUUGUUCUGGGAAUUACACUUGAAAGCCUUAUCGUGAUAAGGGAUUACAAACACUAGUUCAGAGGACAGCCAUGUUAAACUUCCACUAUGUUUGUGUCACAUUAUCAGCAGCCUAGUGUUUAUUGGUCAUGCUAUCUGCAACUAAUAUAACCCGGUGAACUUCAAUCUAAAUUCUGAAAGUACUCAUGUGACAGAUGGUGCCUUUCAGCAGAUAUCAUCAAUUUAAAAGUAGUGUGUGUGCCUAUAGGUGGGAAGGCCUUGGCAAAUGUUCAGUAUUCCGGUAAUUCAAGAAGGAUAUAUCUAAAAUAGAUUUUCUUCUUGCCCAUUUCAAUAGUUAAAAUUUGAGAAGAUUGUGUCCACAUCACACAAAUAUUAUUGGUCCUUCUGUUGCAAUUUACCUCUGAACAUGUCUUCCAAUUCCCACGGUCCUGUUACUCCAGGAAAACUAUUUCGGUCAUAUUGAAAAAAAAAAUAUUAAAGAAGGUACACAUGCUUUUAAGUGGACUGGGGCAUUCAUAUCAGGUGGUCUGUAUCCACAUAUGCCACUUCGUGAAAGGUGGAACAGCCUAAUCACUAGGCUAUUUAGUGUGGCCCAGCCACGUUAAUCAAGCACAAGUCUUCAUACUUAAAGUCAAAUGGUGUCUUUAGUCUCAUUACACAUCGCUAUUUGAAGAUUAACUCAUCACUAGUGUAAUGCGAUUAAGACAGUCCUAACUCAAUAUUUGUUCUAGUUUUGGAUGCAAAUGCUUGCUGGUUUCAUCAUUGGAUGGGAUAAAGGUGCAAUCAGGACUAUGAAUACGUGCAGUAAUACUUCAUUCUCUUUUUUCUCAAUGAGACUUCUUGGCACAAUUUUGCUGCUCAGCAACCUACCUUUCCAUGGAAAAUCAGUUGUGACUGAUAGUAAUGGAUAUAUUCUAGAAAGCUAAACAUAGAUAGCAUUCAAUAUUAUCGAUAUAACAUUAACAGCGUAUGUCUCAAUGCUCAUCAGCUACAAGCAAUGGACAAACACUUUGAGUAACUCACAGCAGUCAAAAUUCCUAAACAGGACAGACGUGACAGAUCUAUAUAUAGAACACUGCAUAUGAGUCACAGGAAAAGAUAAUACGGGUACAUAGAAGCUCUUAUUUUACAUAUUACUCAUACUGAUCAAAGUCGCUCAGUUGGGAUGGAUGGGAGAAGGAGGUUUGAGGGGUGGCUUGUGCGGGGAAGUUGGCAGCUUCUUUCCGGGAGCUGGUUGCUUCUUUGCUGGAGUUGAAGGAGGCUUAAUCUUCCGAGGUGGCUUGUAUGAGUCUUCAGCAUUCUCAGCAGGAGGGUGACCAGGGUUGUGACCAUAAUGUGGUGGCUUCUCUCCCUUAGGUGGUUUGCCAACUGGGGUUGGUGGCUUGUUUUCUGGGAGUGGCUUCUCUCCCUUGGGUGGUUUGCCAACUGGGGUUGGUGGCUUGUGUUCUGGGAGUGGCUUCUCCCCCUUGGGAGGUUUUUCGAAUGGGGUGGGUUUGUGUCCUGGUGGUGGCUUCUCUCCCUUGGGAGGUUUACCAAUUGGGGUCGGUGGCUUGUGUUCUGGGAGGGGCUUCUCUCCCUGGGGAGGUUUAGUGGGUGGCUUGUGUUCUGGAGGUGGCUUCUCCACCGGAGGCUUAUGCUCUGGUGGUGGCUUCUCGAAGGGGGGAUGCUCAGGGUAAUCACCAAGUGAGGGGGUGGUGAGAACCACCAUGCCAAGCAACAACACUAGCAAGUAUGUAGUAGACAUCUUUGGGUUUGGACUCAGACAGUGCAAAACUACGAGAAAUCGCUAGCCCUUUAUAGCGGCUCGGACCUAAUACUGACAUAAUAUAAAAUAAAUAUUAUAUUUUAUCAAGAGAGAACAGAGUGUAAUUUUAUCAUUAAUACCGAUCGAGGCCAAAGAAAGAAGACCCAUAAUCCAUUUCCCACAAGCAUACACAAUGCAGCUGUAAUUUUAUCAUUUACUUUUAUCCCUUGGACCACUGCAUUUUUGUUGAGAGACACAAUAACACAUUUUUAUCUGUCAUUCAACAUUUACAGUAAAGAGAGGGCACAAAACGCAAUUAGAUAAAUUAUGUUUUGCCUGCUAAAAAGAGGCAAAUAACUUUAUUUGCAACAUAAUUAUUUUGGUUUCUAGUGACCCCGGGGCCUUUCGGUUGGUUUGGGAUCGGAAAAUGAACAUCAUAGGGGGGGUUGUGCCCUUAUGGGCAUAUAUAUCUGAUAGCUUCAACUGGCCUUGUUCCUAGAAAGAAAUUGCCAAAGAUAUAAACUUAUUCCAGGCUGAAAGUAGAUGAGAGUCAUAAUGAACAUCAACCUUUGUUCAGUUUGAUUCAAUGCCCCCAUAGUGUUCAUUUCACAGAUCUGAAUGAUUAUAUCCGUUGAAUACAUAAAUUAAUGAAGACAAAUAUGAAACCCAAGAUACAUCUCUGCAUAACAACCCCAACCCUGGUUGCUAUGUUUCCCUUCUUCUAUUCACAUGAGGAUACUGGUUAUAAUUGUCAAACUUGCAACAAGCCCUUUGACACCUAACGUCAAUGGACGAAUUAAAAGUCUCCUUCAAACGUCUAUUUCACAGCAUGAAGCUUAUAAAGGAUGCUGACAACCUUCAGAGUUAGCGACAAAAGAUAAUUAUCAAGGAGAGAUAGUUCCAUGAGAAUUCCAAGGAGUCUGAAUCAAAGACAAAUUGCUCACUCAAGGGUUCUUAUUUUCUUUUAGGUACAAAUCUCUUGAGUGUUGUUAAAGAAACACGUCACUGUCAUUUUGAUUUGCAUUUAACAUUUCACUUUUGUUCUGGAAGGUUUGUUCCGGAAACAUAUCAAAUGAGCAUCAUUUUCUUCUUCGGUGACACAUGGUCGCGAGUACGUGGGUCCAUUUUCAUGCCACUUAGUUGAAAAGUUGGAAAGAAAAAACAUGCCAACAAGAAGAUAGUGAGAGAAGGGGCACUUCAAGCCUUUAACAUGAACAAACAGUAAAUAAAAGAUGUUUCUCCACUCAUAAAAGUGUGUUAGAUAGCAAUAUAACGAAUCACAUCCAAAAUCUUUACUAGGCUCAAACAUAAAGAAGACUCAUUUUUAAGAAAAGAUAAAAAUGGCAUUGUCUGAUAGUAUCCAAUACACGAGAUGGCACUUAAUUUGUACAAGAUCUGUCAAUGCUGACGCACAUUUUCUGAUUAAAAAAAAACUGAUCAGUCAAAAGCAAUGAAGAGAAGUGAUGACAAUGAAUGAUGCUUCCAAUAUUUUCACCCCUUAUAGUGUUCUUCAUGAUUCAGAUAUAUAAUUGGAAAUAGAACAACCCUAUGCCAUACAUUCGUCUAAGUAUGGUGUCUAAUUUUUUGUGUCAGCGGUUGCGAAUGGAGCGUGCAAAAGUCCAAAUUGGCGUCUCUCCAUUUCCACAUAGGAAGGUGACCUUUAUUGACAAAUACCCAAUAUUUGUAGACAUUCCUUAAAUAUCAUAACUUCUUGUUGAUUUGAAAAUCAUUUUUCAACUACCAUGUUUUAAUAAAUAUUUUUUAAAAUGUAUUUUUAUCAAAGUCCACCAUGAUGGAUAAUAUUCACCAUGCAAUAAUUAAUAAAGUACAAACUAAGCGAAAUGAAAAGCAUUUUCUUUGCUUUGAGUUGAUUUUGGUUGCAUUGAGUUGAUUUUGGUUUCAUGGUUUUUUCAACUCUUAUUUUGAUUGGAAGAUGUCAAGAAAAGAAAACAUAAAGAAAAAUUAAAAGGGAAAAAAGAAGAAAAAUAAAAAAAAAUAGAUUUAAAAGUUAAUAAAUUAUUUUUUAUAUUUAUUUUAAUUCAUUUCACUUAUUUUUCUUUUACUAUAUAAAAUUUAAAUAAUUUAAAUUUUAUAAUUAAUUUAAUUACAUUUCAUUUUCUUCUAUAUUUAAAUAUUGGAAAAAUAUUUUACUUAAUAUUUUUUUCUUUAAUUUCUUUGGCAUUUUGGGAACCAAACUUAGCCUUUAAAAUAAAAAACAAAAAAAAAAUGAAAAUAAGGAGGGAAAAGUGAGAAAAGAUAAAAACAAUAUGUAAAGGAUUUGAAAAGUAUUAGUUUGUAAUUACUAUUUGGAUUUCAAUAGUAUUUUAUUUGUCUUUCUAUAUUUCAUGUAAGAGAGAAUUUAAGAUAUUCCCCAAGGCAAAGCAUUAGUUACCUGCAAUCAGUGGUGAUAAGGCUCCAAGCCAAUUUUGGGCCCCAUAUCUUAAGACAGUACAAUUUCCAUUUCAACAUUUCUGAUUUCUCAGAUGUUUCACAUACCACAGAAGAACAUUGUUUGUGAAAAUAUGCAUUUAUGUUGGAUUUUGUAUGCUGUGGGGACUGGGGCAAGGAUCAUAUGGAAGAGUGGUUGACUUUUUCUGUACUUUAACGGUUGAAAUAGGAUAAGCACGGGCAUUUGUGAGGCUUAAUUGAUUUUGAAGCCUGAAAUUGCGUUUCUGUCAUUUUGUCAAAAAAAUGGCAGAUUCCAUACUCAUAUGUUUGGCCUGUGGCCAUGUACAGAUGCCAUUUAGUGACCAGUUUGUAACUGUCAAUCGUUGCGUUUUGACUCUGCCUCAACAACAUCUGCCAUUGACGGGUUUUCAUACUUGCAAAUCAAAUAGUCUUUCGUCCCAUCAGGAAUUUCGGUUUAAAUAUUAUUAAGCAUACGUUUGGCUGACAAUCAUUAUCCAGUUCAUGAUUUGGUUUCUUACCCUUAAUCAAUGGUUUCUAAGUGAAUAUAUGUAGAAGGAAAUCCGAAGUGUAGACAGUAGUAUCGAUAACUCUCAAUAUUCUCUAUAUAAUAGAAUAAACAGCGUCAUAGUGAUCGUCGCCUACAAGCAAGGUACAAAUACCAAAACGAGUGACUCACAUAGACAUCUCCCAACAAGAUGUAGUAGUGACUGACACAUGGACACAAUUAACUCGUAGAAAAGGAUAAGACCAUUGCACAGCAGCUCUUAUUUUACAUACUACUUAUGCUAACCAAAGUCAAUUAGUUGGGAUGGGUGGGAGAUGGAGGUUUGUGCGGUGGCUUGUGGGGCGGAGUUGAUGGCUUCUUUCCAGGAGCUUCUGGCUUUUUCAUCGGAGCUGAAGGAGGCUCAAUCUUAUGAGGCGGCUUGUAUGAGUCUUCUUUACUCUCGACAGGAGGGUGGCCAGGGUUGUGAUCAUAAUGUGGUGGCUUCUCUCCCUUAGGUGGCUUGCCAACUGGGGUUGGUGGCUUGUGUUCAGGAAGUGGUUUCUCUCCCAUGGGAGGUUUAGCAAUUGGGGUUGGUGGCUUGUGUUCUGGGAGUGGCUUCUCUCCCUUGGGAGGUUUAGUAGGUGACUUGUGUUCUGGAGGUGGCUUCUCCACCGGAGGCUUGUGCUCCGGUGGUGGCUUCUUGGUUGGAGGGGGCUUGGGGUAAUCAGCAAGAGAUGGGGUGGUGAGAACCACCAGUCCAAGGAACAACACUAGCAAGUAUGUGGGAGACAUUUUUGAGUUUGGGCUGAUCAGAUGAUGCAAAACUAAAGCAUUACGUGACCUUUUAUAGCAUGUAGCUCCCAAUACCCACUAAGUAUUGUGGGGUCCAUUUGUGCCCUACGGGGUUGAAAACUUAGACAAUUGGGCAAGGACCCACCUGACUAUGGAGGACUAGUGAGGUGUGAUCAUAGCUUUAGGAUUUUUCUUCCUCUGCAGCCGUCGUGCCGUUGGCAUGAUUUUCUUAAUCUUAAAUAAAGGCAUAGUUAUAGAGUUGUUUAAUCUCUAAAUGGGAUUUUAUAUAUAUCUUCAGAUAGCCAUUAAUAUAUUUGAUGAAGAAAGAAAGACAAGUGCAUACAACAUGUAUACGACUAGCUUUCAUGGAGUUCAUUUAUGAUCAGUUUUCCUGUACAUGUAAACCAGGAUCAUAUAUAUGUUUCUGUUCCACAACUAUUUUGGAAUCUUGUUUAUCAGUUUUUAUCAUUAUAAUGUCACAUAGGCUGCCAACUUGGGCGCUAAAAGAACCAGUUGGGCUAGUUCGUUUCAGAAUUUCAAUGUGGAUUCAGGAAUUGUUUUGUAAGAUAUGCGAAAUAGUAGAGGGAUGAAUAGUGUUUCAUUAAUAAAAGUGUCCUGUAAAUUAGAAGGUGUCAUAGAAACUAUAAUCAAUAAAUAACUUUUUUUCCCCACGGGUGGUGUUUCUUGUGGGGAUCAGUGACUGGUUUAGGUUCACCCAAAAUGAGUUCAGACUAAAAUUGGUUUGAGUCAAUGCCGUGUCUCUUUUUUCCAGAAAUCAACUAUUUUAUGCAUUGAAUAAAUCAUACAAAGAAAAUAUGAACGCCCGCAAAACCUAAACCCUGGUUGCUAACUUUCUAUGUUUCAGUUCUAUUCACGCAAGAAUAUUAGUUUAAGUUUGGGAAAAAUGGCAACUUACCUAGUGAUUACUUGGUUUUGGUUUGCGACUAUUUACGCAACCAACCAUGAGUUUGACUUUAACGUCAUGGGUUGAAGCCUCCUACAGGAAGGGAGAAAGCUCCACAGCUAGCUCCAAAAGAGAAUUAUCACAUUGAUAGCUCCAGAGAUUCCCAAGGGGACUGAAUCAAAGACAAGUUCCUCACUUUUUCUUCUUUUGAGGCCAAAUAUGAACCAAGGAUCACACAACCUCAUUCAACUUCAUAAGUUUGAUUUCAUGCAGUUGAACACUGGGUGAAGGCCAUGACAAGAAUUGAUUCAAAAAUUCUAUCACUCUUUUAAGUAAUGGAAGAUUAUUAUCUCUGAUUGGCAUCACAACAGCACAUGCUCCUAGAUCUUUCUAGACACUCCAUGCAAUGAAAGCACAAUGGAUCUUGUAACGAUAGAAACUAAGCCAUGCUACAGUACUAGAUGAUGAGGUAAAACUAGUAGACACGGGUGGCAGCCUAUAUGGGAGGGACACAAGUCUAAUUGAUUUGCAUUUCAGCAUUAUAGAUAGGUAUGUUUUGGAAGAUUUGUUCUGGAAAUACCGCACCAAGUAGGAUUCUUUUUCUCUUUAGUGGGUCCACUUGCAUGCCAAUUAACGAGUUGAAAAGUAUGAGCACCUACCUCGUGCUCGUGGAACCGAAGGUCAGUGAAGUGGGGCUCCUUUUGGCCUCGUGUAAACUUGAUUCAGAAGUGAAGUUAAUAGUCUUCCAUUCAGAUGGAUACAUGGGAAUUUUUCUCUUUUAUUUAUUUAUUUAUUUUUUUUUUGUGUGUGUAUGUCAAAGGAUAAUGAAUGAAGCGCGUUAGCUUGUUUUCUGACUGGAACCGCAGAUGUCCAAAUUGGAGUUCCUUCAUUUCUUACUUAGGAUUGUUACAUGUAUAAACAAGGUAUAAGAAAUAUGCCAACGUGUCUUGAGGAGUUAUUGAUUAGAAAUAACAAGUCACCCGACUGUAGAGUUCCAAGAUUUGAAUCUUCAGACCCUAUAGCAGCCUCUGGGGUACGUGGCAUCCUAUAGCAUAUUAAUGAAGGCUUUUUCGAUUUAGACUUCACAAUACCAAUUAAUAUGUAUGCACAAAAUGGAGAUGACCCCAAAAAAAACAGAAUCGCCAUAGUUUAUGAGGUUAAGGUGAUUCUCCACUUAAUAUCUACAUUAGCUAAUUAUGUAAAUCAAAUGAACUUCUAUUUUUCCUUUUUUUUUUUGGUUUAUGUCAAAUAGUAGCCCAUAAUUAACCCAACCAUUAGCCUGUUUGAAUUGAUUUCACAUGCACAAUGUUGUAGUAGUUCAUAUUUUGAAUUUUAUUUUUACAAAGGUAGUUAAGGAAAAUGAAGUAUAAUAAUUAUAAAAGCAGACUAUAUACACUACAAUAAUUGUUAGAAUGGUAUCUCAAAUUCUAAUUUAAAAUAUUAUUUUUUGUAAAAGAAAUAUUAUAUAGAAUAUUUCCUAAUUUUAUAAAUGAUUAUAAUUAGAUCUUUAUAAAAUAAGGAAAGUUGGUAAGAAUAUCUUUAUAAAUAUUUUAGGUCAUGAGAGAAAGAAAUGGGAUAAAAAUGUGAUGAAGAGGUGAAAUAAGAGAGUUGAUUAGGAUAUAGAUGUGAAGAAGAAAGGGAUUCAAUAUAUAUAUAUCUUUCAAUUACCACAUUAAAACCCUGUGAACCUUUUAUAUGGUUUACUUUAUUUUUAUAUUCCUCCUUUAAUAUAUUUACAUUAAUGCUUCCAUUGGCACAACAAUAACGAAUUACAAAUACAAGCAACAAGUCCCAUGUUUUAUUACCAAAAGCAGGUAAAAUCCACCUAAUAUAUUACAAUAUAUUCAUCCAAUAUUUUAGACCAAUUCUUCACCAUAAAUAUCAUAAUGUGGCUUUUGUUCUUUCUUAAAUUUAAAUUGAAUUGUCUUAUAUCAAUUUGUUUGUGAUUUUUUCAUUAACUUCACUUUCAUUUGGUUAUCUUUGGUUUUUGAAAAGUAUUAAGGAAUUAAUUAACAAAAUAAUGUUAAGAAAAAUAAUUUUCUCUCUUUUGAUUUUGAUUUUGUAGUAGAAAAAUAUAAUUAAAAUUAUUUAAAAAGUAUGUAAUUUUAAAUUAUUUAAUAUUUAGAUAAAAAAAAUAAGUCUAAUGAGUUUAAAAUAACAUAUAAAAAUAAUUUAUUUAUUUUAAAUUUAUUUUUUAUUUUCCAUUAUGUUCUCUUUCUCUUUUACUUUUUCAUAUUUUUUCUUACGAAGAAUCAAACACAACCUCAUAUUAUAUGUCAAGUGUUUGUCUAUAUUUGAGCAAUGUUAGAUACGGCCAUGGAUUCAUCAAACUAAACUGAUUUUAAUAGAUACUUCACAAAUUGAUUUAUACACUAAAUCAUUGGAUAGCAAUGAUGCAUUGGAAUUAAACGUAGGAUGAAGCUCGAAGAACACUGUUUGUGUAACAACAUAUUUAUGAAAUUAUGCAAAGGAUGAGCUUCGGGGUAGUAGUACAAGGUCAUUAAUGGAGAGCCGUGUUAAACCUUGAUUGUGAUUGGAUUCCGUUAUCAGCAACAGCAACCUUGUUUGUAACCUUGAAAGUCAUUCUGUCCACAUCGAAACUCCAAUUUGACGUUUGUAAUUACCAUUCCUGGAGUGUUCCUUGAUUGAAAUUUAAAUAAUAAUUGCGGCCCACAAGGAAUAUUUUCGAUUCUGUGGGAAUUUGACAAGGUUUGUUAGAGAAGACUGGUGACAUGUUGACUUCAAUGGUUCAAAUAGGAGACGUAUGUGGAUUUGGGGGGUUUAAUUGAAACUGAGUCCCUAUGGCUUUUUAAUAUUUGCAUUGAGCAGUCUCCAUGUGACUUCCUAAUUCCCACCAACCCUCCUGUCCAUGCUGUGAAACUAAAUUGUAAUUUAUCAGCCUUUGUCAAUGGUUUCUAAAUUAAAGAUAUAGACCAUGCAUGUACUUUAAUAAAAGCAAAUCUAAAGUGUAGAUAGCAGCAAUGGUGACACCCAAUAUUCUCCAUAAAAUAGAAUUAGAAUAAGCAGUGUUACAUUGUUCAUGAUCACCUACAAGCAUACAAGAACUUCCAUGAAUAACUCAUAGCAAUUGCCAACAGGGCGUCGUAGAGACUCAUACAUAGAACACUAUCCACCCAGAGGAAAGGACAAGACCAGUGCGCUGCAGCUCUUAUUUUUCACAUGUAUACCACCACUCGUAAUAACCAAAUUCACUCAGUUGGGAUAGGUGGGAGAUGGUGGUUUGUGGGGUGGCUUGUGGGGAGGAGUUGGAGGAGGCUUUAUUUUCUGAGGCGGCUUGUAUGAGUGUGCAGGAGGAUGCCCGGGAGUGUGACCAUAAUGUGGUGGCUUCUCUCCCGUAGGUGGUUUGCCAAAUGGGCUUGGUGGCUUCUCUCCCUUAGGAGGUUUACCAAUUGGGGUUGGUGGCUUGUGUUCUGGGAGUGGUUUCUCUCCCUUGGUAGGUUUGCCAAUUGGGGUUGGCGGCUUAUGUUCUGGGAGUGGCUUCUCUCCCUUGGGAGGUUUGCUAAUUGGGGUUGGCGGCUUAUGUUCUGGGGGCGGCUUCUCUCCCUUGGGAGGUUUGCCAAUUGGAGUUGGCGGCUUAUGUUCUGGGAGUGGCUUUUCUCCCUUGGGAGGCUUGCCAAUUGGGGUUGGCGGCUUAUGUUCUGGGGGUGGCUUCUCUCCUUUAGGAGGUUUGCCAAUUGGAGUCGGCGGCUUAUGUUCUGGAAGUGGCUUUUUUCCCUUGGGAGGUUUGCCAAUUGGGGUUGGCGGCUUAUGUUCUGGGGGUGGCUUCUCUCCCUUGGGAGGUUUGCCAAUUGGAGUCGGCGGCUUAUGUUCUGGGAGUGGCUUCUCUCCCUUGGGAGGUUUUGUUGGUGGCUUGUGUUCUGGAGAUGGCUUCUCCCCUGGAGGCUUGUGCUCCGGAGGUGGCUUCUGAAAUGGCGGGGGCUUGGGGUAAUGAGCAAGAGAUGGAGUACUG
This 208538-nucleotide long non-coding RNA is filed under the name Vitis vinifera (wine grape). RNAcentral describes it as "long non-coding RNA (VVIN_LNC001392)". Lineage: Eukaryota; Viridiplantae; Streptophyta; Magnoliopsida; Vitales; Vitaceae. The record is from RNAcentral.